RNAcentral lists this long non-coding RNA (328229 nucleotides) under Gossypium barbadense (sea-island cotton). RNAcentral describes it as "long non-coding RNA (GBAR_LNC015462)". The stretch from base 26035 to 26105 matches the Rfam family "MIR8757 microRNA precursor family". Lineage: Eukaryota; Viridiplantae; Streptophyta; Magnoliopsida; Malvales; Malvaceae. The record is from RNAcentral.
UUUCAACACGACCCACAGGGACAGUUCCAAUACCUCCAAUCUUGUACACAUCCUGAAGUGGAAGACGGAGUGGCUUGUCAGAGGGUCUCUUGGGCUCAUUGAUCUGGUCAAGAGCCUCGAGAAGAGUUGGACCCUUGUACCAAUCAAGGUUGGUGGACCUUUCAAUCAUGUUGUCACCCUCAAAACCGGAGAUGGGGACAAAAGGAAUCUUCUCAGGGUUGUAACCAACCUUCUUCAAGUAGGAAGACACUUCCUUCACAAUUUCAUCAUACCUAGCCUUUGAAUAUUUGGGGGUUGUGGCAUCCAUCUGUAUAUGUCAUGCAUAAGAAUAAUUACUAAUUACAAGGCAACCAAUUAGAAACUACUGAACAUAAAAGCCUGAAUACAAUGGCCUACCUUGUUGCAGCAGCAAAUCAUUUGCUUGACACCGAGAGUGAAAGCAAGCAGAGCAUGCUCACGGGUCUGUCCAUCCUUGGAAAUACCUGCCUCAAAACCUCCAGUGGUAGAGUCAAUGAUAAGUACAGCACAAUCGGCCUGGGAGGUACCAGUAAUCAUGUUCUUGAUAAAGUCACGAUGUCCAGGGGCAUCGAUGACAGUGCAGUAAUAUUUGGUGGUCUCAAACUUCCACAAGGCAAUAUCAAUGGUAAUACCACGUUCACGCUCAGCCUUCAACUUGUCAAGCACCCAAGCAUACUUGAAUGACCUCUUGUUCAUCUCAGCAGCUUCCUUCUCAAACCUUUCAAUGACACGCUUGUCAAUACCUCCAAGCUUGUAGAUCAAGUGGCCAGUGGUGGUUGACUUUCCAGAGUCGACAUGGCCAAUUACGACAAUGUUAAUGUGAGUCUUUUCCUUGCCCAUUCUGCAGUAUUAGCUUCAAGCUGCACCAACAUAUAUAUAGUUAAACCAGAAUCCCAUGCAUAAACAAUUAGUAAAAAGGGUAGCCAAAAAAACAAUGAACAUGUUUACCCCUGCAUCCCAAAAUUUUAAAAAAAUGAACAAAUUAACACAACACGAUACUUAAGCUAGUUUUAUGUUUAAAAUUAAACAGAAAAAAACAUAACAUCAAUUCUAAUAGCAUAGUUCCUACUUCAUGCUUUAGAAGCAAAAAUUAAGUAGCAUAUCUAUUUUUCGCCCUUACUUUUCUACAAUUUUUAAGCAUCAACUUUUAUUUUUGCAAUGAUUUAAGCAUUAACUUUUAUUGAACGAACAACUAAAGAUACUAUGAUUUUACAUUUGAAGAGAAACGAUUACAGCAAAGUUCUCAAAAUGGACCAAGAAAACGCAUUGAUAUCAUAGUCUCCAAAUUUAAAAAAAAAUAAAAGUUGGUCAGAGAUUGACUCACUUAAACAAUAUGCACAAAUCCAGAAAUAAUUAUUCAUAUGAACGAAAACAAAUCUACAGCCAAAAGAAUCAAUACAACGAUCAUAAUAAACGACAAUUUCUCUCAAAAGCUCAAAUCAGAUCUCCAAAUUAUUAUCAUACGAUAAAUCUAACAACAGUAUUACAGAAAAAAAAUCUCAUCAGGAGAAAAAGAAGACAAAAAUCAAAAGAGAGAUCUAAAUUACAUUGAAAUUAAUAUAAAAAGUUAAGCCAGGCGAAUAAAAAACAGAGCAAAUAAAAAUAUGAAAGAAUGGAUUGAAUAAAUUAGAUCUGAGAAUGGAACCUUUGGAAUAGAAGCGAUCUGAAGCUGAAAUCGUGGCGGCAAAGCAGAAGAGAGAUAAUAAUAGUAAGAGAGGUGAUAGGGUUUUACAAGUAAGCUGCUCUCUCGUUCAUUUUUAUAGUCAGGUUUUAGCUUCUUUCUUUUUAUUCCUAAAAUGUCCUUUUUCAGAUUUGUUUUGACAGAUACGUCCUUCGGUUUCUUAAUAGGGGCGUCGAGGUUUAAUUUUCACGUAUGUGGAGUAUGAUGUGGUUGAAGCGGACGUUUUUUAUUGGUAAGUGUAGUUACGCGCUUGUCUUGUGAGUGGGAGUUAUUUGCUUUAGGUUUGGGUUGGGCCUGGGAAUGGACACCAGCCAUUGGCAGGCGUUUUGUCUGCACAAAUUGCAAUUGCAAACAAAAGGCCGUCUCAUCGACUGGGAUGUACCUGAGCAGCAGGAGAUGAGAGAUGAGCCACAGGUAUUCCUUAUUUGCUGGUGGGAUCCAUGUCAGGUUAUUCCUUAAGGAUCCCAAUUUUCCUUUUACAAAUCCCAAAUAAUUUUAAUUAAAUCGUUUUUUUACAUUUUUAAUAUUUUUUCACAAACUUACUUUUUUAAUUUCUAAUAUUUUUACAACUUUUAAUAAUUCUUUUACAUUUUUAAUAAUUAUUUGCAAUUUCUUAAUAUUUUAAUUAAUUCUUUUAUAAUUCUAAAUAAAAUGUUAAAACUUUUUAAUAAUUUUUAUUAUCUUUAAAAAAAUUGAGUCUCUUAAUGGCUGGUCAAUACUUGAUCAAUGGUCACAUCAUCAAUCAAUGAUGGACACGUGACAUGGUCUGAUUGGUUGAGUUUCUUUUUAUACCGUUAACUUUUAGGUGUCAAAAUGGAUAACGAAGUAAAGUUCAAAUGUCAAAAUGGGACAAAAAAAGUUUAGGUACUAAAAUAGGAAAAUGGGUAUAAUUCAGGGGGUAAAUCAUUAAUAAAGCCUAAAAAAAUUGAUAUAAAAGUUAAAUGUAGAUUUAGCUAAAAUAGAAAAGUGCUAAAAUUUUGAAAUCUUAGAUUCAAAUAUCAUGAUUCUCAUUUACAUGCAUAUUUUUUUUCUAGAUUUAUCAAAACAUGAAACACAUAUAAAUACUUUCAAUGGGGUGUCUAGUGAGUUGAGACUCGGUUGAUGAAUGACAUCAACUUAGUCAAAAUUCUAUUUUAGUCACUUAUUGAAAUUUGAUAUUUUACUCCCUCAUCAAUUAAAUCAUUAAUGGAAAGAUGAUGCGACCUUUUUUGUAAGUGUAAUAAUAAAAUUACCCCUAAAACAUUUACAAAUUCUAUUAAUUUGAUCUUAACUUUUAAAAAAUUAAAAAAUUUAAUCCUUAAUUUUACACGUUCAACAAUAAAUCAACAAAAUUUGAGAAUGCGAAAUAUCACUUGUAACAGCCCGAUUUUGGGCCUAAUCGAAAUAGUGGUUUUGGGGCCACUAAUCUGACGAGGAAAAAUUUAAUAUUCUUAUAUUUUUAUGAUCUAAAGACGUACAGAAUGAUUUUUUGAAAAAAAAUUUCGAAAAUUUUGACGUUUGGGCACUCAAUUUAGUCGAAAGGACUAAAUUGUAAAAAAGUGCAAAACUUGAGUUCUAGAAGCUAAAGGUGUCUAAUUGCUAUGAAAUUUUAAAUUGGAGGUCCUAAAAAGGUAAUUAUGCCAUUGGUUAAUUUUUUGGACAAAAAUGAGCAUGAAAUAGGUGAAAUAGAAUAUUUUUAAGUUAAGGGCAUUUUAGUAAUUUGGUGAUUAAAUGAAUUAAAAAGCCAAAUUAAAAGCCAAUUUUUUCUCAUCUUCAACCCAUUGGAUGAAUUUCAAAUGAGGAAGACAUAUCUAGGGUUUUCAAGCUUCCAAGCUCGAUUGUAAGUUCGUUUUAGCCCCAUUUUUAAUGUUCUUUACAUUUUUGAGAUCCUCGUAGCUCGGUUUAGCUAUUUCUACCAUUAUUUUGAGUUAAGGUUUGUAUUUAAAAAUUUACCCAUGGAUGAAUUUCAUGUGUUUUGAUAUUUUAUGGUAGAAUAUGAAAGUUUAAAGUGUAAUAAACAACUUUUACUAGAUUUUUAAUGAAAUUGCAUAAAAGGACUUAUUUGUAAAAGUUGUAAAACAUGUGUAAAAAAUGUGAUUUAGUGAAAAUUGUGGGCUGCUAUAAAAGGGAAUAUGAAUCGGCUAGGCUUGAGUAAUGAGAAAAAUGAGUACUUUUCAUUUUACGAGCCUAAGGGCAAAAUUAUAAAUAUGUGACCAUAAGGUGUUUUUGGGGCUGAAUUGAAAAUGUGUGUAUUAAAUGAGUUAAAUAUGUUAUUAUAGAUCAAGAAAGACGAGGAAUUGACCUUGACUGGGGAAAGGCAAGGUUGUGGACUAAGACGCAAACAUUUGAUAUUUUGGACUGAGGUAAGUUUGUAUGUAAAUAAUGCAUCGUUUUUACUUAUGCUUUCAUAUUUUGAUAUAUUUUGUUAAAUGUGGCUGAAUAUUUGAUGUAUUUUACAAAAUAUCGACAAGUGAGAAAUUUCUCGAUUGAACCUUAAGAAUAGAAUAGGAUACAAGUGACAUGUCACUAGGAACAUAUGUGAAAACUAUGUGAAAUUGUGACUAAGUGAAUUCGGGUGCUGGUCUAAUAAGUUCUACCAGUGACUGGGUAAUCCAGCAUGUGUUGUGGAUACCUGACAGCUUGUGUGAGCAGUACUGAGUAGUUACGAAUGACCGACAAGUUGUGUGAGCAGACCCGCGAAUGUGAAUAGCUUGAGAACGAGCCUAUGUGUGAUAAGUGAUGUGAAGUAGCUUUGGCUACAAGUAUGGCACUAUGUGCAAUAUUUCUGAUGUAUCCGUUAAUAUUAUGAUGUGUUCAACGGGAAAUGACUAAGUUUAAAUGAUUGUGAUUAUGUGAUGAAUGAGUGCAGAUACAUAUGUGUAUAUAUAUAUUCAUGAGCAAUGUGCUCGAUAUGUGAUCAAAUUUUGGUAAGGUUGAUGUAGAGUAAGUAUGACUAUGAAGACUUGUAAAUAUUUGAUAAUGACUAGCUAUUGGAAUGACUAGCUAUGGACAUGCUUGGUGUUAUGUGUGUGUAAAUGAAAGUUAAUACAAAGAAAACAUGAAAGAGUAAAAUUAGUAAUAAAACAGUUUUGGAUAGCAGCUGUUGUAUAAGUUUGAAAAAUCACCAAAAAUUGUGAAAAUCGAAUUAGAGGUUUAAUAAGAUAUGAAAUUAAAGUUUAUUGAGUUUAGUUUUACAUAGAAGAAACGAUGUAAGCAAGAGAAUUUCAUAUUAUGAGAUAUUUGAAAUUUUAUGAGAUAGGGUCAGAGUGAUUUCGGAAUCCCCUGUUCUGAAUUUGGAAACUCAUUAAAAAUUGUAUAAAAAUAAUUUUGGGUUAGAAUUUAUAUGUUUAAAAUUCUUAAUGAGUCUAUUUUCAAUAUAAAAAACAGGAAAAUCAUCCGAAUCUCGUACGAGGUGAUAAUUAAUUUUUAGUGAAGAAGGGUCGAAACUGUCAGACAGUAGAACAAGGAUGACUUUAAAGAAUAAACUUUACUUAUCGGCUAAACCAUAAAUUCUGAAAAUUUUAUGGUAACAAUAUAUAUGAGUCUAGUUUCAGAGGAAUUUAUCAAAUCUAAAUUCGGAGUUCCGUAGCUCAAGAUAUAAAUAAUUUAUUGACUAUGACUUGCGUAGAUAGCUUGAUAUGAAAAUGAGUGAAUAGUGAAACUAUGUGCAAAUAUGAUUGUAUUAUCUUGAGAACACAUUAUGAGGAUUGAUAAAAGCAUGUUAAUAAAUUGUUUAUUAUUUACAUACCAACUUACUAAGCUAUAUGCUUGCUUCCUUUUCUUUCCCUUGUCUUAUAGUGUCACCAAGCUAGCUCGGGGUACGGAGAUCGUCCAUCCACACUAUCAACACUCUUUUGGUAUUUUGAAAGCAAUAUUAUGAAUUAUGGCAUGUAUAGAGGACUUGGUUAUUUUUUUAUGUGUCAUAAUUGAUUUGGCCUAAAAUGUUGGCCUAUGUUAUUUGAUAGUUCAUUUUGUAUAAUGUCAUUGAUGUUGGCUAUUAUUGGUUAAGUUGUACAUUUAUGAUAAUGCCAUGUUGUGUGUUGAUAAAUUUGGUAUAAGUGUGUAAAUGUUAGGAUGGAAAAAGGCUUGGUAAAUAGCCUAACUUUCAUCCACAUGGCUGGCCACAUGGCUAUGUGCUCAGGGCGUGUGCCCCUGUUUUUUAAGAAAAUUUUCAAAGUUUUUAAAAGUUCUCGGUUUGGUCCCGAACUACUUUCAAAGUAUGUAUUGGGUCUCGUAAGCCCAUAUUAGGGACUUUAUGAUGAAAUAUGAAAAGUUUUAAUUUUGGUGAAAUUUUAUGACUCGGUUUUGUAUGAUUGGUUAUGUUUAAGUCCGGUAAUACCUUGUACCCUAUCUCGGCGUCUGACACGGGUAAGGGGUGUUACAUUUAGUGGUAUCAGAGCCAUGGUUUAGUCGGUUCUCGGACUAACAUAGCGUGUGUAUGAGUCUAGCUAUACAUGCCAUAAAUAUACUGUGAUAGUGUGAUGACUCCUGACAAUUUAAAUUGUGUUUUCAUAUAAUAAAUGGAUCAUGACCGAGUUGUAGCUGAUGACAUAGAGAGUAACGCACCGGCUCCCGCGCAAGGGACCGCGCCAGUUGAAAGUAGAUUUGAAACACAUAGUCAGGGAGAUGGGGCUCGGGAAGCCUUCCUCCAUAUGAUGAAUAAUUGGUACACAAAAUUUAUUCGGGCGAAUUCGAACGCCCAACCUCCUCCACCCCCUCCUAUUCCCCAACCGGUUCCCGUAGUUACUCAAGGUACAUAAAUGGUAAGACUGACUAAGCCUCCGGUUGGUAAUAUCCGAAAGCAAGGGGCUGAAGAGUUCAGGGAUAAUAUAGAUGAUGAUCCUGAGAAAGCAGAGUUUUGGCUUGAGAAUUCUAUUCGGGUAUUUGAUGAACUUUCUUGUACUCCCGAAGAAUGUUUAAAGUGUGCUAUAUCUUUAUUGAAGGACUCGGCAUAUCACUGGUGGAAUACACUAGUAUCCGUGGUUCCGAAAGAAAGGGUUACGAAUUUUUGGGACACAUAGUUUCAGGUGAUAGUAUUCGAGUUUAUCCGAGCAAAAUUUCAAUAAUUGUUGAUUGGUGCCCUCAACUCGACCAAUAUCGAACCAUCAUUAGACAAAGCCAAACUCGUACUCAUAGUUCUUAAAGUAAAUAAGGAUUUUCUGCUCAAGGCAUCAGCAACUACAUUUACUUUUCAUGGGUGGUAACAAUCACUAGCUCAUAAUCUUUUAUUAAUCCGAGCCAUCUCCAUUGUUGCAAAUUCAAAUCCUUUUGAUUCAUCAAAUGCUUCAAACUCUUGUGAUCGGUAAAGAUUCGACAUUUCUCGCAAUAAAAAUAAUGACUCCAAAUUUUCAAAGCAAAGACGAUGACAGUUAAUUCCAAGUCAUGCGUCAGAUAAUUCUUCUCGCAUGGUUUCAACUGUCUCGAGGCAUAACCUACCACUUUGCCCUCUUGCAUCAACACACAACCAAGGCCAUUUAAUGACUCACCACUAUAAAUUACGAACUCUUUCCCCGUCUCAGGUUGCACCAAAACCGACGCCUCAGUCAAUAAUGCUUUCAAUUUCUCGAAACUUUGGUGACAUUUAUCAGUCCAUUCAAACUUAAUAUUCUUUUGCAACAACUUAGUCAUAGGAGAGGCAAUCAUCGAGAAUCCCUCGACAAAGCGUCUAUAAUACCUAGCUAAGCCCAAAAAGCUUCUAACCUCGGAUACAUUCUUUGGCGGUUUCCAAUCAACAAUUGUCGAAAUUUUGCUCGGAUCAACCCGAAUACCAUCACCUGAAACUAUGUGUCUCAAAAAUCCAACUUCACGAAGCCAAAACUCACUUUUACUGAACUUAGCAAACAACUUCUUUUCUCUCAAAAUCUGUAACACAGUUCUUAAGUGUUCGGUAUGCUCAGACUCAUCUCAGGAGUAAAUCAGGAUGUCAUCUAUAAACACAACUACAAACUUAUCCAAAUACGACUGAAAUUUUUAGUUCAUCAAGUCCAUAAAAAUACCAGAGCAUUAGUUAAAUCGAAAGGCAUCAUAAGAAAUUCAUAGUGUCCAUACCUCAUUCUGAAAGCAGUUUUUGGCACAUCUGACUCUUUAACUCUCAACUUAUAGUAAUCGGAUCUCAAAUCGAUCUUUGAAAACAUUGUCGCCCCUUUUAACUGGUCGAACAAAUUAUCAAUCCUUGGUAACAGAUACUUGUUCCUUAUAGUCACUUUGUUGAGCUGACGAUAAUCAAUACAAAGUCUCAUAGAUUCGUCUUUCUUCUUGACAAACAGUACAGGAGCACCCCAAGGAGAAAAACUCAGUCUCACAAAUCCCUUAUCUGUCAAUUUUUGCAACUGAGCUUUUAAUUCUUUCAAUUCAGUCGGAGCCAUUCUGUAUGGAGCAAUCGAGAUUAGUGCAGUCCUAGGUAAUAAAUCAAUAGCAAAUUCAAUCUCUCUAAUCAGAGGUAACCUAGGCAAUUCUUCCGGAAACACAUCUGAGAAUUCACAAACUACCGACACUGAUUCAAGUUUCGACUCAGACAUCUCAGUAUUCAACACGUAUGCAAGAUAAGCUUCACACCCUUUUCUCAUGUAUUUUUUAGUAGACAUGUACGAAAUCACCAUAGGCAAUUUAUUUGAUUCAUCUGUUUCAACCCAAAGAAUCUCACCAUUUUCACAUUUCAACUCAAGGGUUUCCUGUCUAUAAUUACCUUGUCAUCAUGUAAUUUCAACUAAUCCAUACCCAGAAUAACAUCAAAAUCAUCAAAUGGCAACAACAUCAAAUUAGCCGGAAAACAAUGACCUUAAAUCAUCAAAGGGCAAUUCUUGCAAACCUUAUCAACUAACACAUAUGUGCCUAAAGGGUUUGACACUUUAAUCACAAAAUCAGUAAGUUCAAUAGGCAAACUCUUACUAGAUACCAAAUUUACACAAACAUAAGAAUGAGUAGACUCGGGAUCAAUCAAUGCAAUAACAUUAAUAUCAUAAAGAGAAAAUGUACCAGUAAUCAGAUCGAGAAAUGACGCAUCCUUACAAGCACGUAUGGCAUAAGCUCUAGCGGGUGCUCUAGCUUCUGGCCUCACAGCUGAAUCUUUCACUACACUUUUACUGCUAGCUCCACUUUCGGCAUUUCUCAGUGGUCUACCUCUGCUGGCAGUAUUACCCGGUCUAACACUCUGAUAUUUUUCUUCCUCAGCCCUCUCAGGACAAUCUUUAAUAUAAUGCUUUUGAGAACCACAUUUAAAACAAGCACGGCUAACCAUAUAACAUUCGUUGGGGUGUCGUCUGCCAUAAUGUUGACAUUCAGGUCUAUUGGAUUUAACAUUACCCACGCUUGCCAUUGAAGUAGCUUGAGUUUUAGAACCCGAAUAUGAUCUCCCAUAGUCUCGGUGUGAAUACCCAGCUGAAACAGUCAAUCAAGGAUUCAUCUCUUUGGACUUCUUUGACUGAGAUUGGAAUGGCUGACUCAUUGGUCUUUUUCUUGUAUCUCGGGCCUCAAUCACAGCUUUUUUCUUUUCUUUGUUCAACUCUUCAGCUUUGUAAGCUCAAUCAACCAGUACCAAUAAUUCUUUUAGCUCUAAGAUUCCAACUAGCAAUCGGAUAUCCUCGUUCAACCCAUCUUCAAAUCUUUUACACAUAAUAGCCUCGGUAGACACACAUUCUUAGGCAUGUUUACUGAGUCUAACAAACUCUCUUUCAUAUUCUGCCACAGACAUUCGGCCCUGCUUUAACUCAAGAAACUCUUUGCAUUUUUGAUCAAUGAACUGUUAGCUUAUGUACUUCUUUCUGAAUUCCUCCUAAAAAAACCCAUGUAACCCUUUCUUUCGGAUCCACGGAUACUAGUGUCUUCUACCAGUGAUAUGCUGAGCCCUUCAAUAAAGAUAUAACACACUUUAAACAUUCUUUAGAAGUACAAGAAAGUUCAUCAAAUACCUUAAUAGAAUUCUCAAGCCAAAACUCUGCUUUCUUAGGAUCAUCAUCUAUAUUAGCCUUGAACUCUUCAGCCCCUUACUUUCAGAUAUUAUCAACUGGAGGCUUAGUCAGUCUUACCAUUUCUGUACCUUGAGGAACUACGGGAACCAGUUGGGGAAUAAGAGGGGGUGGAGGAGGUUGGGCGUUCAGAUUCACCCGAAUAAAUUCUGUGUACCAAUUAUUCAUCAUAUAGAGGAAGGCUUCCCGAGCCCCAUCUCCUUGACUAUGUGUUUCAGAUCUACUUUCAACUGGCGUGGUCUCUUGCGCGAGAGCCGACGCGUUACUAUCUACGUCAUCAGCUACAGCUCGAUCGGGAUCCAUUUACUAUAUGAAAACACAAUUUAAUUUGUCAAGAGUCAUUACACUAUCAUAGUAUAUUUAUGGCAUGUAUAGCUAGACUCACACACACACUAUGUUAGUCUGAGAACUAACUAAAUCAUGGCUCUGAUACCACUAAAUGUAACACCCCUUACCCGUGUCAGACGCCGAGACAGGGUACGAGGUAUUACCGGACUUAAACAUAACCAAUCAUACAAAAUCGAGUCAUAAAAUUUCAUCCAAACUAAAACCUUUCAUAUUUCAUCAUAAAGUCCCUAAUAUGGGCUUACGAGACUCAAUACAUACUUUGAAAGUGGUUCAAGACCAAACCGAGAACUUUUAAAAACUUUGAAUUUUUUUUAAAAAACAAGGGCACACGCCCUGAGCACAUGGCCAUGUGGCCAGCCAUGUGGAUGAAAGCUAGGCUAUUUACUGUUGAGAAUACAAAUUAAAACUGUAUUAUUGAAUCACAAUCUGACUUACAUCACAUAAAAUCAUAGUAUUUAUAAUACAUUUGUUAACCAGCCAUAACUACUAACUAACAAGACUUCUAACUACUACCUACUAACUACCAUAACUGUUUCCCUACUCUAAUAUGCCACCAUUCUCUUCGACUUCUACUAACAACACCUACUAAAUGGACUUUUUUGGACCUAGCUUAAGACAUGAUCUGAAUUUCGUAAACAAUGACACUGAUAGUGGCUUAGUAAACACGUCUACAAUCUACAAAUGCGCUGGAAUGUGACCCACAACAAGCUUUCCAGCUGCAAUUUUCUCACGAACAAAGAAAGGAUCCAACUCUACAUGCUUAAAUUUGGAGUGCAAUACUGGGUUUGUAAAUACAGCAAUAGCUCCUAAGCUAUCACACCGCACUGUAGGUUUUCACAAAGAUGAAACAUGCAGUUCUAACAAAAGUGACUCGAGCCAAACUACUUCAGCAACUGUAUGAGCCAGCCCCCUAUACUCCGCCUCCUCUGUGGACCUUGAGACAAUUGGUUGCUUCUUUGACCCCAUGCAAUAGGGUUACUGCCAAGGAAUACACAAAAACCCGUAGUAAACCUUCGAUCAUCUACAUCCGUACCCCAAUUUGCAUCGGAGUAUCCAACCACAUCCAACGUAGCAGUCUUUGUAAAUUGAAUACCAUAAUCAACAGUGCCUUGAAGAUAUCUGAGAAUGCGUUUGACUGCUCUAAAAUGUUGAUCAAGGGGGCGAUGCAUAAAUUGACAUACCUUGUUCACAGCAAAUGUAAUAUUCAGCCUGGUGAUGACCACAUAUUGAAAAGCACCAACAAUGCUACGAUACUCAGCCUCAUUAUCAAUCACAGAACCAUCAUUGUAAGAUGGUUUGGAAGUGGAAACCAUAGGAGUAGGAGAGCUAUUUGCUUGAUUCAUAUUGGCUUUCUUCAACAAAUCAAUGAUAUACUUUGACUGAUUUAAAAACAAACCAGCAGCAGUGGGGGUUACCUCAAUACCAAGGAAAUAAUAACCAAGAGGCCCCAAAUCCUUUAAAGCAAACUGAGUGUCCAGGGACGAAACAAAUUAUCAAUGCUUUUUUGAUGAUUUCCAGUGACUAUUAUAUCAUCAACGUAAACUAGAACAUACAAGAUCACUCAUUCAGCCUUCUUAACAAAAAGAGAAGCAUCAGACUUAGUAGAAACAAAUUGUGAGCCAAUCAAGAAUUCAUGUAGCUUAGAAAACCAUGCCCGAUGAGCCUGUUUGAGACCGUACAAUACUUUCUUUAGCCUGCACACUAGCAAUCCUUCAUCACUGUAUUGCUCAAAACUAGGUGGUUGUGUCAUAUAGAUCUCUUCAGAGAACUCUCCAUUGAGAAAAGCGUUGUUAAUAUCCACCUGUCGAAGCUGCCAUCCAAAUUUAACAGCUAAGGACAAGACAAUUCAAAUAGUUGUUGGCUUGACAACUAGGCUGAAUGUGUUGUGAAAUCGAUGCCUGCCUCUUGAAGAUAGCCCUUGACAACUAAAUGACCUUUGUAACGAGUGAUAGUACCAUCUGAUUUUCUUUUAAUUUUGAAAAGCCACUUGCAACCCACAACUUUCCUAUCGGUAGGUAAAGGAACCAAGUACCACGUCUGAUUCUUCAUCAAAUCUUCAUACUCCUGUUGUGCUGCAAGAGUCCAUUCUUUGCUGAUGAAAGCCUGUUCAAUUGUAACAGGUUCAGCUGCAUUUAGCUCUGCAGAAAAAAUCCUAAGCUUGAAAACCCUACUUUUGGACCUCGUUUGCAUGGUAUGCAAAUUAACUGGAGAAGCCUGAGCAGGUUGACUAGGAAGACAACCAUUUAGACCAGACGAGAAACUAGAGGUGCUGGAUUCUGACAUGGAGAACUGGAAGAAGGACUGUUAGGGACCAUAUUCAUAGGAGAGCAACGUACUUGUGGGUGCACUUGUAGAGUAUCAGAUCCUAGCAUACUGACAGAAGUGUCUUGAGGUGAUAAAGAUAUAGCUGAAUUUGAAGAACUGACCAGCCCUGAGAUAGGCAUCACAAUAGGAACAACAGACUGUUGACGUUGAAAUUUAGUGAAGGCACGAGCAGACUGUGAAUCACCUAUAAAAUUAGAAUCAACCGCAAAAGGGAAACAACCCUCAUCAAAUAUGACAUGUCUGGAAACAAACACUUUUUGAUUCCCAGCAAGGCACUUGUACCCUUUGUGUACCAUACUGUAGCCAAGAAACACACAAGGCUGAAACCGAAACUGUAACUUGUGAGUAUGAAAUGGUCUGAGAUAUGGAUAGCAUUGACAACCAAAGACUUUCAACUGCUGGUAAUUGGAAUAGUCUUAUAGAGAACCUCAUGAGAUGAUUUGCCAUUGAGAACUGGUGUUGGAAAUCGAUUAAUGAGAUACACCGCACUAGUAAACGCAUGAGUCCAAAAGUAUAAAGGCAUACUAGCCUGAGCCAGUAAGGUCAAGCCAGUAUCGACAAUAUGGCGAUGUUUUCUCUUUACCAACCCAUUUUGUUUUGAAGUGUGGGGACAGGAAACCGAUACUGAAUCCCAAGCUGAGCCAACAUCUUUUGAAACGGACGAUACUCUACUCCCCAGUCUGUUUGAAGAGACCGUAUCUUACAACCAAACUGUACUUCAACAAGUUUCUGAAACUGAAGAAAUUUAGUCACAGCCUCAUAUUUGCUUUUGAUCAAAUGCAACCAAGUGUAUCGUGAGUAAGCAUCCAAAAACGAAAUGUAAUAAAGACAGCCAUCAGAGAUCAUGGGAGCAGGUCCCCAAAGAUCUACAACAAUAAGCUUAAAAGGAGCUGAAUAAACAAUAUUUGAAGGUAAAAAAUGAAGUUUAUGUAAUUUUCCAAGUUGACAAGCAGAGAAACUGAGCUCCAUUUACAAUUUUUUGAUACAACAUUACAACUCUGAAGGAUUGUAGCAACAGUCCUAUGACAAGGAUGUCUAAGGCGCCUAUGCCACAGCUCAAAAACCGAAUCACCAGAAGAAGACACCCCUGACUGUGUCGUAUGAACUGCAACUAGAACAUCAGAAGUGCUGAGAUUUUCAGAAGUAUUAAGAGGCUAAGAAAGAUCAAACUGAUACAUUCCAUUAUGCAUGCGCUCUACUAGUAAUAUGGUCCCUAUCUUGAUGUCCUCCACAAAACAAUGAAGUGGAUCAAAUUCAAAAUAGACGCAGUUGUCACUAGCAAACUGUACAACAGACAUUAGGUUCUUGUAUUCGAGGAACAUGAAACACAUUCUUCAAAUGAAAAAUCCUGUUGGAAUGAAUCAACGACGAGGAACCAAUAUUGUCUACUGGUACAGACAUACCAUUCCCCAUAAAAAGUUUAUUUUUACCUGUAUAUUGAGUCACCUCUCGCAGACCCUUCAAGUCAUUCGUUACAUGGUUGGUGGCACCUGAAUCGGGAAACCAAACAUUAGAUGUCAUAUUAUUCGAAGACAAUUGACCAGAGGUAGAAGCCAUAUUAGCCUGCAAACCAGAGGUUUCCAAAAACCACUUAUGAGUGCAACAACAAGAAGAAGCACAAGGCAGAUUAGGAGACUCCUGGAACUGAUGGAACUAAACUUGCAUGGAUUGAUGACACACACCUUCAAAAGAUUCAUCAAAUCUGUAAUAACAUUUGUGCACAGUGUGUCCAACCCGACCACAAAGUUGGCAUUGAGGUUUAGCAUACAUGAACUUCCUUCCACGACCUCUGCCUCUGAAAUCCCUGGAGCCACCACCUUUAUAGGAUGAUCGAGAACCAUGACCAAAUUAUUUAACCUGCCUAGCAUCAGGCUCAGUAUGCUGAACAACAUUAGCCUGCAAAGACAUACUCGAAACAAGAUCUUGCUGUCGAGCCUCAUAAUCAGUCAGUAUUUCUGUAAGAUAAUCAAGAGAAACAUUCAUUGCUGAUGCUACAAUGCGUAUUGACUCAUAUUCCACAGGUAAACCAGUAAGAAUGAUACUGAUCUGUUCUUGCUCAGAAAUAUUAGUGCCAGCAGCAAGUAAAGUAUCGCACUGACCUUGAAUCUUGGCUAGAUAUUCCUGAAUAGACAACUGACCUUUCUUCUAUGAAUAUAAUAAAUUUUUGAGAGUCGACACUGUUAAAGAAAAUUUAGCAGCAAACCUUCUAAGAAUAGUACUCCAUACAUCAAAACUUGAACCAGCCCCAGUAAGAUGAACCAGAAUACUAUCAAAAAUGGUGGACAACAGCCAAGAAGCCAAUAGCUUGUCUUGUUGCUUAUGAAAGACAAAAUCAGGAUUAGUAACAGGAGAGCCAUUACUGUCAAGAACAGACUGUGGAGGAACCUGAACCGUUUCAAGAACAAAUUUAUGCAAACCAUAUCCUUCAAGAAUUAACAAGAUUUGUUGUUUCCAUAAAAGAAAAUUAUUAACAGUAAGUUUCACAGUGUCAUGUUUAGGAAACUGAUGAAGUUUGCGCGAGGAAGCAUAUCCAUGAUCAGGAGAAGAAGCAACUACAGGUAUGACCGUGUGAGCAGACUGAUGAUCACCAUCAUUACCCGAUACUGCAUCUGUUGCCAUAAUCGAAAGAAAAAAAUUAUAGCUGUGAUACCAUGUUGAGAAUACAAACUAAAACUGUAUUAUUGAAUCACAAUCUGACUUACAUCACAUAAAAUCAUAGUAUUUAUAAUACAUUUGUUAACCAACCAUAACUACUAACUGACAAGACUUCUAACUACUACCUACUAACUACCAUAACUGUUUCCAUACUCUAAUAUUUACCAAGUCUUUUUCCAUCCUAACAUUUACACACUUAUACCAAAUUUAUCAACACACAGCAUGACAUUAUCAUAAAAGUACAACUUAACCAAUAAUAGCCUACAUCAAUGGCCUUCUACAAAAUGAACUAUCAAAUAACAUAGGCCAACAUUUUAGGUCAAAUCAAUUAUGACACAUAAAAAAAUAAUCAAAUCCUCUAUACAUUCCAUAAUUCAUAAUAUUCCUUUCAAAAUACCAAAAGAGUGUUGAAAGUGUGGAUGGAUCUCCGACGAUCUCCGUACCCUGAGCUAGCUUGGUGACACUAUAAGAUAAGGGAAAGAAAAUGGAGUAAGCAUAUAACUUAAUAAGUUGGUAUGUAAAUAAUAAAAAAUUUAUUAACAUGCUUUUAUCAAUCCUCAUAAUGUGUUCUCAAGAUAAUACAAUCAUAUUUGCACAUAGUUUCACUAUUCACUCAUGUUCAUAUCAAGCUGUCUACGCGAGUCAUAGUCAAUAAAUUAUUUGUAUCUUAAGCUUUGGAACUUCAAAUUAAGAUCCACUAAAUUUCUCUGAAACUAGACUCACAUAUAUUCUUACCAUAAAAUUUUCAGAAUUUAUGGUUUAGCCAAUAAGUAAAGUUUAUUCUUUAAAGUCAUCCAUGUUCUGCUGUCUAACAGUUUUGACCCUUCUUCACUAAAAAUUAAUUAUCACCUCAUAUGGGAUUCAGAUGAUGUUUCCGUUUGUUUCUAUUGAAAAUAAACUCAUUAAGAAUUUUAAACAUAUAAAUUCUAACCCAUAAUUAUUUUUAUAUAAUUUUUAAUGAGUUUCCAAAAUUAGAACAGGGGAUUCCAAAAUCACUCUGACCCUGUCUCAUAAAAUUUCAAAUAUCUCAUAAUAUGAAAUUCUUUUGCUUACACCGUUUAUUCUAUGUAAAACUAGACUCAAUAAACUUUAAUUUCAUAUCUUAUUAAACCUCUAAUUCGAUUUUCAAAAUUUUUGGUAAUUUUUCAAACUUAUACAACGGCUGCUAUCCAAAACUAUUUUAUUACUAAUUUUACUCUUUCAUGUUUUCUUUAAAUUAACUUUCAUUUACACACACAUAACACCAAGCAUGUCCAUAGCUAGCCAUUCCAAUAGCUAGUCAUUAUCAAAUAUUUACAAGUCUUCAUAGUCAUACUUGCUCCACCUCAACCUUACCAAAAUUCGAUCACAUAUCGAGCACAUUGCUCAUGAAUAUAUAUACACAUGUACCUACACUCAUUUAUCACAUAAUCACAAUCAUUUACACUUAGUAAUUUCCCGUUGAACACAUCAGAAUAUUAAAGGAUACAUCGAAAAUAUUGCACAUAGUGCCAUACUUGUAGCCAAAGCUACUUCACAUCACUUAUCACACAUAGACUCAUUCUCGAGCUAUUCACAUUCACGGGUCUACUCAUACAAGCUGUCAGUCAUUCGUAACUACUCAGUGCUACUCACACAAGCUGUCAGGUAUCUACAACACAUAUCGGAUUACCCAGUCACUGGUAGAACUUAUUAGACCAGCACCCGGAUUCACUUAGUCACAAUUUCACAUAGUUUUCACAUAGGUUCUUAGUGACAUGUCACUUGUAUCCUAUUCUAUUCUUAAGGUUAAACCGAGAAAUUUUCACUUGUCGAUAUUUUGUAAAUUUACAUCAAAUGUUCAGCCACAUUUCAUUAAAUAUAUCAAAAUAUAAAAGCGUAAGUAAAAAUGAUGCAUUAUUUACAUACAAACUUACCUCGGUCCAAAAUAUCAAAUGUUUGCGUCUUAGUCCACAACCUUACCUUUUCCCCGGUCAAUGUUAAUUUCUCGUCUUUCUUGAUCUAUAAUAACACAUUUAACUCAUUUAAUACACACAUUUUCAAUUCAGCCCCAAAAACACCUUAUGAUCACAUAUUUAUAAUUUUUCUCAUUACUCAAGCCUAGCCGAUUCAUAUUCCCUCUUAUAGCAUCCCGCAAUUUUCACUAAAUCACAUUUUUUCUUUUUUACACAUAUUUUACAACUUUUACAAAUAAGUCCUUUUAUGCAAUUUCAUUAAAAAUCACUUAGUAAAAGUUGUUUAUUACACUUUAAACUUUCAUAUUCUACAAUAAAACAUCAAAACACAUGAAAUUCAUCAAUGGGUAAAUUUUUAAAUACAAACCCUAGCUCAAAAUAAUGGUAGAAAUAGCUAAACCGAGCUACGAGGAUCUUAAAAAUGUAAAGAACAUUAAAAACGGGGCUAAAAUGAACUUACAAUCAAGCUUGGAAGCUUGAAAAAUCCUAGCUAUGUCUUCCUCAUGUGAAAUUGGGCCAAUGGGUUGAAGAUGAGCAAAAAUUGACUUUUAAUUUGGCUUAUUAAUUCAUUUAAUCACCAAAUUACUAAAAUGCCCUUAACUUAAAAAUAUUCUAUUUCACCUAUUUCAUGUCCAUUUUUGUCCAAAAAAUUAACCAAUGGUAUAAUUACCUUUUAAGGACCUCCAAUUUAAAAUUUCAUAGCAAUUAUACACCUUUAGCUUCUAGAACUCAAGUUUUACACUUUUUUACAAUUUAGUCCUUUCAACUAAAUUGAGUGCCCAAACGCCAAAAUUUUCGAACGAAAUUUUUGCAAAAUCAUUCUAUACAUCUGUAGAUCAUAAAAAUAUAAUAAUAUUAAAUUUUUUCUCGUUGGAUUAGUGGCCCCAAAUCCACUGUUCCGACUUGGCCUAAGAUCUAGCAAAAAUGCUCGACUAUUGUUGCCACCCGAGCUAGGGGUUUAUCGAAAACAUGCAGUCCCAAAGAAAAGUUCCUCGUGGUGUUUGCUGUCUCUGGAUUGUAUCUAAUGUCCAAAAACCAGCCGCGAGAUAGCCCUUAAACUAGGCUCACUAUCUCCCUGAUCAUCAACACCAUAUUUCGGCCAUCGCUUUCCACCGUCAGUUUCCAAAUUCUCGCCCACAUCUUAGAUGUUACGAGAGAAGAAUAAUUAUGAAUCCAAAACAUAAUGUAUUUUUUAUGUAAUAUAUAUAAGUUUAUUUUUUAAAAAUGGUUAUGAAUGAUUGAGUGCGAGGCGAACUGCGAGAGGAUAGCAAAGGGAGUUCGCGGACCCAACUUACAAGGCAGGCUCGCAAAUCUAGCUAGCACGAACUAAGGGAAGGCCACAGUCUUAGUUCACAUGUGUCCAAGGAGCUCGUAUAAGGGUGAUUGCGUGCUUCGUAGGCAACAGUGAAACUCGUGUCUAGUAGGCCUGAAGUCCGCACGGAAUAUCAAUUCUAGGAAUGACGAAGUCAAGACAAAACAAUGGGGUCAUAUCGUGAGUUGUAAUAACAUGUAUAAAUAUUCGAAUACUCCCAUUAAUAAGACAAGAGACAAAAUUACUCAACAAUUGGUGCGGUAAGCAUGGAUCGAACACACGACCUUCAAAUGACCGAAGAAGAUCAACGAUCCAGAUUCAAGCAGAUGGAAACAGUUCAAUUUUCAACGGUUAGAUACAUGCACCCAAAACUCAUUCGUACAUGUGGAAAAAUAGCUGUUGUGCAUCACAGCUCAUAGUGUACCCAACAAGCUGUAUUUAAACUCGAUGUGAUGGAUUUAAGAAGUGACACUUUGUAACCCUCAUUAGACCCACUAAAGGGGGGACUAUUGUUAUACAUCAGUGAUCACCAAUCUGAGUCCUAGAUAAGAUCUGAAUCACCUACUCGUGACCUGGAUAGGUCCCACCAGAUGAUUGAGUGCGAGGUGAACCGCAAGAGGACAGUAAAGAGAGUUCGCGAACCUAGAUCACAUAGCAUGCUCGUAGAUCUAGCUCGCACAAACCAAGAGAAUGCCACGAUCUUAGUUCACAUGCUUCCAAGGAGCUUGUAGAAGGGGGACCGCGUGCUCCGCGGGCAACCUAGAGUCAAACAUGUGUUAGCGGGCUUGAAGUCCGUACGGAAUGUCAGUACUAGGAAUGGCGGAGUCAAGACAAAACAGUGGGGUCAUAUCGUGAACUGUAAUAACAUGUAUAAAUACUCGAAUACUCCCAUUAGUAAGACAAGAUACAAAAAUACUCAACACUAAUUAAUAAUAUAUGAUGCUUUAUUAGUUAAACUUUUAAAAGAUAUAACCAAAUUUAAAAAAUUCAGAUUAGUAUAAAAAAGUAUUUUUGACAUUAUUUAAUUACUAUAAUUUGAAAAUGAAAUCACAUUUAUUUAAUUAAAAUAUUUAAUUAUGAAAAACUUUGGGUUUCAUUUUUUUAAAUUUAUUCAAUGAUUCUAUAGAUUUAAAUUUUUAUUAAUUAAUAAAAUAUUAUACUAUUUUUAAAUAGAAUUUUUAAAAGAUAUUAUCAAAUUAAUUAAUUUCACAUCAAUAUACUAUUUCACUCAUUAAUAGUUUAAUCAAUAUUACUUUUUUAUUAUCUCAUAAUAAUUAUUAAUAUGCUAAUAAAUUAUUUUUAACGACUAUUUUGUAAUAUAUGAACAAUAAAAUGUAUUCUCAUUAGUUCCAAAAUUUCUUCAAACUCAUAUUUUUUUAUAUAUUACAGAUUACAAAUAAAAAAAUAAUUAUAUCAUAUUAUAAUAAAAUCUAAUUAUGUAUUUUUUGAAAAAUAACUCUUUAUGUAUUUUAACUUUUAAAAACCUUGUUGCACGUAUGAUAACAUCAUAUAACCUUUUUGUUUGUUAAACAUAGAGUUAAUGAAAACAUUAGUACUUGAACUUGAUUAAUUGGCUCAAAUUGAUAUCAAAGUUUUAAUUGGAUCAACUUGGUACUUUUGAUUGACUUUUAUCGACACACAUUUUGUCCUAAUUUUUUAAAAUCGUUAUCAUUUUCUUGAUUAGGCAUUGUAGGGAAUUAACUCGUGUAUGCAGCAAACAAGUAAAUGAAGUGAAAUUAAAAAGAUCAAACAUGCAAAUUUUACGUGGAAAAACUCUUCAAAAGAGGAUAAAAAAUCACAGACAAAAAGAGAUUUCACUAUAAUAAAGGAGAGUACAAAAGAUGGUGAGAAUCAAAGGAAAACUCAAAGCCCCAAAAGAAAAACCUUUCAAAAUAAAGAACAAAAUUCUCUCAAUCUAAAUAUUUCUAUUAUGUAAAAGCUAGAGUAACUAAGGCCUAUUUAUAGGCUGAAAUUCGUUGCAUAUAUGAUUAGAAUAUCCCUAGGUUAAUCAGAGUUUAAGUGGGAAUCUAAAACAGAGUUUAAUUGAGAGAAGAAAGCCAAGAAACUUUAUGUGCACGUUGCCAAGUCGUGACGUGGAAUUUACGUUGUUGGGACGAGGGGGCGUUGCGUUUUCAAGACGAAGGCUCUCUUCUCAUCGUGACAACGGCUAUUCGUCGGGACGAAGAAACUUCCUUGUUGUGAUGUCACACACUGUUUGGCCCGAAAAUGUAAGGCAUAACUUCACAAAUGAUCUUCUACACUAUUUUCGUACUACAAAUUGUUUCGAGUGUGGGCUCGAACCUAUUGAAUAGAAACACAGAACUAGAAAAUUGUUUUCUCUCUUCUAUUUGGGGUGAAAACAGAAAUUCCCUCUUCUUAAUAGAAACCGAUAGAAUUAUUAUUCUCGAAAAAUAUAUUUGAUAGUUGAGAAUAAAUUCUCUUUAUUCUUCGGUAGCGUAACAAUCUCUUAAAGUUGUGUAUUAUGUCUUACUGGUACCAACUAUUUAUAAGAAAAAAAUGUAGAACUUUUGUUGAGCUGUAGUGGUUUAUUUCAAAUAGAAAAACAACUUCCUACUUAGAGUAGGAGUGGGGUGGACAACACACCCUAGUAUUCCUACUAAGGUUGCUGCCCCCUUCAUGUUAUAUGAGGGGUUUUGGGCCUCUCUCACAUCGGGUCCAAUUACAAGUACUUCUUAGGCUUUUUGACCUAGUACUCUGUAAUGUGAUCCAACCCGAUUCAGUUUUUUUAUUUCCUAAAAUAAACUUUAAUAUUCUAUAUUAAACAAUUUUCUCAUCCCUAUUUUGCUCCCAUUAAAAUUUUGAUAAUUUGACCCUCAGUAAAAUUUUUAACGAUUCUACCCUGGAUAAAAUUUUUGACGAUUUUACCCUUGGUAUAAUUUCGAGAAAAUAUGUUCAAUAUUUCAUAACUCAACAUGUUCACUAUGACCGAAUGAUUUAUUUUCAUUUUCAGGCUUCAAAACAGUAAAAAUAUAAACUCAUUCUUCUAAUCAUUUUGAAGUAAUCCAUAUAGAAUUGCAAAUGGAUAAUUUCCAUUUCCAUUUAUGGAAACCUACAUUUAUUUCCAAAAUAAUUCCAUUUUUUCCAUUUUGAAAAAAACCAUAAUUGUUGUUGAAUGUUUUCCAUUUCUCUUUUCCUAUUCAUUAUUUUCAUUUUUAUUCAAACUCGCAAUUCAUUUAUGGUUUCAACGAGCUAUCGAAGGGAUUGAUUGGGAAUAUGUAAUUAGGGCUCAAAUGAUUUAUAAUUAAGUUUCAAAUUUUUGCCUAUUAAUUAUAAACUCAUUUAGCCACGAAGUCAUUCCAUUAUAGUAUCGUGACUGAGCUCUCCCCAACAACAUACCAUUACGAAAGCAACUACUUAGUACUCGUCCAAUCACCUUGUCAUAAGUGUGUUACCUUCAUAGGAUAUCCUUGAUCUCUUUGGGAUAAAUUUCAUUCUCCCAGUAUGAUUCUAUUUUAUCUUAUGGUAAGCAUUACAUCUUCCUUCAUGAAAAGUAAAUUACUAUCAAAUAAUAAUUAAGUCAUUCAUCAUAAAGACAAAGACAAAAGACUCAUGGUCAUGUUUACUUUUCAUCAACCAUGUAAUGUCAAUGAGAGGAUAUCAUUUACCCAUGUCUCGGGCUAUGAAUUUCACUAUUGUGAAUGACGCUACAUACUGCAGAAGUCGUACACCCAAUGCACUAGCUUUCAAUUCCUUUAUCUAUUCGAACUCAGGUUUUUACUUACAUCAAAGUGUACAAGUCACACAUACAUAGUCCUUGAUCCACUUAAUAUUUAGGUAUGUCACACUAUGAGUGUCACAAGUGAAUAAAUCCAUAAACGAAUUCAAGAUCUAUUUUGCUUAGGUCUUGUCUGAUCUACUGUCAGUCCAAUUAGUCACAUCUAUGUCUCUAUCUUCUGGGAGUCAUCCGCUUUGGUGCCCAAGAUAAUAUCUCUCCUCAAUUGGACUUAAUAUACGUCAUAUUAACCUUCAAUCGAUUUUUUCAUUUAUGAUUAGACUAAAGACAUGUUUAGGUUCGUCUAUUAAUACAAGCUAUCUUUUCGUAUUACGAUCCGACCACGUAAUACCGCUUAGUAUUAGUUGAAUAGUAGACAACCAAUAAGCAACAUUUGCUUACAUUUUGCUUUUGCAUGCAAAAAUCAUUUAAGGACAAUAAUAAAAAGUAUUACUAUAAUUUAUAAAUAAUUUUAUUAACCAAUCUAUUCAAAAAAAUUACAAGUGUACUUAGACGAAAAUACUACAUUUAGGGCACCUAAUCCAAUAAUAAGCUCUAAUUCCUCUACUCAUCUUCACCCAAAUAACCUGUUUCACAUAACAUUAUAUAGAAAAAUAAGUACUCAUUAUCCAAAUUAAAAUAACGACACUUGAACUUAUUUGCUUUGUUGGAUUGAUUUUUGAACUUCAAAGUUUUAACAUCAAUAAUGGCAUCCUUAUGAAAACUUUCUUAUGAAAACAAUCUACUCGAAAUUUAACAAUGAAAACCUCUACAAAGAAUGCCUUCAUUUUAUAAGAAAUUCUGCCAAUGAAUAUGAAACAUAAUUUUAAAAUGUUGACAUGACAAGUCAAAAAAAUGCUUCUAGCAAGAAGUGUUUUUCUAAAAAGUUUUUAAAGAUAAUAUUAUUAUCUGCCACAGAAAAGAUUAGAUGGGAUGUGUGAAUUUUAUCUUGGGAUUUCUAGGUGUAUGGUUAGGGUUUAGGGUUGGGGUUGAGUCAUGAUUUUAAGAAACAUGUCGUGGGAGACGCAUUUAGUAUUCUCUCUAAAAAAGACUUAUUUUCUUAAAUUUUGAGAAAAAUGACUUAAAAUCCUAAUUAAUUUUUGUUUAAAAUCGACAUAUUUGCCUGAUUCUCCCUAUUUACUUACUUCAAUAAAUUGAAGUUGUAAAGACCAAAGAACAAAACAACCAACAAUGAAUAUGUUAAUGAUGAAUAAGUUAAUAUCUAAAAGACAAAUAAAAGAAAAGCUAAUUUUGUCUUAGCAUUUUUUUUUUACUUUCCAUCCAUAUGCGAAAGUAAUUUUCUCUUUCUUAUUAAGGGAAUCAAAUUUUUUAUUAUUUGCAGGAAAGUGACUCUCAAGGAAAAGGAAAAUAAACUAAUUUUUUCAUAUCAAAUGCUAGAAUCAUAUUUCAACCAAUUAAAUUUCUUGGAAAAUAAUAACUUCCUAUCAUACCAAGCAGCUUUUAAGUGAUGAGUAACUCUUAUUUACUUAUCAUUUUCUACACUUUUUAAUAGAAAUAUUAUAUUAUUUAUGUUUUAUUAUGGAAAAAUUUAAAAGAAUAAAUUAUUGAAAAUAUUAAAUUUCAACUAAUUUAAGUUACAAAAAUACAUGAAAUUUGAACUUCAAGUUAUAUUCCAUUAAUCAAGUGUUCAUCUUCUCUUUGAGUUGAAAUUAUAAUUAUAUAAAAGAAUAUGAAAUGUAAUUUAUAAAAUAAAUAUAGCAAUUAGUUAUAAUUAUGUGUAAAAUGAGACAAAAAUGAGUGUUUUCCCAAGUAGACUUUAUUUAUUUAUUCAUAAUUUAAAAUAAAGAAAAAGAGUCGAAAAUAUUCCAACACGUGAUGCGAUUAAUGUAAUCAUCCAAAGCACGCACAUCUCAUUAUUACUAUUUUCCUUUUCCACCUCUACUCGCGAGUGGUAGGUACGAGGACCCACCUAUGUGCGUUUACCUUACGAAACAAAUAUUUCGUUAUAAACAGAUUUCUGGUAAUUUAAAUUAAAAAUUAAAAAUGCAAUAAUGCAGUUAUGAACCGACCAAUCCGGUUCAUUUAAUACCUAUGUGCUCAUCAUUUCAACCAAAACAAACUUUCUUUUCAAUCCAAAUCUUCAUUUUAAAUUGGAAUUUAUACCCAAACCAAAUAUUUUAGCUUUUGAAAAUUUGAUUUUUAAUAAAAUUACCCUCUUUAUCUUCCAUUAAGGCCUUGUUUAGUAUUACUUAAAAUAAUAAUUUUAGCUUAAAAAGUACUUUAAAAACAAUUAUGCUAAAUAAACUGCUUUUAACUGAAAUUUUUUAUUUUUAAAAAGGAGAAGCUAAAAUUUUUAUUUUUUUCUACCAAAAGUACUUUUAGUGCUUAAUUACUUUUUCAUCUAUCCAACAACAUGAUACUUUCCCUUUUUCUUUUUGGUGCUUAAUUACAAAUGUGUUAAAAUCAUUAAUUAAAAAUAAAAAAUUAUUAUUUAAAAUAAUACAAAUGUGUUAACAUCUAAUUACAAAUAUUUAAUAAUUAUACUUAAUUAUUUAAAAUAUAGUUUAUAUAUUCUAAUUAAAUUUUAUAAAUAAUUAAUAUUUAUUGCUUAAAAAUAUUUAAAAUUUAUAUUUCAUAUAUUAAAAUAUUAACAAGUUAUAAUAAAUUAUUUUUUAUAUUCUUACUAAAAUAUAACAAUAUUAACUAAUUUGAAAAUUAUUUAAAUACAUAUUUAUACUUGUUAAUACCAUAUCUAAAAUGGACAUUUUAUUUCUUAAAAGUACUUUUUGACAGCAACGCUAAACAUUCAAAUUUUAAACCAAACUUUUUAAAAGUAUUUCUCAAAAGUACUUUUCCACAAUACUUUUUAAAAGCAUUUUUCAAAAGUAAUAUUAGAUUGUCCUAAGUCUUCCACUUUACAACAAAAUGUUUAAAAUUGUCAUUUUAUCUUCUUGAAAGCACUUUUUAACAACAAUAAUAAAGACUAUCAAAAUUUUCAAAAGCCCUUUUUAAAAUAUUUUUUUUCAUAGCACUUUUGAACCUCAAUGGUAAACUAGUAUUAAAUGUCAAAUUAUCCACAUCGAGUUCAAAUCUUGUAGAUAGAAAACUAAUAUUGAAAUACUUAUUUCUCUACGUCUAAGGAUUAAACCCAAUUUGACUUUGAACUUAGUCGAGGCUCAAUGUGACUACUAAUUAAAAUAUGUUUUUUUGUAUCUUUUUAUUAUGAUCUCAUUUGAGAUUUAAUUUUUAUAUUUUAAUUUAAAACAAUUUAGUUUCUCUAUUUUUAUAAUGUUAUUAAUAAUUAGUCUAUAACGAUAAUAAAAUUAAUUAUUUUGGUUAAAUUAAAAAAAAAUCACCCUUUCAACUCAUCAUGUUGACAUGUCUUGACUUAUAUUAAGUGAUGGUUAAAUUUUUUGUUAAACACCCAUUUAAUAUAAGUUUAAACCGUGUGACCCCCAUCCCAAACCAAAUAUUGUAUAUAAAAAAAAACUCAUCAUGUUGACAUGAAUUUUUUUGUUAAGACAAGUACUUUCAAGAAAAUUUUAUACCAUCAUUUAAAAUUGAAUAGAUAACGAUGUUAAUUCUUGGAUUAACUAAUAACAUUAUAGAAAUAGAUUAAUCACAUUAUGUCAAAUUAAAAUACUUUAAGUUAACAAGUUCAAGUUACACUUACACCUAUUCAUGGGUCAAGUUAUCCGCCCAGGCCCGAAGGCUUGCCCAAAAUUUGGGACGGUUUGGAUAAAAAUAUUAGGCCGAAAAAUGGGCUUGGGCAAAAUAAUUAGGCCCGUUUAAAAUAUGGGUCGGGUUCAAGCUUGAACAUUCAAGGUCUGAGCUCGGCCUGACCCAUUUUUAAUUUUAUAACACUUUAUAUUAUGUUAUUUUUAUAUAUUAUGUAAUUUAGAACACAUUAAUAAAAUAAACUUAUACUAAAUAUAUAAUACUACUAUAAUGUAAAUAUUAAAAUAAUGUUAAGAUGACUGUAAAAUAUAUAAAUUUAUUAAAUAUUAAUAUAAUAUAAUAUAAAUACUUUUUCAAAAAAUUAAAAAAUAAUAUGAGCGGGCCUAAAAUGGGCUUGGGUUAGUCUUUCGCAAAUAUGGACAGGUUUGGGCAAAAUUUUAAGCCCAUAUUUUGGGUUGGGUCGAGCUUAGGCAAGCAUAAUGUAUGUUAAUAUCUUGCUUAGGCCCGGCCCGACUCGAACUAACCCAUGAGCACCUUUAGUUACACUAUACAUAAAUGUGUGAGUUUUGUAACGCCUUCAACCCGAUCCGAUUAACCGGAUCUGGAUCUUGGGCAGUACCACACAAUUAUAGACACAAAGCCUAACUUACUUUUAACAUUUACAGAUAAUGACAACUUACUUAACUACAAAUUUCAAACUAAAAUACAUGAGUAAUACAAUGAGUAAAUACAAAUAUAACACGAGGUAAUUAAAUUACAAUGAUAUCCAAAUUGAAACUCUAAUUUAUUACAGGUACCCCAAAUUGAAUUUCUAAGGAGUAUUAUUGUCUUUGAACAUGCCGCCAACUUGCUCUGUAUGCAUAACAGCCUAAUGCACCACUCUUAAGGCGUAGCCCUAACAUCAUCCCUCCUAUCUCAAACUCAUAUCAAUUCACUUGUAACAAAAUACACACCCAUAUAAGUUUGUAAGAACUUAGUGAGGAAAACAUCAUUUACCUGUGUCAUUUAUGCAUAUCUUAGCUGGUAACUUAUUUAGAUAAUCAUAUCGUUCUGAACCUUCAACUUAGUUACUGACGAAUACUCUCUCAAUUUCUAUUCUCAUUUAUAUGUCAAAUAUCAUAUCUUGUUUAAAGCUUAUUUCUUACCCAUCAUCUUUGAUAUGCCACUUACCUUUUUCAAUCUGAUCUUUCAUAAGUCUUUACUCGUUUCCUUUACAGAGGUCCAUAUGAUCGAAUCAUGAUUACUAUUGUAUAUGUAACUUUAAGCCAUUGUUUCCUUUACAAGCACAUUCCUUCUGAUAUAUAGUUAGAAAAAUCAUUAUUCAGAAUACAUUUUUUUUACGUUUAUCCAUCACUUCUUCUAUAUCUCAUCACUUCAUUAUUCAUAGUCGAGUCAUGGUCUUGUAUAACACUUUAUCGUAACCUAUAGAGACACUGUACCUUACUAAUAUUUCUAACCACACUGAACGCGCCAAAGUAAUUUAAUAUAGAAUUUGCCAAGAAUCAUUCCUUUAGGUUAUGCCAUUGCGAGCCUCACUAGAAUACGCCACAAAGACACUGCUUUUAGAUUUCGCCAUGUACAUCGUUCUUUCAGGUUUUCACCAUAAAGGCUAUCAAGUUAGAAUUUGUUUCACAAGCUAUUAAUUCAUUGUUUGCCACAAGGGCGGUUUUUAAAAUUGAGCCACGAAGACGUUUCUUAAGGAGUUUGCCACAAAUACAUUCCUUUCAUAUUCCACCACAAAAGUUAUCUUUCAUAUUAUACCACAAAGGCUUUUAUUGCAGGGUUCACCAUAAAGGUGUUCCUUUCAUAUUGCGCCACAUAGGAAUUUCUUUCUUGAUAUGUUUACGAAAUGGAUUUGCUUAAACUCACAUUAUGUGAGGUUUGCCAUCAUUGUCCCGGGACACGCAGAGAACCCCAUUAGGUAAUCACCGUCCUUUACUUCAUUCCGAAAGGUGCCAGGACUAUGGACUUUUCCUUCAAUAUUCAUAUCAGAGAUAAUGUUUUUAGUCCCAAUGGACCCCUUUAGACUCCAUCGUGGUGAACAAACACAGACUCUCUUGACAGAUCCUUCAUGCAUUGACACGAUUCACCUUCAUUUUUAACUCCACAACUUUCUCUUAAUAGAGCAUAUCCAUAGCAUACAUCUAAGACACACAUAUACAACCAAAACCACUUCUCAUAUUCCAUAUCAUAACAUGCAUUCAAUCAUAUAGUUACAUGACCAUCAUACUAUACUUUUUUAGCUUCGAUUUCACCGUUCAAUCAGUUUCUAUAGAGAUAUCUCAGGUGAACAGUAUACAUGCAAGAGUCGGUGUAGAGACUCACCUAACAACCAUGAACAUCUUGAACUUUAGAUCUAACAAGGAAUUGCAACAACCACUGCUUAUAAAUUAGAAGAACACCAUUAAAACUCAUUUGUAACCUUUACCAUCAUCACAAACCUAGAUAACCCUUAUAGUAAGCCUUAAUUCUUCAACUUACUAUUCAUGCACUCUUACAGACCUACCAUUUCAUAGCACAACAUAAAGAGUCAUAAAACUUACCUUGACAAGGAGCAAUCAUUGAUAAAAUACGGGAUCUCAACUUUAGCUUAGAGAAAUGCCUUUGGUUCCUCAUGCCUCAAAUGAUCUUGCCUUAGAAGAAAGAAGAAGAGAACUCCCAUUUCCCAAACUUGAAUAUCUAUUAUUAUAAUCUAAGUUCUUAUUGGAACUUGAAAAAUGUCACAUCAUUACUGAAUUGUCUUAUCAAAUGUCUACAACUUUCGAGAAACCUAAUUGAGUAUUCCCUUAUCUUUUAAUUAUUCUGGUUCACAUUCAGUUGGUUCCUAACUAGCUUACCUUGCAACUUAACUUGCACAGUACCAUAGUUAACGGGGCACUGUCCCUAGGGUGAACUCAUAUUCUCAGUACCAAUUUUAUUUGGCCGCUGAUCUUAGUCCAACUAACAUAGCCACCUAGCAAGAAACUUUAUUAACUUAACCACAUAACUGUACACACCCGCUCUAUACGCCGAAAGAUGCACUUGGGCGAAGCCUACUCCGCCAAUCAUACUUCCUUAGGACUAUGCAUCAAACCUUAUACCCGCCAGAACCGGGGUGUUACAAGUUCAAUGUUUAUAAUAAUUAAUUUUAUUUUCAAAGCAUAAAAAGGAACAAAUUCAACCAUUAAAAAUUGCAACAUAGAUUAAAUUAAUUAAAAAAUAGAUUUUUUUUCUAAGUUUCUUAUCUUUCAUUUAUUUAUGAAUGAUAAAAUAGAAAAAAAUUAAAUUCACUAUUAUUAUAUAAAAUAAUCGUUUAAUAUUUUAUUUAUUUUUAUUUGAAUAAUUCAAGUCAUAAACUUUAUUUAGUCUAAUAAUAAUGAUAAUAACAAUAUAUAAAAGCAUGAAUUUGAUUUUUUUUAAAUUUGGCGAGAAUAUUUUUAUUUUUCAUCAUAUUACUAUUUUCAUAUUUUUAAAAAAAUUUAAAUUAAAAUAGAAGUUGUGAUAAUUAUACAUUUAAAGAUAAUUAUAAUAUAAUUUACUAUUGUUAGUUAAAAAUGUUAUAUACUAAUUUUAAAAUAGAGUUAUUACUUGAAUAGAACUCUAAGCAUAAAAUAUAGGAAAAAAAGUUAAACACAAUUAUUGGCAAUUAUUAAUUAAAAAAGUUGACUAAAAAAGGAGUUAGCUAAUUUUAUUAAUGUAAAAUCAAGAUAUUACUGAAUAUUAUGUUAAUUAGUUUUUUUUGAAUAAUGUUACUUUGCAUUAAUUACAUAAAUAAAGUUAUAUUAUAUUUUAAAUAUGUUAAAAAUAAUUUAAUUAUGAUUCGAAAUUUUCUAUUAUAAUAUUUGAAUUGAUAAGUUAAUAUAUUUUUAAUUAUAUUCAAUAAUUCAAAUAAGAAAUAUUGUUUUACAUUAAUUACCGCAAUUAGGAAUACAAUAUUUAAAAAAAAUGAUCAAAUAUUAAACGCGUAAAAUUAAACACAACCAUGUGGCAUUAGUAGCUAGUAUAUAUAAAACUAUAGGUUUGGAAAAACUUUUGAACUGAUAAGUAUACCAUUUACUGUUCAUUAUAUUAUUGAAUUAGCAUUAAAAUAAUAUUUUAUUAGUAUAUAAUUGAUUAUUAUUAGAUAAUAAUAAGAGUGAUAUUAAUUAAAUUUUAAUUUAUUGAAUAUAAUUGGAUAAAUUAAAAAUAAUAAAAAUAUACACAGAUAUUGUAUACAUUAUUAAUUAUUAUAUAAUAAUAACUAAAGUAAUCUAAUCAUGUAUGUUGUUUUCUUAAAAAAGAAGAAGUUAUUAUCACUUAUUUAGUGUUAUAUACAAACUAAACUAAGAUUUAGCAAAUAAAUAAAUGCAUUAGUGAGUCAUUUUCAUUUAAGUAGUAUUAUUUAUUGUUUUAUUCUCACUUUAGGGAAAACAAGGUUAUUCAAAAUUUGAAUUUUAGAUUUAUAUUUAAUUUUUACCUUGUAGAAACUUUUUUAUGUUUUUAUCUAAGUCGUUUGUUUCUUUUCUUUUAUAUUUUGCUCGGUAGUAGUGUUAGUUUUUAAGCUAGUUACUGUCUGUCUUUUUCUCCUUUCCAUUAAUUUUUUCUUUCUUUUUUCUUGUCUUUUACUUCACGUGCUUCUCUCUUUUCAGUUUGUAAAUUUAUUUUGUGGAUAUCUUUGCUUGUUUCACAAGUUGUGAUGGACAAAUUACGAUACCUGUCGUCGUUGAAAUUUCACCAACCAACAAUAGUUUCUCUUUAAAAGUAUGUGACUCUUUGUUGGCUUCUUAAUCUAUUUUGUUUUGAGAGUAUUUAAGAAUAAUAAAUUAUUUCACGAGUCGGUUUGGACUUUAUUGUUUUAAUUAUAUAUAUAUUUGUUUGUUUUCCAUUGUUUAAAAAGUUUACUUUUAUAAAUUUUUGUCUGCUCUUGUAGCACAUUUCUUAGUCUUACUCAUGCAUGUAGUCUUUGCUUUUGCAAGUGAUUUUAGAGAUUGUUUUGUCACCGUCUUAUCCAGUUUGGUGGAUGCUCGGUUCUUUUGUCAAUUUUUACUCGCCACUUUGGGCCAUUCAGGGUUGAUUUCUUUAUUGUAUUAACUAUAUGCAAUCACUUUAAAUAGUUAUGCUAGAGUUGUGAUAAAGUCAAUUAUCAACGUACCAUAAUGUUCAACUGAUGUUAAAGCUAAAGCCUUUGUUGUGGUGAUAGAACUUAUACUGUACCAUAAUGUUCAACUGAUGUUAAAGCUAAAGCCUUUGUUGUGGUGAUAGAACUUAUACUUCACUACCUACUACGUGUGUUUUUCUUUUCAAAUUGUAUGAUACUAUUCUUGAAAUGAAUUAAUGAAUUUUCAUUUUAAAAUAAACUUUUAUCUUAAUUUCACCAGAAAUUUAUUAGCAGUUCAUAGCUAUUUAUUCAAUUUUCGACAUGACUUUUUUAUUCUUUCGAAAUAAAUUUGGUGAAAUGCUGAUCCAUCAACAUGAAAAUGAUAGAUGAUUGUUUAUUUCUAAAGUUAUUGCUUAUUAAAUAAGACAUUUUCAGUUUUUGUUCUUAGUUCGUUAAAACCCCUUUUUCUUUUCAAUUCACCAAAAAUAUUGAAAUUAAACUACUGUUGUUAACUUAUUAUUACUUUAAGUGUCAUAAUUUUAUUGAUUAAUCAUUAUCUAUAUUUCUUCACUUCUACGUCAAAAAUAAUAUGACUAUUUAUUUAAAUUAUUCUUUUAAAACUACAAAUAGAGUAGUAAAAUUAACAUAAAAUCAAACUUGAUCACGAAAAGUCUACAAAAGGUCUUCAAUGAAUUGAUAUUGUUCUUGUUGGGGUUGCCUUUUAACUCUGCCAAGAGCUCGAUGCUUGAAGUAACAACAGGUUCACAGAAUAAGAGCGCCUUGUCAGGUGUCUGAUAAGACGAACUAUGCAUGUUACGUAGGGUGUUGGUUGGAAUCGAACCCAUACGCUAUCGCAUAUAUGACAUUACUGGAGAAGAAUUAUUAGACUCCUGAUGAGGUGUUCUCGCUUUGUGAACUCAUCGCUUCCUUUGACUACCUCUUCAAACACUUUGGCUCUCAGUAGAAUUGACAGACAAAACCCCUUAUCAAGUACAAUAACAACCCGUUGAAGGAUCCAUUAGUUUCCGACGAAUGACACUUCACGAACUUCUCCAAAUAGAGUUGGGCCCCCUCAAUAAAUUGAUGUAAUGAGUGUGGACAAUAUAACUUACUCUAGCUUAGGUAUCCCUACUGCUAAAAAAGAAGAACCAAGACAGAAUACACAACCCCUGCCUCAUCCAAACAACCCAAGACCACCCUGGUCAUCCCAUUAGCAACCAUAACCUCAAGCUUAGGUAAGGCACCAUUAUGAUCCAUACAAUUCCUAUAAUAAUCUACAUUAUUCUUAUUAAUCACUUGCACAUAGCACCCGCCACCUAGAUAUUACACCGCUUACCCAAAUCAACAACCUUAUCCACUUUUUCCCAUGCCUAUCCCUACUUCACUCCUAGGGAACAAACCUCUCAAAACCCUAACAUCACCUCACAACAAUUCAUGAAAAUGCAAGAAAAGAUGAAAAUCCUUGAAAAACAGCUCCUAAAUAACAAUAAUUAUACCACCAACAAUAGGAAGUGAAUAUAUGCAACAAAAAAAAAUAUUAAAGAGUUGCGAGCAAACCAAAACUCUUAACCACGAGCCCUCAAAUAGGAGUACAACACAAGGAAAUUGCUUAAUCUUUUUCUCAUACACAAGGAACCUAAUUACACACCAAUCAUAUCAAUUUGAAUUGAGUAAAACUCGAUUUAAUUCGGAAAAAAAAUUUAAAAAUUUCGAAUUAAUUGAAUCGAGUCAACUUAAAUAAGUAAUUCGAGUUUCGUGCAGCCGAAUUUUACAAUUCGAAUAAUUCAAAUAAUUUGACUACCAGAUUGGUGUAAAUAUCUCUUUGGUCCCUGUUAAUUUUGAAAAUUAGUAAAUUAGUCUCUCUCACAACAAAAAUUACAAAAAGAAAUUCUAAAUAAUCUUAAAAAAUUUAAAAUGUUUAUAAAAAAUUCAAAAUUUAUAUUUUUAAAAAAAUAAUAAAAUUUUCAAAUAAAAUCUAAAUAAUAUAUAAAGAAAUUUUAAAAAAAUUAAAAUAAUAAUUUUGGAGACCUAAAUAAGUUAAUUAAUGAUUUAAAUUUAUCAUACUAAAGUAUCUUAUUUUUAUUAUUAUUUUACUUUGAAAAAGUUUUCAAAUAUAUAUGGUUUUAAAUUUAUGUGCUCUAACAUGAAAUUAAUUAUACUGUAACAAGAUUAGUUAUACUAUUACAAGAUUUCAUUUCACUCGACUCAAUUCGAAAAAUUUCAAAUCGAGUUGGAUAAUAAAAUAGAACUCGUCAACUUAAUUAACUCAAAAUUUUUUUACUCAAUUCAACUUAACUUAAUCCAACACUCACCCCUAAUAUCAACCACAUACACUGAACCCCUCAGCAAUGGGUUGAUCUCUUUGAGGACCAAAUCCAAUACUUAAGGAAAGAAUUGGAGUCUUUUCAGAAGUCAAUAUUAACAUAUAUGGAGUGGGAUUACUCCAAUGAACAUUUGGCCCUAAAAAUAGUAACGGAAUACAUGUCUCAAGCCUUCAAUUACCUAAGGAGACAUAACAUGGUCAAAAGGACCUCAAGACCAUAUUUUCCAAUACAACAAUUACGUGAAUAUUCUAAGUAUUUAGUUACACAAAUAUAAAAUAAAUACUAAACAAUAUAUUAUUAGUGAAACUAACAUUUUAACAACACGAAAAUAUUAUUAAUAACAAAAUUAUAAUAAUAUAAUUGAAAACAUAACAUAUUUAUAAAUAGUGUUAUAAACAAUAAAUUAAAACUUUAUAUAAUCAUUUGUCAAAAAAUUAAGGUUUAAAUAAAAUUAGGGUUUUUUAUCUGCUACAUAUAAGGGUAAAUGGUAUUUAAUGGGAGAAGAGGGUGGGGUGGUGUAACACCCUAUACCUGACUCGAUGACCAGGUUUGAGCUACGGGAUGUCACAUUUAUUUUUGAAGCAACUUGAUAAACUAAAUUCAAAUUCCAUUAUUAAACACUUAAAUACAAAUAUAACAUGCUUAAAACACGAUAUAUGAUCAUUUUCAGGCUAUAUACGGGCUUUAGAAAGCUCAAUACUAUCCCAGGGUUGAACUAAGAUUAAAUUGCAACGUUUUCAAAACUUUCCUAGUUGGUGUCAUGCCUUCCAUGGUUGGGUGUUGUGACAUUGAAGGCAGUAUAUAAGCUUCCCAACUUGAGGACCAAAUUGUAAAAUUUUCAAAAUAAAACAGAGCCAACGUUGUGAAACCAAAUAGGGGAUGUCACGACUAGUGUCGUGACAUUUAGGGUGUGAAAUCACGACAUCCUCGGCAAUCCACUAACUUCUAAUUUUAUACAAUUCCAAACUAACAUAUGGCAAAUCAUGGUUGCCCUCAAGGCCUCAAAUGACCAUUUAACAUAUACACAACCUAUUUAGCAUACAAUUUCCAAAACAUCAACAUUGUUCAUGCAUAACCAUUAACUAUUUCAUUCAUUUACAAUAUCAUUACUCAAAUUGACCAUUUGCAACUUAAUAACUUUUCCAACCUUACGUACAUGCCACUAAGUCAAAAUGAAAAAGCUAUACAAACUCUUUUGAGUUGAGAAUUACUGACUGGAUGUUGAAUCAAGACUUAGGACUUCGAGGAUCACCUAUACAUGCACACAGAAUAAACAAAUCGUAGGCUAAAAGAUAAAUCUUAGUGCUACUUUUAUGAUUCAAAUUAAUCUAAUAAAAGAAUUAACCAUAUAAACAAUCAAUUCAUAUUCCAUAAUCAAACAAGUUACAAGUCAUUCAUGUCAAUGCCAAACUUAUACAAAGUUUACAUUUAGCCAAAUUUGUAUACAAAUAUUAUUCUUAUAUUGUAAUAACAUAUCAUAAUCAAUUUUUCCCGUUUCACCUUAUCUAUUCACCCCUUUUUAGUUGAAAUUUCUCGAAACACUUGAUUUGUUUCAUUAUCACAUCAAACAUAUAAUCUUAAUAAACAAUCCAACAUGACUAUGUUAGAAGAUUCAUUCAAUCCACAACAUAAUUUCCUACGUCAUGAACCAAUAUAUAUAUCACUGACCGCAUGUGUGCGUGUGCAAAAAAUAAAUAGUUUUAUCAAACAAUUUAAAAGUGCGGUUUUAACUGCAAGCGUACAUUGUUAGUUGUAAUAUUUUUAGUGUCAAUGGGGCACCCAAAUAUCCCAAGGAUCGAACCCAAAGGAUUUCCAAAUUAGGUAUUAUCAAGUUAAUUGCACGUUAAGCAAUUACUAAUCUAAUAGAGUUGGAAAUUAUUAGUGCAAGUCCAAAUAAAAUACAAUUUUAACUAUACCUAAAUUAACAAAUAAAAAUACUAUACUAACUUUCUUCCUUUUUACUAGAAAAAAUGCAAGUGGAUUGAAAUGAUGGUUGAAUGAUUCAUGGAUUACUAACUAAGCUAAUAAACCUAUGAUAAAUAUAUAUUGUUUGCUACUCUUAACUAGGAAUCUCCUUUCGGUAUCAUUCUAAACUAAAAGAUACCACCUAAGCUCUCCUCUUAGUUUCACUUAGGCAAAUAGAUCUCCUCUUGGUCUCACUAUUCGACACAAGUGUAUCAAAGUCCUACACGAUAGACUCUCCUUUCGGUCUCAUCUAUCUAAAUCUUCUACUAGAAGCGUCAAUUCUAGUAUAAUAUGUAAUUUAAUACACUAGAACAAACCACCAAUAAAUGCAUAAAUCAUAACUUAGCUAAGUAUCUCACUCAUCAAUCAACCAAUAAAACAACUCAAAACAUGAUUAAACUUGAGUUCCACACAAGCAUUUUAACAAACACAUGAUAGGCAUAAAAUAUAAAAGAUAAGGGUUGAAAAAAUUCUCAUUAAUAGAUAAACAUCUGAUGAAGCACAAGAGUCUGACCAUCUUCAUUUACAAGAUCUUUAACAAUAAGGAAGAAAGAAAAAAACAACAAAGAAAAUUUAUUCUAAAAAGAAAAGAGAAAAACCUAAACUAAAAAAUGAAAAGAAAAACCCUAAAAUUAUGAAAACUAAGGAAAAAUGUCUAGCCACCAAAUCUCUUAUCUAAAAACUUAUAAAGUGGUAUUUAUAGGCAUCCUAAAUUUAACCAUUAUGCCCUUAGACGCUAUAUUUUGAUUGGUGUUGGACAAAAACUACCCCGACGGUCAUUUUUUUCCUCGUCAAAUAGGGAUAUCGCUAUAUCUAUAGUAGUCUCAAAAUGGGGUUUGCCUUGGAUGUUGGGUAUUGCGAUACCAAUGCAAGUGGUCUCCAUUCUCUUUAUUGCAAGACUAUUAAGAGUAUUUUGACUUUCAUGCUUCGAUAUCGCGAUAACCCUCUUCUAGACAAUGUUUUUGCUCAUGUUCGGGCCACUGUUGACUUCCUAAAACACUCAAUCAAAUUGUUAGGUUUCCCAUGGCACAAUCGGCCAAUUUGGGUCUUAAAAUAGUAUAAAACUCACAAAAAAAUUUAUUAACAAAAAAACUAAAAAUUGAUAAAUUAAAUAAAAGAUGCUUAAAUUGCUUUAGAAUAAGCUCUUUAAGUGUAAUAAAGAGCCUUGAUGCAUCAAAUUACCGCAGGUCAAACUCCCCCACACUUAAAUUUUUGCUUCUCCUCAAGUAAACACCUAAGAAACAUGCAUAAAAGAGGACCCUUGAACAAUGAACAAAUUUGACAAUCAAUUAAUGGGUAUGUACAGUGUAAUAAAUUCUUCUGCUAUACAACUUAAGAAUGAAACACUGCAAAUUCACACAUUUGGAAGCAAAUCAUUUUAUUUCACAAAGUUACAGGAUAAACAAAUAUAGAGGUAAUCUAUCAAUACAAUAAGGUAUGCAAAUAUGAUGCAUUUAUACAUGAAAGAAUUUAACUUAUUUAUUCUUACUAAGUUCCACAAGUUUCGAUUUUACAAACAUUAAUGCUAAUGUCACAUAGAGCUUUUUGGCUUAUAACGUUCUGAGGCUAGGAUUGAUAUGAAUUCAAAGAAAAUGUCAACUCAAAAUGGUUCAAGAACCAUGAACAGUAUAACACAUGACAUUGGUCCCAUUUCCCCCAUAUAUAAUCAUUAAACCCUGCGCCUUAUUUCUCCUUCUCUCCAAUAAUGCAGAAGAUGUGGUUCAAUAAUAGCUAGUAUAAACAACUUAGUGAGUACUUGCACCCUAUGACAGUGAAAAUCUAAUUUUAUGCUCCUUAAUUGAUUUCUCAUUUUGAGCAUAUUUUUCAAAAAAAAAAUUCUUUUAGCCCUAACCAUGCUUUUAUUCAUUCAAUUUACUUUUGUUCACUCAUAUUUUUCAUUCUAAGCACAUAUUUGUAAAAGUCUAUACAUGUCAUAUCAAACCAUCUCUUCACUAUUCACUCAAUUCAUUUUAAAGGCCUCCAAAAUGUUUCUACCUAACCCUGAAUGUUUGUGGUCUAACAUAAAUUCUAUAGUGCAAAUCCAAAUUAGGGACCGUGAAGAGUUGAGUUUUUAAAAUUUUGGCUCGAGGUCUAGAAAAAAAAGUAGGUUCAUCAAGAAGGAAUAAUUAAAGGCUCAAAUCACGAUACUAAGGAUAAUGUAGCAUAAUAAUUGGUCAUUUAGACUCUAGGCUAAUAAACAAUGCCUUAGGUCAUCCCUUAACAAUUCAAUGAAUAUAAAACCAAAGCAUGCUUUUACUUAUUUCCAAGAAUAAUGUUGAAUUCUAAUACAUGCAUGUACACAUUUAUCUACACACUUAUUGAUCAUUUGGAAAAAAAAUUCACACCUUUUUAACUACCCCUCUCUAUUAGGCAAUGUAACUAAUUGAACUAAACAAUUUUCUUAUAAAGAAUAGAAUUCAUCGAGCAUCAUUCAAAAUUUGUACAACUAAAAAAAUCUAUUACACAAAAACAUACAACAAAUCACCAAUGGUAAAUCAAAUCAUGUUCAAGUACCAUGUAAUAACUAAAAUAGAAAGAUAAAAUAAACACACAACCAUAAAAAAUUGACUAAGCAUGCAAUUUUUCUAUGAAUGCCCCCACGCUUAAGUUACACAUUGUCCUCAAUGUGUCCCAACUAAAGAUAAAGUUUAAGGAGAUUCCCCUUAUCUAAUGUAACUGUAAAAAAAUGUUGGAGUAGUCCUCAAACUUUAUUAAAGCUCUUAAUGUUGUGUAGCUCUCGGUUGGUCAACCUACAUAGAAAAACGAACACACCAAAAAAAAUAUGAAAUAAUAAAAAAAACUAGAAAAAAUAAAACUUAUCAAGUUUCUGGUGAUCCGUAUCCCCUACAUAAAAGAACUUCCAAGAGGUCCUUGACAUCUUGAAUCGUCGUUUGUUCUUCAUGACUAGAAUCAGGACCCCUUGGAAUUUGAGCACAUUUUUAAUGUCUUAUUUUUUACCUUCUAAACAGCCACAUCAUGAGUCACUUUUUUCUAAAGCCUAACCAACUCCUAAAUUAAUUUUGGGGUACUAUAACUUUGGUCAACAUGAACUCAAUAUGAUAUAAAGUCGUGUCACCUCGAAUCGUAGUUCUCUCAUGAGUUGUGUAAGCUUCAGAUUCUUGUUUCCAAGGUUAUAAGCAGCCUAAAAACUAGCAAAAUUCUUGGACAAGCUUUUGAACACAAUAUUUAUUUGGGUUUUCUGGUCCAAAUUAUUCUUAUUGUCCGUGGCCUCGACAAUUAACCCAUAAGAGUGAUCAUAUGGUCUUUGACCGAAGUGUCGGGCUUUUGCUGGGCAUUCAUCAAACUAGUUAUUGCAGACUGUCGAGCUAAGGUAGUUUCACCUCCAAACAUGUCUUCUAGCUUAUCUAGAAUUUCUUUAGCAAUAUUACAACUCUCCAGUUGCUUAUGCAAAGUGUUAGUCACGCUUGGCAGUAUAUAGCAAUGAGUUAUCUCAUCAGAAUCUUCCCAGCGUCUUCUAGCCUCAACUUAAGUGGCUGGAGGACACUUAGUAUCAAGAACUAUUUUAAGUUUCUCACAACUCAAGACAAUCAUUAGGUUCCUUUUCCAUUCCUUAUAGUUAUUUCCAUUUAGUUUUUUUUAGUGAGUAUGUUCAAUAAAGGAGUAGGUGUCAUUUUUGAACUGAAAAUAAAAUGUUUGAAAAAAACAUUUGCAACAUCACGAUAUACAUUAAAAUGAUGCAUGCAUUUUACAUUAAACCUUGAAAAACAUUUCUAAGUCAUUGUAACGAUAAUUCCCAUACUCAUUGAAUCAAGCCACCAUAGAGUGAUCAUAAUCAACUAAUAAGAACAUGGAUUUCCAUCCAAUUACUACAUGAACCUAAUUCCUUAGGCAUUCACAUGUGGAACAUAGUCUAGUGAAAAAAUAAAAAUAGAUCCAUGUACGAGGAACGAAUCGAGUUAAAAUAGGGUUGAAAAUAUACCUUUUAAAAAUGAAAAUGAAAAUGAAAAUGAAAAAUAAUGUUGUUGGUUGAUAUCUGAUAACUCUUGAAAAGAGUUAUAUUUCAUGCCUUUAGACCUAGCCAAUUGCUUGUACUUAACUACAUUUUGUUGAAUUUUAGGAUAUUUUAGUUAGCAAUUUUAAUAUUACAUUAGGACUUGGAAUGUGUUGGAAUUAGAUGCUUUUAAUCGCUUGCGGUGGAGUUUUUUGUGUGGCAGGAACAUGUUUUGGAACAAGGAAAUAAAGGUGUGAAGUUUUGUCAGGGCAAAGUGCAGACAGUUUGCCAGCAUGGAUGUCGUGGCAAUACUGGGAAGACCAAGUCAAUAUUUUAUGCGCAACAGUCCCAGUUCAAAUUCAAAUUCAAACUUGUAUUAGAUAAAUCCCCUUAAAAGAGGAGAAUAUAAGCACGAGCUGUUAGCCAACCCUAGCCUAAUCUAUCUACAAAAACAGAUGAAGGGGACCUCACAAAAGGAAGAAAAAAAAGUGGGAGAGAUCCUUAGGCGUGAAUAAGGGUUCGGCUACCCAAAGGACAAAAAAUCGAAGGCAGCCAUUCUUAGACAUCAUAGGACGCUAUGCUGUCAAAGUGUAGACUGAGCAAGUGAAAGCUGCUUCCCAAAGUUCUUCCAUUACUUCCAUUAGUAUUCCUUCAAAAGAUUGAAUUGAAGUAGUUGAACGCAAUGUCAGAUAAUAUUUUGGUUUGGAAUUUUACUUCCCAUCCCAUAAGUUAAAUCUCAUAGGGUUGGGAUUACUUUCAAUGAAACCUUAGCUAUUUUUAUGGAUGCAGUAUAUAUCUAAUUUAUUUUACUAUUUCAUUUUAUUGUUCUUAUUUCUUAAUUAAAAUGCAAUGAUCUCUAGACAAAGAAGGUUGUUCACAUGCUAUAAACUAAUUCUAAUUCCGAAAGGGUUGGAUUGGUUGGAUUAACAUUGAAUGAAAUGAGCAAGUAUUCGAUAGACACUUGUAUUCGACUCUAGGCAUAGAGUCAUAAUCAAACAUAAGGAACCCAUGCAAGAUAUCUAAAAAGCCUAUAGGCAUGACCAAGGUAACUUGAUGUUUUGUCCUCACGAGAGGCAACCAUUUUAGAACUCUUCUGUACAGUAAAGUAAAUACGAUUUUACCAAGGCAUUAUUGAUAGUAUAGGUCGAUUAUCUCGACCUUUCAAAGCAACAUCACUCUAUCCUUAGUCUUUGUCGUAGUAUCUUUGUCACAACAUAUUUAGUUGUUUAUUUCUUUGUUUACAUUCUAUUCGGAUAAUCACUCUUAUUAUUGCCAUUACAUUUCUGCUUCACUUUUGCCAUAACAUCUUAUUCAUCAGUCUUGCCAUAUCAUUAACUAGAGUAUAAUAACUUGACCCCUUUUGUGCCUCAACUUGAUACUCGUGAGAACGAUACUCACUCAUCACUUUAUUACUUGAUUCGACGUGUAUACUUGCACAAAUCACACAUCAUUUUACACGCGAAAAUAUCCUUUGCCUAAUGUCAAUCCUAGCCGCAACAUAGUCCACCCAGUCAAUUACAAACAAAAAACUCUUCUGAACUUUUUAGAGAGUAUCCAAACUUUUGGAUGCUAAAACUAGUUUGAUUUUCUUAGUCACCCCUUCAUAAUCUAGGAUUGUAUUCCUUUAAUAAUAUCAUGUAUAUUAAAUACGGAAUAAUUUCAUUUUACUUUUUAGAGAAAAUCAUGGAAGAUAUUGAAAUUAUAUUCUUUUCAAAAGAAUACUAAAUUUCAUAAAUAUUAACUCUGGAAAGAAGUUGUGAAUCAUAACCGCCAGUUGUGAAUCAUAACCACCAGUUAUGAAUCGUAUUCGUUAGGUAACAGGGCCUGCCAAGCGAUACUAUUCUCUAAACGAUGUUGUCCCAUGGGCGAUACUAUCUGUCGGGUGUUACUGUCCGCCAGGCGAAACUAUUCGCCUCAUGGUACUCAUCCACCAACGAUAAGAAUCUGCCAUUGUUGCAUGUAGGAAGGUUUGCGCCCGUUCUAUUGGCAUGAAGUCUAUUCGCUUUAACCAUAGGGUGUAACCCUAUAGGUUCUUGUAACGUUGGUAGUAAUACUAGAACAUUUCUAACGUUACAAUAAAUAAGUGGCAUCUAGCAAUGCGUCAUUGCUACCCAGGUUACAAUAAGUCGUGAUUUGACAUAAACUUUUCAUGAUAAACAUUUCAUGUAUUAUAUCCUUUUAUCCUUUAUAUCUAGAUUGGACACAAAUCAUGGUUUAGUCAUACUUGUAUAGUUCAAUAUCAUAUUUCUUGAUAUUCUGAAUAGACUAUAAUAAACAAAUAAGUGUGAUAUCUCAUAUUAACUUAUUUGAGCAUGAUUAUGCAUUUCUAAUCUUAAUUUAUCAAGUAGCCCAAGAUAUUACUCCUAUUAUGUCAGAGGGGUAAAUCUUAUGUUGAUCAAUCAUUUCCCACUAAAUAGAUUGUGGUAUAUCCAACAUUAGUCUUUAUAGUUCAACUUGUUACGAUAGAUGUUUGACUAUAUCAAAAUAUACAACUCAUGAUGUUGGGACAAUGAUAAUCCAAGAAACAUACUCAUGGUCGGUCAGUCUAGUAUGUUGUUCUCUAACACAUACUCAAGUAUUGAUUUUGACAUCCCUUUGUUAAUGGCAACACUUUGUCAUCAUUCAACUACACAUUAGUUUCAAAGCAUUAUUAAUGUCCAAGCUGACAAUAAUACUUGACUAAGAACCUUUUAAGUAUAAUCAUAUUAUUCUUAGGACUUUAUUAUUUUUUUAGUUUGUUUAUAUACACAUAAAAAGAAACUAAAAUAACAAUGGCAUUGCCUUAUAUUAAUAAACAAGGUAAAAUAGGUAUGUAAUUACAACCAUCUCAUGAUUAGUCUUUGGGCAUGCUCAAACAUAACACCAUUUCAAUCAUGAUUCAAUUCAAAUAACAUUUAUCAUGUUCAUAUUUUAUAUUCUCUAUUACCUAGACUUGGGCUUAGGACAGAUACACGGAUCAUUCAACCAAUAAACCAGUUAGGAAAACUGGCACACAAAUUGCAUACUGGCGCAUAAGCGCAUCCUGACACACGAAGUGCAUACUGGAGCAAUUCAAAGACGCAAUUCAUUUUUGGUUUCAACGAGCUAGUGGAGGGACCGGUUGGACAUAUGUAAUUAGGGCUCAAAUAAUUUAUAAUUUAGUUUUAAUUUUUCACCUAUUAAUUAUAAACUCAUUUAAUCAUGAAGUCAUUCCAUUAUAGUAUCGUGAUUGAGCUCUCUCUAACGACAUACCAUUAUGAAAGCAACUAUUUAGUGCUUGUCCAAUGACCUUGUCAUAAGUGUGUUACCCUAAUAUUAUAUCAUUGAUCUCUUUGGGAUAAUAUCCGUUCUCCCAAUAUGAUCCUAUUUUAUCUUAUGGUAACUAUUACAUCUUCCUUCAUGAAAAUUCAAUCACUAUCAAAUAGUUAUCAAGUUAUCCAUCACAAAGACAAAUGACCUAUUGCCAUGUUUAAUACCUAUGAGAGGAUAUCAUUUACUCAUGUCUUGGGUUAUGAAUUCCAUUUUUGUGAAAGACACUACAAAUUGUAGAAGUCAUACACCCAACGUACCAGCUUUCGAUUAUUUAUCUAUUCAAACUCAGGCUUUUACUUACAUCAAAGUGUAUGAGUCACGCAUACAUAGUUCGCCAUCCACUAAGGAAUUAGAUAUGCCACAAUAUAUGUCACAAGUGAAUAAAUCCAUAAACGAAUGCAAGAUCUUUUCUACUUGGGUCUAGUCUGAUGUAUUGUCAGUCCAGUUAACCACACCUAUAUCUUUAUCUUCUGGGAGUCAUCCGCUCUGAUGUCCAAGACAAAGCAUCUCCCCAAUUGGACUUGAUAGAUAACAUAUUAGUUAAAUAUUAAUCAGUCCAGUUAGUCCGGUUUGCUCAUUUUCAAUUAGACUAAGGAUAUGUUUAGGUUCAUCUACUAAUACAAGUUGUCUUUCUGUAUUAUGAUCCGGCCACGUAAUAGUGCUAAAUAUUAGUUAAACAAUAGACAACCAGUGAGCAACAUUUACUUCCAUUUUGCUUUGCGUGCAAAAAACCAUGUGAGAAUAAUAUACAAAAUAUUAAAGUAAUUCAUGAAUAGUUUUAUUAACCAAUUUGUUCAAAAAAUUACAAGUAUACUUAGACGAAAAUACUACACUUAAGGCACCAGAUCCAACAAUAUAUCGAUUCAUCAGACAUUUUCAACUAUAAAACAAAAGAAUUUACAAUCAACGUUUAAAUCCCGACUCAAACUUGACUCAACUAUGACAUGUACUUUUAGACUAAAUUACAGGCUCAAUUUAGUAAAAACCAGCUAAACCUAUAACUUUGAUCACUAAAUGUAACACCCCAUACUCGACUUGGUCAUCGGGUCCGAGCUACGAGAUGUCACAUUCGUUUCUCAAACAACUACUGUCAACUAAAUUCAAAUUCCAUUAUUAAACACUUAGAUACAAGUAUUACAUGUUUAAAACACGAUAUAUGAUAUUUUCGAGCCAUAUAUGAGCUUACAAAAGCUCAAUACUAUCCCAGGUCGAACUAGGACUAAACGAAAAUGUUUUCAAAACUUCUCUAUUUAGUGUCGUGACUUCCAUGGUCAGGGGUCGCGACAUUGAAGGCAGUACAUAAGCUUUCCAACCUAAGGACCAAAUUGUAAAGUUUUCAAAAUAAAACAGAACCAACGUCGCGCCACCAAACAAGGGACGUUGUGAUGAGGAGGGCUAGUGUCGCGACUUCAGGGUGUGAAGCAGCAACAAAAGCCAGGGAAAUUUUGAAAACAUUGCAUUUUAGUCCUGAUUCGACCCCGGGAUAGUAUUGAGCUUUCGCAAGCAUGUAUAUGGCCCAAAAAUGAUCAUAUAUAAUGUUUUAGGCAUGUAAUACUCGUAUCUAAUUGUUUAAUAAUGGAAUUUGAAUUUAGUUUAUUGUAGUUGUUCCAACAACGGAUGUGACAACUCGUAGCUCAAACCUAACGAUCGGGUUAGGUAUGGGGUGUUAAAGGUGGGAACAAAUGUGACUCUAAGGGUGUCAGGGGCCUUUCCCUUCAAAUAAAAAAUUGUUAUUUAAGUUCCCUAUAAAAUAAUUAAAUUAAAAGAUAAUUUAUGGAAAAUUGUACUUUUGGCCCUCAAAAAUGAAGAAAAUGAUGUUUUAUUCCUUAAAAAAUGAUGAAACCAUAAAUCAAUAGAUUAUAAAAUUUAUUAUUCAAUUCUAACCUCCUAAAAAGUUCCUAGAUUUGCCCCUGAGUGUGAAACCCUUUUUCUCAAUCUAAAAGGGUCUGGUUAGGGUCUCAUUAAUAGGGAUGACAACGGAGUAGAACAAGGGUGGAUGUUGUCAAAUCUAUUACCAUUCUAUUGUUGGCAUCAUUUACCCUACCACCUGCCCCACUCCAUUAUGAACGUGUAACAUUAAAAAUCUCUAUAGACGUUGGAUGCAUCCAUCCUCACAUCGUACCAUCUUGAUUCGAUUUAAUUUUUACUAGUUAUUUUUAAUCUUUUUAAAAGGCAAGUAAAUAUUUAAAGAUAAUUCUUCAAAAAGAAUGUCUAAACAUAAAACAUAUGAGUUUUCUAUAUCACAUUUCUAUAUUUUUACUCUUUUACUAAUUAUAUACACAAAGGUAAAAUAACAAUUUUGUAUAGUGGAGUGGGACGGGAUGAGCCAAUUAAUUACCAUAAUCAUUACACCCAUUGUCAAAAGAAAGUCCAACUUGUUCUGCAUCCAUUUUAAAUAAAAAAAAAUCUCUCCAUUCGAAAUAGAAUGGUUCGAAAUCUAUUGAACGGUUUAGAUUUUUUUUAUCCCUACUCGUCGAGAAAAAAGUUCUCUAACGCCUUGGGAGUUAAAUCGCCAAUGUUUAAUAAAAUUAAAUCACUUUUAUCUAUGACGAUUCAAGGAUAAAUCGAAAUAACACUGUUCAUUUCAUACUAUUUCAAUAAAUAAUUCAUAGAAUAUAUUAUUAUUUUUUUAUUUGUAUUAUUUACAAAAAGAAACCAAAUAAUAAUAACAGGAAUAACAACAACAAUAAGGGUAAACUACACUUGUAGUUACUCAAUUAUUGGUAAAUAUUUUUUUGGUCACUCAACUAUUAAAUUUUUUUUUAUCACCGAAUGUUAAAUGACUAAUGGGAAGAUGACGUGACAACUUUUAAAAUUGGUAAAUAGCAAAUUUAACCAUCGACAUUUAUGCAUUGUAUCAAUUUAGUUUUGAUUCUAAAAAUAAAAUCUUUAACGUCUACACAUAGUGAUUUGUUUUUUUUUUCAAUUUUUUAUUUUUGUUUGUGACCCUUUCACCUAAAAAUCUAAAAAAGAAAAUCUAUCAACUAAUUUUAGUGGAAAAUAUAUCAAAAAUGAAAAUACCAAAUUCAAGAUAAUAUUUUUCAUCUUUUUUUUUUCAUUCUUUUAAAAUUAACCAUCAAUGUCUCAAAUAAAAAAAAUUACAAAAAAAUCUAAUUAUAAAAUGUGUAAAUGUUGAGGGUAAUUUUUUUAUAGAAUUAAGACUAAAUUAACCCAAUGUAUAAAUAUUAAAGUUAAAUUUUAAAAAAUGUGAAAUUAUAUUUGUGGUAGUAAAAACGGAUGACUAAAGAAUUUUGGAAUAAUGGAAUGACUAAAGAAGUUAAAUGGAAUCUGACGAGUAACGCUAAUAAUGACAAGAAUAAUAGUAAGACAACUUUUUGUAGUGUACUUGCUUGGUGUUGCCGCAGCAGUUAUGUUUUGUUGCUUGUUUUGAUUAAUUUAUUUUAAAGUGGUCUAGGGGACAUGCUGGGUCCCAACUUUUCUUAGUUAUCCUCUGCAAAUGCCAACCUGUUCUUUUAUUAUUAUUUUCCGCCAUUUUUGCUCUCUUUCAAGCUUUAUUUUUUGCCUAGAUCCACUUCUCUCUCUUCGAUUUUUAAUUACUGCAUUUUUGUUUUAGUACACAAUAAGAACAACUAAGAGAUAGAAUGUGACUUAUCAAUCUUUUAACUGAGAUCUGUGAGAAUUUUUCUAUGUACCAAGGUAUUGUAAAUUUUCAGUAGUUUCCUGGGUACAUUUUUGUUUUCAUUUUGAACGUAUUUAUUGAGUUUUUGUCUUAAUAAAACUGUUCAAAUUUGGAAACUUUGAUAUGGUUUUUUUUUCGUAAAGAUCUUCUAUUUCUGGAAUCUGGGUUGUUCUUCAUUUCUCAGAUUGAAUUCAUUUUUCUUUUAUAAAUAUUAAUUCUCAUUGAAUUUCAUGUUCUUGAAGAACAGGAAUUAUUUACAGAUGGGAAAAAAAGGUGGCUGGUUUUCUAUUGUGAAGAAAGCUUUGAGCCCUGAAUCCAAGAAAUCUCAGGUUUCAAUGAUUUAAUUCAUAAUCUAAUGGAUUUCUUUUUUCGGUUUGGGUUUUCUUAGAUUUGUUGUUUUUAAUUAAUUUCAGCACCAAACUCCAAAGCCAAAGAAAAAAUGGUUCGGAAAAAGCAAAGAUUUGGGACCUGUGUCUGUGCCUGAAGAAACUGAAGUGAUAACUGAAGAUGUAAAGUUAAAAGAAGCUGAAAACGAACAAAGCAAACAUGCCUACUCUGUGGCUCUUGCCACCGCUGUGGCGGCCGAGGCCGCGGUGGCAGCUGCUCAGGCGGCUGCUGAAGUUGUCCGUCUCACUUCUCAGCCGCGCCGUCUGGGGAAGUCAAAGGAGGAAAUAGCUGCUAUCAGGAUUCAAACAGCAUUUCGUGGAUAUUUGGUAUAUAUAUAUAUAUCAUUCCUUUUCUUUUCUUUUCUUUUUGCUUAAUUUUGAUGUUUUAUGUUCUUAUUUAUUACUUAAUGAAUUCAAACAUUUUUGAAGGAUCCGAAAAUACAUUGUGUUCGCCUGUUGUUUAUAUAAACAUAUAUGUAUGAACUUUUACUGGAUUUUCCAUUGUUGUCGUCCAUGUCGGUGCUAUUGCUUGAAUUGAAAGUUGUUAUUGAUUUUGAAAUGAUCGUUGGACAUUUUGUUCGUAUCGGCCUUUCUUGAUGAUUACUUGUGGCUAAUUAUGUUGAUGAUGAUUACGAAAGGUGUUCUUGAGUGAUGGUGAUGUGUAGUAUAAUCAUAAAUUCUCCUGAAUCAUUUGUUUUGUGAGCGAUUAAUCAUAUUCAUGCUAUGAGUUAUGGCAUUUGAGUUCUCAGGCUAGGAGGGCACUGCGAGCUUUGAGAGGGUUGGUAAGGUUGAAAUCGUUGAUCAGAGGGCAAUCCGUCAAACGCCAAGCAACUACAACGUUAAGAUGCAUGCAGACUCUAGCUCGUCUGCAGUCUGAGAUUUCUGCAAGGAGGAUUAGAAUGUCAGAAGAGAACCAGGCUCUUCAGCGCCAGCUUCAACAGAAAUGCCAGAAAGAGCUCGAGAAGUUGAGAGCUCCCGUAAGUGCCUCGAUUUUAGCACAUUUUAUGCUUUGAGCUCAUGAUUUCCUAAAUCUUCUUCGACUUUUCGGCUUUCCUUGGACCAUUUUUUUAUGGAUCUUGACCCUAUUUGGACUUUACUGUACCUUUUACCAAACUCAUAACACAAUCUGUCCUCUAGAGUUUUGCAUACAAAUACUGAAUUUCUAGAGGGUUGAGCCCUCAUGUUUUUCUUUGAAGUAAUUUUAUUCCAUUUGAUGAUCGGUUUUGUUGUAUUUUCCACUACCUUUAAAACUCCUUUAGUGAAAGAUCCGACCUUCCGGAAAACAAUGAAGGUGGUAUUAUGUAUGAAACCUGUCUCAUACUGAAAGACUACCUUUCCCAACAUUUGGACUUUGUGGAAAACCUUUUAAGGCUGAUAGCAGAAGCAUUUUACUUAUAAGUCCUACUGUUUCUACUAUUUAAGCAGAAUGUAUAUGAACGCUGUUGAAUCUACGGAUUUGUUGUUUAAACGUGUAAUUUGCAGAUGGGAGAAGACUGGAACGAUAGUACACAGUCGAAGGAGCAGAUCGAAGCAAGACAACAAAAUAAGCAAGAAGCUACUAUGAAAAGGGAAAGAGCAUUGGCUUAUGCAUACUGUCACCAGGUAUCGGGUUCUACAAACUUUUUGUUUGCAAGAAUGUAGAUAACUGUGUAAUGCUUUUCAUAUUUACAAUCCAAAUGUAGAAUCAUGAAUCUAAAUUUGUUACAGAGCUAAAUGACCCUUGUUUUUCUUUUCUGUUAACAGCGAUCGUGGAAGAACUGUUCUAGAUCAGUGAAUCAAACAUUUAUGGAUCCAAGUAAUUCGCACUGGGGUUGGAGUUGGUUAGAGCGAUGGAUGGCAGCCCGGCCAUGGGAAGUCCGAAGCACAACUGAUAACAAUGACCGUGGCUCAGUCAAGAGUAUGGGUGCUCGUUCGAUAUCUAUAAGUGAAAUCAGCAGAGCUUAUUCUCGAAGAGAUCUUAACAAUGAUAACAAACCAAGUCCAACACCUCAGAAGUCAAGUCGAGUUCCUAGCCACCAGUCUCCAUCGACUCCACCUUCAAAGGCACCUUCGAUUUCAUCGGUUUCUGGUAAAACAAGACUGCCAAGUCCGAGAGGAAGUCAAUGGGGAGGGUAUGAAGACUCAAGGAGCAUACUCAGUACCCGGUCUGAUCGUUAUAGGAGACAUAGCAUUGCAGGGUCCUCAAUGAGAGACGAUGAGAGCCUUACAAGCUCACCUGCAGUUCCGAGUUAUAUGGCACCAACACAGUCCACAAAGGCCAGGUCCCAAAUACCAAGCCCCUUAGGAAGUGGCACACCAGAUAGGAGAGUGGCAGGGUCUGCAAAGAAACAGCUUUUGUUCUCAGCGUCCCCAGCCAGUAGUAGGAGACAUUCAGAGCCUCCUAAAGUGGACAUAAGUGAGGUUAGAAAGAAUCAACAAGCACCAAGCAAUGGAAGGCAAGUGGUUUGGUGAAGAGUGCAACAAAAGUUAGAUUGAAUAAACAUGGAAGGGUUAUUACAACUUGAAGCUCUUGUAGUGUGUUUGUGAUUAUCUUUUUCUUCCUAGGUUUUAUGAUUAUUAAUUAUGAAAGGGUUACUUUUUUCUGGGUGAGAUUUAGUUUAUUGUUUGUGGUUGACAAACAUUCUUAAAAAUCUUCAAGUUUAGUUUCAAUUCAUGAAAUUUGUAAUUAUUAUGAGUAGACCUAAAUGAAUUUAUGUCCAACUUUGCUCUCAUAAUCAAUACAUAUAAUUAACUUAUUUGCUUUGAAUUUAAUAUUUUGCCUAUCUUUAAACAAUAAACAAAGACUCCAAUUUGAUAUCUUAUAAUUUAUUUUAUAUAAACUUUGCAAUAAAAAAGUUUUUUAUAUUAUUAAAAAAUUAAAAUAAAUUGAUUUUUUUUAAAAAAAGAGAUAUUUAAAUUAUCAUAUUUAUUUUUUAUUUAAAACUAUUUAAAAUUGUUAUAAAAUAAAGAGAGAUAGAGAGAAUAAAGAACAAACAAAAUAUGAAAGCAAUAGAGAAUGUACUUUAUUGAUAAAAGGGAUUAUUACAAUAUACUUCAUCAGAGUCUCUAUUUAUAGGCAUAAGAAGUAUAAAAGAAGUAAAGAUCUAAUUCUAAUAACUAUUAGAAUUUAAAAUGCAUCAAAACUUUAUCUUGAUCAUGAUAAACAUCCACUUAAUAAGAUAUUCAUAACACUCCCCCUUGAAAGUCCAUUGGUAGAUAAUGUGUCUCGUUAAAACCUUAUUAGGAAAAACCCUAUGGGAUAAAAAACCUAAUGAAGAAAAAAGAGUACAUAAUCUUCUAUUACAAGCUAUCUUGUUAAAAACAUUUACCAGGAAAAUCUAAUGGAACAAAACAUUGGUUAAAGGAAAAGAGUGCAACUUGUUUUUAGACUCCCCCUGAUGGCAACAUUACAUUAUAUCUUUGAGUCGACGCAUUCCAAUAUUGUGUAGUAGUUUUUCAAAUGUUGAAGUUGGCAAUGCCUUAGUAAAAAGAUCUGCUAAAGUUUCAUUAGAACGAAUUUGUUGAACAUUUAUAUCACCUUUUUUCUCAAGAUCAGUGGUGAAGAAUAAUUUUGGCAAAAUAUGUUUCAUUCUAUCACCUUUGAUGUAACCAUACAUGUUGCAUUAUCUUCAUAUAAGAUAGUUGACAUCUUUUCCUAUAAAGGCAAAUUACAUAUCUUCUGGAUAUGUUGGGUCAAUAACCUUAGCCAAGCACACUCUCAACUUGCCUCAUGCAUUGCAAUUAUUUCUGCAUGAUUAGAAGAAGCAACAGUUAAUGUUUGCUUUGUUGAACGCCAUGAUAUGAUAGUACCCCUAUAUGUAAAUAAAUAUCUUGUUUGAGAUCGACUUUUAUGUCGAUCUGAUAAGUAUCCAGCAUCAGCUUAGACAACUAAUAAGGAUUUUGAAUCAUUUGAAUAAAAUAACCCCAUAUAAAUGGUUCCUCUGAAAUAUCUAAAUAUAUGUUUAAUUCCAUUCCAAUGUCUAUGUGUUGAAGAAGAACUAAAUCUUCUUAACAAGUUUACAGUGAAAGCUAUAUCAGGUCUUGUGUUGUUUACAAGAUACAUCAAUGCCCCUAUGGCACUUAGAUAUGGUACUUCAGGACCAAUAAACUCUUCAUUAUUCUUGCAAGGACAAAAUUGAUCUUUAUUCACAUCUAACAAUCGUACAACCAUCGGAGUACUUAAUGGGUGUGCUUUAUCCAUGUAAAAUUUUUUUAUAUCUUUUCCAUAUAAGUUGAUUAAUGAACAUGAAUUUCAUCUUUUAAAUGUUCGAUUUGUAAGCCAAGAAAAAAAUUUAUUUUUCCAAAAUCUUUCAUGUAUUUUGAAGCUCUUCAAGAGUUCCAAUAAUAUUUAGAUUAUCAACAUAAACAACAAUUAUCACAAAAUCUAAUCUAAACCUUUUUAUAAAGAAACAUGGACAAAUUGGAUCGCUUUUGUAACAUUCUUUUAACAAAUAUUCACUAAGACGAUUGUACCACAAAAGUCAAGAUUGUUUUAAUCCAUAUAAAAUUUUCUUUAAUUUGAUCGAGCAAUUUUCUCAAAAAAACUCUAUAUCUUUUUGGGAUUUUAAAUCCUUCAGGGAUUUUAAUAUAAAUUUCACUAUCAAGUGUAUCAUAUAAAUAAGAUGUAACAACAUUCAUUAGAUGCAUGUAAAGUUUUUCACGUACUGCUAGACUAAUAAGAUAUCUAAACAUAAUUGCAUCCACCGUAGGAGAAUAUGUCUCUUCAUAAUCAAUGUCAGGCCUUUGCGAAAAUCCUUGUGCUACAAGGUGAGCUUUAUAUCUUACGACUUCAUCAAUUUCAUUUUGUUUUCGCACAAAUACCCAUUUAUAUCCUACCGGCUUUACACCUUUAGGUGUUUGGACUACAGGUCCAAAAACUUCACGUUUAGAAAGUGAAUUCAAUUCUGUUUGAAUUGUAUCUUUCCGUUUUGACAUAUCUUUUCUAUUUUACUUUCCUUAGUAGAUUUAGGCUCAGGAUCAUCAUUUUAUUUUGUUAUUUCAAUAGCAACAUUAUAAGCAAAAUUAUUGUCGACAACUACAUUUUUUUUGGUUCCAUCUUUUUCUCGUAUUGACAUAACUUAUCAAGAUCUCUUUAUUUUGAUCAUUUCCAUGUUCACUUUUAGGUACCUGAAUCACUUCUUGAGUUUUAUAAUUAGUUAUGUCAUGGGUCUCUUCAAGAACCCUGGCCUCUACUAUAUGACCAUCUUGAAUAUUAGCUCCUUUUUUUACAAGGAUUUUUAUAUUUGAAACCGACUGGUCUUCUACGCUUCAAGCAUAGAUUACUUUCUUUUGCACUAACAUUUUUCCUUAUUAGAACAUCAAUUCGUAUUGGAGCAUUUUUAACUGGUAUGCGAGAUUUAAUGAAUUUUGCAGUUGAUUUGUAAAAUGAAUUAUCUGUUGAACUUCUGGUUCACAUUGCUUUGUAUGAGGAUCUUAUACAUUGAUAGUUCAUUUCAAGUACUUUAUUAAUCCAACUUUUUAUUCUCUCCCCUUAAUGUUGGGAAAAUUGACAACUCAUGUCAUAACCAAAUAUCGAAUUAAUAGCUCAAAAAUAUUAUAAGAAGACUCAUAUAGAUAUAGAUUCCCAAUCUCUUAUGAUGACCCAUCUUUGUGUGUUGUGGUGGAGCAGUUGGAACAUAUACCGCACAUCCAAAAAUUAUAAGAUGAGAAAUAUUUGACUCUUGACCAAAAAUCAAUUGUAAUUGAGAGUAUUUAUAAUUUAUUGGCUUGAUACGUACAACAUGUAAAUCAAUACAAUCUCAUGCUGAAAUAGAAAAUUUUGUUCUCAUAAGUAAUGAUUUAGCUAUUAGUUGGAGGCAUUUGAUAAAAAAUUCAGCUAAAUCAUUUUGUGUGUGAACAUGAGCUACAGGAUGUUCAACUUUUAUCCCAAUUGACACGCAAUAAUCAUUGAAAACUUGAGAUGUAAACUCACCAACAUUAGCAAGAUUAAUUGUUUUAAUUGCAUAAUCUGAAAUUAAUCAUUUAAACAAGCAAUCUCGUAAACGACAGAUCGCGAGUUGAUAACGCAUGUGAUUAUUUUGUAGAUGCAUCUACCAAAAUCAUAUAAUAUCAAAACCAUUCACAUGAUGGAGGAAUGGACCCAUAUUCGUUUCAGAAAUACAAGACAUUAAAUCUCAACUUUAGCUAGUGAGUUUCUAAUAAUCAAUUUUCAUUGAGAACAAGUAACAAAUGAGAAUUCUUUAAAUUAAAGAAUCUUCUGAUUCUUUAAUGAAUGUCUAUAUGAAUUCUCAAUUAAUUUUCAGAUCAUAUAUUAUCAAGGAUGGUCAAACUGAACAUGCCAAGUAGUAAAUGCAUUUGUAUUAGUAAACUUCUAGUUUACUUUAACAUGUGUUUCAAUUGUACUAAAUUGUAACAAAUUGAUAAUUUUAUUAUCAUCCAUUUUAAUUUGUAUCCACAUAUAAGUACUAUUGUGAAAUUUACUACUGGAAAUGUCUAAAUCAAUGUGAAGUCUAUACUGCCACUAAGUCAAUAAAUAUAAUUUCCAAAUAGUUAUAUGCAAUAUUCGCUUCAGGGAAUAUGUCAAAAUAUUCAAAUGCCCAAAAAACUAUUAAUAUCAAAAUUUGAGAGUGGAUCUUAUUUUCCAGGUGUACAACAGGUACACAACCAAUGACUUUUCAUACAUAAGUUUUGUGAUAUCCCGAAAUAGGGCCUAAUCGGAAUAGUGGUUUCGUAACCCCAAAUCCGAAGUGAAAUAGUUUAAUUUUAUAAAUUUUUAUUAAUUACCGAUUGAAUGAAAUAUUGUGUGAAAAUAUGGAUAGGAAAUUUUAAUGAUUUAGUGCCUAAUUGAAUUUUUAGGACUAAAUUGAGAAAAAUACAAAGUGUGUCUAAUUAGUGAUUAAAUGACUUAAUUGAAUUAUUGCAUGAAAUUGGAAGUGUUUAUGUGGCAAUUAGACCAUAAAUUAGUGUUAUGGACAUAAAAGGGUAAUUCUAGAAAAAUAUCUAAGUAAUGGGUCAAGGGCAUUUUUGUCCAAAUUGAAUAAAAGACAAAAUAAAGAGAAAAUAAGUGUCCAUCUUCUUCAAAAUUGAAGAGUUGCUGCUGAAACUUUCAUGUUCUAUAGGCUAGGGUUCUUGAUUUUUCUAAGCUCAAUUGUAAGUGAUUUCUUGCCCCAUUUUUAAUUAUUUUCGUAUUUUUAUGCUUAUUGAAGCUUGACUUUCAUGUUUCUACCAUUUAAUUUAAAUGAAAUUAAAGUUUAAAAAUUGAUCCAUUCAUGAUAUAAUUGUAAAUUUAUUAGUGAUGUUAAAUAAUGAAUGUUUGAAGUGUUAAUUACAAGUUUUAGUAGAUGAAUUUCGAUGAAAAUGUUGAAAAAAGGACUAAAUUGUGAAAGAUGGUAAAGUGUGCAUAAAGUUGUGAUUUUGUAAAAUUUAGGGCUUUUAUGAGCAAGAAAUAUGAUUUAGUGAAGUUUGAAAUUUAAGAAUUCAGUGAAUUUUAUUUUUACGAACUUUUGGACAAAAGUGGAAUUUUUGAAAAGUUAUGGGAAAAAAUGUAAGUUUGCCAAAAUAUUGUGUAUGAAUUGUAUUUGAAUGGAAUAUUGAUAAAAUGCAUUAAAUUGUGUUAAUAUAGAUCAAGAAAGAAGAAAUAGUGGAGGUGAUUGUGUAAUACCCCCUACCCGUAUUCGUCGUCGAAAUAGAGUAUGAGGCAUUAUCAGAUUUUACCGAAUAAAUAUAUAUAUAUUUUCAAUAUAACCCCUUUAUAAAUAUCUAAUCUUCCCUGAAAAUUUUAAACCGAGACCAAUCCGACACAACUAAUUCAUUUCAAUAUAUUUUCAAGAUAGAUUUAUCGUAUUCAUAAGAUAAUCUCAUCACAUACCAAAACCAAAAUUUGUUAGCCAUACCAAUGGCUAACUUUACAUUCAUUUCACAUUAACAUCUACUUUACUAGCUUAUACAUGCCAUUGAUUUCCAAAAUAAAGUUUCUUUAUAUACCGAGAUCUUGAGGUUGAUAGUGUGAUGCGUCUCCGAACACUACAAAACAAGGGAAAAGGAAACAGGGUAAGCACUUUGUGCUUAGUAAGCUCAUGUAACAAGAAUUAUACUUACCUAAUAUUUUCAAUACAAUGCAAUAAACAUUCAUACAUCCAUUCAAUACAUUAUUUCUCUAUCAUGCACAAACUCAACAUUCAAAUUAGUCCAAUAAUUUCCAUGUAUCAAUAAUAUAUAUCAUGAUUGAUGAGCUCAUCAAGUCCAUGAUUUCCAUUUCCUUGUUAUUUUUCCAUAUUUAUCCCGUUGAAUUUCUCGGAAUUUCGAUGGAUUUUUAGAGGUACACUUUAGUGUACAAAUCCGGGUCCGUCAAUUCAUAUUCAUGUGCGCACAUUUCCAUUUCAGAGAGCACACUCCCGCGAACCUCAUCCUUACAGCGGGAUUACUAGUCCAGGCUAAAUCCCCUGUAAUAUAAACUCAUAGAGUAUUGUCGGGAUUACCAGUCCAGGCUAAAUCCCCUGCAACGACAAUUACUCUAAUGAGCUUGGAUCUGAAUUACCAGUUCAGGCUAAAUUUAGACCCUAAUUCGGAUUACCCGUCCGGGCUAAAUCCAUUUUCCACAUAUUCUUCGGGAGGGCUAAAUCAUGAUAGGAUCACCCGUCCGGGCUAGAUCCUUUUUACCGUCAAUUCCUUUUCAGAGAUCCAUCGAAUUUUCCUUCCAUUCAACCGAGAUUUCUUCCCUUUUUUAUCAAAUAUAUCAAUGUUUCAUUAAUUUUCAUAUAAUGAACAUUCAAAUCAUAUUCACAUCAAUAACAAACAUUUCAAGCAUUUAAGAAUAUAAUUCAAGUUACAUGAACUUACCUCGACACUUGUUCGUAAAUAAAAAUCUACUAAUCUUGAACUUUUUCUUUUUCUCGAUCUAGCUUCGUAUUUGAAUUUUCUGGAUUUGGUGCAAAAAUUAUGAAAAACCAGCUUGAAGAAACCCUUAGGACGUUUUUGGCUGAUGAGAAUGCAGAAAAAUAAAGAGAAAUCUAGAUAAUUCCACUUUAGUCUUAACUUUUAAAGCAAAUUUUGCAAUAUUCCAAUUUUACCCUUAAUUCUUCAAUUCUCCUGAUUUUUCCCAGCUUAUGCCGCCCAAAAUAUCUCCUUUUGGGGUUAUUUGCAAUUUAUGUCCCUCCUCAUUUAACAAUUGAGCUAUUUAAUUCUUCUAGUAACUUUUACACCUUUUUCAAUUUAGUUCUUUUCACUUAAUUGACUACCCAAACAUUAAAAUUUUCUAACGAAAUUUUAACACCAUAUUACUAACACUUCAUAAAUAUUUAUAAAAUUAUUUUUGACUCGGUUUUACGAGGUUGAGGUCUCGAUUCCUUAUUUUUACCCAAUUUCUUCAAUAAUUUCUUUUUCUAACUAACCACUAAAUCAGCAAAAUUUUUCUAUCGAUAUUUUCAUACGAUUUUCCUAUAAUACCAAUAUUCAUGCAAAAAUAUUAAAAUAAAUUUCUCUUUAAAUUGGAUUUGUGGUUACGAAACCACUAUUCUGAUAACCUUGAAUUUGGGUCAUUACAGAUCGGGGAAAAGAGAAGGUUAUUGACUAAAUUUCAAAAAUAGUCGUUUUGCAUCCGAGGUAAGUUAUGUGUAAAUAAUAGCAAUAUAUUUUUAUAAAUUGUGAAUUUUAUUUGAUAUGUGAAUCAAUAUUGAAUGUGGAAGGAAAAUUGUUCAUGAAUUAUUCAAUUGAUAAAGUGUUGAAAAUAAAAUGUUAAGUCUAAAUUCCCGGUUGAACUUAGGAAUAGAAGUGGAUACAAGUGACAUGUCACUAGAGAUCAGAAUUAUAGUGUUACAGUGAGUCCUGGGUGCUGAGUGAUCUAGCAUGUGUUGCAGACACCUGACAGCUUGUGUGAGCAGGCCCGUGGACAUUUCCAAUGUUAUUGAUCAGGGGUAGCUUUGGCUACAUUUCAGUGGUAGCUUCUGCUACAUAUCAGUGUGACACUUAUGUGCUAAAUCUCUACGUAUCUGUGUAUAUUCUAAGUGUUCAACGGGAUUAAUAAUGAGUUAAAGUGAAUAUGAAAUGAAGUGUGUAUGUAGUGAUUUGAGCUUGUUCGAAUUGGGGAUCGUCAGAGCUCGUAUCACACUAUCAUAACCACCUCGGUAUUAUGUGUUUUCAAAAUGUUUAAAACUAUGGCAUGUAUAGAGUCUUAAUCAUUUUUAGUAUGUUCAUAUGAUAUGGCUAAGAUUAGCUAUUGAAAUGGUUAGUAGAGAUUAAGUUUUGGUGUUAUGUAUGUUUAAAUGGUAGCUAAUACAAAGAAGCAGUUUCUUUGACAGCAGCAGUGAUUUGAAUGUGAAAAAUCACCAUAAAUAGUAGAAAUGGAAUUAUAGAGUUAAUUAUAUAUAUAAUUAAAUCUUAUCAAGUCUAUUUUUACAUGAAAGAAACGGUGUAGGCAAAGGAAUUUUAUAUUUUGAGAUAUUUAAAUUUUAGUGAGACAGGGUCAGAAUGAUUUUUGAAGUCCCCUGUUCUAACUUUAGAAAAUCAUUAUAAGUUUUACAGAAAUAAUUAUGGGUCAUAAUUUAUAUUUAUAGAUUCCUUAGUGAGUCUAUUUUCAAAAGAAACAAACGAUAAUAUUAUAUGAAUUAUGUACAAUGAUAUAAUUGAUUUUUAGUGCCAAGAGGUCAGAACUAUCGAUUAGUAAAAUAGGGGAGACUUUAAUGAAUAAACUAUACUAAUUGGCUAAACCAAAAAUUCUAAAAAUUUUAUGGUAAGAAGGUAUAUGAGUCUAGUUUUAGGGAAAAUUUACGAAUUUAAAGUUUUAGUUUUGUAACUCAAGAUAUAAUUAAAUUAGUGACAGUUGUGCAGGUUGACAGUUUUGUUGUGAACAGUGAAUUUAAUUUUAAAAGCAAAUUUUUAUGCUCCGAAUUAGUAAGUUAAGUUGGAUGACAUCUCGUACUCGAUUCCGGCGAUGGUCUCGGGUAAGGGUUGUUACAAGUUUUCUCUCUUUCAAGUUCUCAUCAGUAUUUAGUAAUAUUUUACUACGUAAUUUUAAUUGAGAACUUAUUCUGAAUACUGUAGAGUUGUAUUCAUAGUUUUUUUUUAAAACUUGCAACUUUAUGUGUAUCCAACCAUAAUAAGCUUUAGAUAGAAUUAUCAUAUUCUAUUGCUCAUAAGUAAAAUUUUUACAGUCAAAUAUUUUACUUUCAACCCUUUAAUAGGGAUGAUGACAAAAGAAUAGCAAAAAGAUUAUAAAAUAAAUAUAAAUUAAUAACCCAAUCCCCUUUUUUAUUCAUAUGAAAUAUAAUAUUUUUCUCAUUCACAAUCUCAAUAUGAGAUCCAUUAUGAAUAUAUUUUAGAACUAAUGCAUUAACCAUCACAAACUUUGUGCUUUUUAGAUAUUGAUAUAUUAGCUCUUCUAGAGCUUUCAACUAAUUUUGUACUAUCAAAUAUUAGAAUAAUAUUUGUUUGUUUUAUUACCAAAUAAGAUAAAUAUUUUCUAUCUAUAAUGAUAGAAUUCAUUAUUACAUUUUCAUAUCAUUCCUCAAAGAAUAUUAACAGAAACAAAAUAUUUGGGUAUACGCCACAUAUGUGGCCAAUAAUAUUUCAUAUCACAUUGAUAACAUAAAUUAUCUUUAUCCUUUGAAGAGUUAUCUUGGGAACUCUCAUUAUUCUCUUAUUUGUUACUAUAUUCCCACUUUUAAUGGUUCAUAAUUAUAUCUUAUAUUUUCUUUAUGUUUGCAUUCACUUCAGGAAAUGUAACAAAUCUGAUAGGGUAAACUUCUAAACACCUUUAUUGAUUUUUUUUAUUUCGUAAUCACCAUCGUAAACAUACAUGGAUUUUAAAUAAGAAUUUAUCCAUUCAUUUUGUCAUGAUUAUUCUCCAAUUAUAAUAAAUAUGAUAUAAUAAAUAAAACAUAGUAAAAUAAACCUGAAGAUCUUUAACAUCAUCGCCAUCACCUUGAUUAUUAUCACGAGCAUCCAUUCUGAGAUUAAAUCUUUCAACAUCCUAAAGAUGAAGUUCUAAGGUGGAAGUUUAAGGUGAAAAUGAAUUUGAUUUGUGGGACGACUUCGAAAGAUUUUGAAAAAAUAGAGAAUCAUCGUGUUAAUAACAUGUUAUAAAAUAAAGAGAGAUGAAGAGAAUAAAGAACAAAGAAAAUAUGAAAGCAAUAGAGAAUGUUCAUUAUUGAUAAAAGGGAUUAUUACAAUACUUCAUCAGAGUCUUUAUUUAUAGGCAUAAGAAGUAUAAACGAAGUAAAGAUCUAAUUCUAAUAAUUAUUAGAAUUUAAAGUGCAUCAAAACUUUAUCUUGAUUAUGAUGGACAUCCACUUAAUAAGAUAUUCAUAACAAAAAUAAAAUAUUAAUAAAAUUAAAACUAAGAAUACAUGUUAUGAAUAUCUUAUUAAGUGGAUAUCCGUCAAGAUCAAGAUAAGUUUUGAUGUACUUUAAAUUCUAAUAGUAAUUAGAAGUAGAUCUCUACUUCAUUUAUACUUCUUAUGCCUAUAAAUAGAUAUUUUAGAGAAGUAUUGUAAAUAUUCCGAUUGAUCAAAUAAAAUAUGCACUCUUUUGCUCUUUCAUUCUCUUUGUUCUUUAUUCUUUGUCUUUUAUUUUAUAACAUGUUAUCAACACGAUUCUCUUUUAAUUGUUUUUCUCCAUAUGUCAUAAAAAUAUCCCAAAAUUCACUGUUGUUGAUUGCCUCCUAAAGCUAUUGCUAUUUCAAUUGAGGCCUGCGUACUAUGGGUAAUCAUUAGAGCCUUUAACCACUAAGGUAUGCAUAAAUUUCUAAAUUUUUUAUGCCCUUUUAUGCAAAGAAAUUUAUAUAAUCCUUACGUUGUAUGUUUUUCUCCAUUGUUGAUUGAUUUUUUAGUAAAUUUAUUUUAUGAGAAAAUAUUACUACUUUGAGGUUUCUUUUAAACUAAGAUUCUUUUAUUAAAUUAUAGUAUGCAUAAUAUUUAGAUGUUUAAAUAUUUUAUUAUUAAACUCUUGUUAUUAAAUAUUCUUGUAAUUUGAUUAAAAUUAUGGGGGAAAGUUUUAUUAACCUACCAUAGUUGAUUAAAGGGAAAUUUAAUAGGAUCUGUUGAGUCUUAUUAACUUACUAAUGUUGAAUGAUUGUAUUAUAUCUUUUAAAUUGAAUUUAUAAAUAUUUGAUUAGAAGCUUCAUAAGAUUUUAUAACAUAUAUGUGAUAUUGAAAUUUGGUAUAAUGUGUAUCAGAUAACUUUCAAGCAUCGUACACGAAAAUUUUGAUUGUUUAUUAAACGAUUUUUACUAUUAGAUUAUAAAUAUUAUUACGAAAACAAAGUUGUUUUACUACUUGCAAUAGUGCUCGUGAUAAUUGCAGAGUGAUGAAAAUGAUGCUAAAGAUCUUCAUAUAUAUUUUACUAUAAUUUAUUUAUUAUAUCGUGAUUAUUAUAAUUGGAGACUAAUCAUGACAAUAUGGAUAGAUAGAUUUUGAUUUGAAAUCUAUACAUGUUUGCAAUGGUGAUUAUGAAAUAAAAAAUCUAUUGGGAAGUUUAUAAGUUCAUCCAGUAAAUUUGUUGCAUUCCCCGAAGUGAAUACAAGUAUAAAAGAAAAUAAAAACCAAAAUUAUUUCGAUAUUUGAUAGUAUAAAAUUAGUCGAAAGCUCCAAAAGAACUAAUAUAUUAAUAUCUUGUGACGAUUAAUCCAUUGGUUUUAAAAUAUAUUCAUAAUAGAUCUCAUAUUGAGAUUGUGAAUGAAGAAAUAUUAUAUUUCAUAUGAAUCAAAAGAGGAUUGAGUUAUUGAUUACUCUUGUUAUUAAAUUGAAUUGACUGUUACUAUAUUUGUGAUCUUCGUUUGUCAUUAUCCCUAUUAAAGGGUUGAAAGUAAAAUAUUCGACUGUGAAAGAUCUACUUAUAAGCAAUAGAAUAUGGUAAUUCUAUCUAAAGCUCAUUAUGUUUGGAUGCACAUAAAGUUACAUGUUUUUUUAAAACUGUGAGUAUAACUCUAUAGUAUUUAGAAUAAGUUCUCAAUUAAGAUUAUGUGGAAAAAUAUUACUAAUGCGAACUUGUAAGAGAAAAAACUUAUGUAUGGAAAGUCAUUGGUUAUGUACCUAUUGUACACUUGGAAAAUAAGAUUCACUCUCAAAGUUUGCUAUUAAUAGAUUUUGAUUGGAUUCAAAGUCUACUACUAGAGUUUAAUUUGCUUACUUCUUGAUAAAAUCAUCAAGACUCAAUGCAAAAAUUUUUUUUAACAUAUUCCCUGAAGCAAAUAUUGUAUAUAAUUGUUUAGAAAUUAUAUUUUGUUGACUUAGUAACAUUAUAGAUUUCACAUUGAUUUAGACAUUUCCAGUAGUAAAUGUCACAAUAGUACUUAUAUGUAGAUACAAAGUAAAAAAAUGACAGUAAGAUUAUCAAUUUGUCACAAUUUAUAUUGACAUUAUUAGUACGAUUGAAAAGAAUGUUAAAGUAAACCAAAGUUUACUGAUACAAAUGCAUUUACUACUUGGCGUGACCAGUUAGACCAUCUUGGAUCAUAUAUGAUGCAAAAAUUAAUUGAGAAUUCAUGUGGACAUUCAUUAAAGAACUAGAAGAAUUUUUAAUUUAAAGAAUUCUCAUUUGUUGCUUGCUUUCAAUGAAAAAUGAUUAUUAGAAACUCACUAGCUAAAGUUGAGAUUUAAUGUCUUGCAUUUCUAAAAUGAAUAUGGGCACAUUCAUCCACCACGUGGAUGGUUUUAAUAUUAUAUGAUUUUGGUAGAUGCAUCUACAAAAUAAUCACAUAUGUGUUACCAACUUGCAACUUGUUGUUUGCAAGAUUACUUGCUUAAAUAAUUAAUUUCAUAUCAUGCAAUUAAGACAAUUCAUAUUGCUAAAGCUGGUGAGUUUAUAUCAAAAUCUUUUAUUGAUUGAGUCUGAAAAACUUCCGUAAAAGCUUGUUAUUUAUGCGCAUAAUGGUUUAGAGAAAUUAUUGAUUGAACGCAUCUGAUUAAUAUCUAAACCAUUACUUAUGAGAACUAAACGUCCUAUUUCAACAUGAGAUUAUGUUGAUUUACGUGAUGUACGCAUCAAACCAAUACGUUAUAAAUACUCCCCCAUUACAAUUGGUUUUUAGUCAAGAGCUAAAUAUUUUUCAUCUUUGAAUUUUUGUAUGUGUAUAUAUGUUCCAAUUGCUCCACCACAAUGCACAAAGAUGAGUGAAUCCUCAAAGAAAGUUGAGAAUAUAUAUUAAUUACAAGUCUCCUUAUAUUUUUUAAUGUUUUGAAUGUUUUGGAGAUUUAAUUAUGACCUGAUUUGUGAUUACUAUUUUGAUAUAGUUUUCCCGACAUUAAGGGAGAGAAAUAAUAGUUGAAUGAAAUCACUGCUUGUAAUGAGUUAUCAUUAUUUAGAUUCUUAUAGAGAGUAAUUUGAACCAAAAGUUCAAAAAAGAUAACUAAUUUAUUACAAGUUAACUGCCAGAUGUAUAUACCAUCUAAUAUUUUGAAUAAAAGUCCCAGUAGGACAAUCAGUUAGAAUAAAUAAUAGAUAUAUCGGUUCCAAAUGUGAAAAUAGUUCUAGAUGGUCAUAUAGUGGAAGCGGGUACUUUAGAAGAGACCUAAGACAUAACUAAUAAUUAAAACUCUAGAAGAGAUUCAGGUACCUGAAACUGAAGAUUAAAAUAGUGAAAAUAAGGGAUCUCGAUAAGUUAUGUCAAUUUGAGAAAAUGUGGAACCAAUAAUAAAAGUGGUUAAUAAUGGUUUUGCACGAAAUAUUAUUGUUGAAAUAAUGAAACAAAAGAGGAUCUUGAAUAAAUCUAUGGAUUAUAUUGUUCAAAAUAGAAAGAUACAACUUGAGUACAAUUAAAUUCGUGGAGUUUUUGGACCAGUAGUCCAAAUACCUAAAGGUAUAAAACUAAUGAGGGUAUAAAUGAAGUAGUUUUGCAAAAACGAAAUAAAAAUAUGAAAUUUUUUGUUAAGUCCUGACAUUGAUUAUGAAAAUAUAUAAUAUUCUUUUGUGGUGGAUGCAAUAACCUUUAGCUAUAUUAUUAAACGGACAGUUCAUAAAAGAUUUUGUAAUAGGCCAAUUUAGCCCGGGCUCACAAAAAAAUAAUAAACCCAAAAUAAUAAAACAGAGUCUAAGUCCAGUCCAAAAUUAUAUCAUUUGGCCCAAUCGGAAUGACCCAUUACUUGAAAAGGUUGAAGGUCCAUCUACAAGUUUGACACAUAUGGAAACAUAAUCUUCAAGAAUAUGCAAUCUUAGAUAUGAUAUGCAAUCUUAGAAGAUAUGAUUUUGUAAUCUUAGAGAUUUAAUUUGUAGAUAUCCUUUAAUCUUAGCCGUUGAUGUAAUUAAUCGGUACAGUUGGAUUUGGGGAGGCUCAACUAUAAAUAAAGGCCUCUCCCUUCAUUGUAAAGGACUUGAGUUGGGAGUAAUAAUAAUUAUUAAAAGUAUUCACUCAAAUUUCUCUCUCUCUUGUGUUCUUAUUUCAUGUGGCUUAUUCUUAUUUUGUUGAUUUGUGUAUAAUUUAUUUAUUGAUUUGUAUAUUGUUGAUUUCAAAUCUCUUUUUCCCUUGUUAUUCAUAUUUAAAUUCAUUAUUUUCAAAUUUGUUCACAUUUUAUUUUGCCUUAUAUUUUUUUUAUUUUAAAUUUAUUGGUCUUUGAUUAUUGAUGCUAUUUAAUCCUCUAUUUGUUAUUUUAGUUUUUAUUAUUAAAUUAAUUAUUUUAAUAUUAUUAACACUAUUAUGUGGCAUCAUUAAUCUUGUAUCAUUAUUAUUUACUUUUUUAUGCCUUUAAAUUUCAAAUUUUGUUAUAUAUAUGCAUGUAUACAUAUAUACGUUUUAUAAUAUAUACAUAUACGUACACAUUUUUAAAUUUUUAUAAAUAUAUAUAUACACAUACUUUUAUAUAUUUUCUAUGUUUCAUAAUUUUAUAUACAUACUUAUAUAUAUAUUUUACAUAUUAAAAUAUGUAUAUUUAUAUAUAUAUAUUUUAUUUUUUAUAAUUCACACGCAUAUAUAUUUUUCUUAUAUGUACAUAUAUUUUUUUUAUAUUUUAUAAUUUUUAUCUAUUUUCUUUGUUAUUAUUAUUGCUUUACUUGAUGUUUAUUUAUUUAUUUAUUCACAUGACCAUUAUUAUCAUUAUUAUAUUCUUUAAAUGCUUCGGUUUUAUUUGUUUAUUUACUUGAUAUUGUGUAUACAUGAUUGAUUUGUUUUUUUAUUUAUCUUUUCAUUAUUAUUAUUAUUAUUGUUGUUGUUGUUGUUGUUGUUGUUGUUCUUGAUCAUGCUAUUUAUAUUUACAUUAUCACAAUUGUUACUCCAUUAUAUAAUUUUUACCCAAAUUCGUAUAAAGAGAAAAUUUUGAAAAAUAAAGGCAAUACUCGAUAUUUGGAAUCUUCGAGAGGAUUGAGCCCUAACGUAUUGGGUUCCAACUCUUUCGUUGAAUCUGAAUAAUCGAGAAUACUCUUUAAUCAAAACAUAAAUAAAAAGCUCAUUAUCGAGAAUUCAAUACGUUGUGUCCUAACGCAUUGGAUAUGACACGUUGUUUUCUCGAGCUGAUAAUUUUUUCUAAAAAUAAUAAAGGUAAUAUUCAAUGUUUAGAAUUUUGAGAAAUUGUGCCCUAACGUAUUGGGUUGCGAUUUCUUCAUCUGACUUAAACAAUUGAAUAUCCUUUUAAAUUUUAUUGCACGAGUUUUUUGGACAAGCUCGUUUUUGAGGAAGUGAAAUAUCAUGCCCUAACUCAUUGGGUGUGACAUUUUCUCUUUUCGAAAUGAGAGGGUUUUAUCGAGUAACUUGUUUUAUAUAAGUUUCUUAAAAAUAAAAAUAAAAGAUCGUAUUUUAAAUCGCUUCAAAGUUUUUAGUUUUCGACAUUAAGACAUUAAUUAAUUAACUAGGUACCAAUUUUUGGGCGUUACGAGGGUGCUAAUCCUUCCUCGUACGUAACCGACUCCCGAACCCGUUUUUCUGAAUUUCGUAGACCAAAAUCGUUGUUUUAAUAAAGUCAAAUCGCUUAUUAAAAAUAACCACUUUUUGAGGUGACCCCGAUCACACCUAAAUAAAAAGGAUCGGUGGCGACUCCCAUUUUUAUUUUUAUUUUCAAAAUCCAAGUCGACCCCGUUUUUCAAAAUAAAAAUGGUUUCAAUAGAUUUAACUUGCGUUUAAUGGUUGUUGUUACAACCUUUUAUGAAUCACUAUAUAGUAAAGUUUAUAUUAAAAUCCUUGAAAGAUUUAGAAUGCUAGAAACAUAUUAAAAUUCUCGAUAAAUUGUUCAUUUAUAUGAAUUGAAAUAAUUUGAACAUAUGUAGUAAAUUUGACUGAGUGAAUAGUAGUUGAAGGAGGUUUAUAAAAUGAUCCAAAAUACCGAUUUAUAUUUUUAUAGAAUAAUUAUGAUUAAAGUUUCCUAUGACUAUUGUUGAAACUCUUGAAGAGAUCAAAAUAUAUUUUCCCCAAAAUUUUUCCUCACUCAUGACUUUCAAAAGAAUGGUGAUAUAAAUGCUUAGCAAUACAUUCAAAUGGUCAUUUGAAAAGCUAGUAUUCAAGAUUGAAUAUGCAGAAUAUGAGAUAUUAUGUGAUGUUUUUAUGAGGGGGAGUAAAUUCGCGCUAUACUCUUUUUUUUUUAAUCAAGGUUUUGUCCCAUUGGAUUUUCUUGGUAAGGUUUUUAAUGAGGCAAUAUAUUAUGUGUAUUAUAGAAAUUGUACUCUUUUUCCUUCACUAGGAAUUUUUUUCCCCACAAGAUUUUUAUCUUAGUAAGGUUUUAAUGAGACACAUUAUCUACCAAUGGACAUCUAAGGGGGAGCGUUAUGAAUAUCUUAUUAAAUGAAUGUCUAUCAAGAUCAAGAUAAAUUUUGAUAUACUUUAAAUUCUAAUAGUGAUUAGAAGUAUAUCUCUACUUAAUUUAUAGUUCUUAUGCCUAUAAAUAGAGAUUUUAGAGAAGCAUCGUAAAUAUUUCCAAAUGACCAAUAAAAUACCUUCUCUCUUUUGCCUUCUCAUUCUCUUUGUUCUUUAUCUUUUAUUUUAUAACAAUAUAUAAUUUUUAAAUAUUAGCAUUUAGUUUUAUCAAGCAACAUUUAUAUUUACUAAAUUAUCAAAUAGUUUUUUAAUAUCAAUUUCAGUAAUAAUUUUUUAAUGCUUAAAAUUUCAAUUUAUUUAAUAUUAAAAAGUAAAAUUAGUUUAUAUUACUAAUAUUCAUAAAUAAAAUACAAAUAUGAAGUAGUAAUAUUGAAAUUAUAAAAGAUUGGGGGACCCUAAAGAAGUUAAAACUGGUGAGGAGCAUAGCCGGUCUAGAACACCUUUUAAAUGAAACCAAAUUACCUAAACAGAGCCCAAAACCUCGCUCGAUUUUUCGUUUCACUGACAGAACCUGAAAUACGAAAGCCGGAAGCCGCUUCAACAUUUUCAUCUUUGGAUUUCUGAGGUUGUAUCCCAAAUCCCAAAAAAUGGUAAAUUUCUAGAUCCUUUUUAUUAUAAUUAUUUCAUUUUCCCAUUUUUCUCUGUUUUGCCAUUUUUUUUAAAUGUUUUUGUUUGAAUCUAAUUAAAUGCUUAAUUUGGAGUACGAAAGUUCACCUUUUUUUAGGAAUUAUUUUACUAUGGAUGCCAUUCAGUUUCAUAACAUGAAUAAAGAAUUUGUUUCAGCUUAAUAUUUCUAAAGGAAAAAAGAUUAUUUUUUGGGGGGAGAAGUUGUUAUGGUGUUGUGGACUUUCUUUUUAGUUCCAAGUAUAAGCCGAACUAUGUUACCUGAGUUAUUUUUAUUUUAGUAUUCUGUGUCCAACACAUAUUUUGACAAAUAUAUGGAAUAAUUGAGCUUAUCUGUGUCGAAACAUACCCGUUUUAGAUACUCACCUUCGCGUCCAGUUACAAUUUGUUUUGAAUAAAUCUGAUGCUGAUAGACUCCUCUGAGUUCAGGCAAAAGUCCCUUUUGUUUAUGGUGUAGUUUAAAGUAUGUCUGUUGAUAAACUCAUGGAGAUGUUGGGAUUUGGCAGUUGAUGUGAUUUCCAUGGUAGAGAAAGAGCCAAGGGAAGCUUCAGCCUUAGCUUAUGUUUUUAAGUCCUUGAGAGAUAUUUAAUCUUCUUAUCAAUUUAUUGAUUUCAUUGUAUGAAACUUUAGUUUCUUGUUUAUUCUAUGACUCUAGAUUUCUUUCUAAUGUUGCUCGAAUUGAAUAUGAGAAUGUGUCUGCCAUAGGUAUGUGUGCGUAUCUAUAUUGAAGUUUUUCAUGUAUUUUGGGGGUCAUAUCUCCAUAUCUAAAUACACAUUGGACACAGAUACUUCACAAAAAAUGAAAGAGUUGAGGAAACUUUUAGUUUAUGGCAUUUGGUCAGUUUAGGGUAGCUGUGUGUUAGCCUUCAAAGAAUUAGUAAAAAGAUGAAUCUUGAAUGAAUUAAUAGCUUGUUCGCAUUCAAAACCUAUGUAACGUGGUCUCAAGGGGUGAGUAUCAAAUACAGGUAUGUGUUUGACACGGAUACUUCAGAGAGAAUGAAGAGUCUGGAAAACAUAGCUUAAAACUUAUUAUAAUUUGAUGCAACAUUAAAGAACUGCUUAUGCUCACUAGUUGAACUCAAAUUGUCUUUAUUAUGUGUCUGAUACGGAUACUUUAAGGAAUGAAAAAUCCGGAAAGCAUAGUGGAAACCUCGGUGGAAUAAAAUGUGACUUUCAAGAGCUGCUUAUGCUAAGUGAUAACUUGUCGAACUAAAACUUUUUAGCUGCAAUUGAGGGUUAAUAGUGUUUCUUUUCUUUUGUAAAAUAAUUAAUGACUUGAUUCUUCUGCUGCAAUAUAUAUAAACUUUAAUUAAUGAAUUUCUAGAUGUUCAUCAGGCUACACCAUUUUUCGCUGGGCUUGCAGUUGCUGCAGCAGCUCUUGCUGGUAGAUAUGGAAUACAAGCUUGGCAAGCAUUUAAGGCAAGACCACCACAACCUAGAAUGCGUAAAUUUUACGACGGUGGUUUUCAACCUACAAUGACAAGAAGAGAAGCCGCGUUGAUCCUUGGUGUUCGGUAAGCUUUGUUCCGCAUAAAUCAUUAAGGAAAUGAUAUAUUAUGAAUCUGUUAUAUAUUUGUAAUAUCUAUUUGAGAGUUAAUAUUAUGAUUUUAGAUUCUUGAGCAUACAUGAAUGACUCAUUUAUGAACUUUAUCCCCUAGAAUAUUAAGGCAAUCAUAUACUUUGAAUAUUUUAUAUAUUGGUAAUGUCUAUCUGAGAGAUAAUAUUAUGAUCCUCAAGUUUUUGGUGAUGGGAGUUCUUAUUUGAUUACUUCCUAAGUUAAUGUUUGAAGUUUCGAAAAAUUUUCUGGCAUCCGAAUCCAACCCUUGUCACUACCUUAGUAAGACCAAAGGGUGAUUGAGAACUAUGAAGUGAGCCCCAAUACAUGCAUCUUCAAUUAAAUUUUUUUUUCAUAUAUUUGCCCAAAUAUAUAUGUGGGACACGAGUACUUUAGGGACAUGCAGUAUAGAUUAGGGUUGGGGAAAUGAAGAAUGAAAGCAAGCAUAGAUGUUACUUGUGGCAUGCAUUUCUUUAGUGUUUUCACAGAUUUCCAUCUUUGUGAUGAUGUUUCUUUUCUACACCAUAUGAUUUAACAGGGAGAACGCGACAGCGGAGAAGGUGAAGGAACAACAUAGGAAAGUAAUGGUAGCGAACCAUCCAGAUGCGGGUGGGAGCCACUACCUGGCCUCGAAAAUCAAUGAAGCUAAAGAUGUGAUGCUUGGGAAGACGAAGGGCAGUGGAUCUGCAUUUUAAAUCCAAAAUGGCCUUUGCUUUUUAUUUUGGGUGUCAAACUUCUAAACCAUUUGCCUACUUAUAUGGAAGCAUACCAAAAUUUAUUUUUAAUGAAAUAAUAUUAAAAAAAUGGUAUGAAAACUGUGGCUUUGCAAAAAUAUUUAAAGUGGUGUUGUCACACUGAAAAAUAUGCCGAUGUUACGUCAAAAUAUGGGUGUCGUUGGGGGAAUAAAAUAAAAAUUAAAUGCGGCACCCACUUUCAUCUGUAAAUACCUCAGUCUUUCAUCUAAAACACAAGCUAUCAAUUUAAGAAUUCAAGAUCAAACACAUUGUUUUUGGUGUUUUAAUUAUUAUUUAUUUUAUUUUAUUUGUAAUAAUAGUUAUGUUUUUAUAAUUUUUAGUAUUUGUUUGUUGAUCAGAUAUUUGAAUGCUUUUUAUUUAAUCUGUUCUUUAAUGUUUGUUAGAGCCAUGGCUGUUUAAGGCUGAUGAAUCACUGUUGUGUUUCAACAUAACUUGUUCAGAUACAGCGAUGUUGGUAUUUGGACUCGGGCCUACAUAUAUAUUUUUACCAUAUGCAAAUGGAUUGCAUGAUGUGUUUCUUUUCAUCUUAAAUCUCGGUGAUCGACAUCCCUUAUCACGUGGGGCUUAUUUCGUAAUUUAUUUGCUCAAUUUACUUGGAUAAUAAAUUUGAAUUUUGAGAUUACUUUUGGAGGUUUUUUAUUAUUAUCUUGGAUUAUUAUGCACCAAAUUGAAGUCUAAUUUGAAAGGUUGUCUCAUUUAGUCUAUAAAUAGGUAGCUUAUUCGUAUGAAUGAAUGCUUCGUUUGGAGAGUGUUAGUGCUGAUUUUGUUAGUUUAUUUGCUGUCGAUUUUCUUUGUAUUUAUGCACUCGGCAUUAUUUGACAGUGUUAAAUAUGAUUGUAAGUGAGGUAUUGGAUGAGUAGUUGUAACAAGUUGGGACUAGUUACUAGGGUUGUAAUUACUUCUUACACGUGUAAGGGUGGAUUGAGUUUUAACAAACAGGUGAACCAUUCACUGAGUAAAGUUUGUAAAAUAGGAUCAUUUUCGAACUGCGUUAGCAAAUGUUGUGUGCUUAUAUCUAUAUGUUUUAAAUUGUUAUAUAUUAUCCAUGCAAGUGUUUAUAUAUAUAUAUAUAUGCCUUAAAGACUAAAAUGUUGGUAUUAUAUUGUUGUAUUUAUUUAUUACAUCUUUAUGUUAGUAUUAUAUUAGUUGGUUGAAAUUUUUAUAUUUUAUGUUUGUUAAGGUUUGAAAAUUUGGAUAUGAUAAUUGAUUUAUAGUAAAGCUUUGAAUUUUUAUGAUAUAAAUUGUUUUAAUUGCAAUCAAUAUUUUUUUAUUUUUAGUUUAUUUUAAAAUUUUAGUAUAAAAAAUGAAUAAUCAAUUCUACUUAUAUGUCUAUUUCGAUGGGAUAAUUCGUGAGACAGAAAUUGGUUGUGUAUUUGAAUCACGUCAUCAAUAGAAUGAAGUUUAACAUAAGAGUAAAACUUGAAGAAAUAAAAGAAAAGAUCGGUACAAAAAGCACUCGAUAUUGUGAGAGAAUGAUGUCCAAGCUAUUUUACAAAUUUCUAAUUUACCAUAAUAUUACCAUUUGAGUUCAACAUUUAUUUUUUUAAUUGAAAAUUUUUUGAUACAUAAAGUAUCACAGUGUGUUAAUAUGAUAGUGAACUCACCGCCUAACAUUGUAGUUUCAGCUUACACAAAUAAAAAUGUGGACUUUUUAAAAUAAAUUAAAAACUAACUUUUAUGUUUAAAUAGUUUCUUCUUAAGGUAUAUAUUUAUAUAUAAAAACCCAAUAAUGGUCACUUAAAUUAUUCACUAAGCAAAACAAAUUAAUUAGUUAUUAUCUAUUUUCACCCAGCACAUGAAAAAGUCCAAUAUUUUGUGGUUGUCAUUUUUUUUGUAGGCAUAGAAAUAUGGAAAAUAAUAUUUUUUUUGUUUAAUGCUAAAUUUAGUCCUUAAUGUUUAUAUAAUUUUUUUUGUUAAUUUAGCUCUUAUUCUUUUUUUUUAGUUAUAAUUGAUCCUCAACAUUUUAAAAAAGAGUCAAAUUGUAACACCCCUAACCCGAAUCCGUCGCCAGAACAGGGUUACGUUUCAAAAUUUUUCUUAGAAGUAUGGGACACAUGCCCGUGUCUCUACUCGUGUGAAUGGAAAUAGGUCAUUAUUAAACAAAAUACCUAUACUUGCCAUUAUAUCCAAAAUCCAAUCAUUCAAACAUACCGAUAUAACCAAUAGAUAGUGUGAUAUAUCUCUGACAAACUUCCAACCCAAUCGAGCUUCCGAUAAUCUGUAGGGUAAAUAAAAACAAUACGUAAGCAAUGAAUGCUUAGUAAGCUCGUGUAGUCUUUAAUCAUAUUAGUUCAUUUAAAAAAAGUGAAAUCUAUACAUAUCAAGAAUAAUCCAGUAUUAAUACCACAAUACUCAUGUAGCUAUAUUCAACAACUCACAAGGUGAAUAAAUCCACAGUAUCACUUACAUAUUAUCCCAAGCUUAGUAGAAUUUUAUAUAACUUUAACUCUUCAUAAUUUCUUUAUUUUCAUUUGCAUUUAUUUACUUUCCACGCUUAUUCCAUAUAUAUGACACACAAGUCAUAAACAUAUCAUGGUUAUAAGCUAGUGCAUUUAACCAAAGCCUUUUUCGAAUUGAUCACAUGAUAAGGCAUUUCAUAAGAAAUUGCAUAAUUUAAACCUUACCAUUUUUUCAUGAGCACUAGUAUAUUUUCACUUAAAUACUUACCAAUUCAAUGCAUUAUACAAAUAAUCAUUCAACCAAUAGCUUGGCACUUGCCUAAGCAUCAAGCAACAACACUGGUUAGCGUACUUGCAUACAUUACAUAUAAACUCAUCAUACAUAAAUUUUCUUGUAUCAACAUAUUAAAGAUAAUCAUACAUUUACAUGUCAUGAUAUAUAUUAUUCUCUUGUCAUUUCUUCAUUGGCAUAGAUCAUUCAUUUCAUUAUUUCAAUAAUUCAUGUACCAUCACUUUUAUGAAUUUCGCGUACAUACCAGUAAUAGUUAAUUUCAAACUCAUGUUAUCUCACUUCAGAAAUUUGGCCGUUUUAUCAUUUAAAUAUCAAUGGUUACAUUUAUUUCAGAUCAAUACCAAUAAUAAUCUAUAAAUCUUUCAAUUCAAUCACAUAAGUCUUUUACCGUUUCUUUCUGAAUCGAAGAACGACUUACGGAUAUGAGUACAUCGUUCUUAGGUGUCAUAGUCCAACUAUGGUCUUGCACAUAUAAACACUGCCAUGGUCCGACCAUGGUCUUACGUUCAUAGUGCCAUAACCCAGUUAUGGUCUUAUCCGACAAUUCAUCCUUUGCCACAGAAUGAUUUUACUCAAUCCCGCGUUCAAUCCAAAUUGAGUAUUAAAUUCGAUAAUAUAUUUCCAAUAAUAAUUCAUUUAUCAAUAUUUAUAAUUCAAUUUGGCUUUCAUUUGUUAACAUCAUAUACUAUUACAUUGAGCCUUUAUUUAUCUCAUGCACAAUUAGUUCAUGCUUUCUAUUCAUAUUUUCAUAUUCAAUUCACAUUUUCAAAUUAUGUUCCACAAUCAUGUUUCCCUUCAAUGGCUCAACUGUUUCAUUUUGUUUGAUUUAACUUUUCAUUUAAUUACCCCUAUUAACAGACUCGGGCUUUGGCAGAUACGUGGAUUCUAACCAAACACACCAAUACGGCACAUUGUGCCUAAAACGGUACAUAGUACCUGAUUAGUAUAUGACAUAUAAGUACCUGAUACGACACACGAGGUGCCUGAAAUACGACACGCGAGGUGCCUGAAAUACGACAUGCGAGGUGCUUGAAAUACGACACACGAGGUGCCUGAUAUGACACAUAAAGUGCCUGGUGUACGACACAUAAAGUGCCUAGUGUACGACACAUAAAGUGCCUGAUGUACGACACAUAAAGUGCCUGAUCGGCAAAGCCGAUAAAUUCCCGUUCUCUUCCAAUCUUAUGGCAUGCCAACUAUAUCCGACUCAGCCCGACUAGUUAAUAGGGUUUUCAAUUCUCAAUUCAAUUUCACAUUCAUUCCAAAAGUUACUUUCAAUAUCAAAUUCACCUUUUCAUUCACGAAUCAAAUUUCAAUUCAAUACUAACACAUAUUUCUUAUUCCAUUCAAUUUUCUAAAUUCAGUUGAAUACUAACACAUAUACAUAUAUAUUAUUCAUCAUCAAAUGACAUUCGCUUUAAUCAAAAUUGUACAGAAUAUAGUUCAUACGAACUUACCAAGUUAAUUUGCAGAAAUACCAAGAUAUAAGAGCAUUAUGGUAAUUUUCCAUUUCCCUCGAUUUUCUACCCGAUCUUGAUCUAAGUUAAUAUUUCAUUCAAUUUAUUAAUUUAAAUAAUAAAAUAAUUCAUUUCAUGCAAUUUUUCAUUUUUGACAUUUUUACAAAAUUACCCUAAAAAUUUACUUUUAUUCAAUUUAGUCCCUGAACCUAUAACAUGUAAAUUAGCUAUUUUAAGAUAAACUCAUAUUAGCUGAAUAUUUACAUAUAUUUUUCCUCCUCCUCCACUCCAUUCUACAUCCUUGAUAUAUAUAAUACCAUUAUUUACUUGUUUACUCAUAACAAUCUGUUCACUUGAGUCAUAGUCACUAAAUUAAUUAUAUUUUAAGCUACAGAACUUCGAAUUGAGAUCUUUAAAUUUUCUCUGAAACUAGACUCACAUAUAUUAUUACCAUAAAAUGUUCAGAAUUUUUUAUUCAGCCAAUAAGUACAUUUUAUUCUUUAAAGUCACCUCUGUUCUACUGUCUGACAGUUCCGACCCUUCUUCACUAAAAAUUAAUUAUCUCCUUGUACGGGAUUCAAAUGAUGUUACCAUUUAUUUCUAUUGAAAAUAGACUCAUUAAGGAUUUAAAAAUAUAAAUUUAAGCCCAUAAUUAUUUUUCUCCAAUUUUUGAUGAUUUUCCAAAGUCAUAACAGGGGAACCCAAAUUCAUUCUGACCUUGUCUCACAAAACUUAUUAUAUCUCAUGAUUUAUAAUUCCAUUACUUGCAUAGUUUCUUCUAUAAGAAACUAGACUAAAUAAGAUUUAAUUCCAUAUUUUUUCUCAUCCUCUAAUUCAAUUUCCACGAUUUAUGGUGAUUUUUCAAAAUUAACCUACUGCUGUUGUUCAAAACUGUUUUAGUGCAAGAUGUUGAUUACUAAGUUUAUAACUCCCUUAUUCCAUUUCUCUAUAAUAUUUCCCAUCACUUCCACUUAUUUCCCUUCACUAAUAUAUCAAGAACAUAAGACCUUAUAUAAGAAAACUCUACUAUAACAUCAUUUCCAUACUUUUUCAAUAAUAUCAAACUUAAAAAUAUAUUGAAAUCUUAAUGUUCUUACCUUGUCCUAUUGGUUUCAACAUUUAACUUGAUUUUCUCUCUCCUCCAGCUUCUAUUUCUUGAAUCUAACUUGAUAUUUUAGCUCCCCGUAGUCUCCUUGUUAUUUUUCUCUCUUGAGGGAUAUGAAAAUACUUUUGAUUUCUAGGUGAAAAUGAUAAAUUUUUGGUAGAAGGACCAAAUUGUAAAGAAAAUAAAACUUUCUUUCUUCUCUUCCCUUCUAACGUGAAAUGCAUGGAAAGAUGGUGGGAUGGUGGCUUUUUAUCUUUCUUCCCACACACAUAUAUAUACACUAAAUAAAUUAAUAAUAAAAUAAUAAAAUAUCAUUUAAAAAUCAAAUUAACAUAUUAAUAAACUAAUAUUUAUUUAAUUAAUUAAUCUAAAAUAUCACCAACAUCAUCAUUGCCUUCUAGAUUUCUCUCUCUUCUAAUUGAACAUUUUUCCUUUUAUAAUCUUUUAAAAUUUCAUCCUUGAGUCAUCACUUAAUUUGGUAAAAUUGUAAUUUAGUCCCUUAAAAUUCUUCACCUUUUCAAUUUGGUCCUAAUUCAUCCAUUUUCCUUAGUUUCUAGAUUAUUCCACCCUUAAAAUAUUUGCACUAUUGAUCCUUCAGCUUUUUCAUAUUUACACUUUACCCGCUCAAAUUUUGAGUAUUUACAAUCAACAAAACUUUUCUCACUUUUGCGAUUUAAUCCUUUCUUGAAUUAAUAUGUCAUAAUAUACUUCCCAAUGUUGCCAUAACUCAAAAUUUCCCUUUUUGUCACUUUAUUUCCUUAUCUUACUAUAGCAAGGAUACCUACUUUCUUACUGUAGUAAUUUUCGGGGUAUUACACAAAUUAUUUUUUUAAUAAUAAUACUGACUAAAAUGUUAAAUUUUUAAACAUUGCAGCCCAUAUAUCCACAUGUACUCGACAAAUAGUUUCAUGUCAACAUCAAGUAUAUGUAGACUGCCACACAAGUUGCCAUUCCAAUAUCGUUAAAAAAAUUAACGUUUUAGUUAGCAUUUUCGCUAAAAAAUGUAAUUUGACUCUUUUGAAAAGUUAAUAGUCAAAUUUAACUCAAAAAAAUGAAAAUAUGUCAAAUUGAUAAAAAAAUGUAAACCUUAAGUGCUAAAUUUGACAUUAUUUGUUUGCUUUUCAAGGUUAAUAUGUAGUUUAUCUCCUAACUUGUCCAAAAGUAUGUAGGUGAUAUUUGAACUUUCUUUGGACCUAGUUGGUACUUGAAUUAAUACUAUUAGUUUUUGUUGACAUGGUAUUAAUAGCCAAUCUAGUGGUGUCACAUGACAGCCUCUCAAUAUGCCAUGUGGUGGACAUAAAUUUAAAAAAAAACUAAAAAUGUUUACAAAUAUAUAAAUUAAUAAAAAAGUAUAAUUUUUUUACAUCAAGAACGAACUUGUACAAAUAGUUGUGUAGAUACAUCUAGAUGUAUUAUUUAGUUUGUAUAUUUUUAAUUUUUUUGUAAAAUAUUAGUUUUUAGGUUAUUAUUAUUUUUAAAAAAUAAAAAAAAUAUAUAUUUAAAAUAUAAAAAAGCAUAUAAUAUUUUUAAAAUAUAAAUUUUUUUGUAAUAUAUAAUAAAUGAACUAAUUAAAAAAUAGAAUUUAUAAAAAUAUAUAAAUACAUAAAAGAACUAAAAAACACAUCCCGAUGAAUUUGGAUAAAUGAUUGUCUAAAUGCACUUGAAUCAAUAAAUUCAUUUUUGAUGUAAAAACCUUUUUUAUAUUAAUUUAUAUAAUUUAAAAUUUCAAAAUACUAAUAAUAUAAAUAACAUGAUAUUUUAUAAAAAAUAAAAAAAUACUUAUUAAAAAUACAUAUAGAAUGAAUCUAAAUAAAUAAAUAGGUGUCCAAAUUCAACUGUAUCUAGAUAAUAUUUUUUAUCUUCUUUUUUUAAAUUUAUGUCUACCAAGUGACUCACAUGUCUCCGUCAAAUUACCUUCAAUGUCACAUCAGUAAAAGGAAUACAAAUUCAUAUCAACUAAAUUCAAAAAACAAUUCAAGAUAAGUUCAGAGAUCAAUUCUACAAGCUAUAACCACAAAUAAAUAGCACAUCAUUCGAGGAAAAAACUUGGAGACAGGGUAAAAGAGAGUCAAUUAUCCUGUUGAUUCUCACCAAUGCAUCAAAUUUUGGUUUGUAUUGAGGAGUGACGGUGUCAACGAACUUGGGGAUCUCUACACCUGCAAUGGAAGAGUAACAUUUGUAACGGCGAAUCCCUCAAAACUCCAUCCAAACCUUAUAACAAGCAUGAUAAAUAUGAUUACUUCAACUGCUAGAAAUUGCAGACAAGUGAGAAUUGAGUAGCUAGAUGUCUAUAUUUUCUUCAUUCUACUUCGAACAUAAGUAUAGGAGUAUCUCAAGUUUUGGUGUCCAGAAGAAUCUGAUCACAUAAUAGCAUUAUUGAAAUGAAACAUCUACGGCAUUAAUCUGAAAUUGUUAAAUGCUAAUAGCAUUCAACAAGUGAAUUGCACAUAAAUAAGAAUUGUAUUUGCAAACAAAAUAGCAGCCAAUUUAAACAAUGUCCUCAUUGGCAAUUGAUUUCCAUUUAACUUUCAGUGAAGUAUGGGGCAUGGAACUGGUCUAGGAAAGAUCAAGGAGAUCUGGAGCUAGAAAAUGAUUGAUAACUGUGUUACGCAAACUCGAGUGCAAGUGUCAGAUCAGGCUAAAUGUCCAAAAUGGGUAUGUUCAACUUUUUUCCAAGAAUUUGUAGGCUUGAAGGGUCAUAUCCCCAUAUCUAUGGUCCAGAUAUAGGUCAGGCAUUGAUAUUUCCGUAAAAAAGAGUCAGAGAAAUAUAAAGCAAUAGCAAUAAAAUCCAUACUUUAAUAAUACCCCUUCCAAAACCCCAAAAUUUGAGUGUGAAGAAAGGAAAGAGCUAGCUACUUAAGGUGACCAUAUUAGCAUCCAACUAAGUAAUAGUUCCCUUGUACCAUAGAGAUGAUCUUCAAAGUAACAAAUUCAGGAACACAAACAAUUUAUGAUUUUACAGACCUGCAACUGAUCUAAGCAUAACCAUAUAUAGGAUGACUGGAAAAUUGGAUAGAGAGUAAGCCAAAUAUGAUAACUAUCAAAUUAACUUAUUCUCAUAUGCCUCUUUGUACAUAUCUACCAGGCGAGAGCCAAUUCCUUUUCUAUAGUACUCCCAGUCAAUGGGUUCAGGUUCCUGCUUAAGAAAUCGGAUUAUUAACAAGAUAGGACUGAAACCUUGAACAAAACUAAAAUUUCCUUAAAAAUGAAAAAAAAUGUUCCAAAAUCAAACCUUGAAUAAAAAAAUUCAACCUUAUUGAAAAUUUAUUUCAAUAUAAAAUAUUAAAAUCAUCAUUAAAAAACUAAAACCCUAAGAUCUAAUCAACGGAUUAACCCAACAAAUCUAUGAAAAAAAUCAAUAAAAAUGCUAAAAAGGAGCUAGGGAUUAGAGAGAAUAUAAGAAAAAGACCUGGCUGAAUUUGGUUUGUAAAGUAGAGUUAACUUCAUCAAAAGUGCGACGAAGAGUGGCGAACUCUUUGCGAGCCUCAUCGGAGACCAAAAGCUUAGCCAUCCCUUCCCAAUCAAUGUUCUUUGAUGCUUUGAACGCGACAUCGACGACUUUCUUCCCCGGUCCGCUCAUUUUUCUCGCACUUUCUCGCUUCCCAAACGCUAAAAUUUCAGGAUUUUGUCUUCAUGAUGAAGGAUAAAAUUGGAACUUGAGACAGUUAAUGGGCCGGUUUGAACUACUUAAAUUGAGCUUGACCCAAUUCGAUGAUAGACCGGACUUUGGUCCGAAGGGUGGCUUGUUUUAGGUCCAAUUAUAAUUUUGGACCCACAAAGACUUUUGGGCCCAAGAUUUUUAUAUUUAGCAUUUUAAUUGCCCUGUAUUAAAUUGAAGGUGGAAGAGUGGUAUGGGGUUUUAUGGGUGAUUUGAAUUGGAAUUGUCCUGAAGUCUUUUAUUUGGUGCAAAGAUGUAUUCCCAUGUCAACUGCAUUACUUAUUUCUAAAAUAUAUUUACAUUUCCACUAGAAAGGAUAUUGUAAACAAGUAUUCCAUGUACGCAAAACAUUAAGCCUCUAAAUCAUACAUUAAACCUGAUGUGAGAGCUUAAAGAAAAAUAUAAAUUAUAAAAAUCUUUUAGUUAAAGUUAUUUGGUAACAUUUUGUUUUUCUUUAAAACUUUCAUUUUAAAUUAUACCACAGAAAAUUUAAUAAUUGAAACACUUGGUUGAUAUAACAUUGAUAGGUUGAGAAAUAUAAUUAAAACACGAAUUUAAAAUAAGGUCGUAAAAGUCGUUUUCUUUCUUCACCUGCAUGAAGAAAGUCAUCCAUCUUCAUUUUUUUCAUAAGAAAAAAGGUAAAAUUGAGAAGAAAUAAAUUAAGGCCCGUCAGCUGGGUUGUCUGCAUAUUCAACUCUGUGUCUGAAUGCCUUCCAAUUUGUUUCAUCAUAGAUGCCUCAUUUCAUUAUCUUUAUUUACACUUACCUCUUCUCUUAUUUGUGUUCAUAUAAAUUUUAAUUUAGUGUGGAAGGUGUUGGAUUUAAUAAACACAAAAAAUAUAAUUUUAAUCUUUAUUCAAUGUAUGAAAUAUUUUAAAGUCAAAGUACUAUCACGUCUAAAAUAAUAUCAGUAAAAUCAAAUUUGAACCAAAAUUUAUAUAUAAUCUAUAAUAAAAACAUUUUUAAAAUAAUUUCAUUUAGAAAAACAUGGGAUGGAAUCAGAGUUGUUUGUAAAAAUUAUAUACUCAUAAUUAUGAACUAUAUUAUAUUAAAACAUAAGAAUAAGCUCUAGUACAAUAUUUCUUUUGAAACCCUAGUUACGUCGCAAUAAAUUUAUGAAACUUUGUUGAUGAAAUUUAUUUUUGGGUAUAUAUAUUAUCCACUUAUUAUAGCCAUGUCAUCAUCCCAUUUAAAUAGGAAUAUUUUUUGAACAAAUAUUUAAUUCAAUUAUAUUGUUUAUCUUUGUUUUUCUAGUAUUUAGAUAUGAUUAUAAAUAAAAUAUUUUUCAUUAUUUGACAAUAUUUCAAAAGUUGUUCUUUUAACAAUCAAAAUUUAUUUUAUAAUAACAUAAUAAGUUAUAGUAAUUAAUAUCAUAAACUUUUUUUUGCCCAAGUAUACCACACACACAUAUAUAUAAACUUAAUUUGAAUUACAUAUACUACAUAUAUGAGAGUUGAGCGCAUUAGAGUUGCAAGGGAUAAAUAAAACUAAGUAUGCUUUAAACAAAAACCCAUAUUUAUAAGAUUAAAAUAUUCUAUUUUAUACUAUAAAAUUUUUAUUGUUAAUUAUUUAUAAAUUGUAAUAUAUAUUCAUUAUUAAAAUAUCAAUAUAAAUAUUUUUCAAUAAUACAUUAAGAAUAUUAUUUAAAAUUUAAACUUAACAUUAAAAUAAAAUUGUGAUAUUAAAUAAUUUAUUAAAAUAACAAUGUUAUUAAACAUAAAUAAUUAAAUAUGAACGUUUAAUAAUAUUGAACAUUAUAAUAUUUAUUAUUAAAAGAAAUUCUUUAUAAACAACUAUUAUGACUUCUAGCCAAGAAUCAAAAGUUAAGGUGGAGUAUAAAAAAAAAGCUUUGACAAAUGGUAGAGGAUGGCAGUGACAAUAUCUCAACUGAAGAUCACAAUACCGUAAAAGUUCGGUUCAAAGGUUUGACAGUGGAUACGGGCAGUGACAUGGCUGGGGAUUUGUCUCCAGUGCUGAUGAUGUCAUGGAGGGAUAAAGUGAUGGGGAGGGGCUCCCCUAAUCCUGUCUGUGAUGAAGAUUUUAAGUUUUAGAAGGAGACAUAACUAGAUCUACUGUAAAUGGGUUACCUACGAUAGAAGAGAAUCAAACAACUUUUGGUAAGGUAUAUGGAGACCACAAUGGUGGUGAAACUACUAGGCCAAAAUUUAGCAUACAAUUCUCCCCAUAAUAGGAUCUUUAGCCUCUGAAAACCUGCGCACGCUUCCAUCUCAUGGAAUUCGAAAAUGGUUAUUUUCUGGUUAAAUUCCAGAGUAGGGAGGCCUAUGAAAUGGUGCUUACCCAGGGUCCGUGGAUUAUUUUUGGGUAGUACCUCAUGAUUCAACCAUGGACUCUAGACUUUAAUCCCCUCCAACCAUUUCUUAAAAUUGUCAUGACUUGGGUUUGGCUACCUAGAAUACCGGGUUUUCUUUAUAAGCGUCGAAUUUUGGAAGAAAUUGGUGGAUUGGUUGAUAAGGUAGCUAAACUCGACUUCAAGAUAGAUAGUGGAUCAAGGGGAAGAUUCGCCCGAAUGGCAGUGUUUAUCAACUUGGAGAAACUAUUGAUCUCGCAGAUUCUGGUUAAUGAUACGGUACAUAGGGUUGAGUAUGAGGUGUUAUCGGCAGUUUGUUUCGCUUGCGACAGGUAUGGUCACGUACAAGAUUUGUGCCCUUUUGUCGGUUCGAUGACGGACGGCGGUGGGAGCAAAGAUGAAACAACGAUUAAUAUACCUGAGAAAUAGAAGAUAGAGGAGCCAGCGGAGUCGUUUGGACCAUGGAUGCUCAUCGAGAGGAAAUCUUAGCGUAACCCGAGGGCGAAUCUAAGCAGUAAUGUGAUGAAUCCAACUAUAAAGGGGGGUAGGUUCCAUAUUUAACGCUCAUUCCUCUUUAGGGGAAGAAAAGGCUGAAAAUGAAGUGGUGGCUGCUGAAUGCUGAUUUAUUGAGAGUUAAAUUUAAAAAAUGAGAGUUUUUGAAGAAGAAGGAAUGUGUUAACGUACAUGGGCUGAAUAGGGAUGAGCUCUCGGUUGGUAAAGGAACUUCUAGGGAGUGGUCCAGUUUGGGUUCUGGGGCCCCAUUAAAAAAUCAUUAACUCCUUACUUGCUGGGGCUGCUAAACAGAUUUAAAGUGGCAUGUUGUGGGUCGGGUCCCUUUGAUUAGUAUUCUGGAAUCACAAGGGAAUGGUGCAGUGUCAAUAGCUCCUUCAAACCUGAUAACCAAGCAGUGAACUAUCAAGCUGUUAAGCUAAGGAAACAAGAAGAAUGCAUUGAAAUAUUAUUGAAGAAAAAAACCCCAUUCUACAACGUUUACAGAGACAAUUAUUUAUAAUACUGUAGGAGAGGUGGUAAAACAGACGGUAAAUGGUAAUAACAGUGUACUAUGGAUGCUAACAACCUGGGAAUAUUUUAGCCACGUAGUGUAACUGAAUUUGGAUUUGAAAAUCAUUUGUUUGUUUCUAAUUCUUCCUCUAUCAUUCACCCUGCUUCUUUUCCUUCCUUCUUUGCAAAAGUGGCAGCUGUAGUUGAAGGAAGCACACGUAGUUUCGAGCGUUGACUGCAGAAGGCAGAUAGCAGCAGAGGUUUUGUAAGUGCAUCUGCUAUUUGACGAUUUGCUGGCACAUAGUUGACUUGGAAUUUGCCUACCAUAACUUUUUCUCUUACAAAAUGAAGGUCCAGAUCCACAUGUUUUGUUUUGGAAUGAAGAACCGGAUUUGCAGCCAUAGCAACAGUGCUAGUGUUGUCACACCAGAUUUUUGACACAUUGGCUGUAUGCACAUCAAGAUCAGCCAGAAUUGCUUGGACCCACAUGAGUUCAGAAGCAGCAUCAGCGAGGGAUCUAUAUUCUGCUUCUGCAGUUGACCUGGAGACUGCCCUUUGCUUCUUGGAACUCCAGGAGAUGAUAUUUGCGCCUAAAAAGAGGCAAUAGCCUGAGGUAGAUCGUCUGUCAUCUGCAUCGCUUCCCCAGUCUGCACCUGAGUACAUGGUGAGAUUCAUGGAUUUGUCUACUGUAAACCACAGUCCAUAGUCAAGAGUACCUCGCAAGUAUCUUAAGAUUCUUUUAACUGCGGUCCAGUGGGUGUCUCUGGGUUGUUGCAUGUACUGAGCGACCUUGUUGACACUGAAAUUAAUAUCAGGACGAGUGUGACAUAUAUACUGUAGUGCACCAAUCACACUCCUGUAGAGAGUUGGAUCAGAAAAAAGAUUUCCUUCAGCUUUGGAGAGUUUGGGAUAUGCUGCCAUUGGAGUACUUGCAGUGUUAGCUUCAUGCAUACCAGCCCUGCCAAGAACAUCCAGAAUGUAUUUCUUCUGAUUAAGAAGAAGACCUGUGGUGGACCUGUGAACUUCUAUACCAAGGAAGAGUUUUAACUCUCCGAGAUCCUUAAGAGAGAACUUUGCAUGAAGUUGAGAGACCACAAAGUCUAUGAAGGCAGGUGAACCUCCUGUAAUGAGAAUAUCAUCCACAUAGACAAUGAGUAAGGUUGUAACACCAGCAUGUUUGUGCAAAAAUAAGGAUGAGUCUGCCUUUGACGAGGUGAACUGAAUAGAGGUCAGAAAUUGUUUGAGUUUAUAGAACCAGUUUCUUGGUGCCUGCCUUAACCCAUACAAGGCCUUGUUAAGUUUGCAUACUAAGGUUGUUCCAUUUGCUGCCAGUUUUUCAAAGCCAGGUGGCUGAGACAUAUACACAUCUUCAUGAAGUUCCCCCUUUAAAAAAGCAUUAUUUAUGUCUACUUGUCGAAGAGGCCACGAAUUGGAGACAGCAAGAGAUAUGAAGAUGUUAAUGGUAGGGGUCUUGACAACUGGACUAUAAGUUUCCAGAAAAUCAAAUCCUGGAACUUGAGAGUAGCCUUUAGCUACAAGGCAAGCUUUGUAUCUGGAAAUUGAGCCAUCAGGGUGUCUCUUGGUUUUGAAUAGCCAUUUGCAUCCAAUAGCUUUCCUAUUGCUUGGUAGAUGAACAAGAGACCAUGUGUCAUUGUGAAGUAGAGCAUUAUAUUCAGCUAAAACUGCUUUUUUCCAGUGAGGAGUAUUCAUGGCAGCAUAAAUAUCAGAUGGUUCUUGAUCACAACUAGCAACUGUAAGGAUUCUAGGUUUGAAGAUACCUGACUUGCUUCGGGUGGUCAUGCCGUGAGUAUUAAGGUUAGUUGGUGUAGGAUGAGCAGUAGUAGUAAUGGUAGGCUGCUCAGAGGGAUAAAUAGUAGGCGGAGUGGGAGAGGGCAGAGGGACAGUUGCGGGUUGAGUGGGCUGCCUGUGAUCGAGUGAUGUAGGAGGUACAGGUGGCUUAAAGGACCCAAAAAUAGGUAAUGCAGGAGAUAGAUAUGUGUCAGUUGUGGGUUGAGUAGUAGAUGCUGGGGCAGCAGAGAAAGGAAAGACAUGUUCAUUGAACUUGACAUGUCUGCUGAUGUAGAUUCUGCCAGAUGGAGAGAGGCAUCUAUAACCAAGAUGGUUUGGGCUGUAGCCAAUGAAGGUACAUGGCUCAGUUCUGAAACUCAGCUUAUGAUUGUGAUAAGGCCGCAAAUAUGGAAAGCAUUGGUAGCCAAAGACUUUGAGGAAAUCAUAGUCCGGAGAUGUAGAGUAAAGUGUAGAGUGUGGAGUAUCCCCUUGAAGAACUUUGGUGGGAAGUCUGUUAAUCAGAUAUACGGCAGUCUGGAAGGCUUCUGGCCAAAACUUUAUAGGCAUGGAGGCUUGAGCAAGUAAGGUAAGUCCAAGGUCUACUAUGUGCCUGUGUUUCCUUUCAACUAUUCCAUUCUGCUGAGAAGUAUGUGGACAGGUGAUUCGAUGUUGUAUGCCAUGUUGAGCAAGGAGUUGGAGGAAGGGUCUAAACUCCCCACCCCAAUCAGUUUGUACAGUAAGAAGGUUGGUGUUAAGUUGUUUUUCAGCAAGUGUCUUAAACAACUGGAAUGCAGUAAGAGCUUCAUCUUUAGAUUUCAACAAGUAUAGCCAACAAUUUCUGCUGUAUGCAUCUAUACAGGACAUAUAAUAAAGAAAGCCAUUAGACUGAACAGGUGCUGGGCCCCACAGAUCAAUUUCAACAAGUUCUAAUGGUUUGGUAUAAACAGUGGUAGAUGGUUGAAAUGGAAGCCUAUGAUUUUUACCCAGCUGACAAGCAACACAAAGUAAGUUUUUCUUUAGUCUAGGUACUGGUUUAUUACAAACUCGCAUAGCAGUAGCAAGUGAUUCAGGUGCAGGGUGUCUUAGUCUACGGUGCCAUAGCCAGUAAGUGGUAUCGUGAUCAGCAACUUCGGACUGAAAGGUCGCAGCAGAGACUGGGAACACCUUUGAAGUUGGUUCAAGAAAUUUGUACAGGCCAUCUUGCUCAAUGCCAUGGAGUAAAGUGGCUCCUGUGUGCUCAUCCUUAACAACACAGUGAGCAGAAUGAAAUUCAAAGAAAAUAUCAUUAUCACGGCAGAGCUUAGACACAGAGACUAGGUUCUUAGUAAUAUGAGGAACAUGCAGUAAUUGAUCAAGUAAUAAUACUUUGGAGGCAGUGUGCACUGAGUUCUUUCCCACACAAGUAAUAGGUAAUGUAUUCCCAUUGGCAACAGAAACCUUACCCGAGCCAGGAGAGGAAUUCCCAAGAGAAAGAUUGGAGAGGUCAUUUGUUAUGUGAUGCGUUGCGCCUGAAUCGGGGUACCAAGCCUGAGAGGAGAGAUUCAAGGUGGGGGCUGUAAUAGUGUUGGCUUGAGCAGGUAAAGAAGUCUGCGACAUACCGGAGGGCUGAACAGCAGCCGUAACAGACGACCCAGAGUGAGCAUAAGGAGUGUACCCUUCGGAGGAGUACAUAUUGCCGUCGCUAUCAUAGAGAAUGGUGUAGUUGGCAGAUGGGAUUCGGAGGAGAGGACGAUUCGGUCGAGGUUGGUACGAGGGUGAGUCAUUAUAUCGAUCCCAGCAACGAUCGGCCAAGUGACCUCUUUUCCUACACAAUUGACACUGUGGCCGAUUGUUAGGGUUGGAAUAACCACCGCGACGGCCGCGAGUUGAAGAGGACGGGUUAGAUGGGCGAGGAGGAGCCGGGGAGAAAGUAGUCGAGGAAUAGGAUUGUUGAUUGGGAAAGGUUGGGUUUGGUGAAUAAUGGGCUGAGUGUGAGGAGAUAGGUGAUGUAAUAUGGGCUGUAGUGGAUUGAGGGUAGAUUUGAGCUUGGGAAUUGAAAAGUGAGGCUGAGAUAACUGGGUCGGUGUGGGUGAUAGGGUUUGGGGAAGAAAAAGGGUGAUACUGAGUUGUGUUGAUGGAGAUAGGGAAUCGAAUGGGAUCUCUAAGGCGAGUAUCAGCGUCGGUGAGAACGAAAAUAACACUAUCAAGAGUGUACGGUUGCUGGCUGGCAGUGAUGACGGUAAUAAAAGAAUCAAAUUCUGUGGGUAGGCCGUUCAAGAUGGUGGCGAUGUGCUCAAGUUCGGAGACUGGGUUGCCACACGCCGCAAGAGUGUCGGUAAUAUCUUUUAUCUGGGCAAGGUAUUGGGCCAUUGAAAGGUGAUUCUUUUUCAUAGCACGGAGUUUGCAGUGCAAGUGCAUCAUCUUGGUGGUGGAGAGCUUGGAGAAUAACCGGAGGAGACAGUCCCAAAUGGCACAGGCUGUGUCUGCCCCGACAAGACGAGGGAGAACAUCAGGGCCGACGUUGGACAGAAGCCAAGAAGCGAGGCCAGAGUCCUGCUGAAGGUAGUGUUUAUAUGCGGGGUUACGAGUUUGUUCACCAGAGGCAAGGGUUAAAAACUUUGGUGGAGGAGGAAUGGUACUGUCAAGAAAAUCCUCCAAGUCAUGACUGCGAAGGGUUAAAAGAACUUGUUGCUUCCAUAAAAGGAAGUUGGAGUCAUCGAGGCGGAUGUUAAUCCGUUUGUUGGAGAAGGGUUGAGGUGGGUUGGCUGGGCGAGGGGUGGGAGCGAGGAUAGAGUCCUCAUUGUCGGAGUCAGACAUAGUGCGAAGGGUAAAAGAGGACCGGAGGUGCUGCUGGCAGUGGCUCUGAUACCAUGAUAACCAAGCAGUGAAUUAUCAAGCUGUUAAGCUAAGGAAACAAGAAGAAUGCAUUGAAAUAUUAUUGAAGAAAAAAACCCCAUUCUACAACGUUUACAGAGACAAUUAUUUAUAAUACUGUAGGAGAGGUGGUAAAACAGACGGUAAAUGGUAAUAACAGUGUACUAUGGAUGUUAACAACCUGGGAAUAUUUUAGCCACGUAGUGUAACUGAAUUUGGAUUUGAAAAUCAUUUAUUUGUUUCUAAUUCUUCCUCUAUCAAAACCCCAUUGACUUAAAUAAUCCAAUCAUUCUUUUAGAGGAUAAAAAGUCAGUGAUUCCAUCAGUUAUUAAUUCUCAUUUUAAUCCCACCUUUGAAGGUACGGUGGAAACAAUGGUAGAAUUAAAUUUAAGUGUGCUUGAUCCUAAGAGGCACUCGACUGUAUCUUUUAAAGAGAAUUUUAUUCCUAUUUCUUCCAAUUCCUCGGUUAAUGUUGAAUCGAUUGGGAUUGGUAAAGGUAAUUCGAUAGCUAAACGGAGAGGCUCUGGGGGGAAAUGUGGUGUCUCCCGUAGUGGUAAUGUUACAACCUGUUUUCUAGUGAUGCCAGAAACAGUGGUUUCAGGAUUAUAAAUCCGACGAGUGAGUUUGUAGAUAUUAUUAUUUAAUAUUUACGAGUCAAAUAUAGUAUUAUAUAGAACUUUGAUCUAAUAAUUGUUGCUAUUUGAACGAAUAGUUAAGUAUAAGUGGGUUGUCCCUAAAGUCAAGUGGUUUUAGAAAAUAAGGUAUCAAGACCUCAUUUCUAUAAACCGAGCUCGUAAAUAUUCUUAUUAAAUAUUUACAGAGUUACUAUAUAGGUAUAUUGAAGUUUGGUCAAGAAAUUUUAGUGAUUUGAUAGUUAAUUAAAGAAAAAGGACUAAAUCGUAAAAACUGCAAAAGUCAAUCGCUAUUAGUGUUUAAGUGCUAAUUGAGUAUUGUAACGCUGGGGUUUGUGCAAGUGUACGUAUUCAUUAUCAAGUAAUAAGUAAGUAUCGAGUUAUCGUCUCCACAAGGAUUGUAUUUGUGCUAAGUCAAGUAAUUUGUAAAAUUAUAUUAACAAUUUGGUAAAUAAAAACAUAAAAUAAUUGAGAAGUGGUGAUUAAAAUAUAUUAAACUAAAUGCAAUGAUCCCUAAUGCAAAUUAUCCUAAGUAUGCAAACUAUAUGAAUGAAAUAGAUUUUAGUGAAAUUAAACACAAUUUGCAACAAUUAUAACAUAAAUAAACUAGGACAAUUACUUUAAUUAAACUCAAUUUAUUAGCAACAUGCUUAAUAACAUUCGGAAUAACAUUCCAUGGAAACUCGAUCUUUCAUGAGUUUGGAAACCACAUUAGGUCCUUCCGAAAUCCUUUACUUAGUAAAUACACAUUUUACUGAUCGUUAUUUACUAAGGGUUUCUUAGCAUUCGUGUGAGGUAACAGGGACGUGUUAGGUUUGAAGCAAUUUAAUCACACAAAUCUAAAAACUAUGCAUAUAACAGAGCCUGGUUAGAGUUGUUAUGCAACCUACAAUUCAAUCGGGUUAGGAUCUAAAUUGAGCAUGCACAUUACAAUUAUGCGUCCAUUAGCCGUCGUCUAGUUAGAAUCGCUCAGCUAAUUCAGGUCCAUUUCAAUCAUGUAUGAACGAAAUACAAACUUGAUUUUAAUUGAAAACAUGAUCGAUUGAGGCACAAACAUUAUAAGCAUGAAUCAAAUAAAUAUUAUUUAAUCAAAAUAAUCAUCCUAGCUUAAAUAAAUUUAAGCUAUCAUUGUUGUAAACAAGAACAAAGAACACAUAGCAAACAUUUUUAAAUUAAAUUUAAAGAAAAGAAAGAUUAAGCCCAAUUCAGAGUGGUUGUCACCCAAUACUCUGACUGACGAGGCUUCUUCGCUUCUUUGCGUUACUCAUUUGUUGAUGGCUCUCCAAGGUGGCCGACUAAGGGUUCUUUAAGAGGCUUAAUUGCUAAAAUCCUUAUGCAAGGAUGAUGAAGGGGAAAGAUAGCUAAAAGAGUUGAGAGAAUGAUGAAUGAGUGAGAGAUGAUAGGAUGAGGGAUGAUUGAAAAAGUGAGAAAUAAGCUUUUAUUUAUAGGAGGCAAGGGAGCUAGUUUGCUAAAAAUAGGAGUGUCCAUCCUUUGAAAUUUCCUCCAAGAGUGGUCGGCCAUGAAUUGAGGAAAGGUGGCUGAUUUUUCCUUUAUUUUUGGUCAAUUUGAGUGCCACAACAACUCAGGACUAAGACUCGGUCAUCAACAAAUCUUCGGGAAAAUCUCCGAUUUCUUUAACUCUUUUAGGACUUUGUAUAAUUAAACCAAAAAAUGGUUUAUGACAUCCAUGUGCAGCCAAAAAUUGGGUUGACUUGGUCCCCAAUUUAGAUGGUUUUGCAAUUAGAAGAAAACUCUCAAACCUGUCCAAAAAUAGUAGAUAGUUUAGAGGACCAAAUAAUAUAAUUUAACCACUUUAAUUAAUCAAUUUACUUAAUUAAUUAAAACCCAAUUUAUUAAUGAAAUAUUAAAAAUGAAUUAUUAAAUAUAAUUUUAUAUUUUAUUAUUUAAUUUAAUCAUGCAUGACCCACUUUAUAGCUUAAAAAUAUAAUAUGCUCAAAUUAAUAUAAAAUAAGCCAUUUUAUGCAUGAAAACUAUAUAAUAAAGUAUAAAAUCACAUUUUUAUAAUUUCUAUGUCCUAAUUUUAUAUUUUCACAUAUUUCAUUAAUUUAUUAAACAAUUACUUGGUUUUAACAACACAUUUAAGUAAAAAGGUGAUGAAUUAUAUAGGAAAAAUCCUAUAAGGUCUUGCUAAGGCAAAUUUUGCUAAGAGUGUAAGUAGCAUCAAUCUUCGUCUCAUAAUCAUGCAUCAAUAAGUUCAUGCUCAUAGACCUUCUUUAUUAACAAGUAACUCAUAUACAAACAUUUUAAAAAUUUUAUUCGAAGUUUCAAGAUAUGUCAACAUGAAUCAUAGUUUGCAUGUAUGUCACAGCCAUAGAUAAUAUUCUUCAUUCAACACAAUUUCUCAUCAAUCAAGCAAAACAAUCAUAAGGCUUAUUUAUGAUCUUCAUAUGUUGAACUUAGUACUUCCUCUCCACUAAUGUAGGUGACAUAAUCAUCAAAUCAAUAGGUCUUUUAUAAGGUUGUUAUGGGGCUUGGUUAAAGGUAGGGAUUUUAAGAGAUAAGACAUUUCUGUUUCAAAAUCUUAACCUUUAACUUGUCUUGUAUUUUUAGAAACUCAACCUUUUUCUUUAAGUGAACCUUUGGAACACCCCCAAACUUAUUUUGAACUCAAGCUCAUACAAAUUUUCCUUUUUCGAGACUGAGCGAACUUUUCUUCACUCUUUUUUGUCUUUGUUGUUGUUGUUUUUUUUAAGCAUGAGCACAUACAUCUUUAUGAAAAUUUCCUAAAAUGUUGAUUCCCAACACAAAUUUAGUUAAGACGGUGCACAAAAUUAUGAUAGCUUCAAAAAAUAGAGAUAUGGCUUGUAAUGUAGGUUUAUUACAAUGAACAGGCCUUUAAGCUCAAAAUUAUUGUUUCAAGGGUCUAAUAUCAUAAGGUGGGCUUGAAAAGGCUCAAACGAUCCAAAGAAAAAUGGUGCCUAUAUCAUUUUAGAUUUUUAUGUCUCCUAGAAUUUCGCCUCAAGAAAGUUACUAAGUCAAUUCUAAAGAUAUAAACCUUCAUGCAUGUAUAAUCUCAAGAGAAACUAAGUUUUCAUGGCAAACAUUACCUAAGACUAAGAUCAUAAAAACAUUCCAUUUUUCAUGAUAACAUACAAUCACUCAGAUAAAAUCAUCAUUCAUGCUUGCAUACAAGCUAUCUUAUUGAAAAGAAUUUCUUUAAACAUUCAUUUAUUAAAACAUACUUAUGAAAGAAAUGAUUUGAAACAUACUUGAAAAUUUUAAAAAUUUCGAGCAAUAAUUUACCUUACCCCCUUUAAAAAGAAGCAAUGUCCUCAUUGCAAGAACAAAGUAAUGAAUGAAAAAUGAACACCAGGUAGGGUUGUAAAGAAAAAGAGGCGAGUCAAUAAGACUAUCUUUCUUCAUAACCCAAUCCUAGACAUGUUCAUUCUCAUUGCCACAUCACUUAGUCUUUUUCUUUCUAAAGAAGUAUUUAUUCAUGCUUGAUAUGUUUUAUUUUGUAGAAAUUAAAUCCUAAUUAGUAAAAAAAUAUAUUCCUAAAGACCUAAAAAUAAUUAAAUAAAUAACAAGACAAGAAUCCCCCCUUUUAUUUUUCUGACUUAUUCCCUUUGUCUUCUUUAGCUCCAUCUUCGCUUGCAUCGUCAGUCUCUUCUGUAUAUGUCUCAAAGAUAGCAUCUGGGAACUCAGGAACAAAAGUAUUAGAGAUAUUCUUAAAAGUAUUUUGAAUUGAAUCAUCUCUACUUUUUUCAUAUUUCUAGUAAGUUUGUUACUAAUUGUGCAUGAACUUGCACAUAUCCAUCAAAAUUGACAACUCUGAUUUCCUUGAAGUACUUGUAGAAGUCAACAUGAGUUGUAUAUUUAGGUUCAACACUUAGCUUGACUGGUUCUUCUUCUAGCUCAACCCUAGGUUCAGGGUUUUCAGCUCCUUCAGCUGGUUGAGAACUAUUUGGUUCUGAUAGAGAGUUGCGCGCGGACCAAGAUCGAGUUGCCAAGUCACGAGAAACUCCUAUGAAAGCUCUAAAAAAAUCAGAUCUGAAUUCAAAACAAAGAACAAGAUUAAAAGCAAAUCAGAAUUGAAUUGAAAUUCCCCAAAUUCAAUUAAAAGAGCAGCAAGAAACAAAGAAAUAGAAAAAAACGAAUCAAACGGAAUUGAAAGUAUGGAAAGGAUGCGAUUCUGCCAAGUGAUUGAUUCGGCCAAGAAUGCCUAAUUUCCAACAAUCAAUUGAUCCCCAAAUUGAAAGAGAUCCAAUCGGCCAAACCCUAGGAAUUGGGGAUUUUUGAGAACGACUCUUUGCUGCCAAUGAAUGAUGAUUUAAUUCGAUUCUUUGAGUUGAAUAUGGCUGGAAAAACAAAAGAAGAACAACAAACAAAUGAGAUAAAGAAUCGACACAAGUAGGAAUAAAGAAAUAAAAACGAAACAGUAAGAAAUAAAGAAAAGUUUUAAGAACCCUUGAAUUCCCGAAAGAAUUCACAAAUUCCUUCAAACGGCUCUAAUCUCCCCUACAAAGAAUAUCGAUGGCAAGAAUAAGGUUGAAGAUGGCUUCCACAAUCAAAAGAUUGUUAAAACAACUUCUAAAGAAAACUCAAGAGAGAAAUCUUGGAGAAAACUCAAAGAAAAUUCUGCUCUUUCAAAUCUGAAAUUUAAGAAUGAAUCUAAGUGUUAUGUACAAGGGGUGGCUGGGGAUGCCUUUAAAUAGGCCUUAAGUAAUCCUAAUCUCACAAGUAACUAAUAAAAUUAAACCUAAUUAAUAUAAUAAAAUAAAGGAAAAUUCGGCCAAGCAUAUAUAUGGGCUGUUUUUGGGCCGAAUUUUACAUGGAUGUUCCUAUAGCUUAAAAAAUUAAAUUAAACAAUUAAAAUGUUUAUAAAUUGGGCCUUUGACAUUUUGGCCUGAUUUUCAACUAAGUAUGAAGGAAUUUCUUGAUUGGGCUGGAAUUUGGUUAUUGGGCCUCGCCUUCAAGAAUUUGGGCUCGUGAUCCAUCUCCUUCCGAAAUUGGGUCGUUGAUGCUCGUAACGGAGAUCCAAUGCGUGUUGGCUGCAAGAUUUGGUUUCUUGGACCAAGAUUUCCAAGAUUUAAAAUCUUGAUUUUCUUGAUUCUUGAAAUCUCUUUGAACAGCAUAAUUGGGCCAAGAUUCGGUUUCUUGAUUUUCUUGAAAACAAGAAAGUGAAUCUUGAUUUUCUUAUUCUCUCGUGUAUGCAUCUAAGGCCUUCCUAACAAACUCUUGAAUGGUCCCAUUUAGUUUGGACCGCAUUUGUCGGGCCUUUAAUCUCGUUAUUGGGCCUUGUGGCAAUUUGAGCCCAUCACUUUCUUGAACUUGGGUUGGGCCUUUAUGACUCGUAUCAGGUUCCUUAUCAGAUUCUUCUUCUUCAGUGUCUGUAACUGAAUCAACUUCAAUUUUUAUUUUAUUUGUUGACUCUUUGGUUUCUGGCUCAGUUGGUUCCUCUUGCUCACCUUGGUUCAACUCAUGCACUCUUUCUACCAACCUUUCAAGAUCAUGACUUGUAAUACACCCUUGAACAUACUGCCCCUUCAGAUUUACUUGUGUUUUAACACGGGCCCUUAAGAAAAGUGAAGUGAUUAAUGAUGGGAAAUAAGCACUUCCUGCCUUCUUUUUAGCACACUCAUGAAUCUUCUUGAGGAUAAUUUUCCCAACAUUAAUGGAUUUUUCUGUCAAGAUUGCAUAUAACAAGAGCAUCCGUCCCAUCGAGAUGGUGGAACUGUGUGAGAUAGGCAUAAAACUGUAGCGAAUAAAAUAAAACCAUACCUUUGGUAUUGGUUUCAAGUAUUCUCUUCGACAAGAAUGGCUCCCAUACUUUCUUAUAAUCCAUUGGGAUCCCGGAUUUGUCACAACAUCAAGCACUUGUUGAAGAAAAUCCCAAUUGAUAUUGCUCAUCAUAGGGUAGUACUCAUAUUCUUCAACAUAAGGUAAAUUAAACAAAUCAUUGAUGGGCUUAGAAGUAAGAGGUACCUUUUUCUUUCAAACAAUGACUUCAGUAACACCUUGCGUAGUCAAACUAGCAUAGAAUUCUCAAACUAGUUCAUCAUCAAGAAGUGAAUGAGCAUCACAGAAUCGUUCCCAUUUGAGAGCAUUGAUUAUCUUUCUAAUUGGCACAGGAACAACCAUCACAUCAUUGCCCUUAAGAUUAAAACCUUUUUUCGGCAUCAUCGGUUGAUGCUUGAAAAUUGAAUCAAAUCACUCUUUCACUUCUUCAUUAACUACAAUCAGGUUUUCAGAAGUAAUCUUUAACGAUCUAGUUCUUUUGUGAGACAUAGUACUUUCCCAAAAAUUCAAUAGAGUUUCUGCACAAGAGAGAAAAGAGAAAUCGGCAAAGUUGGUAUAACUUGCUACGGCAAAAAUCUUACGACGGUAAGGAUGGUGCGGCGGCGAUCUCUUUGCGGCAACAAUAGGGAAUUUUUGUAAAAAGAAAAAAAAAGACUAGGGUUUCUUUUUGGAUUUGAGGUUGAUAGCACAAAGAAGAGAUUUAGGGAUUUUUAGGGUGAAAGCAAAUUGCUUUAAGGGAUAUGAAAAUUAGUAGAAUGAAGAGGGGUUUAUAUAAGGAAAAAUUAGGGCAACAUGUAGCAAAAAUUUAGCUACAUUAAAGUUACUUGGGUGGCAAGUAAUGGGUGUGAUGGCGAGACCUAAUUUUUUCCCUCAUUUUUGUUGUCUUAGGCCUCAAACUCAAAUUGUAUCUUAAAAAAAACUGAUUAGUACUUGGGUCAAAUUUGACCCCCUUUAUUAACAUAAAAAUUUAAAAUUUAAACUGAACAAAAUGAAACUUAAAAAUUUUAAUUAGAAAAUUUCUUUUUAACAAAUUACAUUAAAUUAAUUCCCAGGAAAGGUUGGACAGGUCACAACGGUCUCGCUUAAGUUCUAAUCUCCUUAGAUAGAAUUAAUUAAUUGUAAUAAAUUAAGAAAAUAAGUUCUAAUUAAUUAUUUAUUUACCCAAUGAGUUCAUGAAAAAUUAAGGAUCUGUUAAGAUGACUGAGGAUUUAAUUCGCUCAACUUCACCAUCCUAUAGUGUUUUAGACGUUGACCAUUGACUUUAAACAUACCUUCAUAAUUGUCGUAUAAUUCAAUAGCUCCGUAAGGAUAAACUCGGUAGAUGGUAUAGGGUUAUUUUCAUCGGGAUUUUAGCUUCCCAAGAAAUAACUUCAGCCUUGAAUUAAACAAUAACACCUUCUGACCUUCUUUAAACUUGCGAAGUUGUAUAUGAGUAUCAUGCCAUCUCUUUGAUCUUUCUUUACACAUUUUGGCAUUCUCAUAGGAAAACAACCUCAGCUCUUCCAACUCAUCUAGUUGUAACAUCUUUCUCUCACCGACUUGCUUAAGAUAAAAAAUUAAGUACUUCAAAGCCUAGUGAGCUUUAUUCUCCAAUUCUAAUAGUAAAUGACAUGUCUUUCCAAAGACUAACUGAUAAGGAGUCAUUCCUAAUGGAGUCUUAAAUGUUGUUCGAUAGAUCUAUAAUGCAUCAUCGAGCCUUCGAGACCAAUCUUUUCUGCUAGGGCGUACUACCUUUUCAAGGAUACCUUUGAUUUCACGGUUCACUCUUUCAACUUGCCCAUUAGACUGGGGGUGAUAGGCAGUAGCAAUCUUGUGCUUCAUAUCAUAUUUGUCAAGCAACCAUUUAAGCCAUUUGUUCACAAAGUGAGAACCUUCAUCACUAAUAAUAGCUCUUGGUGUCCCAAAUCGUGUAAACACAUGCUUAUGUAGGAAUCGCAUAACUACCUUAGCAUCAUUUGUAGGGUAUGCUUCAGCUUCAACCCAUUUGGAUACAUAGUCCACAACAACUAAGAUGUAUUUGGUCCCAUACGAAGAAGGAAACGGGCCUAAAAAGUCAAUGCCCCAUACGUCGAAUAAUUCCAUCUCCAAAAUAUUUGUGAAGGGCAUCUCGUUCCUCCUUGAUAUAUUUCUGGUUCUUUGGCACUUAUCGCAGUUCUUUACAUAAGCGUAAGCAUCUUUAAAUAAUGUAGGCCAAAAGAAACCUGCUUGCAAAAUCUUUGCUGUAGUACGUGAACCACCAAAGUGUCCCCUACUUGGAGAUGAAUGGCAAUGAUAUAAGACCUUAGCAAUCUCACUUUUAGCUACACACUUUCAGAUUACAUUAUCUGCACACUGUUUAAAUAAAAACGGAUCCUCCCAAAGAUAAUACCGACUAUCAUGAAUGAAUUUCUUCCUUUGUUGGUAUGUCAUUUCUCGAGGAAUUAUUCCAGAUGCAAGAUAAUUGGAAAAAUCAACAAACCAAGGUGUUUUAUGAAUUUGACUCACCUCAAAUAAGUGCUCAUCUGGGAAAUUCUCAUUGAUAGGCACACGUGAUUGAGUUACCUCAUCUUACUUUAACCUCGACAGAUGAUCAACUACUUGAUUUUCAACACUUUUUUUGUCUUGGAUCUCAAGGUCAAAUUCAUAGAGUAAAAGUAUCCAAUGAAUUAGCCUCGAUUUCGCAUCUUUCUUUGUGAGCAAGUAUUUAAUGGCCGCAUGGUCAGUAAAUACUAUAACUUUGGUACCUAUAAGAUAUGAACGAAAUUUUUCAAAAGCAAAAGCUAUAGCAAAUAGUUCCUUUUCAGUUACCGUAUAAUUGAGUUGGGCUCCCAUCAAGGUUCUACUUGUAUAGUAAAUGAGAUGGAACACUUUAUUUUUUCUUUGACCCAUCACAGCUCCAAUGGCAUAGUCACUUGCAUUGCACAUCAACUCAAAAGGUGAGUUCCAAUCAGGUGUAAUAAUUAUUGGGGUUGAGAUUAAUCACUUCUUUAGAUCUUCAAAAGUUUCCAAAUGCUUUAUUGAAAUCGAACACUGUAUCUUUCUCUAACAACAAAUACAGCGACUUAGAAAUUUUCGAGAAAUCCUUGAUAAACCUUCGGUAAAAACUGGCAUGGCCUAAGAAACUUCUAACUCCUUUCAUAUUAAUUAGGGCCGAUAAUCUUUUAAUUACGUCUACCUUUGCUUUAUCGACUUCAAUUCCUUUCUUUGAAAUCUUAUGACCUACGACAAUCCCUUCCUUAACCAUAAAAUGACAUUUCUCCCAGUUAAAGACAAGAUUCGUCUCUUCGCAUCUCUUCAGUACCUUAGCCAAAUUACUCAAACAGAUAUCAUAAGUGUUACCAAAAAUAGAAAAAUCAUCCAUGAAAACCUCAACAAAAUUUUCAAUCAUAUCAGUAAAUAUUUCUAUCAUGCAUCGUUGAAAAGUUGCAGGUGCAUUGCAUAAACUAAAAGGCAUUCGCUUAAAAGAAAACGUACUGUAUGGACAAGUAAAAGUUAUUUUAUGUUGGUCCUCAAGGGCUAAAACUAUUUGGUUAUAUCCCGAAUAGCCAUGUAAAAAAUAAUAGAAUUCAUUACCUACCAGUCGAUCUAACAUCUGAUCCAUAAAAGGUAACAGAAAAUGAUCUUUUCGAGUGGCUUUAUUUAGCUUUCUGUAAUCAAUACAGAUUUUCCAACCAGUAACAGUUCGUGUUGGAAUCAAUUCGUUGAGAUCAUUUUCAACAAUCGUGAUUCUGUCUUUUUUCGGCACACACUGCAUCAGACUUACCCACGAACUAUCUGAAAUAGGAUAGAUGACUCCUGCAUCUAACCAUUUGAUCACUUCUUUCCUCACAACUUCUUUCAUAAUAGGAUUGAGCCUCCUUUUCCCAUCAAUUCGAGCUCUUUCACCUUCUUCUAAAAUAAUUUUGUGCAUGCAAAAUGAAGGGCUUAUACCUCGAAUAUCAGCUAUGGUCCAACCAAUUGCUUUCUUAUAUCUCUGUCAUUUCUUCUUGGACAGUAUAUCCUUCAUAAACUUCACAUAAUUCGGCAUUUGUUCUAAAGCCUCCACCAACGGAAUAUUGAUGUGUAACUGCUUCAGAACAUCUAAAAACUUCUUGAAUUGCACCUCCUGUUUCUACUUGUGUUGCUGCAAUCUUUGUGUAUAUGGAGGUGAUGAAACUUUCGAUUGAACCGGUCAACUUUUUUGAGUAGGUAAAUUUGCAUCCAAAGAAGAUGUUAAAAUAUCUGAAUUUACUAAGUUAGGGUUUACCUUGUCAGACUUUGUAGAUUCUGAUUCCUUUGGUGUAGGAACUUUAACAUCUGGUUGACUUUCCUCCUUUUCAACAUGCUUAUCUUCGACAUCAAUCAAUCGGGGUACUAGAGUCUUACCACUUUGUAAUGCCACUACCUUGAUAUGUUCUUUACCUAAAUUCCUUAGAUUCUCAGUAUUGCUCGGCAAGGUUCGUUGUGGUCUACUACGUAGCUCUGCAGCUAACUAACCCAUUUGGUUUUCCAAAUUUUUCAGUGUUGCUGCUUGACUUUGGAUCAAAGCGUCAUUCUUUGCCACGUACGCUUUCAACAAGUUCUCCAAACUGUUUGAUGCCUCAGCUUGAGGUGAUUUUGGAGUUUACUGAUUAAACUCUUGAGAUUGGUUGAGUCUUUGCUGAAAUAAGUUGUUGUUUGGUCUAUUUCCUUGGUUGCUCCAAGAAAAGUUAGGAUGAUUACGCCAUGAAGGAUUGUAGAAGUUGGAUUGGGGUCCUUGUCCACUCUUAUUUUGAUAUUAGUUCCUUAUAUAGUAAACUGACUCAGGAUUUGAUGAACAAUUCUCAAAAGAAUGACUUUCCCCACAAUACAUACAGGAAACUGUUUCAAACGGACUUGGUGGCUGAGCUACAAAAUUAUUAGUACUAUUAGCAGUAAACUGUUUUAACAUAAAGGAAAUAGACGAUAUCUGAGCUGAUAACGAAGUGAAGAAGUCAACUUCAUGAACUCUGACUAUGCGACUUCCUGAAGCUGUUCAAUUCGUUGACCAUUGAUAGUUAUUACUCACGAUCCUCUCAAUGAUCUCAUAAGCCUCAUUAUAAGACUUAGACAAAGUUGCAUCAUUCGCGGAAGCAUCUACCAUCAAUCUUGUAUUUACAUUGAGACCAUUAUAGAAUUUCUCCAACUGGAUACAAUGAGAAAUCUCAUGAUGAGGACACUUACGAAGUAACUCCUUGAAUCGCUUCCAAACCUCAUACAAAGACUCAUCAUCCAAUUGUUGUAAAGUUGUGAUCUUGUUCCUCAACUUAGCGUUUUUGCUAGGUGGGAAAUACUUAACCAAAAAUCUCUCUACUAAUUCUUGUCAUGUAGAUAUGAAACUUGGUGGCAAUGAAUUGAGCCAUGCUUGUGCUCGAUCUUCCAACGAGUACGGAAACAACUUCAACCUCAGUGUGUCUUCAGUCACACUGGCUAUCUUGAAUGAAUCACUCACCUCCAUAAACAAUCGAAGGUGGAGAUGUGGAUCUUUCGUGGGCAUACCACUAAAUUGGCCCACCGUUUGUAGCAUUUGAAACAUCACUGGUUUCAAUUCAAAUGGGUUGCCUCAAUAUUUGGCCUUCUAAUUCCUAGGUUUAACUCACUGAAAAGUAGCACAUCAUAUUGUCUGAUGCAUCUAUCCCUAUCAUCGGCAAUGAGGAUAGAAUUUCGUACAUAAUCGACUUCAUUACCUUGGUCUUGAUUCUGAUUUCUAAGGUCCAUCUUGACUUGUCUUUGAGCUAUUCGUUCAUGUCUUCUUUAUCUGAAUGUUCGCUCAAUUUCAGGGUCUACAGGGAGUAAAUCGAUAAUUCGAUCUAUGCUCAUAAACACCUGCAAAGAAAAUCACAAAAAUUAGAAAGAAUAAGUUAGUAAUGUUAGAAGUAAAUCAAAUUGAAAAUAAAUAAUUUCACAAAAAAAUGACUAUGGCAACAGUUUACAAUUCCUGGCAACGGCGCGAAAAACUUGUAACGCUGGGGUUUGUGCAAGUGUACAUAGUCGUUAUCAAGUAAUAAGUAAGUAUCGAGUUAUCGUCUCCACGGGGAUUGUAUUUUUGCUAAGUCCCUUAAUUUGUAAAAUUAUAUUAACAAUUUGGUAAAUAAAAACACAAUAUAGUUGAGAAGGGGUGAUUAAAAUAUAUUAAACUAAAUGCAAUGAUCCCUAAUGCAAAUUAUCCUAAGUAUGCAAACUUUAUGAAUGAAAUAGAUUUUAGUGAAAUUAAACACAAUUUGCAACAAUUAUAACAUAAAUAAACUAGGACAAUUACUUUAAUUAAACUCAAUUUAUUAUCAACAUGCUUAAUAACAUUCGGAAAAAUAUUCCAUGACAACUCGAUCUUUCAUGAGUUUGGAAACCACAUUAGGUUCUUUCGAAAUCCUUUACUUAGAAAAUACGCAUUUUACUGAUCCUUAUUUACUAAGGGUUUCUUAGCUUUUAUGUGAGGUAACAGGGACAUGUUAGGUUUGAAACAAUUUAAUCAUACAAAUAUAAAAACUAUGCAGAUAACAAAGCUUGGUUAGAGUUGUUAUGCAACCUACAAUUCAAUCGGGUUAGGAUCUAAAUUGAGCAUGCACAUUUCAAUUAUGCGUCCAUUAGCCGUUGUCUGGUUAGGAUCGCUCAGCUAAUUUAAGCUAUCAUUGUAAGCAUGAUCGAUUGAGGUACAAACAUUAUAAGCAUGAAUCAAAUAAAUAUUAUUUAAUCAAAAUAAUCAUCCUAGCUUAAAUAAAUUUAAGCUAUCAUUGUUGUAAACAAGAACAAAGAACACAUAGCAAACAUAUUUAAAUUAAAUUUAAAGAAAAGAAAGAUUAAACCAAUUCAGAGUGGUUGUCACCUAAGACUCUGACUGACGAGGCUCCUUCACUUCUUUGCGUUGCUCCUUCACUGAUGGCUCUCUAAGGUGGCUGACCAAGGGUUCUUUAAGAGGCUUAAUUGCUAAAAUCCUUAUGCAAGGAUGAUGAAGGGGAAAGAUAGCUAAAAGAGUUGAGAGAAUGAUGAAUGAGUGAGAGAUGAUGGGAUAAGGGAUGAUUGAAAAAGUGAGAAAUGAGCUUUUAUUUAUAGGUGAGGCAAGGGAACUAGUUUGCUAAAAAUAGGAGUGUCCAUCCUUUGAAACUUCCUCCAAGAGUGGUUGGCCAUGAAUUGAGGAAAGGUGGCUGAUUUUUCCUUGAUUUUUGGUCAAUUUGAGUGCCACAACAACUCAGGACUAAGACUCGGUCAUUAGUAAAUCUUCGGGAAAAUCUCCGAUUUCUUUAACUCUUAAAGGACUUUGUAUAAUUAAACCAAAAAAUGGUUUAUAACAUCCAUGUGCAGCCAAAAAUUGGGUUGACUUGGUCCCCAAUUUGGAUGGUUUUGCAAUUAGAAGAAAACUCUCAGACCUGUCCAAAAAUAGUAGAUAGUUUAGAGGACCAAAUAAUAUAAUUUAACCACUUUAAUUAAUCAAUUUAAUUAAUUAAUUUAAACCCAAUGUAUUAAUGAAAUAUUAAAAAUAAAUUAUUAAAUAUAACUUUAUAUUUUAUUAUUUAAUUUAAUCAUGCAUGACCCACUUUAUAUCUUAAAAAUAUAAUAUACUCAAAUUAAUAUAAAAUAAGCCAUUUUAUGCGUGAAAACUAUAUAAUAAAGUAUAAAAUCACAUUUUUAUAAUUUCCAUGUCCGAAUUUCAUAUUUUUGCAUAUUUGAUUAAUUUAUUAAACAAUUACUUGGUUUUAACAACAAAUUUAAGUAAAAAGGUGAUGAAUUAUAUAGGAAAAAUCCUAUAUAUUUUUCAGUUUCCAUGUAUAAAUGAAAAAUGAGGUUAUUUAAAUGUCAAUUAAAUCAUUUCUAAUGUUAAUGGUUGGCCAUAUACUUUGAGAUUUGUUUUUUAUAUUGGUUAAAAUGUUUAUUAAAUUAAGUUAAAGUAAUAUUAUUAAAAAAAACAAAAAGAAAACAUGCCAUCAUCUUGUUCAUUCUUUUUGGUUAAAACCAAAAAUUCCAUUUUUGGAAUAGAGAAGAAUCGACCAAGAUUUAAUGUUCAUGCAUGGUAUGUUUCCAAUCUCGUUUCUCGUAAAUUUAUGUUUUUGAGAUUGUUGUUGCUUAAUCUAUCUAGCCUAGAGACUAUUUUGUGAAACUGUCAAAGUUUUGAAAUUUCCAUUGAUUUUCUUGCAGUUUUCUUGAAGUUUAUGUUUGAUUUUAAAGCUUGAUGAUGAAAUAAGACUAUUUUGUAAAGUAAUUUUGAAUAGUUUUGAAGUUAGGAACUAAAUUAUUAAAUUGUUGAAAUUGGCUUAAAAAUUUUUUAAAUUUCAGAACUUGAGGGCUAUUUAGGGAUGCUACUGAAUUUGGUUUUGGGUCUAAUUGUAAAAAAAAAGCUUGUUUCGAUUUUAGGGACUAAAUUGAAUAAAAUGCACAAGUUUAGAAAAAUUGUGAAACUUGUCAAUAAAGAAGUCAUAUUCAUCAAAUGGAUUUUUAUAAUGAUAUCGAGACUGAUUAAUUGAAAUAAAUACAAUAUAGAUCAAGAAUCAAUAGAAAAUUGUGGAAAAUAGUAAAUUGCAGACUAGUUCCUGAUAUUACUAUUUCUACAGUUUGGCCUGGUAAGUUCAUAAGGUUUAAUUUGGUUUAAUUUGUAAUAUUAUGUUGAUUUCUGAAUUGUGGUAUGCUUAAUAUAUAUUUAUAGAUAUUUGAAUUUUUACAAAUUGGUACAAGGUGAGAAAAUGGAUUGAAUUGAAAAGUGUUACACGAUUACUUGUAUCAUGCCCGGAUGAACAUAGGAUAUGAUACAAUUAUCAUGCCAAUAGGUUAUUUUGUGCGCUGUACAGGAUUGAUAUGUGAUGAGAUGAUGUUACAUGACUUGAUUUUUAUACACUGAGUAUAUCGAAAUCUAGCAUUUAUUACGGAUUUUUGAGUUAUAUGUACAAUGAUUCUGGCAUGUUUCUGGGGGUGGAUGUAAAGCCUAUGAGCUUGACACUUGGUGCCCAGACGUUUUACUAGAGGGAUGUUAGCCUACGAGCUAGGCACUCUGUUCCUAGGCGUGUUCUUGGUUGGACUAGCUCAGUUGAGCAUUCUGACAUGUCUUGGGUGGAUAACCACGGAUCUGUAUCUAUUUAUACCAUUCAUCGGGUUGAAUUUUAAUGGUUAAAUGAUUUAAUGAUGAUAUGUAAUUGAUAUUUGUUUAUGAUUUCUUGUGAAAGACUUGUACAUGUGUUCAUGGUUUUCGAUAUUAUAUUGCGACUUGAUAAUGGUUGAUACUGUAUAAAUUACAUGAUUAAAUGACUCAUAUUUGCAGAACUCACCUAUUGAAUGGUUGUGAUUGAAAGGGUUAAUGUUAGCUGUUGAUUUUUUUAAUUAUAAAACUGUAAUUAUACGGUAAGUUAUAAUGUUUCAACAUGUGAACUUACUAAGCUCGUAAAAGCUUACUUGUGUUGUUUUCCUAUUUUCUUGUAGAUCUCGUUUUGCAUAACUGGGCGAUCGAAUCAACUUGAAGAUCACACUAUCCACCUACCUUUUGGUAGACUUUGAAAACAUUUAAUUUGGGACAUGUGACAUGUGAUAGGAGUAUAUUGUAUUUGUUUAUAAGUGUUCUUUAUAAGUGGCAUAUUUUGUGCUUGUAUAUAAGUGGAGUGUUUGUGGCAAAUAAUGUGAUUGAUCAUAGCUUGGUUUAAAUAUUUGAAUGUGGUAUUUGCUUGAUAUGUGAUGGAAUAUAUAUCUAUGAUGGAAUGAAAUGCAUAUAAAUUAAAUAAAUAUGAUAGGUAAUACUUUGGUUAGAGUUGUUUUGGAUGCUAUGAAUUAUUAUAUAGAUGUAUAGCUAGUUUUGAUAGUUAAUGUGUGGUACAUAUGCUUUGUCAAAAAGUGUAAUUGAUGAUUAUGUUAUAGCAUAUUGUCAUUUUAUAUGACCUUGUUUUGUUAAGUUUGAAUUGGUUAGAAAAUGACCUUAGAUGUGGGAUUUGAUUAUUAUAUGUGAUGGUGCUUUAUGACACAUUGGUUAGGUAUUUUUAGGUUGAAAUGUACCAUGUUCAAGUUUGAUUAAUUUAUAGAUGAUGGUGUAUGGAACUAAGAUAUAGACAUGACUUGAAAUGAAUUUUCAACCUGUAAUUUUUCACUAAAUGAUAAAAAGUAUCGAUACCUAAAACCUAGAGUAUCGAUACUAUAUCAAAUGAACAAUUUUCAAAUUUACAGAAUAUAAAUUUGGUAUCGAUAGUUUUAUUUAGUAUUGAUACUCUAUAACUUUUACAAAUACCUUGAUAAAUAUUACCGAUACCUAAAUUUGAUAGAAUCCCAAAAUGGUAUCGAUAAUGUUUUUUGUAUCGAUACUUGUUAAAAAAUAUCAAUACUUCUUAAUUUAGUAUUGAUACUUUAUACCUAGUUUUAAAAAUUUAUAAAUAGGUCCUUAUUCAUGUUUAAAUUUAAAUUGUAAGAGGUUUAAGCUCGAUAUAACUCCGAUAAUAUAUGAAUAACAUGUUUAAAUGUAUGAAUUGAUAUCGCUUGAUUUUUUUGUUAUGUGUUGUAGCAUCCUGUAACCCUGAUUUGGUGACAGAGAUAGGUAAGGGGUGUUACAGGUAAGACUUCUAGUAAAAUUAUCUGGGACUGUGGGGGCCGUUUUAAAAAUUUUGAUAAUGUAAGAGUCCUUUUGUUUGACAUAAUGAACGCCAUGGUCAAACUUAUCAGUUCACAGAUCGAAAUGAGAUUGGUAAUGAGGUGUUGAAUAGUAAUGGGAAAGGUCAUGAAGAAAAAUGUUUGCUCGGGCAUUAAAGGCUAGCCUUUGUUUUUUUUUUUAAAUAAUGUGUUUAUCUAUUUUUUUCUAGAAUUUUCAAUGGUGCACCAGUAGUAAAUUUCCACAUAUUUUUUGUAAGUAUAACCGGGAGCACAAGCUUGAUAUUGUUGGUAUUUUAGAGACUAAAGUUAGUGGUGGCAAAGCUGAUUCAAUCAUCGCUAAUCUCGAUUUUCAAUUUUCUUAUUGAGUAGAGGGAAUUGGUUUUUCUAGGGGUAUUUGGAUAAGAUGGAAGGAGUCGAUUUGUGUUGAAGUCCUUCAGAGUAAUCCCUAAUUUAUUUUGAUAAAGGUUUCUAGUAAUUCUUUAGAAUAACAUAUCUUUGUUGUUUUUGUUUAUGGCAACCCUAAUAGUCAGAAAUAAAGACACCUUUAGGAAGAUUUGAAGCUUAUCAUUUUGAGCAACGGAUCUCCUUGGUUGGCAACAGGGGACUUUAAUGCAUUUUUUUCUUCUAGUGAAAAGAGAGGUAGGAAAAUUAAUGGGAAAAGAUAUCUCUUUUUUGGUGAAUUUAUGGAUUUAACUGAAUUGCAUGAUUUAGGGUUUAGAGACUCUUCCUUUACAUGGCAUAGAGGUGGAGUGUUUGAACGUCUAGAUAGAGCCAUUGGUAAUGAUGAGUGGAUUGUUUCUUUCCCAAAUUGUUCGGUGACUCAUCUUUCAAUGUUCAAACCUGACUAUAGACCUCUCUUGUUGUCUCUCAAACCAUCGUUACACUUUUCUAAGGGUGUACUUUUCGUGUUUUGGUUGGAUGGGUUGAGCAUCUAGAUUUCUCUAAGUUUGUUAUGGAAAAGUCGACCCUUAAUGGGCAUAUGUCAAAUUCUCUAUCUCACUUCAUGAUUCAACUCAAGAGCUAGAAUAAAAAUGUGUAUGGUCAUAUUAGGGCACGUAAAAAAAUGUUGAUUCAGAAACUCUCUAAUAUUCAGAAGGUUAUGGAUUAUUCUCAAUCAGAUUCUUUAUUUUAGUUAGAGAUGGAGGUCCGAGAAGGCUUGAAAAAUGUCCUUAACUAUGAGGAACUUCUUUGGAAACAAAAGGCAAGGUGAUAUUGGCUUUUUUUGGGAUACAGAAAUAUAAAUUUUUAUCAUUGACGCACACUUCAAAGGAGAAAGCAGAACCAGAUCAUUGCAUUGAAGAAUGAUUUAGGAGAGUGGAUUUUUUAUGAGAAAGAAUUAAAGAAUGAGGCGAUUAGGUUAUUUCAGAAUUUGUAUAGAGAGGCAUUAGGGCAAUGAGAGAUUUGCCUUCUAGUUCGUUUCCAAGGAUUACAGCGGGAGAUGUUUAGCUAUUGUGCAAACCGAUCUCUAAUGAGGAAAUAAAGAUUGCUCUAUUUGAUAUAGGCCCAUUAAAGGUUUCGAGUAGUGAUGGGUUUCAAACCUUAUUUUUUCAGAAUCAGUAGAACCGAUAUGAUAAUGUCGUUUGUUCUUAGGUUAAAAAUAUUUUUGUAGGGUAGUGCAUUGAUCCUGAAUUGAACAAUACCCUUAUAGUCCUUAUUCCUAAAGUUCGAAAUCUUGAGAAGUUUUUGCAGUUCAGGCCUAUAAGCUUAUGUUCAGUUCUAUAUAAAUUGAUUAUGAAGAUAAUUGCUAAUCGAUUUAAAGUGGUCUUCCUAAGGAUCAUUGAGCAAGAGCAGUCUGGAUUUAUUACUAGAAGGAAUAUCACAUAUAAUAUUAUAAUCGCACAUGAAGUGAUCUAUUAUAUGAAAAGAAAACAAAAGAAUAGGAAAAGGUUGGCAGCCAAGAUAGAUCUUCAAAAGACUUAUGAUCGGGUGAGGUGAAAUUUUAUUGAUGCACCUAUCUAGGCUUUAGGUAUUCCUGACUCUCUCUGUAAUAUUAUUAUGUCAGUCAUUACAAAUUAUACUAUGCAGAUAUUGUGGAAUGGAACUUCGACUCAGAAAUUCUGUCUAACAAAAGGCAUUCGAUAGGGGUGUCUUCUGUCCCCUUACCUUUUUUCUAAGCAUGGAGUGGAUUGGAUAUAACAUCAUUUGGCUAUCAACUUUGGGCAAUGGGUUCUUAUUCGUUUGUCUCGAUUAGGUCCCCCUUUUUGUGUCUCUUCUUUGAUGAUGACUUAAUUCUGUUUGGUCAAGUCGGUGUGAGUCAAGCUAGGGUCUUAAAAGGUGUGUUGGAUAUAUUUUGUGGCUAUCCAGGGCAUAAGAUUAAUGCGCACAAAUCUAAUAUCUACUUUUCUAAAGGUGUUGGUGAUGUUUCAAAGGAGAAGUUAUGUAAUAUUCUUGGAUUCCACAGAGUUCAGAAUCUUUGGACCUAUUUGGGUGCGCCUCUAUUUCAUAAUUGAGUUACAAAUAACACUUUGAGGUUUGUAGUUGAUAAGGUUCGAAGCAAACUACAUAGCUGGGAUGUUAGGAAGUUAUUAGUAGCAGAUAGCACCACCUUAGCUCAAUCGAUAUUAUUGUCAAUCCCUAAUUAUUUCAUGCAAUCAAUGAUGAUCCCUAAAGGGCUAUGUGAGGAAAUUGAAUAUAUGGUUAGAUAGUUUAUUUGAGGCUCUUCAAUUGGUGAAAAAAACUCGGCUUUGGUUAGUUGGGAAAAUGUCUGUCAACCUUGGGAUCACGGUGGACUUGGUUUUCAGAAGUUACAAUAUCAAAAUACUUCCUUUAUGAUGAAGUUAGGUUUUAGUCUUGUGUCUGAUUCUAAAGCUCUUUGGGUUCGGGUUCUUCGAGCUAAGUAUGGAAUUUCAGUUGGAUUACCUGUUACGUUAUCAAGUGUAAGAGGUUCUUUCUUAUGGAAAGCUCUCACUAAGGCUUGGCCUCUUAUUCGGGAAAAGAUGUUUUGGUCAAUGAGGGAUGGAACUAAUAUGAGAUGUUGGCCUGAUCCAUGGAUUCCGAAUGUAAGAUCUUUGGCUAGCCUAAUUCCAAGACAUUCCAAUCUUGAUAUGGUCUGCCUUCUCUGUGAGAUGGUUAUAGGUGAUGGUGUGUGGAAUCUUGAUAUCUUCCAGCUUUGGUUAUCAGAAGAGAUGAUUCGAAGGAUUGUAGCAAUUCCACCUCAUCUGGAUAGAAGGGGUGAUAGGUUCAUUUGGGGUGGCACAUCGACAGGUUCUUUUUCUGUUAAAAAUGCUUAUAGGAAGAUUCAGGAAAGAUCGUGGAAUCCAAAGGAGGCGGUAUGACAGAUCCCUGGAAAUUUCAAUGACCCCAAUGAGUUAGGUUCUUUAUUUGGCUCACUCUCAAGUAGCGUUUGCUUACCAAUAUGGAAAGAGUUCAUCGGAAGAUUGGGCAUGAUUCGACUUAUGGUGUUUGUGGGCAUGGCUUCGAAGAUAUACUUCAUGCAAUUAGAGACUGUUCUCUAGCAAGGAGUAUUUGGGAUCAGUUAAUUCCAAUAGAUCAACAAUCUUGGUUUUAUUCUAGUAAUUUGUAGGAAUGACUUGUAUCAAACUUGCGGAAUCAACAUGGUAGGCGUUUGGGAGAUGUGGAUUGGAGUUUUCUUAUUGGGAUAAUCAUUUGGCGCAUUUGGAAAAAUCGAAAUCUUUUUAUUUUUCAAGGUGUGUCCUAGAGUUCUAGUGAAAUUAUUAAAGUGUCUUAUAGUUGGGCAAAACAAUGUCUCUCUCAAAAGGGAAUCCUUGGCUGAGAUACGAAAAUUGGGUCUGUUUAAAUGCUGAUGGGUCAGUUAGAAAUGAAAUAGGUUUUGCGAAAGCAGGAGGAAUUGUUCAUGAUCAAAAUGGGAGGUGGAUUCUUGGCUUUAACUGAUACUUGGGAAACUACUUUGUUUUAGAUGCUGAAUUAUGGGGCAUCUUGGAUGGUUUCGCUAUCCUGAUUGGUCGAGUUUAUGAUAAUGUCUUAAUUCAACCUGAUAAUCUUGAGGCGACUAAAGUCAUUUAGGAAAUUUCUUCUGAGGGUUCUAAUUCUACAUUGAUCAGAAGAUUUCAUCAACUUUUGCUACAGUUUGGACAAUGGGGUAUAUGCGCAUCUCUAGAGAAGAUAAUCAGAUUGUUGAUAGUCUGGUCAAACUAGCAUAAGAUAGACAUAAUGGUUUAAUCUUGUUUGAUGUCUCCUCAUUGGAGUGGAAGGUUUAGUUUUUUUUUUUUUUGUAACUAGUUUGUUUAAUUUAUUUUUUCAUAAAAAAAUAUUUAUAAAAUGUGAUUUUAUAAGUAACCAAUCACAUCUAGUUAAAAAAGAUCGAUAAUGACUCCCCUUUUAAUUGAAAACCCUCGUGUUUUUCUUAAAACCAAAGUUUUCAUACUUUAAUAAUUUGUCAAGCUAAUUUUUUUAGAUAAGUGAAAAAUGGUCACGAAAACAAUAUUUACUUAUAAUUAGGUGACAAUUUUGUACUAUAAUCCAUUAUUAUUUUUAAAAAAAUUAAUUUUUAUUAUUAACUAAAUAAAUUUAAAAGUAUUGAACACCUCUACAAAGCGUGGGUUGAUAGUGUGAGAAGUGAAAAAAAUAAUGCACUUAUUAUCAGUGAAUAAUCAAAAACAGCAUCAUUGCAAAUUCAAUAAUUAAUAAAAUUCAACAAAAAAAAUUAAUAGAAUGUGGUUAAUGCCACCGAUCUUUGCUAUUAUUAAUAUUAUUAAUAGUUAAAAGAAUUAAAUUAAUCUAAAUUGUAAUAAAGUUAUCAUUUAUUGUAUAAAAGAUAUUUUGAAAUUUUUUUUUCGAUUGUGGUUCAAUUCUAAAGAAAAUAUUUUAUUUGCAUAACCUUAAAAACUUUAAAAAUAUUAACUCUAUUAAGCAAUAAAUGACAUUUUUAUAUGGUAAAUAUUGAUACUAUUCCAAUUUAACCUUAUUUGAUUCUUUUUAAUAGUGUAGAUACUAAAUUUAUUCAUUUAAUAUUAGAGGGACUAAUUUGAUCAGAUCCCCAUAAUAGUGGGACCUCUCAAGGACAUUCAUCAAUUAUCAACACUACUAAUUAAACAACCAUUGAGGUAAUGAGCAUGUUGAUUAUGGUAAAUUAGGUUGAAUAAAAUGUUGAUAACUUACUCAAGAAUCAUUUGUAUAAUAUUUAUUUAUUAAGUUAAAUAAAGAAGUAUGAACAAAUAUUUUAUGUUCAUUUAUUAAACGAAUAAGUUUGAAUAGAGGUGUGUUCAAUUUGUUUAUGUUCAUGAACAAGCUUGUUUAUAAACUUGUUCAUUUAAAGAUAAUUCUUUCUAUGAAAAAUACUUUAAUAAUAUUAUUUUCUCAAUUUAUACAAUCUUCUCUAUAACCGUUUGAAUUGGACCGAACUAGUCAGUCGAAUCGAUUGAAUCGAGAACCGGUCGAGGUAUCAAUCCGAAGAGUGACUUUGAAUUAGUUAGACUAGGAAUCGGAACGACUAAUUGAAUCAGCUAAAAAUCAAUUGAAUCGACAGUUGAACUAUUUUUUAAUCUUUUUUUUUGAAAAUUUUAUUAUUUUUUAACUGGACCAGUUGGACUGAUCGGGCCGGCGAACCGGUGGCCUGACUAGUUCAAUCACCAAAACAUUGUCUAUAAUAGUCACCCUUUAUAACAACAUUUCGCUAUAAUAGUCAAGCUUUUAGUAGAACCGAUUUUUAAUGUUUUAUUGUAAUCCUGUAUAACAACUUUUCCCUUAUAACAACAACCAUAGUUAUUAAAUUAUAACCAUUUCAUAUAAGCAAACCUAUUGAUUAUAAAUUAUUAAAUAAAAAUGAUCUUAAUUAAAAUAUUAUUUGUUUAAAUUUCACACUAAAAAAAUCUAUUAAUCAUAUUUUAUUAGAUAAAAAUAAUCUCCUGUUAAUGGAAUUAAAGAUAUCAAUUCAAUAAAUUAUUAAGUUCCCUAAUUAAAUAUUUUACUUCGACUUUGGAACAUCAUAUAAACUUAUAUAAAUAAAUUACUUGAAUAUAAUAACUCUUGAUAAAUUAAUUAAUUUAAUUUGGUGACUCAUAUUGAUUAAUUAAAACUUGUUAGACUUAUGAAAUCAGCGAAAGAGUGUAAAAUAAAAGAUGUAUUAAAGCAAUAAUGAAUGAACCUCCUAUGCAUCUUUUAAUUUUAUUGAUUUGAUACUCACUUCUUUAUUUGAUGAAGUUCGCGAUAUGAAUUCUGUUAUAGAUUUAUAACAAUUAUAUCUCUAUAACAAUAUGCUAUUGUAGGUGUAUAGCAACCAACUCUUUAUAAUAGGCGAAAUAUUGAUAAACAAAUGGGGCUAUUAUAGAGAGGGUUGAGUUAUUUAAUUUAGUUAGUUAGUUAGUUUAUUUUUGUUUAAUUGGUUUAUUGUUUGUGAAUAUGUUCAUUUAACAUUCAAUGAACAAGUUUGUUUAACAUUUGUAAAUAUAUAAAUGAACAUACAUGUGAACAUUAAAUGAAUCGAGUCUGAACAUAUCAAAUAAUAAAUGAAUUGAGUUAAAAAAUCAUGUUUAAAAUUUAAACGAACAGGAACCAAACAUGAACAACAUUCAAUGGCAAAAUCUCUAAUUCAUUUGGAUGGCAAGCACAUUUCGAUCGAUCAAUUACAAAUGGUAAGAAUAUUUUAUUAUAUUUAAUCUUAUUUAAUUUAAAUAUUUUCUUGUUAUAUUGGAAUUUAAUAUUUUGUAUUUUUUUAUAUAUAGCCGAAAGAUCGGAUUUUGGAGACGUAUAUUCAUAAUCUACCCACUCCUCCAUCACCUUUAAUCGAACCCUACUUGAGAGAUGCAAGAUUUUUGCACGUGACCCUUAUAGGUAGGGGGUGUAAAUUAGACCCUACACUUGUAAGCGCGUUGGUGGAAAGGUGGAGACCCAAGAUGCACACAUUCUAUCUUCCAUGCGGCGAGUAUUAUCACUCUCAAGGACGUGCAAUUAUAGCUCAGAUUACCGGUGGAUGGGUCGGUAGUGACUAGGUUAAUUGUCGCAGGCAAUUGGAGAGACGUAUGCAAGCAGCUUUUGGGGAAGGUUCCGAAAAUAAUUUAUAGAGCCCGGAUAAAUAUUAAUUGGUUAAGAAGAAAUUUUGGGGGGCUCGAUGAGGAUUGGAGUGAAGUUCAAAGAGAACAACACGCUCCGGUGUACAUAUUUAUGAUAAUCAGGGGUCUUCUAAUGCCCGAUAAGUUACGAAAUCUUAUCCAUUUAAGGUGACUGCUAAAACUCGUGGACUUUAGAGAAGCGAACGAACUUCGUUGGAGGUCAAUUAUGUUAGCGACGUUGUACUGGGAGAUGUGUCAGGUGACAAAACCACAAAAAAUUAAAUUCGGUGGCAGCAUGCUACUAUUACUAUCAUGAGCGUGGUACCAACUGCUAUUUUUAUGUCCUCCAGCAGACUACCCUUAUAUAUUUACACUCGUAACAAGGUAAAAUUCAUUAGAUAAUAUAUUUACCAUAAUAAAGUUAUUUAAAAUUUAAAUUAUUGUGUUAACAUAUUUUUUUCAAUAGAUAGAACCAUGGGCCGAGUUACGUGGGACUACUGGAUGAGCUUCGAGAUAUACGACUUCUGUUAGACCAACAUUAGAAGUGGAGGUCUAUAUUUUUUAAAUUUGAAUUUUAAAAUAUUAACGUAGUUGAUUUAAAAAUUAAUAGUAUAUAUAUAGCUAAAUUUUUUGUUAUAUUAAUAUAGUUUGAAUGAACGUCAUACUUUGAUUCGAGAAUUCAAGAAUACAUCUCGUCCAAAUUCUUGGUAAAUCUCAACAUAUGGCAUGUGAAUGUGCCAUUAGUAGUGUACGCUACGGUGGAGAUGCACAAGUUCGAUAGAGUGUUGCGGCAGUACGGGUUUUGAAAAAUGAUUUCGUCGAAACCCCAAGCCAUCGAAGAUCUGCACCACAUCGACUUAUGGGGGAGAAUGGAUGAGCAUUGGCCUACAUUACAUGUAGAAUAUAUCAACAUUUGGAACAAUAAGUACGAGUUUUUACCUAUUUGCGAGGCCAUUAUAGCUCCGGAGUUAGCCUGCAAUCCGGAGUACAUGCCAUGGUUUAAGGUCCGUGGCAAGGCAUACCUACUAGCGGAAGCGACGAGGGGUAGGCAACUACAUACGAAGAGAUCACAACAGGCGCCUAGGCAACCUAGGUUUAGAGCAACUGCUGAGGCGGGUUCGUUAUCUACACAUACAUAAAACUAACAAUGAUGGCCACACCAUCCCCCAGUCAGUAUGGUUUGACUUAUUUUGGUACUUUCACUAACCUAGUCAUUUUUACAUAAGCACCAUAUUGCACAACAUUUUUUUUGUUUUUACAUCAAUACCAGGUUUUAUUUUUGGACCUUCAUCCUCGGCAUAUUACACAUCGAUGCCAUUGACGUUUCAGAUGACAAUGGAUUCAACGACAAUAUAUAGGCCACCUGUGUUUGGGGCACCGACUAAAAGUUUGACCAUUAUGCCAUUGGUGCAUGGGGCACAAUAUAGUUAUACCCCUACACCGAUGGUGUUGCAAACACCUCUGGGAUCAUUGUUCCACCAAGGUGGAAAUCUUUGCAACCACAUGUUUCUUAAAUAGAUGAUACAUGAUGGAAACCGAAGAGCAACCGAUCGCAAUCAACCAUGAACGAAGGCGAAGAAGAAGAGAGGCCGAGACCACAACUUGAACUAAAAAUAAAUUUGGGUAACAACCAUCGACCACCUCAUUGUGGCACACAUUCUGGCCGAGGAUAUGAAUGAUUAAUUUUUUUGUACUUCUCCUAUAAAUUUAAUUGUUUAGCUAAGUUAUAGUCAAUAAGAUUGUAUCGAUAUUGGAUAUGAAAUAUUUUUAAAUAAAUAUUGUUUUUUGCAUCAAAAUUGGUUUGUGUUGUCAUUUCAUAUUAUUAAAUCAAGUCUGCAUGGGAAAAAUGGAACAAAAUUAUAUAUUUUAUUAUUUUUUCUAGAAUAAUAAAAAUGUGUGUUUAUAAAUUACAAAAAUUUUGAGUAUAAAUGAAAAAAAAUUAACAAAUUAAUAAAUAUGUUAAUGAGGUGUUGUCCUUAAAUCAUCCUGUCGAUCUGGACAUGACGACAUUGAAUGCCUUGGGUAUCUAUACCACUUGCAUAACCUCAGUUGGUUUGUAUUCUCCUGAAUAUCCAUAUUGUCACAUAUUUGAGUUGAUGUCGGUUGACCUUUUGGUUUUCAAAGCAAUGAUCUUUUGGCUAACAACUUGAAUAGAGCAUUCGAUUCCGACGACCACAUACUUUCAUCUGGGACGAGUAGGAAUACGUUUCUCCACAUGUUAUACAUGUGUUCUAGUUUAUACACUUCGUCCACAAAGCUUAUGUGAUCCAGGCGUUGAUUGCUACAUGCUACAAUUGCAUGAGCGUAUGGAAAAUGAAGUGCAUCAAAUCUCCUACAGCCGUAAGUCCGUUGUCUUAGGUGUACAUGGUAUGCUCCUCCGACAAUACCUUGGUUGGGUUUGUCGAAAUCCAUAACCCGAAACAAUAGGUUUUUGUGCAAGUGAAACAUUGGAUGCAUACAAUUUUCUCAUGUUAUAGCCUUCCUAAUUUCUUUACGUACAUCAUCACUCCAAAUAUGGCCGCCCUUCAUCUGUCCAACAUAUUUUUCCGCUAGCUUUGGAAAAAGUUCAGCCAAACUAAAACAUCUUUGACAACAAAGGUUAUCAACAAGUGACGUGUUCCUUUCAAUACAGAAUUGAUGCAUUAUGCCAGGUUUGUCGUUAUGUGCCUGCAUCAUGGACCCCCAUCAUAUGAUUGUGUUUAUUGAUCGAAUGAUAUAUUAGAGAGGUACUCCAUCUCGACACUGUUAAUGGCCCGUAAGUUUAUAAAUAUUUUAUGGAAACGGUGUUUCACAAACUCGUACCCUGUUGAGAAAAGUGAGUAAUUUAUCCACAAUGUCCAACAUUUGUUGAUUAGUUAAAUGCCAAAAAUUGAAAUAGUGAUGAAUACAUACUUAUUGUUAUCAGUUGUACGCGUUGAGUUAUAGAAACGUGUUGUUUGGAGUAGUUCACUGCAACAUCUCUUAGAUAAUACCUAUUGUGUGUGCGAUCCCAAAGGCUUCCUUACCAUUCAAUUGUGACAUGUAUUCUAGGUCCCCUAUUGGAGAUUACACAUAUAUCAGGUUGGGGGCAAACAUGCCUCCUCAACCUAACAUAAAGAAAUCUCAAUCUUCUACUAACUCCCCCGAUGUGAUUGCAAAGGCAACUAACAGUAUUUUUUUAUUGACAUCUUGUGCCACAGCAAACAGCAAUUGAUGAGUAUAUCUCCCGUGCAUAAAGGUACUGUUGAUUUGUACCAGUAGCUCACAGUACUGGAACGUCUGUCAACAUUGCUUGAAAGUCUAGAAGAAACAAUGGAACAUUCGAAAUCCAUGAAGCAACGGAUCAUUGUUGUACUCAAGCAUUAUUUUCAGAAUGGUUAGGCAACCUGGAGCGUACCUCUCUAGUACCUGACACCAUUCCCAUAUUAUUGUACAAUACAUCCCACCCAUUAUUCAUAUUCUCCAAUGCAUUAUGCUUUGCAAUCCGCGCCUUGCGAUACAAUAACGUGCAAUCAAACUGGCUAUGAAUAUUUACAAUUAUAAUAGUUUGUAUUAUGUUUGCAAUCAUCUCCGAAUCCAAUUUUGAAUGAUCCCGUGAAAUACCUGUAACAACACGAGUACGUUAAAAUUAAGAAUUCAACACCCCAAAUAUAAGACAUUCUUGAUGCAGUACCCAUGACAACACACGUAUGCAGAGCGGUAUAUUUCUUUUAAUGAUUUUUCAUGCACAUUUGUUGUCUCGCAUUGCGCAUUUCACCUCGAACUUGUCAGAUCGAGAUUUAACAAUGUGUUUAUCUCAUUCUUGAUGUUGUAUCGUUUUAUUGCAAUGAAAAAACCAUUUUUAGAGGGAAAAUUUUUCCUCAUUUCUAAAUCUCCCGAAUCCAACGAACAACUCACAUGGCCCAAUUUUUUGUGUGGUAGUUCUACAAACUCCAACCCAUCUUCUGCUGAUAACUCUAAAUUAUGCAUGUGCGUUGGAGGUGAGCACACCCUGAAUUGUGGAUUUUCUUCUGCAUCUUCGCCCGAACCUUCACUAUAUGAACCUCCAUCUUCUAGUUUAGUUGAAACCGACUCUAGUUAAAAAAAUAAUGUAAUUUUUGAACUAUCGGUAUCGGGCUCUUGGAUUAGAUCGAUAUCAGAUUCAAUCCCCUAUUUAUUCUCAACCCCACCAGCAUCUCCAAGGUUGGAUGUCCUAUCACCGAUGGACGUCGUAGGGAGUACAUAAUCUCUUCUUAUAUAGUUGUUGAAACAACCAAAAUCACCUGCUGAUUGCCAAUCAUUGGAACUUGAUGCCAUUUCCCUAUAAGUGUUCCCAGCGUUGAACAUCGGCUGAUUGAAGUUCAAAUCAAAAGAACUAAUUGAGUGCUGUGUAGGGGACCAAUAUUUUGUGUUACCACCAAAACCUGACUGUUGGACGUUCGGCCUGCAGCAGUUCAAAUUUAAGGCCAAAAUAGAUGAGUGUCUACCCAUUGAUGAUUUCGGGAUAUCAUAAUGGGAACUUUCUAAGAAAGUAGUGAACCAACUGUACAACUGUGUCCGUAGACUUUCAGCUUGUUCUACCGUUCUGUCCUUUUGAACUGGAACAUAUGUCGACCUCCGAAGGCCUUCAUCAGUGCAUGCAAAUUUCGCAUAUAACUCGAGAAUUGGUGAUCCAUUGGCAAUAUGCGUCUACACCGUCGCCUCCAACCCUCUUCCACCUAUGAUAUCGAAAGCUUCAUAUCUGAUGGGGUUGGCUGAAGCAUAAAACCAAUAUUUAAGUGACGAUACUCUCAUCUAGUUGGAUCUGAUGAUUUUUUCCCUAAUUCUUCCAGGCAGCUCUGGUAAUUGUAUGUUCGAGUUAAAAGCCAACCGCAUUAUGUUCUCUGAUAAAAAAAUGACCUUAUUCUCGGUGGCAUGCACUUCACCGUUUUAAUAAACAAUGACAUUAAUUUGUCCACUCAUUUUCAACAAAAUAAUUUGUUUCUCAUGUUCGAAGCAAAAAUAUUAUGCAAAAAAAUAGUGUUGUAAUUAAUAUGAAUAACAAAAUCUAUCUUUUCUUUAUGCUAAUUUCAUGGUAUCUCCAAAUUAUGCCUUAUGUGCGAACUUCCUAUACUUCUUACAAUUUUUUUUGCUCGAAAAUGCCUUAUGCCACUCAAUGUUGAAAGCCAUGCUUUUAUAGAGCCUAGGUGAGUGACAACUAAAUCAGAAAAUUUUCUCGGGUGAGUGGAGAGUUGAAAGUGCUAGAGAGAAAAUGCUCCACGUUAGAUGUGUUUACAGUGCACUGUCAGAAAAAAAGCACUAAAAGCACGUCUAGUUGGACGCGUUUUCAGCUAACAUGACAUGAAAACAUGUCUAACUUGACGCGUUUUCAGUCUUUUUUUUUCUUAUAGUGCACUGAAAGCGCGUCCUACAUGGAGUGUUUUCCCUCUACCACUUUCAACUCCCCACUUUUUCCCACUCACCCAUUAGAUAUCCCGGGAUUCCUGGGAUAUAUUUUUUGAAGAAAUCUGGAAGUUUGAAAUUAUUUUCAUAAUGCAUUGAAAGUUCGAAAAUAAUGCAUUGAAAAUCUAAUCGACCUCAACCUCCCGUAAAAAAAUUGAUCAAAACUCAGUUGCAUUCAAAAAAUUGAAAAAAUUACAAACAAAGAUUUAAUCAAAUCGAGUCGUUCGAGUUUCAAUUAUGAAUCGAAUUGAAUUUUAAAAUUCAAAUAAUUUGAAUAUACGAUUGGUGUAAAUAUAGAAUUAAAUAAUUAUCAGCUUUACAUCUAAAAAUUUAUAAAAAAAAAGUAAAAAAAAACCUAGACAAAACUUAAACCCUAAAAUCCACAAAACCUUAAACCUAACCCUACUUUUAAAAAAAACAAGCCCCUAACUCUAAAAAAUGAAUUAAAAGGAAAACGCUUCCAGCUCCGGUCUAGCCCCAUAAUUUUUCGAAAAAAUAGCCUGUAAUUCUUUUUUAAAAAUCGGUAUUUUUAAGAAAUUCAAUCAAAAUUGAAAGUUGGAUUUUUGUGUUUGUAAUUUUCAUACUAAUGUAAUUACUUGCUUGUAUAAAAAAUAUUAAGAUGUUACAUUGUAUAUCAGAUCUAUUUUUAAUUAUAACAUUAAUCAAGUGAUGGAAAAUGAUACUUGUUUCUUUCAAAAUUUUAAUUACCAAAUAUUUUUAAUAAAAUUCCUAAAAAAGACAAACAAACUCAUACAAUUUUCCAUCGUUGAAGUAGUCAAGUUUUACGACCUCCCUAGUGAGUAAAGGCUGUUGGGUUGGAAUUUUGAAGAGUUUUUAUUUGAGUAAUUCUCUUCGAAUGUGUGGGUAUAUUUCUACCGUACGUACUAAUAUUUUAAUUAUAGAUUAACAAAAAUAGUAAAAUUGUACUUACGCUUCAAAUAAAUGUAAACAAAAGUUUCAUUGUCACAGAAAAAUUAUAUAUAUAUUUCAAAAUCAUGGACUUAUUAUUCACCACUUAUCAUUGUCAAAGCCAAAGAAAAUGGGGGAUGACUACACUAAUUAAUUACAACUAGGAAAAAAAGAACCAAUAACGAAAGCAUCCUUUUUCCAAACAAAUUGGUUAAAUAGACACAAAUUUUCCAAUUUUUAUUGGUUGAAUAGACACAAAUUUUCCAAUUUUUAAAUAGAAUGGUUUGAAGUUUGAAGAACGUGUUAGAGUUGUGUGACUCGAAUUCGUCAUUUGUUAAAAAAAUAUAAACAUAGUGAAUUUCUCCUCUUCUAUCUGUGGUUUUUCCCGAUAAAGAUCUUUCACUUAAAAUCUGUAUGUUCUUAUUUUUCUUUCUUAUUGCUUUGCGAUUAUUCCUAUUACCAUUAUCGACGUUGAGUAUAACAUAACAAUUUAAAAUGAAAGACAUAGUUUAAAAAUAUAUGGUGAAAUACGACUUAACUAUUAAAUGUAAAUCAAUCUAUUUAUUUAUUUUAUGAUUACAAAUUUAUGGAAAUAAUUGUAGUACUUAUGUCGAAAUUCUUCUCUCAUUUACAAAAAGACUAAACUUAGAAUAAGCUUAAUUGGUGUUUUUGAAAGAGAUUGAUUUUCUUGCAUGUCAUGUUAUUUUCAAGAAAAAACAAAUAGAAGACAAAAUUGAUGAAUUUGGAGUACAACAAUCGAUUGAAUUAAAAUCCAGUAUACUAAAUAUAAUUAAAAAUUAAAAAUUUGCAUUUAUUGUAUUAUGUUGAAGUUAAGUUUUGAUAUUUGACAAUUAAAUAAUAACAGCUCUUUUUAAAUCAAAUAAAAAGUCAACAUCCAACUUUAUAGGUUUUCUGAACCAACGUUACGUUUUGGGAAAAUAAUUAUGGAAGUUUAUUAAAAAAUAUUUUAUUAUUAUUUUUAUUAUUUGGUAUUUUAAAAUUUAUACGAGAUUUGAAUUUAUACUAUCAAUAUUUUUAAUUUUUUAUUACUUUAACCAAAGUUUUAUUUUCUAUGAGUAUUUUAUAUUUGAGAUUUAUUUCAUCUAAUUAUUUGAUAUUUGUAAAUACUUUAUAUAUAUAUAUAUCAAAUGCUUUACAAAAAUUAGCGAUAAAUCUGAAAUGAUACAUCAGAAUGGAGCAGUACCAGUAAAAAACAAUACUUCCACUAAUAUGGUAUUGACUACAUUAAAAAUAGUACGAUUAUCAAAUUAUUUAGGGAAAUAACGUGUUUUGUGCCACAUAAGCUACUCAGUCAGCCAAACCUGCAAGCCUUUUUUUUUUUUAAUUGCUCACUAUUGAAUCCAAAUAGCUGAAAUUGAAGGGCAAAUUACACAUAAAAGUCUUAUUUUUUUAAAAAAAUUUACCGAAAUGGGCCCGGUAUUUUAUUAUUUACCGGCAUUUUCCCCGAAAUCGCGUCCACGUCAGCGCAAUGUCAGGGGAUGUGUCAGUAAAUCGAGUCCACGUCAGCGCGAUUACUUACGUGGCAAUAAAUCGCGUCCACGUAAGCGCGAUUUGCUGACGUGGAAGCAAUAAUUCAUGAACAUUUUAUGUUUUUAGCUUAGAAAACUUUGAAAGGCCAUAACUUUUGUCUCGGUUGUCCGAUUGAGACAAUUUUUUUUAUUUCGAAUAACUUUUUGAGAUCUACGCGCUGACAAACAGCCGAAGGCGGUUUGCUGCAGUUUUCAUCGAAAAAGAUCCUUUUUUGCCUCUAAAUUUUGAUUUUUUCGGUUUAAAAUUGAAUUUUGAAACAUUCAAAUCAUUAUUUUCCUUAUUUAUUUGAAGUAAACACCGGAUUUUUUUUUACAGAAUUGUUGUAUUAUUUUUUAUGAUAUUUUUAAAUAAAACAAUGGCUCUAAAUAAAUAUCUCAAAUAACAAAAAAAGAAAGAAUAUCGCUUUGAUUUCGCGCAACACCGGAUUUUUUUUACAGAAUUGUUGUAUUAUUUUUUAUGAUUUGACACGUGUAUGGAAUAGUCCGAUAAAUCAUUAGAAUGUAAGUAAUAUAAUUAAGAUAAUAACAAUAUUUUUAUAAUAUGUCAAUUAAUUAGUUUAGUUUAGUUGGUUUAGAUGCUUGCUCUUUCCCUUAGUACCUUGGUUCAAAUCUUCUUGCCAAUAAAUUUGAAUCUUUUUUGUACUUGUUGCAUUUAUUUUUUUAAUCAAUUAACUCUUCAAUAUUACAUUAAUAUAUAUUAUUAGUACAAUAGUAUAGACAGAUUGACAAUUUGAGCUACAAUAUUAUGAAUAUUAACUACAAUACAUAAUUUGAGCUACAUAAUACAGUAAUACAUUAAUAUGUAUUAUUAGGGGCAAAAUACCAAAAAAAGGGGCAAAUUACACAUAAAAAGGGGGGUAUUUAUACUUUUUUUUGGACUGUUGGAUACUGUUCACGCACGGGCCGAAAUCGCAUCCACGUCAACGCGAGUUGCUGACGUGGCAGCAAAUCACGUCCUUGAAGGCACGAUUUGUUGCCAUGUCAGCAACUCGCGCUGACGUGGACGCGAUUUCCUAGCGCGUACCUUGACAUCGCGCUGACGUGGACGCGAUUUCGCGGAAAAUGGACCAUUCCAAUAAAUAAUUAAAUAAUUGGCCCAUUUCGGUAAUUUUUUUAAAAAAUGGCUUUUAUUGGUAAAUUGCCCGAAAUUGAUAUACCGGAAAAAUUAGGCUUAUACGUUGUUUUUUUUUAAUUGGCAUUUUAGGUUUUUUUUUUAAAAUUAGAGAUAUAGGUAUUUUUGAAGAGAAUGUGAAAGCGCGCCCAAGUAGACGUGUUUUCCUCUAACGGUCAUUUCCCCAAUGAUUUUUUUAACGUUGGCAACGGUAAAUUUUUUUAAGGGCCAACGGUAAAUUUUUAUUUAAUUAUUUUGUAUAUUAUUCGUUUCGAUUAAAUUUUCACGAAUGACAAGCUCUCUGAUUCGUUUCGAUGACAAACACAUUUCCAUCGCUCAAGCAGUAAUGGUAAGACGAAAUUUUAAAUUUUGUUAUUUUUAAUUAAGUUAAAUUUAAAGAUUUUUUAAAAAAAUAUUUUAAAUUAAUUUAUUUUGUCAAAAUAAUUAAGCAGUUGAUCGUGUUUUGAAGUGGUUCAUAAAUAACUUGUCAAAGAGCCCAAACAUCGAAAUUCAUGGCAAGACAUGGGAUUCUUCCAUGCAUCUCGUAUGCUCAAGGCUGCAAACUCGAUCUACACUCAUCAGCGUGUUGGUGGAAAGAUGGAGGCCUGUGGCAUACACUUUCCAUCUUCCAUGCGACGAGUGUAUAAUCACUCUAGAGGACGUAGCUUUACAACUCGAGUUACUAGAGGAUGGGCUAGUCAUCACGAAGUCAACAGUCGUUCCUUGUAAAAAGAACCUUUGCAAAGGAUUUCUAGGGAAUGUGUCGUACAAGUUUCAAGGUGGUCAGAUUGAAACCAAUUUCAAAGAUCUUCCUCCUAAUGCGCCCGACGUCAUCAAAGAACAAUACGUCUAAGCAUUCAUCCUGAGGUUAAACAAGGGCAUUUUAGUGCCUAGUAAAUCACAAAAUUUGUUACAUGUAAGGUGGCUAUUAGGCAUAGUCGACUUUAAAGAAUUCAGAUGAUUGAGUUAGAGAUCAGCCGUCUUGGUCACGUUGUAUUGGGAGUUGUGUUGGGUUACGAAAUCGGAUAAGAUGUCAAUCGGUGGUUGCCUACUCCUACUGCUGUCAUAGGCAUGGUGAUGGCUACCAUUUCUACGUCCCCGACUGAACGACCCUUAUGCGUUCCCAUUGAUGAAAAGGUAAAAUCAUUUGAUAAUAAUAUUGCUUGAAUAGGUAGAACCAUGGGCCAAGUUACGUGGGACUACUAGAGCAGCUCGAAGACAUCCAAUUGCUGUUAGAUCAACGCUCCAAAGCCGAGGUAAGUUACUAAUUUUUUCAAACCUAUAAUAAUUAUGCAAUGAUUAGUAAGUUAAAAUCUCAUACAUAAUAGAAUUUAUAAUUGUGCACUAGAGUUUGAAUAGAUGCCAUACAUCGAUCUGGAUAUCACAGAAUGUGUCCCACCAUAAAUUUUGGCCAUUCGGAGUAUGUGAGACACGAAGGCGCCAUUGAUAGUGUACGAGAUGGUGAAGAUGCAUGAAUCAAAUCGAGUGAUACGAUAGUUCGGGUGGAGGCAAAAAAUUCCGUCGCCACUGUGAGACAUGGAAGCACUGCACAAGCUAGAUCUGCAGGAGAAGACCAAUAAGAAUUGGCAAGAUUACCAUAAGGAGUACAUCAACAUUUGGGAUCAAAUGAUAGAAUUCUUACCCAUCCGCGAACAUUUUUUCUCAUCAGACAUGAUGGCCUGUUUGGAGUACAUGACUUGGUUCACAGUCGCCAGCAAGCCAUAUCUGCUAUCGGUGUAGGUGAGGAGUAGGAAACUUCAUCAGAAGAGUAUGCUUUUUUGACAACCGAGGUUAUCAGUAAAUGACGCGUCCCCUUAAAUAUAGAAUUGAUGCAUUUAGCUAGGUUCGCUGUCAUCUGCCUGUACUGUAGACCCCCGUCAUAUGAUUGCAUCCACUGUUCAAAGGGUAUGUUGGUGAGGUAGUAUGGAAUUGAUGCAUUUAACUGUAUCUUCUUCCUUAUCUGUACCUUUAUUGUCAUCUUCAACCAAAAGAUUUGAUGCACCAUCGUCGGAUCCAGUCGUAGGGAGUAAGUCAUCAAAUUUUCUGUACCCUAUAUGCUUGGCAAAGUUUGCACCAGAUUACGAACCAGUGUAUGUUGAUGGCCUUUCGAUAUAAGUACUUUCACUUCAGGAAAUCGAUCCACUAAAGUUGAAAUUGAACGUACUGGCUGAGUGUCGUGCCCGGGUGUCGAGGUUCGAGUUAUGCUUAUACCCUGACUGAUAAUGGCCAUCAGAGUUUAAAUUGGCGUCAGAAACCAAAGAAUAUCUACCCAUUGAUGCUUCAGGGACAUCAUAAUAGGAGCUUUGUAACAAAUCAGUGAACUUACCGCACAACCGUGUAGUAGGACUUUCUAUUUCAGCUUCAGUUCCAACAUUUGCUGCAAUGGUGGUUGAAGAUAGACUAGCUCCAUCAGCUCAAUUUAAAACAAUUGGAUAUUUAAAAAGAAAAAUCUUCAAAUGGUGAUCCAAAGAAAUGCAAACAACAUUCGCAACUCAACUCUUCAAUGUUAGAUAUGAAUUUGCUGUGUGCCUAAGUUCUAAAUAUUUCAAUACUUUAAUACCAAAAUAGAACAAGGUGAGAGGGAAUGCGUGCUUCAAAAUUCAUUUCUGAAUACGCGUUUUCGUUGAAUAAUAAUAAUGAAACUAUUUUCAGUGCUCAAAAACCGCGUUUCACAAAUCAAAUAAUUUCAUCAGAUGUAUGCUUCAGAGGGUAUUCAAUACCUCAAAACGUGAUUUAGAUUUUACCCGGGAUUCCCAAGUGAUGCGAACUUGGUCGCAUCAUGUUUCGACACAACUUACCGUCAUCGAGAGUGGCCUAAGCUCGAGGGGCCCAAGUGCAAAAUAAAGCUUAAUCUCAGUUCAUUGAGCUCAAUUCAGCUCAUUUCCAGCUCAAUAAGCUUGUUUGCUCGUUUUGAGUUUAAUUUUAAUUUAUUUCAUUUUAGUUGCUGGAAUAAUUACUUGCUUAGUUAAAUUAGUUAAUUUGGUUCAGCUUAAUUAGUCCAUGCGUUCUAAAACUGCUAGCUAUUUAAUUAAGUUAGUUAAUAUAGUUUAGUCUAAAUAAAUGUGUCUAAAUUCUGGUCGUUUUAAUUAAGUGUUAGUUCAUACAUAAUUUUAAUAUGUUUCAGCUGAAUUUAAAUGUGCAUUAAUUUAUCACAUGUUUUUAAUAUGUCCAGACUAUUACAUGUUUUAAAUAUGUCUAGCUACAGUUGAAAUUAAUUAGUAACUUAGCUUAAAUAUGUGUUAUAAUUAUGUCUUAGUUUAAACUUGAUUUUAAUGUGUCUUGAGCUAUCAAAUUAAUGUGUCUUAAGGUGAGUUAAUUUGCUGAAUUAAUUUACUGCAGGUACAUUGCUUAGGACAACAAUAAGUGAGCUGAUGGUUCAGCUAUUCAAAGCACCUCUUCAUGGACUUGAAUGGCCAAAGAUUAGUUGUUGGUUAUUCUUCCCAAAGUGGCCGGUUAGCUCCCAAAAACUACCUUGAAAGCUUUCACACCAACUGCACAUUCCGUUCACAUUACAAGGCUGUCCAGAUUUUUUUUUCACACACUCAAGAUUGUUUCCAUUCGAUUUCAUACUUGGGUGACCAUUAGAAUACUUGAGCUACCAAUUAAAGCUCCAAAACUAUUCAGCUGAACAAGGGAGUUUCAAUUAAAGCCAUUCAAGCAUCUAGGCCGAAUCUACCCAGUCAUUUCAGCUCAUUUCAGCCCCUACUUAAUUUCAUUAAUGUCCAACUAAAUGAUCACCUUCUAGAUGCUUUCCAUUGGUGUCUCCCAUGCUAGGAAACUUCAAGGAAGCUGCCAAGGACGUUUAAGAAGCUUCAAGGAAAUUUCCAGCCAUUUUAGCUUUAAUUUCCUGUCCAUUCAGCACCCUUAAUAGCCUAUUCGGCUAUCCCAUGUAAAAGGCUAUAAUAUGUAGUUCAAAUCACUUUGUAGGAACUUUUUACUUCUUUGAUUAAUGCUUAUAACAUUUUGUGAGUUUUUCAACUCUCUUAUUUCGUUUUAGACUCAGCGUGACUUAUCUAGCUUGCUAGUGGUGCCAUUCUGUUUCUUUCGAACUUAGCACUCAUUCCGAGUGUGGCAUUCUCCAAAAAUAUACCUUUGGUUCCUAACUUUCUAGUUAGCGGGUCAAGGUCCACUUUAAGUGACGUAUAAGUCUCGGGUCAGCACUUUGAUAUAGUGUUGGUUCUUUCUUGUCCUUAAGAUUGUUUUCCUAUCCACAUCUAUCAACUUAUUUAUCUUGUUUCUUUGAUUAGCUGGAUUAUCAUAAUCCUCAUUCAUUUAACCAUUUUUCCAUUAUCAUUCUACUUAACCAAACCAUCCUCAACACAUUCAUAACCUCUGAACCAUCUAGCCAACCUUUGUUUAAAGUCUUACUUGGCCAAAUUCAACCAUUACUCUGUUCAGGAAUGAUACUUCUCCAUUUUAAUGAUUGGGCAACAAAUGACUCGAAUCAUCAUUGAGGCGAGAUCGUAUCAUUCCAAGAUCAGGUAAUUUUUUGAUAGGCUUUAAUGGAAAUGUAAAGAAAACUUGUCCAGCUAGGUGAGCUUCCCUACUGACAUGAUAGGAAAGCGCGUCUAGUUGGACGAGUUUUCUUAACAUUUGCACUAAAAUCUGCAAAAAAAGUACCUUAAUCUCAGGAAUUUUUUAGUAGAUAUGAAGCACAUUUUGAAGAUGUUCGAUGAAAACACUAGUCUUGCUACGUGUUUUUGACCAUAGAGAUUUUUUUCUUUGCAAUCUCACCCCUCUCUCGCGCCUAUAAAAGGGGUUCCCCUCCAUGCUCUAUCAUCCUUAUAAAACAUCAUCUCUCCCAGCCUUCAUCCCUCCAUUUUACAAUAUUUCUCUCUCUCGAUUUUCUUCCCCGCUUCAAUGUUAAAAAUUUUUGUCACUAAUAAAAUUUCUGGUUUGAGGUAUUCUUGAGUUGUCGGUGAUGCGAUAUCGCUCUAAGACGCUCACAUUUCAUAUAUCUUGUCGAUAUGAGACCAUUAACAUUGAAAUAGACAUAUUUGGUUCACAUUGCAUGUAAUUUCCAUGCUACACAUUCAUGAUUGAUCUAUGUCAAAUAUGUGACCAUUAAUGAGUUUAGUCAUGAUUAAUGUGACAAAGACUGCUUUGAUCGUAUAUGGAUAUAGUCGAUGGAUGAUAUUGUUAUAGAAUACCUAUCAUAUGAUAUUAAAUUUUGAGCUCAUAAGGUUGUACAUUUAUUAGGAAACAUAUGUUGCCCAAGUGGAAGAUUGUUGGAUUAAUAUUCUCAAUUAUGGGCACAUAUGUAUAAUGUAUAAUGCUAUUAUAAAGUGUGAUACAACAUUAAGUGACCAAUUAUGUUAUAAGUGUCAUAGAUAUUAAAGUGUCAUGGAAAUAAUGUGUAGAUACUAUAAGUAGUAUUUAUAAUUUGAUGAUGGGCCAAAUUAUAAAUACCCAAAAUUGAUUUAAUAAUCAAUUAUUUUAAAAAGAGGAAGUGGUCCCCAAGAAAUAGAUAUAUAUCUUGUAUUUCUUUUCCAUCCGAUCAGAGAGUUAGACGGAGAAAACUAUUUUCCUGAAAGAUCAAAACUUUCUGGGGAAUUUCCAACAAUGGUUUCAUGUAAGCUUCCUCAUAUAAUUUUGUUUUUAAUAAUUUGACAUGACAGAUCCUAAUUUAUAGUUUUAAGUUUACAUCAGAUUUUUAAGAUUCUAACACGUAGUACAAAAAUAAUUAGAAAAUUUCACAACUUUUGAUAUAAUUUAUAAAAAACAAAAACAAAAACAAAAAAAAAAUGCUUUAUUCUCCUUCCUCCUUCCUUCUGCCAUUGUGUGUUUAAUAGGUUUUGCAAAAAUAUUAAAAAAAUGUACUACCAUUAAUAGAGAAAGCAAACAGCUAGAAGGGAUGACACCACUUCUUUUAUCUUCUUUUAUUGUGAUAACUGGCUGCAUACAUUAGGGGUGAGCAUUCGAUUAAAUCGAGUCAAAAAAUUUUGAGUUAAUCAAGCGGAUAGAUCCUAUUUUAUCAUCCUAACUCGAUUCAAAAUUUUUUUCGAAUCGAAUUGAGUCGAGUGAAAUGAAAUUCGAGUCAAGUCGAAUCAAAUAAAAUUGUUUGAGUUAACUUAAAAAUUAAAUAUGUAAAAUUAAAAUAUUAUUACAGUAUAACUAAUUACAUGUUAGAGCACAUAAAUUUGAAACCAUAUAUAUAUUUGAAAACCUUUUCAAAGCAAAAUAAUAAAAAAAAUUAAAAUACUUUAAUAUGAUAAGCUUGGAUCAUUAUUAUUUUAGAAAAUUUUAAAAUUUUUAACUUUCUUUAUAUAUUAUUUAGAAUUUUUUUUAAAAAAUUAUAAUUUUUUAAAAAUAUAAAAUUUGAAAUUUUUAUAAAUAUUUUGAAUUUUAAAAAUUAUUUUGAAAUCUUUUUUAUAAUUUUUGUUGAGAGAGAUCAAUUUGUUCAUUUUCAAAAUUAACAAAGACCAAAGGGGUAUUUACACUAAUAUGGUAUUUGAAUUAUUCAAGUUAUAGAAUUGUAAAGUUCAACUCGACUCGAACUCGAAACUCGAAUUAUUUAUUCUAGUUGACUUGAAAAUUUUAAAUAACUUGAUUCAAUUAGCCUAAAAUUUGAUUUUUUUUCUAAUUGAAUUAGUUGUGCUUACCCUAACCACACACUUAUCGCUAAAAUAUGAUAUUUUAUUCCAAAGGUGAGACGUGUUAGGAUCCCACUUAAAAAGAUCACAUUGUAGUGUUUAUCAAAUUUAUGACUUAAAAAGAUUGACUUUAAGAAAGAAACUGAAAUUAUUUUUAUUCCUUGUAAAAUUUUUUCAUUAUAAUUUGAUUAUUUUUACUUAGUAAAUUGUUAAUUGAAUAAAUCCAAUCUGAUUUUUAUGAACCCAAAAAAUGCACUAGUUGUGAUAUUAAUAAAUUAUGAUUUUAUGUUGUUUGCGAACAACAUAUUAUUAAUACCCAAUCCAAGAAUUUAAUACAUGAUUUGUCCCACACCAUUAUGGAGUUCACAACUCACAUUUAUAAUGCAAUUUAUUGCUUGCAUGAAAGAGAAUUUGAUUCGUAAGAGCAAAUUAACAUUCAUUAAAAUCUUUCAUUUUCAGUGUGAUUUAUUCUUAAUUAACCUAAAUGUUUCUAUUUAUAGUGUGAAUGUCAUUAUGUCCUACAAAUGAACCCUAAUUUUAAUUACCACACCUAACACCAUCAAUUUCAUGUUGAAAUAUUGGUUUGAGAAUGUGAAGAGGAGAAGAGAGGUUCAAAAUAUGAAGGCCAUCCUUUUUUAUUUUAUAAAAUUUGAGAAAUCAUUUUUUCUAUUUUAAUUUGGAAAUAAAUAAUCCCUCUAAUUAUAUUUAUAUUACUAUUAUUCUUGAUAUUAAUAAUUUUUAAUUAAUGAAAAAUUAAUUAAAAAACUUGUGGAAUUUUAUCAUAUUUUUAUACAACAUAAAUGAAUAGUAAAAUGUUUGUAUCUUUUCCUUCUGAGUAGAAACUCUACCAGACAUGUCGGGCGCAAGUGUUAUGGUAAAAGUGCAAUCAAGCAGCUAAGAGCUCAAAACGCGUUUUUAUUUAUUUAUUUAUUCCUUUAGGGACAAAUAUAAUUAAGAUGGGAGGUCCUUUUUCUUUUUCUUUUUUUAAAAUAAUAUAGAAAGACCCGAUUUUCGCCUUGAUUUUUCUUUUUUAAAUAUUUAUACUUUUUUAAUUCUGAAUGAUAAAAAGCAGAAAAGAAAAAAGUUUCAUAGAAUGAAAAUUUUGCUUUUGAGGAAGAAAUAUUUUUAUAUUUGUAUAAGUUUCCUUUAUAUGAUAAAUUAUUCAUUCCUCUGGCUUUCUCUAACUAAGCUAAUCUAAGAAACAUUUUUAUAAUGAUUUGAGAAACAAUUUAUUUUUUUUAAUACAAUAUUUAAUACUAUCCAUAGUCUAUCCCAAUCCUUAAAUAGGAGGAUAAUAUAUUUCAAUGCACUUAAACUUACGUCCUCCUACACUGGUAACAAUGUCGAUGCCAAUUGAACUAAGACUCAAUAGGCAGAAACAACUGAUUCUAAUCUCUACUAAAAAAUAUUGCGUAAUAAAUUAAUUAAAUGUUGGAAUAUCAAUGCAGUUCAAUUGAUACAGUUGUUAUUGUAAAGAUAAAAAAUUAAAUAAUUUUUCGAUUUAUGAGUUUGAGGUUGGAAUAUCAAAAUCUACCAUUCUAUUUAUUUUUAAAUGAGUGAAGAUUUUAGGAAAAGAGGAAGCUAGUUUGACAGGUAACCAUACGAGAAUCUACAUCUAGAAUAUAAAAUUAGGUAACCAAAGUUGCUUUAAUAAAAUAGUAGACAGAGGGAUAUUAAAAAGAUUAGAAAUUAUAAAUAUAGAGAAACCUUCAUAUGAAAUCAAUUUCCAAAGGUACCUUUAGGUCAACAAGAUCGAUUGAAAAAAAAGCUAAGGCUACAUAUCUCCCAUAACUAACCUAUAUUCUCAUUCCCAUAUGGGUACAUAUCCGACAUAAAUGUAUUAAUUUUUUCUUUUUAUAUUUAUAUCGGGAUAUGUAUUGAACACAAAUAUUUAAAAGAAAAUCCUGAUAACACCGUAAUUAAUUAUUUUACUGAAAAUUCUCAACCCAUUCUUCAAGUCCAGAGAGGCUCCCAAGGUGAAACAAUACAAGUAUCAUCUAGAAAACAAGUGGUGUCAAUGGGUUCUUUAGAUUGUGACAUUUCCAAGAUUAGGGUUAACACAUUGGCUUGUUGGCAUUGCAAGGUCACAACCUCAGCUUGUGCCUUGGCCAGCUGUGCUUGGAGGUCACUCACUUGCUUUUGUAGCUGGAAAAUCGCUCCGGCACACCCGUAUACCGGAUCCCGAAUCCGAGAACUGGCCUCGUACACCAUGCUACUUACUGCAUCUUCUCUUUGGGACUCUGGUAGUUCCUGAGAAUAGUUUCAGUUUUGUUAGCAUAAUUGAUUGGAGAUCCAAGGUUUUAAAGAAGAAAAUUACCAAGUUAGAGAUUAUUUGGAAAUCUGGCAAUCAUGCAUCCCUUGGCUAGUCAACUUUUGAUUUUUUUUCCUUAUAUUGUUAGUACUUGUAUUUUUUAUAUAAAAGAAAUGAGAAAAGAAUUAGAGAUAUUAGAAUACACAUUUUAAAUUCUAUUAUCUAUUUCGAACAAAACAUAAUAAACAUGAUAAAUUUAAUGGAAUAUAUAUUGUAAUCUUGACCGACUUGUAUAAACCAUUAAGUUGCACAUUAAUUUAUUGGCAAUUGAAGUCAAGAUUUCCUCAUUGCAUGUGAACUGUAAUCGUGACUUGACUUAGACCUUUUCACAAUCAACACUGUGACCCUUUUUUCCAUUUUUAAUUUGAUGAAAUCAAUAUAUUGGUUUUUUAAAAAAUAAUGUCAUUUGAUAAUGAGAUUAAAACAGGAAUUUGACAAGAGAAAAAAAGGGGGGUACCUGCAAGGAUUUGAUGAUGUUGCUAGCUCCAAAAACUCUAUGAGCAAUGAUGAACUUAGAAGGCUCAGUUGGUGGGAAAUAAGGAGCCAAAACACACUUGUCGACGCAGCGACGGCGAAGGAUUUUGCAGGCAGCACAAGGGCUGAGAACAAGCUGAGGAGAAGCUGCUGCUGCUUGCGGUGGUGAAGAAGAUUGAGAGUCUGGAGAAGGAAGACUUGGUGAAAACUGAGAAAGUGGUGAAGAAGACGACGACGAUGGAGAAUAAGAAAACGUGGUUGGAAUUGAGAUUGGAGAGAUUGAACCUCUCUCAUUGUUUUCCAUCGUUGCCAAAAUGAAGAAAAUAAAAACCGAGUGUUGUUUGUUUCUCGGGAAAAAGAAGAGAGAGAUAGAGAAGGUGGUUUAGUUUAGUUGAAAGCAGGGAAAGGGAUUUGUAUAAAUAGAGAAGGGAAAUUGGAAAAUAAAAAUAUCAUAAAUAUAACCCCAUCAAAACCCUUCGAUGAUGUCAUGGUUGUGUGAAAAGAUAUGCUUUUGUGGGCGCAAAUUGUUACUAUUAGUUAAUAUUGGUAUUAAUUUAUGAAAAAUAUGUAUUAUCAAUUGAUAAUAAAAUGAUGCAUGGUCAUUUGUGUAAGAUAAAAAGUAUUGAAGGGUUUAUAGAAUAAAUAUUAAUUAUAGUUGUUAAAAAAACAUAAAAUUUAUAAUCUUAAAUCCAAAAACCUUCGAAACCCAAACCUAAAAUCCAAAAUAAGAAUAAAAUAAUUAUGGUUAAUAAUAGUAUUUAUUUUCCAAAUCCUUCUAUAUAUUUUAUUUUACAAUAAUUAUUAUAUCCCAUUUUAUCAGUAAUUGAUAGUAUAUGAGACUUAUGCAAUCCUUAGUUCAUUAAAGUUUUUUAAUAAUUGUACUAAUAUAAAAUUAAUUACUUUGCAUGCUUCAAUAAUUUUAUAUAUGAUUUUGCAACAAAAAAAUAUUAAUACUUUAAUAGAUGAACAACUUAAUCAUGCAAUAUAAUAAAAUCUAAAGUCUCAUAUUUAUAUUAUUACUAGUUGUUAAUGUAAAUGAUUUUAAACAUUUAAUUUUUUUAAUUAAAUUUUAAAUAACGUGUUUUUAAUUACUAUUACCUAUCAUUAAUAAAGAUAACUUCUUUUAUUUUUUGAAUAAUAUAUGAAUUUGGAAUUAUAAAAUAAACUAUAAUAUUAAUUUGAAAAAAAAUUAAACUAAAACAACAUGUAACAAUUUUAAUAAUAGUUCAUUAUAAAUACGAAAAAUAUUCACAAUUUUAAAAAAAUGAUUUUAAGAGUGCUUGUUUCGCACAAUAUAAAAAACUUAUUGAUUUUUUUAAAAAAACAUUUCAUAAUAUUAUAUUACUUUAUCAUCAAUUAAAAUAAUGUUUGACCACUCUUCAGCGUCAUUGUCGUUCGAAUGUGAUUUUGAUAUUGCCUUUUCCAUGAAUUGUUGAUUUAAUGUCCAAUUAUUUUUUAUAUAAUUCUAACUUACUAAUAUUAAUUGUCGAAACCAUUUUUUUUUGUAAAAGGGUCGACUUUGAUUUAAAAAAAAAAACAAAAAUGGACAUGGGAGUCGCCACCAAUCCUUUUUGAUGAGGUGUGAUCGGGUCACCUCGAAAAGUGGUUAUUUUUAAUAAAUGGUUUAAUUUUAAAAAACGAUUUCGACCUACGAAAUUCAAAAAAAUGGGUUCGGGAGUCGGUUAUGUACGAGGAAGGGUUAGCACCCUCGUAACGCCCAAAAUUGGUACCUAGUUGAUUAAUUAGUGUCUUAGUGUCGGAAAUUGGAAACUUUGAAGAGAUUCAAAAUACGAUCCUUUGCUGAGAUGCUAAAAAUUAAAAAAAAAGCAUAUUUCACGUUAAUCGAGAAAGAUAAUUAUAUCCCGUAAGUUAGGACACAAUGUCUUUAAAUUCCCGAUUUGAGAAUAAAUGCCGAAAAAUUAACUUAAUUGAAAGAUAUUCGAUUAUCUCGGGUUUAGAAAAGAAAUCAUGUCCCGUAAGUUAGAACAUGAUCUUUUAUUAAUUCCCGAGAUUAUUAAAAAUUUAUGCUUAAAAAAGUUUGUGUACUUGGAUUUGUCGAGAAAAUCGAAACCCCGUAAGUUAGGGCAUGACUUUCGAAUCUCAAAAUACGAAGUUUUACUUAUUUUAAAGUCAUAAUUUAUGCAUCGAGUAAAAUUAAUGUAAUGUGAUUUUGUAGUAACACGUAAAAGUAAAUCACACUGUUAGUAUGGAUAGAAUAAUAGAUGUGAUAACAUAAACGAUAUUAGUAAAGGCAAAAAUAAAAUAAAUAAAAGAUGAUGAUAAAUUAAAGGAAAAAACAAGUAGCAAUCUAAAACUAGAUUAAAAACAAUAAUAAACAAAUACGUAAAUAAAUGGUGUGUAAAACGGCUAAAAAAAUAUAAAUAAAAAAAUAUUACAAAGUUUGAAAUUCUAAAAAAGGGUAUAAAUAAGUAAAUAAUAAUAUUAAUAAUAGAAUAGCAAAUAAUCUAAAGUUGAAAAAUUAUAAAAAGAUAUAAGUACAUAAAUAAUGAUAAUGUAAAAAUUAAUUAAGUUAACAAUAUGGUAAUAAUAAUAAGUGUAUAACUAAAAAGAGUAAAAUAAUAAUAGUAAUAAUAAUAUUAAAUUAAUUAAUUUAACAAUAAAAUAGCCAAAAUAAUAAAAAGGACUAAAUUGAGCCUUAAAAAAAAAUUUUGGGGCAAAUCAAAAAUAAAUAAAAAUCGGGAGGACCCUUCUGAACACGCAAAUAACAAGGAGGGACUAAAAGGGUAAUUUUCCCUUCUCUUCCAAAACGCUGUCGUUCAAAUAAGGACCAAACUGAAUUCUCAAUAAAUUAUGGGAUACAAUUUAAAAAGACCAAAGAAACUUGAUUACAAAAUCUCUAAAAAAGCGGAGGGGCUAAAAGGGUAAAUAACCAAAAACUCAAAAACGCGCGGAUCCCCUAGUCGGGUUGGGUUGACGAGUGGAUCAUAGGGGGUAAAACCAUGUCGUUUUGGCCACGGGGAUCAAGGCCCAAAACUGUGCCGUUUUUAAACUUCUAUAAAAACCAAAUUUAUUUUUGAAAUUUCAUUUCUCCCAUUUCUCUAAAAAAAACAGAAGUUUCUUUCAAAAAUCCCCCUCCCUCCAAUCCUGGCUCCGACCGAUGGUCACCGUCGCCGCGCCGCCGUGGGUGGUGGUCGAGAUCGCUAAAAGAAAAAUAUAUAGGGUCCUUUAGCCCUUUUAUAAAACGGACUUGAAGGUAACACCUUCUUAGUCCAAAAAGUCGAGAGAAAAAAAAGCCUCCGCCCACUUUUAAACCCGUUUAGGCGACGGAGAUGGAAACUCCGACGAGGCGGUCACGGGCGUUCAGGUGAGCUCUUUCCUCUCCUCUUUUUUUUAUUAUUUUUGUGUAUGUAAAGAAAAAGAAAAAAGAAAUAGAAGCAAACAAGUACUGAAAACAAAAAAAAAAGAAAAAGAAAAUCACCUCUGAAGUAAUUUUGUUUUUUGUUUUCUAAUGUUUGUUUUUUUUUUUGAAUUCGUUUCUGUAUUCCCAAAAAAGACCCUUUACAAUCGGUUUGAAUGGCCUCUAUAUAGUCAUUUUUACACAAAUUUUUAUUCUAUUUGUUGGCUGUCACUUCUUCUUCUCAUAUUUGCAGGUGCAAAUGGCAGUGGCAGAUGGGGUUGAUGGCUGCGGCGGUGGCAGGAUAGCUAGGGUUUCAGCUUUUCUAAAACCCUAGUUUGACUAUUUGGAUCACUUGGGGUUUGGGCCUAUUGGGUUUAGUUUAGUUGGGUUGUCUGAUUUGGGCUCGGGCUAAAUUGGGUUUGUUUUUGGGUUUUUAAUUGGACUCUGGACUUUGGUUAUUAUCUUUGGUUUGCUUGGAUUUUAUUGGGCCCCGGGCAAAAUGGCUUACGACAUUAACUAUUGAAUGUUAUUUAUAAAACUAAAUUUAAAUUUGAAUUGGUAUAUAACUCUAAUAUCAAUUAAAUGAUUGUUAAUAUGCUUAGACAUAUAUUUAAGUAAUAACUCUAUUUUAGAUUAAUAAAAUUAGCACAAAUUAAAUAAAUUAAAUUAACACAACUUUUUAGUGUCAAAUUUUUAACUAAAAAUUAUAAAUUUAAUUUAAUUAUAAUUAUCACAAUUUUUCCUAUAUUUUAUGUUUAAAGUUUUAUUCAAAUAACAACUCCAUUUUAAAAAAUAAUACAAUUUCUGUCCCAUCCCAAAUAUCGAGUUAGUGGAAUUGAGUUUGUGAAACUGAGAGUGGUCACGUCUUGAUUUAAAAGGUUAUCUUUAUUCUUUAUUACUUAAAAGAGUUACUAGCCCCUCCUUCCCCUUUUAAUUUUUGUGAAUUUCAACAAGGAUAGGGUAAAUUGCUUGUGCUGGCUGGUUUACAAACCCUAGGUAUUUAACCAAUUCUUUCCUAAUUAGAAUUUCACCUUUUCAAAUCCUAAUUGAAUUUGUUCUCCAUCUUCAUCUUCUUUUCUUUUUCUCUUCUCUUCUCUCAUUCUUGCACCUUAUUUCCUUCUUUGUGCUGUUAAUUAUUUUUCUUUCCCCUAUCGAAUCGUUCCCCGAUCAUUUAAUUUCUAUUGCUAUUUAAGAAUUGUCAUCAAUAACACUCGUUAUCUUUGCCAAGAAUUGAUAAGUAUACUUCGUUUCAAUGAUUAGAUUUCGUAAUUCUGUUGUACGAAUAACCAACGUAAAUCUUUCUUUUGAUUAAUCAAUCUUUUUCAAAUCUUGCCAAAUCUUGAUACCAAUAGUUAGUUGUGUGUAAUUUCCGUUGAAGGAUCAGAUCUAGGUGAAUCAGAUCAGAAUUGAUCAUGAGAAGUGUCAAUCAGACCCAUGGUGAAAUGUGUGUGUAUUUUCCAAGUGAAUCAGUAGUGAUCGUGUGUAGGUUUAGGGCCACACGAUCUCCCACAUGGGUGUGUAGACCACACAACCAUGUGCACCUAUAAAUUGUAGGGUAAUUCGUGAACCACAUGGCCUCAAGCCUGUUACGCGGCUUGCCACAUAGUCGUGUCCUUAUUGUAGGGUAUUUUAUUAUUUUCUACACGACAUCAAGUUGUUACACAGCCUAGCCACAUAGCCGUGUAUCCCUUCCACAUGGUCACAAGGCUCUCACACUGCCUGACCACACCGUGUGACCCAUGUUUUACAAUUUUGCCUAGAAUUUUGUGAUAUGUUCAGUUUAGUCACUGCAUAGCCCCCAAAUUGUUUUAAGAGUUUCUAUUCACUCAAUUGAGUCCUUAAUAUUAUGUAUAUUCUGUAAUAUGUGAUUUAAUGUCUGGAUUGUUAUUGUUACAAUGUAUGAUUUGUGAAUGUUACAUGCCUACUAUCAUUAUAAUUCUGAUAAAUUGUUACUGUUAUUACUACUUCUUCCCUACUGAAUGCAUGUUAAGCAUGUCUACUGCUAAUGUUGAAUUGAAUACAUGUUAAGCAUGUCUAUCUUUUCUGCAUUGUUCUAUUACAAGCAUGUCAUAUUGUAUUACAUGGAGUGGGACAAUAUGAAUGAAGGAAGUGCUGGAAGUUUAAUAAUCUGAAAGCAUGGGUGGUUCAUCCACAACUUACUGGUAGUUUAUUUGAAAAUAAUGGUGGUUUACCCUUAAUUUUUACUAGAAGUUUAUCUACAAAUUACUAGUGGUUUAUCCACAAAGUGAUGUGUAGGGAUGGAUGAGCUAUGGGAAACUCUUAUUGUGGUGUGUAGUGGAGUUGGCUAGGAUCUUUUCUAAUAAAUUGAUACUACAUUGUCAUUCAUAAGCAUUUACAAACAAACUAAAAAAAUUUGAAUUGCUAUAUUGAUGUGUUGAUAUGAAAAAUUGAUAUUUUGUAUUGUUAUACGAUUGUAUUUGUUCUGAGAACUGUUAUAUUGUAUCCUUUGUCUAUUGUUUGACACUAAUUUUCUUGUGUUUAGACUCACACUGAGCUUUUUAAGCCCACCUCCCUUAAUUUCCAUAUUUACAGAUAACCCACAAAGUUAGGACAUGGACAUGGACUCGACAUUCAGAGGGCUUGUCUCAGAUAGUUUUUUUUCAUAAAAGUAUUUUGGACAUAAUAUUUAUAAUUUAUGUUAUUGGGGAACUUAUUAUUAUUAUUUUGAAUUGUGGCAUGAGACUUAGAUUUUAGAUUUAUUUGGCAUGCAUCAGGUUUAGAUUGAUUUUAGGCUAUUGAAACAUGAAUUUUGAUUUAACUAUGCAUGAAUUUUUUGUUUUCCAUUAAAACUAUAUUGAAUAUCACCUUUUUGCUACAAUAUUAGGUGAAUAAUAAUUUUUGCAAAGUAGAUAAAUUAGAAAUCAACUAAGUUUUCAAAAAUAGACACCAUUACAAGAAAAAUGUUAAAAACAGUCAGUUUUCGAAACUUGUAAGUUUUUGUGAAAAGAGAGAUGAGGCUAAGUUUUCUUCAUAGGUAAACAAAUGUUUUAAAAAACUAUUUUAUAAACUCUGAUAGUUUUAUUGGGCCAUUUUAGUGGCUAAUGUAACCUUCAGAAUUUGGCCGUAGCGUUUAGGUCGGGUUAGGGAGAUUACUUUUGGUGGUAUUAGAGUCAAGUUUCAAAACUCCAACUGUGAAAUUUUAAAUAAGUUUGCAUGCAUGUCUUAAAAAAGGAGGGUAUUUUGAGUAAAACCAUGUGCCACAAAACUUUUGGAAAUGAUUUUCUCCAAAGAAAUUAUAUUUGAGACUUCGAUGCCGAUCCUAACUUAGUUACUGUUAUUUUUGAAAACUAUAGUCAAACUUUAAACUUUAAACUAUAAACUUUAGACUAUAAACAUUCAGAAAAAUAGUUAAUGUUUGAACUUUUUAUUUGAAAAUUGUAGAUAAACCUUAAACUCAGAGAAAUGAGAAAUGAUAGUGUUUCUGUUCAACUGAGAAUUUGGGGUAGACAAAACUAUUAGUGAAGUUAUUGUAGUUAGUCAUUUGGGACAGUCCUUGGUAGUGAAUAUGAUCUUCAAGAAAAGCCCAUUGGAGGUUUAAGAAGAAGUAUUGUCUGGAAUUGUAUUGAAAUCAGAGUGGCGCAACGGAAGCGUGGUGGUUGGUUUGAAAAGAGGGGAUAACGAAUUUUGUGGCUAAGUGAUUGGCGUGUCAAGAGGGAAAUUUUGGGGACGAAAUUUCUUUUUAGGAGGGGAGAGUUAUCACAUCCCAAAAAUUGGGUUAGUAGAAUUAGGUUUGUGAAACCGAGAGUGGUCACGCCUCGAUUUAAUAGGUUAUCUUUGUGUGUUUGUACUUAAAAGAGUUACAACCUAAUGAUUAAGGGUUAGUAAAUCCUUUCUAGAGAUCCUAUGUUCGAGCCCUUCCUUUCCUUUUUUAAUUUUUGUGAAUUUUGGCAAGCAUAAGGUAAAUUGCUUGUGUCACCCCUAGGGUUUAUAAACCCUAGGUAUUUAACCAAUUCUUUUCUAAUUAAAAUUUCACAUUGCCCCUUUUCAAAUCCUAAUAGAAUUUGCUCUCCAUUUUAUUCUUCUUUUCCUUUUCUCUUAUUUUCUUUCAUUCUUGCACCAUAUUUCCUUCUUUGUGCUGUUAAUUAUUUUUGUUUCACUUACCGAAUCAUUCCCCAAUCAUUUAAUUUUUAUCAAUAUUUAAGAAUCGUCAUCAAUAACACCCAUUAUCUUUGUCAAGAAUUGAUAAGUAUACUUCGUUUCAAUGAUUAAAUCUCGUAAUUCUAUUAUACAAAUAACCAACGUAAAUCUUUCAUUCGAUUAAUUAAUCUUUUUUGAAUCUUACCAAAUCUUUUACAGAUCUUGCCCAAAUCUUGAUAUCAAUAGUUAAUUGUGUGUAACUCUCGUUGAAGGAUCGGAUCUGGGUGAAUCGGAUUAGACUUGAUCAUAAGGAGUGUCAAUUGGACCCAUGGUGAAAGAUGUGUCUUUUCCAAGUGAAUCAGUAGUGAUCGUGUGUAGGUUUAGGGCCACACGGGCAUGUGGACCACACGACCAUGUGCACCUGUAAACGAUGGGGAAAUUCAUGAACCAUACGACCACACGACUAUGUUAACUCACUAGUUAUUCUAAAAAUAGGCUAAGUUUUUUUCUAAGAUAAACAAAUGUUUUAAAAUGACUGAUUUAUAAACUUCGAUUGUACUAGGUCAUCUCGAUUGCCGAUGUAAUCUCUCGAAUUCGGGUCUAAUAUCUAGACUAGGUUAAGGAAGUUACAUAUUUAACAAUUGAGAUAUAUAGUCUAAAAAAUUCGAGAUAUAUAUAAUUUUUAGAAAAAUUACAAGUACAAUCAUAAUUGCAAUUAAUAUAUUCGAAUCACAAUAGUCAAUAUCAAUGUUAAAAUGUAUAAUUUGAUUGAUAGCUAAAAUAUAUAUACAUCUAAACUAAAAUAAAUUUGGACAAUCAACAUAUUGUGAGAUUUAAAUUAGAAUAAAUUUAGAGAGAACUCAAACAAAUCUUAAAAAUAUAUAAUUUACUCAAAAUUUAAUGUGCACAAACAUAAAUAAAAAAAUAUAACAAUCAAAAUUACACAAAUACAAUUUAUAUAAUUUAAAAAAAGAACAUGUAAACUAAAAUAGCUUUAUACUAUUUUGAUUGAGUCCCUCCUUAUCUAUUUAGUAAAUUUUAUCAUAUAAAAACAUACAUAUAUGAUUUACGAAAAAAAUAAAGUUUUAAAAGUUUUAAAAUUUCAAUAAAAAAAACUAAUAAAGACAAAAUAAAAUAACAUGUAUACAGUUUUUUUAUGAAAAAAAUAUGAUUAUUUACUUGUUAUUUUCUGUGCUUAUUAUUCAACGAAGAAACUAGACGUCCAUUUUCUUGAUUGCAUACGUUUUUAAUCAAAAUCCAUUUAAUUAGAGCCAAAGACCAAGUAAAAGUUAAAUCUUUCAAAGAAGGCAAAAUAGUUAGGCCGAUUUUUGUUUGAAGGGAAAUGUUUUCUUGACUAGCUUGUCACUUUAAUAGACUCCAAAUUUCUUUUACUUGUGUUUUUUAGAGGCUCAAACUCGUGUAAAUUUGAUAAUUAAAUAUCCCUUAGUUAUCAAACCAAUCAUAAGAGUUCAAACUCGCAUCGGAGAUAGUAAAAUUCCACCCAUCCCAUCAAUAAGUCACCCUUAUAAAAAUAUUAUUGAAAUUGUAUAAUUGGUGUGUGAUUGACCUGUGACAUUAACUCAAUUAAAUACUUUAGUAAAAAUUUUAUAUACCUUUUUAUACUCUUUUGAUACAAUAUUAAAAUUGGGAGGAUGGAGAUAACAUAGUUCGAACCUAUGCCAAGUGAGUGUUUAAUAAGAGCUUUAAUCAUCGCUCUAUACAAACCAAUACAUAUUUUUAUAUUUUUAGUACCUAUACUCUUAACAAAAUUCUUGACUGAGUUGGUGUCACAAGUCAAUCGGGUACCAACUCGAUUAGUAAAUUACAAAAAUAACUUUUUGUAUUUAAAAUAAAUUAUAUUAUUUGAGAGUACUUUAGUCUUUUUAAUUAAAAGAACAAUAAAAACAUGCAAUUUGUGGGAUUUGAAACCAUGCCAAUUACAUUGGAAAAAAUAAAUAAAUUUACCACUCAACUAAAACUCUAAUUAAUUAAUUAAUACAUUUUAAUUUUAUUAUGCAUACUUUAUUAUAUCCAUUAAUUGUAUAUCUAUACUAUUAAUAAAUCCCUAAUUAAGUUGGUAUCAUGAGUCAGCUGGAUAUUAACUCGACUAGAUAAUUACAAAAAUGACAUUUCCUAUUUAAAAUAAGUUAUUGAUAGGGGAUCGUGCGAAAGAAGGAAAUCGUAUUCAAGUUGUUCGACUCGAGAAAGAAAUAUUCGAAUCUGAAAAGAAUAAACUAAAUAAAUUUAAAAAACGAACAAGAAAAACAAAGAAAAUAAAAAAAUAAGAAAUUUAAGAAUAAAAAAUAAAUAUUUAAAGUAAUAAUUAAAUAAAGAAAAAAAAACUAAAAGUGCAAGAUGGAUAAAAAAAACCCCAAUGGAUAUGAUCGAUAGAUGAAUAAGUGUCCAAUUGAACCCUUUGAGAUAUAAAUCCCAACAAACUCAAUUAACGACUCUAAUCAACCCUCCAAGAAAUAAUCUUUAGACAAAUUGAAGAAUGAAGAAUGAAGAAUGAAUUAUCACGACUCCUUGAAGAAAAUCGAGAAGAAAUUUACUUCUAAAAAUCACAAGAAAGAAAUAUCGCACAAAGAAACUAAUUUGCAGAGUUGAAAAUUUUAUUAAUGAAAACAAUUGUAUCCUUUAUGAACAAUGAGGAAACCUUUAUAUAAGCUAACUAAGUACAUUCAAAUAAAUCUUGCAACUAUACUCAAACUUUAAUUAAUCUAAAAAAGAAGUAGUUUUAAACUAAACUUUAUUGUUAACUAAGAAACAUAAAACUCCUAAAUAACUUAAAAUACUUAAAAAAACUACAAAUUUUAGAAUAAAUAAAUAAUAAGAUAAUAAAACCUAAUAAAUACAAUAUUUGGCUCCUAUAUAAUACAAAUUAAGGUUAAAAAUCAAACCCAAUAUUAUUUAGACUCGAAUUAAAAGCUUGAAACUCAUAAUUUCUGUAAUAAUCCUAUCCAGAAAUUUUACUCGCACAAUCUUCACUAAAACGGUUAUAACUUGAGCUCCUGAAUUUGAAAUUGAGUGAUUCAAAGCGUGUUUCGAAUGCUAUGGAUACAUCUCAACUCAGAAAUGCCUGGAUUCCAUCCAAAAAGUCAUCAGAAGUUGCUUGAUUUUCCAAACUUGAAAAUUGACAGCUUCGGUGAAUGAAAUUUAAUAAAUUUCACCCCAUCCAUGCAUGUAUCAAUCAUAUUAUUCGAGGGUAUUUUAAAUAUACAUCCAUGUUCUAACUACAUGUUUUCUAUAUGCAUACGCGUGCAAUAGAAUUUCUAGUAUACUAUACUAAUAUAUAUAUAUAUAUAUAUAUAAUGCACACAUAUUUUAUAGUCUUUAUAUUUGUAUAUUAGAAAAUUGUAUAUAUUGAAAAUAUGUUGAUUAAUAAAUUAUAAUAUAUAUUUACAAUAUUAAAUUAAAAAACAUUUGUAACAUGUUAAUAAUUCUUAGUAUUAUGAUAAAUUGGAUCGACAUCUUGUGAAUUGAGGGUCAAGUUAUUAUAUACUUGAUGUUCAAUAAAUUUUAAAAACAAAAUAUCUAAUAAAAAUAACGCUAAUUUACUACAAAAGCAAGUAAAAACAAUCACAUAACUUAUAAAAUAUAUAACAUAUUUAGCAAAUGAUAAUAAUAAUACUUACAAAUUUACUAUGUUUAACAAUAAGACAUUAAUACCAUAACAAUGAAAAAAACACGAGAUGUAAUAAAUUUUGAAAUUAAUCAUAAAAAGGGAAGAUGUAUGGGUAAAUAUAAAAACACUAAUCAUGACACCUUGAGUGGGGAGAUCUCAAGUUAAAUUUGAAUAAGCUAAAUACAGGAUUCCCUCAAGAAUCCUAAAAAGAUGUUAAAAAACCUCAACAUUACUGGGUAAUAAUUACCAAAUGAUUCAACUUCAUAUUCUCCCACAAUUCUAAACAAAGAAAAAACACUAAACUAUCUCAAUAUUCUUGAAUGUUGAAGUAAUUUUAAAAAUUAAUCCCAAACUUACUUAUCAUGUCCUAUAUAUUAUUUUAAGACCCAAAGUUGAUGUGAACAACUUGCAUAAUCAUUAUCUUUUUAAUAAUUUUAAAUAUAAAAGGGUUAGAUCAAUUUUAAUUAAAAAUAUAUUGUAUUUUCCUAUCCAGUAUAGAAUACAUCUCAAGAUUAUCUUUUAUUUGUUACAACAUUUUCUCAAAAUUAAUUGAACUAAAAUAAAUUUUUAUCUAUAUUGUAUUUAAAUAAAAAAUUUACCGCUUUUAUUAUUAAUAAAUAUAUUUUUAAAUAUUUAUGGUAUUUGAUUUCUUUUAACAUGUUCUUUUUUAAUUCAUCAAUGAAAUCUUCUGUGAAAUAGUUUUUGUUUUUAUUAUUAAAAAAUGUCAUUCCUAUUUUCGUAAUAAUUAAACUUAAACCAAAUAAAUUUCAUGUGUCAUCCAAUAUGUUACCCCAUUAGAAUCAAUUGAAUUAAAAUUUCUUUUUACAAACUUUUAUACUCAUUUUGUUUUUUUUAUCACUAUUUGUCCACUAAUUAUUAAUACCAUAAAUCCCUCAAUUUAAUGUCAAAUUUAUUUAAAAUAUAUUUUAACUUUAUUUUUAAACAAAUAAAUUUAUAAAACUAAACUUCUUUAAUAAUUUGUAUACAUUUAUAAUAUAUUUUAAUUGCCUAAUUUAUUAUAGUUUUUAAAAAUAUAAAUAUUUAUUUAAUAUAUUUAAUUUAUAGAUAUAAUUUGUAACUCCCCAACCCGGCCUAGACGUUAGACCCAAAUUCGAAAGAUUACAUUAGCCUAUCAGAGUUUUGAAAACAGUCAUUUUAAAACAUUUGUUUAUCUUUGAAAGAAAACUUAGUUAAUUGCCAAAUAAUUUAUUACUCAAAAUCUUAAUUACAAUUUAACAGCAGAAAAAUGAUAACUAUUUGUUUUUAAUAAAAACCAAAGUUCAUGCAUAAUUAAUUAAUAAUCAUAACACGAUAUCCUAAAAUUUAAAUUAAAACCCUAAACCCUAAACAAACCCAAAUCCUAAGUCCCAUGUCAUAGUUCAAAAUAAAGUUGUACAGACUUUGAAUAAUAGAAUAAAUCAAUUAAUAAGCCUAAAUGAUUCAAUAAAUAGAAACCGACCCGAGACCCUCCGGAUGUUGCGUCUGCAUCCUAACUUGGUGGGUUAUCUGUAAGGAUGAAAAUUUAAGGGGGAGUGAGCUAUGACACUCAAUGUGAGUUCAUUCACAAAAAAAUUAGUACAAACAGUUGGUAAGAUACAUUAAAUAAUAUUGCAUAAAAUAAUCGAAAUCAAACAACAGUUAGAGUAUCAAUUUUUCAAUUUAACCAUCAUUAAUAUCACAUAACUCACAAUAGAAAUUUUAAAAUAACGAAUUUUCAGGUUUCUCACAAUAUACAUAUAUAUACAUAUGUGUCAUAUCAGAAAUUCCAGAUUUGUAUGCACAAGAUUUUAUAGAUGCCAUACAAUUUCGGUAUUAACAUAAUAGAUCCUACCCCACCGCUACACACCACAAUUGGAGUUCCCUAAAACGCCAACCACCUACACACCGGGUUGUGGAUUAACCACCAAUAAUUUGCAGAUUAAUUGCCAAUGGCUAUGGACACACAACAAAACACCACAGAUAGAGUUUGCCUAUGGCUGUGGGUACACAACAAAAUAAUAAAGGUAAAAUUUGUCAAUGGCUGUGGAGGCACAACAUGCUUCCAGAUGAUAGCUAUCAAAAGGUUGUGAAUGCACAACAAAAAUGUCACAUAUGGAAUCUACAUAUAGCUGUGGGUACACAACAAGACCGUCACAGAUGGAAUCUACCUAUGGCUAUGAGUACACAACAAAAGAAAUGCAGAUAAAUUGCCAAUACUUCCUCCAUUCAUAACGUCCCACCCCAUGCGAUGUAAUAUGGCAUGUUCGAACAGAUCAAUAUAAUAGCAUUUUAUAUGUUUUUAACAGAACAAUAUAGUAGUAAAUAAUAUGCUCAAAAUAGUUCGAUUCAGUACCAAUUAAUAUCCUGCGACAAAUCAACUCAAUAGAAAAAUUCAUGCAUUUUAUGUGAGUUUAACGAUGUCAUAAAGCAUACUAUACAUACAAUCACAAACAUCGAAAUAUUAGUCAUACGUAUUGUUUACAAUUCACGCAAAUAUAUAUAAACAUCAUAUUAAUACGACCAAUCAAUUCAUAAUUCAUAUUAUCAGGGACUUAAUUGAAUAAUAUAAUAUACUAAAAUAGUUCAGGAAUCAAUUAGGGACUAAACUGAACAAAACAUAAAAUUCUAGGUCAAAACUAUAAAAUUUGAGAUACAAGGGACACACAACUAUGUGUUUGGAUCGUGUACAAUGCCCUGGAUUGUGUGUGGACGGGUUAUAUGACUGUUUGGCUGGGCCGUGUGAUAGGCUAUGGCCGUGUGGUAUUUGCAAAAUCAACCUACAAGGGAGACAUGAUUGUGUGGCAAAGCCAUGUGGAGAGUCUUAAGCUGUGUGAGAAUAGAAUAUUUUGAAGCACGGUUUGCCCCGAUUCGCUUAUAAAAACACACACCUUUUUCUAGGAUCUCGAACGACAUCCCUCACAUUCAAAUCUGAUCUGAUGCGCCUGCAAUGAGUCCUUCAAACUACAUUUAUACAAGAAUUAAUGGCCGGGCUUAAGAUUAAUUAAAGAUUAUCGAGAAUUUUGACAAGAUUCGUAUAAGAUCCAUUAAUUCGAAUGAAAGAUUAGUAUCAGAUGUAAAUACUAUAAGAAUUUGGGAUUAACUAUUAGGAUUGAAUUGAACUUACCGAAUCUUGGCGAGGAUUAAAAACAUUUCUAAUGGCGACUAUAAAAUUGGUUGAAAAAUGUCUUGAAUCGAGAAUAGAUUUUGGUUUGAGAAACAGAGAAAAUAUUUAGCAACAAAAUAAUGUGAAAUAUGAUGUAAAAGGAAUGAGAAUGAAAGAAAAGAAAGAAGAAAUAUGGAAGAGAAACAAAAUAUUGGUUAGGAUUGGAAAAUAAAGAAAAUUUUAGUUCAAUUAGGAGAAUAUUAAUUAAGGCCUUGUUUAGCAUUGCUUUGGAGAAACACUUUUGGAAGAAAAGUUGUGCUAAACAAGAAACUUUUGAUUAAAAUUUUUGGUUUUUCAAAAGCACUUUUGGCCAAAUGGAGAAGUUAAAAUUUUUAGCUUUUCUUCUCCCAAAAGCAUUUUUCAAAGCUUAAUUACUUUUUCACCCCCUUCAGCACACGGUACUUUCCCUUCUCUGGUUCUCCCUUCUCUUUCAUUUUUUUUGCUUCUUCCAUUUUCUCCAAGGUUUUUGCUGCUCUCCCCUUCUUUCUUUCUACUCCCCUAAUCCCAUAUUCUCAUUUUAACUCCUCAUUUAACUUUAUCGUUUUUCCCUAUUUCAGGUUAAGAUCUUUUUUGUUGUUGCUGAGUUUGGUUGCUCCCUAUUUCAGGUUAAAUUUCUCGUUUCACUUUUGAUUUUCUUGGGUUUUCUGUUUGGUUACCUAGUUUGAUUCUUUUUUUGGGUUUUUUCCCCAUUUCAAUUUGAUUCUUUUGUUGGUAUUUUCUCCUUUGAUUUGUUGGAUUGUAUCUCAUCAAUACCUUCUAGAGUUUUGUUUGAUGCUAUGCUAAAACUUUUGAAGAACAUGAACGAUUAGAAGUUCCUCUUUUUUAAUCUUGUUUAACACUCGAACCUGCUUAUUCUUGCCUUUAGAAGUUCUUGUUUAGACUUAAUGGACCACUCUUUUUUUCCUAGAAGCAAUUCCCAGACCUUCUGUGACGAGUAUUUGACUGCAACUUGUUCCAAAAGAACAUACCUUAUCGUCUAGAGUUUAUAGUUGGUGGAAUACAAGAUUUGGAAGAUAGAUGGAUAUAGUGGUAGUUAUAGAAAGCCUUAUUUUGAAUUUGGCAAGAGCUUGACUACUUACACUAUUGAGCUACAGUGAUAUUGACAUGGAAAUCAACAAGUAAUUCAUAUUGUUAUUUCCAGGCUAACCACUUUAAUUGUAGAUAAGAAUCCUUUCAUUGUAUGUUAUAAGCUUUAAUGUUCUCUUUAUGGCAUGUGAUUAUUUAUAUGAUUGUUAUUUGGUAAAUUACUACUAUGGAUAAACCUAAUAUCUAAUAUAUUGGACAUUGUGAUGAUAGCAUGUUCUUUCAAUUUUAAAAAUAUAUGAGCAAAAUGAAAUGAAUUAGGAUGCUGCAAAUGAGUAAUGACUUUGAUAAGUAUUAUUUAGUGAAAUCUUCUACAAUGGUGGCACUAGUCUGCUUGGAUUCUCUUACUUUCAUCAACAUCAUGAUACGCUUAUAAAAGUAAUCUAAGAAAAUCAGUACCAUAAUUGUCUAUUUCUCCAAGUUUCACUUUUUCUUCUCUUUUCUUGAUGAUGUCUAUCACAGAGUUAUGUAUUACACUUUGAAGCUUGCUGCUUCAAUCUCAUCAGAAGUUUUCCAAAUUUUACUGCAACAACAAAAGGGACUAAAAAUUAUGAGUGAAAACUCUCGAGUACAAAGGUUUCUAGUUUUUCCCCUUCAUGUGUGCAAAAAUUUCACAUUUAAUGAGCAAGGUGCCAUUGGUAACCAACCAAACAUCUUCUGACUGGAAUUUACUUCUCACCAACUAAUACUAUCAGUCUAUUUACUUCCCAACCAAACUUAUUUUAUCCAAAGCCAUAAGUAAAAAAAACAAACAUGCUUAAAAAGUUUUUUUACAUGUAAUAAAAUGAAAGUUGAGGGAGAUGUAGUAAUAAUUUUUUAUAUAAGACUGCUUGGAUCCAUUGAAAAAAAAACUUCUUCAUGUUCCAAAAACACCAUGUCGAAGGUUCCAUUCCAUUCCUUUGAUACCCUAUUUAGCUUACUAUAUUUGCCCUUUUCAUUUAUGUAAUUUGAUGUUUGUUUGUGAAAGCAUUUAAUUUUGAACUCACCGAUUCCUGCUUUGCCAUUCUUUCCUUCUAGCCUGCACUGACAUUAUGUAAAUUUUUAUAUAAAUUCUGCAUAUAAAUUUUUGAUUCAUUGUUUCCAAAGUGCGGGUAGAAGAUAAAUUUUUAUAUAAAUUCUACACAUAAAUUUUUGGUGAGAAUAGAUGAGUACUUCGGCCGUUGAAGUUAGUGGUGAAAAGGCUAGAGUAAUGUGGGAUAAGAGAUUGAUAGAAAUAUUCUAUGAUAUUUGUAUUAAAGAGAUAUUGAAAGACAAUAAACCUAAUACUCAUUUCACAAAAGAUGGAUGGUUGAAAAUAAUGACCAAUUUCGAGAAAUAAACAAGAAGGCUUAUUCACAAAGACAACUUAAAAAUAUGUGGGAUGCCUUGAAAAAAGAAUGGAAGGCUUGGAAGAAACUUAAAGGCGAAGAUACUAGUUUAGGGUGGAAUCCUAUAAAAAGAACUAUCGAUGUAUUGAAUGAUUAGUGGGAGAGUAGGCUAAAGGUACAUUAAUAAUUCUUAACAUUUUUGUUUAUUUAUUUAUUUAUGAGGUUAUUGAUAAUUUCUUAUUAAACUACCAAUUUAUACGUAGAUUGUGCUUAAAGCUAAAAAAUUUAGAGCAUUGGGCAUUGAUCCUGAAUUUGAAGGGAAAUUGGAUCAAAUGUUCAUGGGGGUAGUUGCAAUUGGUGAUAAAGCAUGGACACAUUCUUCUAGUACACUCCGUAGUGAAUUUUUUGAGGAUGUUGACAAUGACAUACUUGAAUAAAAUGAGGAAGAAAAUGCGAUAAAUGAUGUUUAUAUUGAUAGAAACGGUAAAAAAAAAUACGCUUGUGAUUUCUACUUCACAUUUUAAAAUUGGAAGGAAGAAAUCCUCAAAGCAAAUUGGAGGGGCUGCAAGAUUGUCUGGUCAAAUUGAAAAAUUAUGCAAUGCAACUGACAAUAUGAGUCAAGCCAAAUUUAGUUUGACUCCUGAUAUAGAUCCAUAUGGUAUUCCAUAAGCAGUCAAAGUACUUGAUAGCAUGUGGGAGGAAGUUCUAGAAGCUAGUCCGCUAUACUUUUUCUCACUGAAAUUAUUACUUAAUAAGGACAAGCGAAUUAUGUUUUUAUCAAUUAAUCCCAGCAUUAGAGCUUUGUGGCUUAAGAUUAGACCUGCUUAUGGGCCAAGUCACUCGGCCUGACCCGAAAGCCCGCUUGAAAUGUGAGAGGGUUUGGGCAAAAAUAUAGGCCCAAAAAAUGGGAUUGGGCAAAAAAUAAGGCCGUUUUAAAAAUGGGCCAGGCCUUGGGUAAAAUAUUUUUUGCCCGAGCCCGUCCCAACUUGAAUUCACUAAAUGACAAAAAAAUCUACUAUUUUUUUUGUUAUUUUAAUGAUAUUUUCUUGUUGUUUUCUCCCAAUUUUGCUACAAUUUCACUAUUAUAUUGCUACUAUUUUGUUGUUGUUGUUUGAAUAUUGUAUAACACUUGUUUUAUUAUUAAUUUUGUUAUUAUUUUAGAGACAUUUUCUUAUUAAGUUGCAUCUAUCUUAGUAUUAUUUAAGUAUACAUAUUUUUUUAAAUUUUGUUUUCAAUUUGCCAUAAAUAUUUAUUUUAAUUUAUUUUAGUAUUUUUGAUUUAUUAUAUAUAUUUAAAAAUUAUGUAAAAAUAAUAUAAUAUAAUAUUUUUAAUACGGGCCGGCUGGGUCGGGCUGGAUUUUAGCAUUUUAUCUGGUCGGGCUUGGGAAAAUUUUUAGGCCCAUUUUUCGGGCCAGGCCCUGGCCUAGCAAACAGACCUAAAUUUUUACUUUGGCUCGGCCAGAAACCACCUGCCCCGACCUAUGAUCACCUCUACUUAAGACGGAAAUAGAGGAGAGUUGAAAAUUUUCUAGCCUUUUAAGGUCUAGAGAUAUCUACUAUGUGACUAAACAACAAUGCUAAACUAGUUUUAUCAAUAGUUGUUUAUGUUUGGUUUUUGGAUUUUGAAUUUUGGAGAUAAGAUACAAAUUUCAAACUUCAAAACACAUAUCUUCUAGUAAAAUGUUGGGAAUUUUUUUUGUACAUCUUAGGCACCGGUGCAAAAGUUUCCCAAUGUUAAGAAAGAUUUCAAAGGUCUGGAGCAACAAUAAGUCGAUACUUUGCAAAUGUGCUUGAGAAUGUUUCAAAGAUGGUCAUUGAUCUAAUUGCACCCGAUGAUCGUUUUUUAGCCCAAUACCCAAACAAAUACGUAAUGAUUCUAGAUAUAUGCCAUAUUUUAGGGUUAAAAUUUAAUAUUAUAUUUUUAUAUAUUUUUUAAUUAAAAAUAUGCUUGAGACUAAUAUGAUUAUUUGUUCAUAAUUGCAUAGGUGCAAUUGAUGGUACUCAUACUGCCGCUAUUCUUCCACCAAAUGAACAAUUUCCUUACAUUAGAAGAAAAUGUGUCCCGACUCAGAAUGGUAUAGUAGUAUGUGAUUUUAGUAUGUGUUUCACCUUGUUAUGGUUGGAUGGGAAGGAUUGUUGCAUGACACUAAAAUAUUUCUUGAUGCAAUUUGGGAUCCAAAAUACAAAUUUCCGCACCUACCAAAUGGUAAGAUAUUUCAUUUUUUUUUAAAUAAUAAAGUACAAGUUAUUUAAUUGAUACUUUUUUAAAAAAUAAACUACUUUUGAAUUAAUUAUUUAUCAUAUUAUGACAUGUAGGAAAAUAUUAUCUUGUUGAUUCUGGAUAUCCUCAAAUGAAAGGUUAAGUUGGACCAUAUAGAGGACAACGAUAUCAUUUACCUGACUUUCAUAGAGGUAGACCUAUAUCUGGUAAAGAAGAGAUAUUCAAUCAUUCACAUUCAUCAUUAUGUAGUGUGAUUGAAUGAACUUUUAGUGUUUUGAAAAAAAUGGGGUAUUUUAAGGGAUAUGGCAAGUUAUAGUUUUGAAAAGAAAACGUUGAUCGUUGUUGCUAUAAUGGCGAUACACAAUUUUAUCCGAAAACAUGUCGAUCGAAAUGACGCAAAUUUUAUGGAAUACAAAAAUAUUAACAGAGUAUAUGAGAAUAUUAUUGAUCCAGAAGAUGAGCAUGAUGAAGCAAGUGAUGAUGAUGAUGAUGAUGAUGAUAAUGGUGAAUCAAACAAUUUAAGUGAUUUUUAAAUGGAAUUAACAAGAGAUGCUAUAACGUCUAGUUUAAUGAAUUCACUUUAAAAUGCAAAUGCUAAUGUAAAAUUUUUAAUAUUUAUAUUUGGUAUAUAAAUAUUACCCCUUUUUGAAACUUUAAUCCAAAUACAUGUAAUAUUUUAAUUUGUUAGGUUUAUGUUUUCUAUGUUAUGUUAAUAUCUAAUAUGAGUUAUAUAUUCAAAUUAUAUUUUAGAAUAAAAUAAUACAAAUGUGCUAAAAUCUUUAAUUAAAAAUAUUUAAUGGUUAUAUUAAAAUAUUUAAAAUAUAUUUUAUAUAUUCUAGUUAAAUUUUAUAAAUAAUUAAUAUUAAUUGCUUAAAAAUAUUUAAAAUUUAUAUUUCAUAUAUAUAAAUAUUAACAAUAAGUUAUAAUAAAUUAUUUUUUAUAUUCUUGUUAAAACAUCAUAAUAUUAACAAAUUUGAACAUUAUUUAAAUGUAUAUUUGUUACUUUAUAAUACCAUGUCUAAAAUAGUUACAUCUUGUUUCUAAAGCUGAGCUCUAGUUUUCUUUCUAAGUAAGUUACAUUUGUUGUUAACUUUCUAUCACUUUUUUUCUUUGUUGUAAAAGAUAUAGAGGUGAUCAUAGGUCGGGCCGGGUCAGGCCCAGAAAAUUUUUUUGGCCCGUUUUCCAGGCCUGGCCCGAAAUAUGGGCCUAAAAAUUUAUCCAACCCCAGCCCGGAGGAAAAUUCCUAAGCCCGGCCCAUUUUUGUUUUUUUAGUAAACACCAAAAUUGUAUAAAAAACCUACAAAAUAUAAUCAACCAACCAAAAUAUCCAUACAUUAACCAAUAAACAUAUUUAAUUUUAUAACAAAAUAUAAAUUGUAAGCUAAAUUAAAUUUUCAACAAUUAGAAAGGAAGGUAUCCUAAAAAAGCAACGAAAGAAACAUCAUCCUCAUAGUCCUCAUCAUCCUUCUUGCAACCAAUUUCUAACAUGAAAUAAAAAUAAAUAAUUAGAUAAUCAAAUUGAUGAAAAAAUAAUAUAAAAUUACAACAAUAAAACAAGAAUAAUAAUUACCUGUUGAAAAUCCUUUAGCUCGCAUCCAAUCAUCCAAGCAAACAACACAUUGAACCUUUUUUGGCUUAAGUGAACUCCUCAAAGGUGUGAUAACUUUCUUACCCAUGCUAAAAGCCAAUUCGAAAGCUACAGUCGAUAUUGGAAUUGCCAAAAGAUCACAAGCCAAUAAUGAAAGCUCAUUGUAUCGAACUGAACAUUUGCUCCAAUAAUCUAAAACAUCUAUUUGACUAUUCAACUCAAGCUCCGGUUCUUCCAAAUAAAUGUCCAACUGUGGCUUUUCACUCCUAGUGCUAGAUUCAUUUAAAUAACGUUUAUAAUCAUCACUCUCAUCAAAAUAUCCCCCAAAAUUAGCACUAUUAACAUUGUGUUCAUCUAAACCAGAAUCAACAGGAUUUUUAUCCGAAACAUUAGAACUCCCAACCAAAGAGGAAGACGUGGAUUUGGAUUUCUUAACAUACUUGUCAAACAAGAGUCUAAGAUUGCUAAGAAUGGUCCCAACAAAAUCUGAAGUAUGAAUACCAUAGAUUGUAGUAAAGCAAUACUGCACAUAAUUCAACUUGUAACGAGGAUCUAAAAUUGCAGCACAUGACAAUAUCAAAGAAUACUCAGCCCAAUACUUAUUAAAUUUCUCUUGCAUUUGCUUAACCAUUGGAGUUAAAAAUGAAUAAGGACCUUUAACUGUAUCAAGCAAGACCUUGUGACCCUUCCAAACCCCUCUAAAAUAAAGAUUAGCCGUUGGAUAAUUAGAACCAGAAAAAACACAAGUCACAUAAUAAAAGACCUUCAAAAUUUUGCAAAGAAUAUCAACAUUUCUCCACUCCUCGUUAGAAAGUACAAACAUUUGUUAAUCUUUAUCCCGUUGGCCCCAAUAAUCUAGCACAUAUUUAUAGUAAAGAGAAGAUUCAAGCAUCAAAUAAGUAGAAUUCCAUCACACACACACAUUUUGACGUAACUUUUUGGUCACAUUCAAAUGAAAACUUUUGUCGGCCACAUCAUAAAAUCUUUUCCUACGAAUUCCUGAAUUUUUUAUGUACUUAAUUCCAUUUUUAAUCUUACCAACAACAUCAUCAGCAAGUUCCAAACCAGCUUUAACUAUAAGAUUUAAUAUAUGUGCACAACAUCUAACUUGAAAAAAAGUACCAUCACACAAAAUAGCUCAGUUUGCACGAAAACGAUUUUUAAGACAAGAAACCAUAACAUCAUUAUAAGAAGCAUUAUCAAAAGUGAUGCUAAAAAUUUUCUUAUCUAUACCCCAUUGAGAUAAACAUAAAACAAGUUCAUCCGCUAUGUUCAAACCAUCAUACGGAGAAAAUAAAGCCUAAACCUUAUGAUCUAUUUUGUAGCUUCCAAUCUUUGUCAACCCAAUGAGCAGUAAUGCAAAUAUAUUCAUCAUUAGUAUGCUCCGAGUUCCAAUUAUAGGAAGUUAAACAAAUUAAAUCAGGUGCUUUAGCCAACUCUUCUUUAACACGAUCUCUUUCUUUUGCAUAAUACAUUAGGACAUCCCUAGCAACUGUAUGUCUACUUAUAUUCUUAAAAUUAGGACUAGCAAUUCUCAUCAUGUAUCUAAAUCCCGGUUCUUCAACUAUCUUAAAUGAAUGCUUGCCACACACAAGAAAAGUGGAAAUAGCUUGACGACACUCAUCAGCAUCAAACUUGUAGUUUUUUUAUAGAUGGAACACCUCCUGGUGAUGGUUGAGUGGCUAUGGUGUAUUGAGUGAUGUCCUUAUUAACUUUUUUCAAACAACUAUUUAGAUGACGUCUUAAAUGAGAGGUUUCACUAGAAGAUUUAGUAGAGAAGAUAGUCUUACAGUGAUUACAUUGUGCCUUCAAUUCAUUUUUGUUCUCGCAGUCAAGCUGUCAUUUCAUCCCACACCUUUAAAGUGGUAGACUUUUGACGUUUGCGAGUACUUUCAUACUCAUUAAACCCAUGUCCACAGGUAUAGGAGUGUUCAAACUAGCCAUAGUCAUAAAAACUCAAGUCCUGAAAUCCAAAAAUAAUCUUAAGACACCACAUAAUAUAAAAAUAGUCAUAAUUCGAAUAUACCAAUAUAUUUAUAAAAAUAUAUAAAUGGCUUUAAUAAUAUAAUAUAAAAAUAUAUAUAUCUAUUAAAAAAUUUUGGUACAGAAUCACGCUAUAUAAACUACUAUUCAUAACAAAGUUAUUGUUUAAAACAACAUUAGUAUGGAAAUUAAAAGCAAACGUUGCCCAUCUUGAUAUUUCCUUGUUGAUUUGCAAUCUCGACCUCGACUCUUCCUCCUCAUAGGAAACAUUUCUAAGCCUCUUGAUAUCCUCUAAAGGUCUAUGUCUCCAAUCGAGCUUAUCCUAUUUUUACCAAUUAUUCUCACCAACCAAUUGCUCUUCUUAGCAUGAAUGAGAGCUUCACUUAUUUGUUGUUAAAAGCUUACACCAUGUUUAAUAGUUUAAACCAACUGGUUGUAUUAAUUGAAUUAUUGAACCACAAUAUUAGAAGCUUACAUCAUGUUUAAUGUUUCAUAUACUAUCAACUAUUGUCAAAUCUUAGCUUUUCCCUAUUAUCAUCUACAAAUAUACAUUUAACUCAAAUAUAUUCUUAUAUAUUUGAAAUAUCAUACAUCAUUUAUAUAUUUCAAUUGCAUUGCUUAGAGCAACAGACAAACUUGUUAUGCGAAUGUAUGUUUGGCUAGGUUGACAACUAGAACCAUUUUAAGAGUUGCAAGAGAAUAUAGAAUGAGAAAUGAAUUUCUUUAGUUGAUUGAAUUCUCUACUUUUUGUCAUUUUUUAUAUUCUAUUAUAGAACUUUUUCAUGAAAUUCACACCUUAUAGGCUCAAUUGGAAGGUGAAAAAUAUGAUUUCAAAAUUACUGCAUUGGUGCACUUGUUUCGACAUAUGUUUUUGUUCUUGUUGUAGUUUGUAUAUUGAUGUAAUUUCUAUAGGAUGUAUAUUGUUCUGGUCAUGAUACUCAUAACUUUAAUUUGGAUGCCUAAGAUAUACUUUAAUAAUUGCCUGUGAUAUUGUCCUAGCUACUCUGUAAGGUUUAGACUAAUGUUUUAUUGAAAAUAUUGGUAUAUUUAUGUCUUCUCUUAUUGUUGAUUAUUCUUUUAAAUCAUCAUUAAAAAUACCUUUUUACCAUGUCUUAUUGUCCUUUUUCAGAAAUGGUUUUUUAGGUUGUCCUAGAUGAUUGGUUAUUUUUAUAACUUGGAUUAAAAAUGUUUUACUCAUCAAAUCCAAGUGAAUACUAAAUGGAAUUCUUGAGUGCGUACCGUGUAGCAUUGAUUUUAUUAGACUGUAAGUUGCAAUAGUAUUUGCCGAAAUUAGAGUAAUUUGAAUUUUCCAUGGAACUUUAUUUUGUUGCCUACAGAUUUAGUGCUUUCCAACAAGCUGGUUUUGUAUGAUUUAGAAAAUCAGACCAUUGGAUGGACUGAGUACAAUUGUGAGUAUUAUGUUACUUUUCCUUUCACGAUUGCUUUAUAAAUUUUUUACUAAUUGGUGUAAAUUUCAGUGUAUUAUUAUUAUUAUUAUUAUUAUUAUUAUUAUUAUUAUUUUGUUUUAUGAGAGGUGUUAUCUCUCUACAAUUGUCUUAGCUAGAAAAUUUAUCUUAUCAACAGAGUUGAUCCUCGAAGCUUCCCCAAAGUUGAUCCUAGUAACACUAUCUACUGAUUCUUGCUGCUUCAUAUAGUAUGAUGUCUUUGUAAAUUUAUGGGUUUCAUAUCUCAAAUCAUUGGCAUUAUAAAAUAUUCAGUGCCUUGAAUUUGGAAAACUGGAAACUGUCAUUUUAUGAAGUGCUGGAUGAGUUUAUAAAGUCUUGUUAGAAUACUCAGUUCUUUGUUAACUUGUAAUGUUUCAUUUUAUUCAUUUACAGUGCAUAAGUGAUUUCCUUUUGGAUUCUUCUUUUGAUUUGGGCUUUCUUUUUUUUUUUGGUAAGUUUAAUUUUUUAUUGUUGUCUUUUUGUUGAUCGUGAAAUCAUAACAAACAUGGGGUUACACAUUGCUCAAUGCUAAUUAGAUUGCUGUAGUUUUUAGUUUAACUUUUUUAACUUGGUGUACAUAUAAGUUCAUGAGCAUCACAACUGAUCAUACAACUCUUAUCUGCUCUCUUUCAACUAUUGUCAAACGAAGACCCGAAAAUAGCAACUUGGUUCGUUUUGUUGAAGCAUAGUUUAGUUUAGUUUUGUAAGUAAAAAUUGGUGUAUUUGAAGCAUGUAUGUAGGCUUCAUAUAUAUUUUUGGUGUAAAUUUGACAUGUAUUUGUAGGUUGUGGUGGUAGCUGGUGAGCCCUGGGACAUGGUUGACUGAUAUGUGCCUAGAAAGAUAUGAAGUUAGGGAAAAAAGAGUUUUAAGAAGGUAACAUAUGAUUUGGUUUCUCUUCUUUUACAUUUCCUACAAUGCAAUAAUUUUUUUGUUGUUGCUAUUAUUCAUGUUUCUGAUGUGGGGUUUUGGCAAGAUGUACAGACGAAGAGGAUUGGAGGCCAUGGGGAGUAUGGAAAGUGAUUUAGAUUGAAGAUACAUUAUUGGCAGCAGCAGAGCCCUUUUUCUUUUCUAAUAUUUUUUGGGGAAUAUUUUUAGAGUUGAUGUUAAUGGGUUGGAGAAAAAUAUAGAGAAGUUAAAAUAGGGUCUGCUUGCUGUGGUUUGUUUGGUGUAUAGAUGUUUCAUAUUAUUUAUAUAAUGAGAAUAAUUAUUGUUUUUGGAUCAAUAUUUGUAAUUUUGACAACUAUGAUCCCAUGAUAUUAUGUUUUGUCCUUCAUAUUAGACAUGCAGUAAGAUGAGGUAUUGGAUUUGGUAAAAGAAAUUGUGUCAAAUUUGAUGGCUGGAAUCACCCAUAUGACAAAAGUUAAGUGUGUGUUGGAUGAGAUGGUAGCAUUUGUCAAGGACUGAUCUGCACAAAUUAUUUAUUAACAUUUGUUUAUUAAAUUGUAUUUAAUAAUAAUUAUAUUAAAACAUGAUUAAAUUAUUUAUUUUUAUUUUUAUUAAAUUAUAUUUAAUAAUAAUCCUAUUAAAAUUUAAUAAUAAUAACAAUAAUAAUCAUCUACUUAAAAAAAAUUUCUACUAAAGGUAUUCUAGUCAUUUAAGCAUUUUUCUUAUGCUAUUACAAUAUCUAUUCCAUUCAACCAGACACAAGAAUACUAUUACAGCUCUAUUCCAUUCCAUUCAACCAAACAACUGAAUUACUUAUUACAACUCUAUUACAUUACAACUUUAUUCCAUUACAACCUUAUUCCAUUCCCUCCAACAAAAUAUGGUGUUAAAUCUUAAACCAAACUUUUUAAAAGUACUUCUGAAAAACACUUUUCCACAAUACUUUUUAAAAGUACUUUUCAAAAGUAAUACUAAACUAGCCCUAAAUAGUUAGGGUGGUUUGGCAAUUAACCCAACAUUUGGGCCGAAGUUAAGGGGGAAUAAUAAAGAAAAUGGUGAAGAUGGAGUGAUUAAAACCUGAGCAUAUAAAUGAGGUGUUAGGCAUGUUAAACAUUGGGUUGUUGCCCAUAACUUACUAAGUUUUUACUCUAAAAUAUAUAUAUAUAUAUAUAUAUUAUAAUGCGAUUUUCAUCCCGAGUUGCUGAAAGUAAAAAGAAAAGAAAUGAGAGAGGAGUGGAUAAAAUCUAGGACCUCUAAAAAGUAUGUUAAUUACUUAACUAUCAAACUAAGGUAAUUUCUUAAUUAUUUAUUUAAAAUCUAACCCUAUAUAUUUUGAAGUGAUAUAUAAUUAACCCGUACAUUACACGGAUAUACAAAGAAAUAUUUUAUAAAAUCACAAUACUUCGGUCAAAAUGCCUAGUUUCUUUAAAGUCACUUUUGGCAAAUUCUUUAAAGUCUUUUAAUAUAUUUAUUUAAAUAUUUCUUUUUAUAAUUUAGUCUAUAUCAGCCCAUGCAUUGGAUUAUUGGUCUAAAUGUAAAAGGUUGGUUAAAUAUUGGGAUGAAACUAAUUAGUUUUACGUGCUUUAUUAUUUCAUGUUACAAUAUAAUAAAAUUCGAAUAAGUUUGAUAUCUAUAUCUAUAUCAUAUUAUUGAGAAUGUCAUCAUAUUUAAUAAUUGAUUUUUUCUACAUAAAAAAAGUAAUUUAUUGAAAAAUAAAAUACAACAACUACAAAUUGUAGGUUUAAAACUAAAUGAAUCCCUCCUUACGUAAUUUACGAAAGAAUAGGUAAAGUUUUAAAAGAUGUAGAAUUUAAAGAUGAAAGCAAAUAGCUCAUGUAUAUAAUAUAGGUUUUUACGGGAAAAAAAUGUGAUUACUCGUUAUGGGUGCUUAUUUUUGUAGGGAGAAAUUUGAAGUCCACGUUCGUCAUUGCUUAAAUGACGAAAUCACGGAAGGCAAAGUUAACGUGACUCAUGUCCCAAAGACCAAGUAAAGCGUACCAUAAAAUAAGGCCAACUUUUCUUCAAGGGGAAUUUGUUUUCUUGACUAGCUUCAUGACCGCAAUAGGGAGAGCUUUCACGCCGGGGUCGAGGUUACCUGGGCGCUUCCCGUGAUCUAGGGGCUUUGUGAGAGUGAUGAAGAGGCCCUAUGAAUGGUUUAAACACUCCUUCAAUUCCUCAAACUCCUCACUUCUCGAAGCUUCAAGGAAAAAACUCCGAUGUGAGUUGAAGAAGUUGUGACUACUCUAGGCAGGGGAGAGUGUUUGUCAGUUUAAACUGAUUAAACCAAUUAAAUUGACCAAUUCAACUUAGUCGGUGUUGAUUUAAUUAGUUUUUACAGUUGGAAUUCGAUUUUAUUGGGUAUUUAAGCUGAUUUUCGAUUUUUGAAUUGUCAAAUCCAUCCAAUAAAAAGAACUUAUUUUUUAUUAUUUAAAAUAUAUUUAAAUUUUAUUUUAUUAAAAUCUAAUGAUCCAACCCAACAACUGAAAAAACCAUUAAAUAACUAACCCAAAUAUCAAAAUAUCCAAUUAACUAAAACCACAUUAAAAAUAAAAAUUAAAUUAAAAACUCUUGUCGUUCCUUUCUUCAACAAUCCUAAACAAAAUCCCUAAACUAGACAAGAGCCCCUUCUUUAUUUCUUCUACCCAAUGCCGCUCUUUCCUCUUCGCCUCUUCAUUUCUUCUAAACCCUAAACCUCUAAUGCUAAUUGAUUUUAUAUCCUUUUGUUUCCUUUUUAUAGUCGGUCACGAAUUUUUCUCUACAUGUAAAUCUAAGGUUUGAGUUUAAUAGAUUUUUUUUUUGUUCUAUAAUGAGAAAUUCCUUACAUGUUCUAUGUAUUUUUAGAUUUUAAUAUUUCACUCUCCCAAAGUUCCAAGUUGUUUUGUUGUUCAUUUCAUUUCCAAUGUAACCUUCUAUAUAUUUUUUCUUACAUAUAUUUGCAUCUGUUUCAUAAUAUGCUUGCAACUGGAAUGAGUUUGAUGAUAUAUUUUGUCUCAAUUAAUUUAGUUUGUUUUGCAUUAUGUUGUUAGACAUUUUCUUUCUAUUGGGCUUUUUAUUUGUAUGAGUUCUUGGCUAUAGGAAAAUAUUAUACGGUUGAAAAAAUCGAUGGAAAUUUAAAAAAUUUCUUUUGAAAUCAAGUCGUUGUGUUAUUUGUAGCAAUAUACUUGAUUGAAAUAUAAAUGUACUCUGUACGAGACGGUAAAGUCAAUACUAGCUUUCUACCGAAAAAUCUUUUUUGAUAUUCUUAAACAAUGAAUUACCUCAAGUAUGGGCUCAAGUAACAUGAACCAAAUCAUAGAAUGAAAACUUUAAUCUUUCUUUCAGAAGAAAAGUUAAUUUUUUCUUUAAUCGGAAACUAUACGUUAUUUCCAGAAAAUAAAUUUCCAAAUCAUAGAAUGGAAACUUUAAUUUUUCUUUCAGUAGAAAGAUUAUUUUUUUUCUUUAAUCGAAAACUAAACAUUAUUUCUAGAAAAUAAAUUUUCACUAUUUUUUGUUAGAAUAACGAUAUAUGAGAAGUAUGUGUAAAUUACUUAACACAUAAUUCCUAUUUAUAUAGAAAUAGUACUAGAGUUUUGUUCAAAUAAAAUUAGACUAAAUAAUAAUAUUUUAAUAGAAACUAUAGUACUCUAAGUAGGAUUAGAGUAUUAGGGGCGGCAAGACACCCUUAUGGAAUACUAGAGUUGUUGCCCCUAUCCUGUUACAUGGCUUUAUUGGGCCUCUUCAAGUAUUGAGUUCAACUAUAUGUAUUUAUUAGACUUUUUAUCCACCACUUUAUAAUUUAUCUAACCUUAUAUUUAUUUUUUAUUUUCUAAAUAUUAUUUAUUUAAUAAAUUAAUUUAAUUAACUAAAUUAAAUUACCAAUUAAAUUAUUUUCUCAACCCACUUUUAAUUUCGUUAAAGUCAUGACAAUUUUACCAUAAUAGAAUCUACAAGGAAGAUAUAUUUAAUUGUCUUAUUCAACAAAUUCACAAUGACUAAUUAAUUUGAUUCAUUUAUUUGAACUUCAAUUAUUUAAUAACAGUUUGAUUAAAUAAUAAUUCGAAAAGCUUAAAUUAAAUCUCAAGUCAUCUUUUGUACUUAACGAGAAAACCUAUUCAUUAUGGACAGUGAUAUAAGCGAUCUAUUUCUCUACUUCAUCGUUUUCAUUUAUUUAUUAUUAUUAGUUCUACAUGCAAUUCAUUUAUGGUUAUCUUGAGCUAGCAGAGGGACUGAUUAGACAUAUAUAAUUGGGGCUCAAAUAAUUUGUGAUUAAGUUCUGGCUUUUCUGUUGGAUCAAGUGCCACUAGUGUAGUAUUUCCGUCAAUGUAUACUUGUAUUUUUCGAACAAGUUGGUUUAAUAUAAUAUCCAUUGAGUACAUUAAUAUUCUUUGUAUAUUGUCCUCAAUGAUUUUUACACGCAAAACAAAAUGGAAGUAAAUAUUGGUUCACUUAUUAUCUAACACUUAACUAAUUCUAAGUUGUAUUGUGUGGUUGAAUUGUAAUACAAAAAGAAGACUUGUAUUAGUGGAUAAUCCAAACAUGUCCUUAGUCUAAUCGGAAAGGAGAAAACUGAUUGAAAGACUAAUAUGUUGUCUAUCAGGUUCAAUUGGGGAGAUUUUUUUCUUGAGCAUCGAAGCGGAUGACUCCCAUAAGAUAGAGACAAAGAUGUGGCUGAUUAAACUAACAGUACAUCAAACAUGACCCAAGUAGAAUAGAUUAUAGAUUUGUUUAUGGAUUUAUUCACUUCUAACAUUCAUAGUGUAACAUAUCUUAAUCUUAAGUGGAUGAUGACUAUGUUUGCGUGACUUGUAUACUUUGAUGUAAGUAAAAGCUUGACUUCAAAUAGAUAAGGAACUGAAAGCUGGUGCAUUAGGUAUUGACCACCUUUGGAUGUACUAAUGUCCAAAGUGUGAAUACUGCAACUAAAUAUAUAGAUUUGAGGCGGAGUCCGCAAGUAUACGAGUCAGGUUGUAACAUAGUUACAACGAAGUAUGUAAGUACUCUAAGGAUUGUACCCAAGGUAUUACAGUUUGGGGAAGACUGUUAUCAAACAAAUUAUGAGAAAUAAUUACUAAUCUACUUGAGUCAUAAAUUAGUAGUGUUAAUAUGAAAGCAAGAUGAUAAUAAUAUUAAUAAACUAAAUAAGUUAAAUUAAACUUAAAUCUAAUCCUAAGUUCAUGUAUUGGCUUCUCCUAUCCCUUGUUUCGACUAUGCAAGUUCCUUUAGCCUAAAUCCAAUUAUUUAACCUAAUUAACUAUUGAUGUAGGGUUCUAAUACAUCAACUAGUCGUUACCGUAGCAGGAUCUCUCGAUCUUCUACUAAACUAACGAGUCAAUAAGAACUAUAUAUCUUUCAACCUCAUAGUCUAGACUAGUUUAGGGUUAAGGUAUUUAGGAAUAGGCCAUACCAAUUUUGGGUUAAUUCCCAUUUAAAUGACUUCUUGUGGUUGUUAAGCCUAGGGUUUAAGACCUACAAGACCAUGUAACCUUAUUUAGAUAUAUAAAAUGUAAUAAAAACUACUUAGAAAGCAUAAAUUACUACUUUAAGUAUGAAAACCUAAAUAUAUACUAAGAUGCUUUGAUUUAGAUAUUAAACAAGCUAAAGUUAUUUGUAAAAAGGAUGUAAAUACUAGUGUAAUUCAUGAUAGAUCAGGUAUAUGACUUCUGCAGUAUGUAACAUCAUUCCAUAAUAGUGGAAUUCAUAGCCAAACUAAUGGUAAAUGAUAUGCUCUCAUCAACAUUACAUGAUAGAUGAAAAGGAAAAGUGGUCACAGGUCAUUUGUCUUUGUGAUAAAUGACUUGAUUACUAUUUGAUACUAAUUGACUUUUUAUGAAGUAAGAUGUAAUGGUUACAAUGUGAUAAAAUAGGGUCAUAUUGGGAGAACGAAUUUAUCCCAAAGAGAUUAAUGAUAUCCUAUGAUCGUAACAAACUUAUGAUAAGGUCAUUGGACGAGUACUUAUCAAGUAGUUUCUGUAAUGGUAUAUAAUUAGGGAGAGCUUAGUUACAAUACUAUAGGAACAACUUCGUGACUAAAUAAGUUUAUAAUUAAUAGGCAAAAAGUUGGAACUUAAUUAUAAUUUAUUUGAUCGCUAAUUAUAUAUGUCCAAUCGAUCAUUCCGCUAGCUUGUUGAAAUAAAAAAUGAAUUGUAUGUACGUAGAACCAAAUGGAUAGAAAUGAUGAAGUAAGAAAAAUGAAUCUCAUGCACAAAUGAAUGUGUUUUCUCAUUUAGUACAAAAUUUACUUGAAAAUUAAUUUAAGGUUUUUUGAAUUAUUAUUUAAUUAAUUAUAAUUAAAUAAUUGAAGUUUGAAAAUGGAAUUAAAAUUGGAUUGAGAAAAUUAUUUAAUUGACAAUAAAUUUAGUUAAUUAAAUUAAUUGAAUAAAUAAUAUUUAAUUUUUGAAAUAGAAAAUAAGUAUUUGGUUGGAUUAAAUUAUAAAAUGUUUGGUUAAAAGUCUAAGAAGUACAUAGAAUUGAACCCACUACAUGAGAGGCCCAAAAUCUCCCUUAUAUAACAUGAGGGGCAACAAUCCUAGCAAUGUUUACAAGGGUGUGCUGCCCCCUCCUAAUCUAGUUAGAGUAAGAGUGCAUUUUUUAUUCAAUAAUUAUUAUUUAUAAAGAGCUUGUUCAACUAUUAUUCUUGUACCUAAAAGCACACUUAAUUUAUUAUAAAGUUAUCAUUAUUUUGCCAUAAAGUAGUGAGAAUUUAUUAACUAAAAAUAAGUUCUACAUUUUUGGAAUUACGAUCUUUACCGAUUUUUAUAUAGAGAAAUUACUUUCCCACUAAAAGUAAUUAAUCCAUUUUUUUAUGAUUUGGUUCGUGUUGCUUGAGUCCACACUCGACGUAAUUCAGGGUACGAGGAUAAUGGAGAAGGUCAUUUGGUUGAAAGCUAAGAUUAGUUCGAAUCUGUCUUGCACAAAGCAUAAUUAUUAUUCAGCUUUAUUGCUACAAAUAUGACAAAACGUCUUGGUUAUUGAAAAAUUUUAAAUCUUCCUCUGUAACUGUAAAACCAUUUUCUUAAUUGAUUUUUUUUUCAACAUUUUCUCCUAUUAAUUACCAUAUUAUUUAGUCAUGAAGUCAUUCCACUAAGGUAUUAUGAUUGAGCUCUCCCUUAUUUUAAACCGUUAUGAACCCUACUUAUCAAGUGCUCAUUCAACGACAUUAUUAUAAGUGUGUUACUCUCAUAGGAUAUCUUUAAUAUCUUUAGGAUAAAUCUUUUCUUCCAAUGUGAUAUUAUUUUUUCUCAUGGUAAUCAUUACACAUUCUUUCAUGAAAAGUCAAUUACUAUCAAAUAGUAACUAAAUAAUUUAUCACAAAGACAAAUGACCCAUGGUCAUGUUUACUUUUCAUCUAUCAUGUAAUACCAAUAAGAGAAAAUCAUUUACCCUUUAUUGGGCUAUGAGUUCCACUAUUGUGGAAUGAUGUUACAUACUCUAGAAGUCUUGUAUCCAACAUACUAGCUUUUAGUUCCUUAUCUAUUUGAACUCAGACUUUUAUUUACAUAAAAGUAUAUGAGUCACGAAUACAUAGUCCAUCAUCCACUCAGGAUUAAUGUAUGUCACACUAUGAUUGUCACAAGUGAAUAAAUCCAUAAUCAGAUUUAGGAUCUAUUUUACUUGGGUCAUGUUCGACGUACUAUAAAUCCUGCCAGUCACAUGUAUGUCUCUAUCUUCUAAGAGUCAUUCGCUCCGAUACCCAUGACAAGGUAUCUCCCCAAUUUGGACUUGAUAGACAAUUUUAGUCUUUUAAUUGAUUUUCUCAAUUUUGAUUUGACUAAGGAUGUGUUUUGAUUAACUACUAAUAUAAGCUGCCUUUUUAUAUUAUGAUUCGACCAUACAAUACCACUUAAUAUUAGUUAAAUGUUAGAUACACAGUGAGCCAAUAUUUGCUUUCAUUUUAAUUUUAGUGCAAAAACCUUUGAGGAAAAUAUACGGAGAUAUUAAUGAAACUAAUGGAUAUUUUAUUAAACCAAUUUAUUCGAAAAAAAAAUACAAGUACAUAUAGACAUAAAUACUACACUAAGGGCGUUAGAUUACAUAUGAGUCACGAAUACAUAGUCCAUCAUCCACUCAGGAUUAAGGUAUGUCACAUUAUGAUCAUCACAAGUGAAUAAAUCCAUAAUCAGAUUUAGGAUCUAUUUUACUUUGGUUAUGUUCGAUGUACUAUAAGUCCAGUCAGUCACAUGUAUGUCUCUAUCUUUUAGGAGUCAUUCGCUUCGAUACCCAUGACAAGGUAUCUCCCCAAUUAGACUUGAUAGACAUCAUAUUAGUCUUUUACUUGAUUUGUUCAAUUUUGAUUAGACUAAGGACGUGUUUAGAUUAACUACUAAUAUAAGUUGUCUUUCUAUCUUACGAUCCGACCACAUAAUACCACUUAAUAUUAGUUAAACGUUAGAUACACAGUGAGCCAGUAUUUGCUUUCACUUUACUUUGCGUGCAAAAACCUUUGAGGACAAUAUACAAAGAUUUAAUGAAACUAAUGGAUAUUUUAAUAAACCAAUUUUUUCGAAAAAAAUACAAUUACAUAUAGACGAUAAUACUACACUAAGGGCAUUAGAUCCAAACACAUACAACUGUGGAUAAAGCCUGCGUGGUACAUUUGUUAUAUAAUUUUAUGAUUAAAGUAUUGCAUUGGGUUGUAAAUUCUUUUUAAAUUUUCUUUAAUUUGUAAUGCCACUAUGUUUUUUUAAUUUACUUAAUUGUUUUAGUAUAAUGCUUUAUUCACCAAAAAAAUUCAAUUAAGUCUGUUAAUCGAUCAAACUGACCAAUCUAAAGUCGAUUUAGUUAAGUCGGUUAUUUAGUUGUAGUUCGACCUAAUAUAUUUGAGUAGAUUUUUGUCAAUUAAGUCAUGUAAAAAAAUGAUUGAAUCGACUGAAAAAAAUUGAAUACACUCCCUGAACUCUAGGAGUGAACAUGCUAGACACCAAAGGGGUUGUAGAAGGACCUAAAGAGGGCCUGUGGGUUCCUUAAACUCCUCAGACUCUUUGGUGGAAGGAUCAGUGGUUCCCCAAAUAUCUAAGGGAAAGAAAAUUCAGAAAUGCAAGAGAGAUAGGCGAGGAUGUAGGGUAUUGAUUUCUUGAACUCCUCUUGAUCUUAGAGAAUUGUAACUCGAACCAUAGAGACCCUGAGAAGGCAACAUGUUAGGCGAUCUGAGGGGGAUAUAGAAGGAUUUUAAAGGGGCUUGUAGACUUCUUUGACUCUUUUGAGAUGAAUGGACCUAAACUCUUUGGCUCAAGCUGUUGAGGUAGAGAGAAACUAUGGGUGGAAAAAGGAGUUCUUGGUAUCUAAGCUUGAUUUUAAGCAUUAGAGUGCCUUAGGGCUUAGAGAGAUUUCAUCCCAAGGUUUCGUAGUAACAUAUGGGCGCUUUAAAGUUUUUAGGCUCUUCUUAGGGAACAAGGGUUUCGGGGCUAUGAUUCCGAGGCUAUUUGGGCAUGUGGUGUUAGAGGUUAAAAGACUUGAUCCAUGGUUUGUAUGCAGUUACAAUGACUUAUAGACUCUUCAGACUCAAUAAACCCAUGGGAGGGAAGUUAGGGUCAAUGUGUGCAAGAGGUUUUAAAUUUUACCUUUGGGGCACAUUACAAUGCUUAAGUUAGAUAUGUGAGUAAAUUGAAGAAUUUUUAUAGAGAAAAAGAGUAGAUAAAUAAACCUUAUGAUUGGGUUACUAUGGGGUAUUUACAAAUGGCAAGUGAGCUUGCUAUUUAAUGUUAUUGGUGGCAACUUGGGUGCUAGGUGGUGUACCUCUAACAUGAGACUUUCUUUCAUGGACUUCAAAAGAUGUCAUCUAGGUUGGACAUUCUAACACUCAAUCCCUCAUCAGUUUGAAAUGUAUAAAUAUUCUUGAGGUUUAUGGGUUGGCUUAGUCUUUAUUUACUUAAAGAAUGGUAACUCAUUCACCAUUUGCGGGAACUAACUUGGUAAAUAUUCUCAUCUUCAAUGAAUUAUCUUGUGCGUCUUCCACAUUCCUUAUUUUGUGGCUCUUUGAAAGUUAAGGUGUGCCCAAGGUAUCUUUUGUUAGGAGCACCAAUCCUUUUAGUCGGGGCUCUUUUUCCUUGCUUUAAGGCUUCAUUUCUUUUUUUAUCAUUGAUUUGACCUUCAUUUGUUUGUUCUUGGUAUUUCUUGAAUGGAUGCUCAAAUUUAGUUGUGAUACGUUUCGAAAUAAUGAUCUUUAGUACGUGAAGGACUCCUCAAAUUUCUUGAAGCCCUUUAAGAAGGGUCCCUUUGUGAGUUACUUUGGUGUAUCUCAUAGCAAUGACAAUAAUCUUUGGGAUGAAUAUUGAUGUUGAACAUGAUUUUUCUCAAAAAAAAGGAAAGCUUGGUACAAGGUCUAUCCCUAUUGUUAAUGAAUUUCUUCUUGUUUAUCUUUCUAUAGUUUUGGGUAAAGGGUUAUGAAAUUUUUGACAUUUCUUUUUAGUGUUAAUCCAUUGACUUAAGGUUUCUUUAUUUUUAUGAGGUUUUAUUAUAUUAUUCACCACAUCACCUCUAUUUUUGUUAUGACCUUAGAUCAAGGUCUUUCUUAUGUUAGAUAGUCUUCUUGGUCUGACUUUUUCAGUUGGUGCUUUUUCAAUCCUUUCUCAACUUUCUCUUUCCUUCCAAUGUUUCCCUAACCUACAUCCUCGAGAAUUUGUUGCACAAUCCUUUUAAGAUAUUCAUUCCUGAUAAGUUUCUUGAUAUGAUUCUUGAGGUGGAUAGAUUUUUUAAUGUCGUAGUCGUGGUUGUGGUCUUUGUGCAAGAGGAAACACCUGUUACUGUAAUCCUUACAAGCUAAUCGUGAUUCACUUAUAAGCUCUAAACAAUAUUUAAUUGUAUUGAAAUUAUUAUAGUUUUAUAAUAAUAUAUUGGGAUAUUUCUUUAUCCAUAAGUGAAGUAUAUGAUAUUUAACACUUGUGUAUAUAAAUCCCAUGGAACACAUUAGACUAUGUAAGGGAAUUAUAUAGAGUUAUAAUUAUGAGAUCUUUAUGCAUUAAAGCCAUGAUUCCUAAAUUGAACCUGACCAUUGUAUUAUUGGGUUGAGGUAUUGAUAAUGCUCAAAGUUUGGCACAUGUUAAUGCUUCAUGCAUAGGAUGCAUGCAACUAAUUUCAUAAGUUGAAGUAUAUGAUACUUAAGCAUAACAUGUGGGUGCUUGUUAUGAGAACAAAUACAUUGAACAUGACCUAUUAUGACAGUUCCAUUUGGCAUUUCACUCAAGUGUCUAUGGAAAUACUCCCAUGUGUUGGUAGUGUAAGUAAUUCUUAGACUUAUGACACUGACUCACCUUGUAUGUUGAGUUUCAUACUUUGAUUCAUUAUGAAGUGGGUUUGUAUCGAUAAAUUGCUUAAGUUAGGAUAUUUUGGGUAUAUGACAUAAGGCAUAUAAAGGUGGUGGAAUGGUCCAGAAAGGAUCCAUCACCCUAAGUGAUAUGAAUGGAUAUAUCCUACAUGCUCUUGACUCAUAUUAAUCGCACGUCCUUGGCCAAGGAAAUUUAUUAGGGUUAAUACAAGGAGUUGUAAGACUAACAUGGAUAAGUAAAGGUAGACAUCGUGCCAUGACUUUUAGCUUAUUUGAGACAUAUGAUACAAGGAUAAAAUUACACAUAGAUAUCGAACACUAAAAAGUUUUGUCAAAAAAAUAUUUUGUCUCUUCCAAUAAUUGGGGGUUAUGAUGGGUUUCUAGAUCUCGCUCAUGAUGUUCAAAUAUAAUUUAAUACAAAAUAUAAUUAUUUCUUAAUUGAAAUAAAUUGUAUUUGUUUCCAACAUAAUUGUAAGCCUAAUGUGUCACGCAAUAAUGGAAUUUAGAAAUUAAAAUGAGAAAGGACUAAAAUUGAAUAGUUUAAUAAAGUUUAAGGGUUUAAAGUGUAAUUAAUCAAAAGUUGAUUAAAACCCUAGCCUAUAUAAUCCAACUUAGCCAUACAUCUUGUGCAGUUGUUGUUUUUCUUUAGGGUUUCUCUUUUCAUGAACAAACAAAAAGAAAAAUAGUACAAAAAGUAUUUUUUGAAUUUUUGCUUCAAGUUUUUCUUUUGAAAUUGAGAUUGAGACAAAAAGGGUGUGGAUCUGCGUGAUCAAAUACCUAUCACUAUCUUCGCAAAAUGGAUCUUGACCUUACGAAGGUUUUCUAAAUUCCUAGUGUGGAUUAUGUUAGAUCUGGUGCCCUAAGUGUAGUAUUUUCGUUUGUAUACUUGUAUUUUUUUGAACAGAUAGGUUUAAUAAAAUUAUCCAUGAGUUGAAUUGAUAUUCUUUAUAUAUUUUCCUCAAUGGUUUUUGCACACAAAAUAAAAUUGAAGCAAAUAUUAGCUCACUAGUUAUCUAGUGUUUAACUAAUAUUAAACAGUAUUACGUGUUCGGAUCGUAAGAAAAAAAUAAAACUUGUAUUAGUACAUGAACCGAAACAUGUCUUUAAUCUAAUUGGAAAUGAACAAACCAAUUGAAAGACUAAUAUGUCAUCUAUCAAGUCCAAUUGGGGAGGUGUUUUGUCUUGGUCACUGGAGCAGAUAACUUUUAGAAGAUAGAGAUAUAGAUUUAAUUGAUUGGACUGACAGUACAUCAGACAAGACUCAAGUAAAAUAGAUCUUUAAUCUAUUUAAGUAUUUUUUCACUUGUGAAAUUCAUUGUGUAGCAUACCCUAAUCUUGAGUGGAUGGUGGACUAUGUAUGCGUGUCUCGUAUACUUUGAUGUGAGUAAAAACCCAAGUUCAAAUAGACAAGGAACCAAAAGCUGGCGCGUUGGGUAUACGACUUCUGUAGUAUGUAGUAUCAUUCACUGUAACACCCCUUACCUGAGACCGUUGCCGGAGUUGGGCACGAGGCGUUACCUGACUUAACUUACUAGUUCAGAGCAUAAAAAUUUACUUUUUAAAAAAAAAUUAUUUGCUAACGUUCAUUCAAUAUGUCCCUAAAAAGGACCUUCGAGACCCUAAAACAUGCAACGAAAAUGGUUCGGGUCCAAACCGAGAACAUUAAAAAUUUUUCUGAAUACUUAAAUAAAUCAAAAUAAAUUAUUUCACUAUUCACAAUAAAACUGUCCACUUGCGUAAUAGUCACUAAUUUAAUUAUAACUCGAGUUAAAAAACUUAAAAUUUAGAUCCAUAAAUUUUUCCUGAAACUAGACUCAUAUAUCUUCUUAUCAUAAAAUUUUUAGAAUUUUUCGGUUAGCCAAAUAGUACAGUUUAUUCGUUAAAGUCCCCCCUAUUUCACUGUCUGAUGGUUCUGACCCCUAUUCACUAGAAAUCAAUUAUCUCAUUGUACAGAAUUUUUUUAAUGUUCUCGUUUGUUUCUUUUAAAAAUAUACUCACUAAGGAAUCUAGACAUAUAAAUUAUAACUCAUAUUUAUUUUUGUACAAUUUUUAAUGAUUUCCUAAAAUCAGAACAGGGGACUUCAAAAACCAUUCAGACACUGUCUCACUAAAAUUCAAAUAUUACAAAAUAUAAAAUUCUUUUGCCUACACCAUUUCUUUCAUAUGAAAAUAGACUCGAUAAUAUUUAAUUCUAUAUCUUAUUUACUCUCUAAUUCCAUUUCUACUAUCCUUGGUGAUUUUUCAAAUUCACGUCAAUGUUGCUGUCCAAAAAUUGUUCCAUUGCAAAUUUUUACUCUUUUAUAAUUUCUUUGUGUUAACUAUCAUUUAGGCAUACAUAACACCAAGACAUGUUCUUAAUAGCCAUUUCAAUGGCUAAUCAUUAUCAAGUAUUUACAUGCUAUUUAUUAGCCAUAUCAUAAGGACACACACAUAAAAUGACUAAGUCCCUAUACAUGCCAUAACUUAAAACUUUUCGAAUCACAAAAUACCGAGAUGAUCUGUUGAUAGUGUGAAACGAUCUCCGAGGUCCUUACGAUCCCUGAAUUUGCUUGGCGAUACUAUAAAAAAAGAAGGAAAAUAAAGGGAGUAAGCGUAAAGCUUAGUAAGUUUACAAGUAAAUAAAUAACAACAUUUAUCAUAAAUAAUUAUACUCAUAAAUUAUCAUAAAUUAUCAUGAUCUUUACUUUCUUCUUUACUUACUCUCUUACUUGUUUACUUACUUGCAUACUUAAAUAACUCAUGAUUAUAACUUACUCCUCCCUUGCUGAAAUUUCUUUCUCAACUGAUAACUGAGAUAUUUUGAACCCUUAUAACUCACCUAAAUCUAUUUAUUAUGCUUUUACCUAAACUUUCAUGUAACAUAGUCUAUUUACUAGCCCGUUGAACCACUUGGAAUACUAAGGAUACUUGGGUCUUCUAUCUGAUAAUAACAUGCCAAAGCCAUGUCCUAGACAUGGUCUUACAUGGGAUGUUUCCUGUACUGAAAAUGUCGUAUCCCAGAUAAGGUCUUACAUGAAAGUUAUCAUAUCGGUGCCCAUGCCAUGUCCCAGACAUGGUCUUACAGGGGACCUCUCAUUUCGGUGCCAACGCCAUGUCCCAAACAUGGUCUUACGUGGGACCUCUCGUAACCUCAAUAAUGCCAAUGCCAUGUCCUAUACAUGGUCUUACAUGGGGUCUUAUCCCUCUAAUGUCAUGACAUUUGUAUUUGAUACAUUCCUAAUGUUUCAACGGGACUUUUUAACACUGAUUAUCUAUCAUCUCAUACAUGAGUCAACAUUAAAUAAUUUCAUGAAAUAAGUACAUAAUUUCUGGAAAAUAACAAAAUUAAUAAUAAUUAUUGAAAUAUUUUAUUUAUUUACCGUAAACUUACCUCGGUACAAAAUACGAUCAAAUCUAGCAACUUAGUCUUCAACCUUUUUCUUUCUUCAGUCUAACUCCAAAUUUCAUUCCUCUUGAUCUAUAAUAGUAAAUUUAGCUUAUUUAAUACUCACAUUCAUCAAAACAGUCCUUGACUCGAACUUUUCCAAAAUUAUGAUUUUGCCCCUAAAAUUUUUCAUAUUUACACUUUUGCCCCAAAGCUCGGAAAUUAAAUUUCAUCCCUUAUUAUUAUGUUUUAUGAUAUGCUGAACAUAUUUCCCUUCUAUGGCAACAUCAAAUUCUCACUCUAACAUUUACUUAUGAACAUUAGGUAUUUUUACCGAUUAUGUCAUUUUACUCGUUUUCACUUAAAAUCGCCUAGCAAAAGUUGUUUAACAUAAUUUCAAGCUUCAUAUUAUACCAUAAAAAAUAAAAAUAAACACAUUUCACCUAUGAGUAUUUUUCCAAAUAUGAACCCUAACAUGAAUUAAUGGUAGAAUAAGCUAAAUUGAGCUACGAGGACUCCAAAAACAUAAAAAAAACAUUAAAAAUGGGGCUUGGAUGCACUUACUAUGAGCUUGAGAAAGUGAAAAAACCCUAGAUAUGGAGUCCCUUGAAGUUUCGGACUUAUGGAGAAGAUGAACACAUUUUUAUCUAUGCAUGCCCAUUUUUGUCCAUGAAAAUCUAAUGGUCUAAUUACCAGUUAAGGACCUCUACUUCAAUUAUGCACUUUUAUUAAAUCCUUUAUCAUGUAAAGCUCAUAUUUACCCACUUUUGCAAUUAAACCCUAAUAUGCAAUUCAGACAUGCAAUCGCUGAAAUUUCUUAUCGGUAUUCUAACACAUGCAUCCAAUAAAUCGGUAAAUCAUAAAAAUUAAUCACAAUAAACUUUUCUAUCUUGGAUUCGUGGUUUCGCAACCAUUGUUCCAUUUAGGCCCUAUUUCAAGAUGUUACAUUCAUGAUAAUGGAAUCAUAGCCCAAGAAAUGGGUAAAUGAUAUCCUCUCAUUGAUAUUACAUGAUUGAUGAAAAAUAAAUGUGGUCAUGAGUUGUUUGUGAUGAAUGAUUUAAUUACUGUUCAAUAGAACUUUUCAUGAAGGAAGAUGUAAUGGUUACCACGAGCUAAAAUAGGAUUAUAUUGGGCGAACGAAUUGUUCCCAAAUAGAUUAAGGAUACCAACACACUUAUGACAAGGUUAUUAGCCAAGAACUGAUCGAGUAGCUUUCGUAAUGGUAUAUAAUUGGGAGGAGCUCAAUCAUGCUAUAGUGAAAUGACUUCGUCAGUAAAUGAGUUUAUAAUUAAUAGGCAAAAAGCUAGAACUUAAUUAUAAAUCAUUUAAGCCAUAAUUAUAUAUGUUCAAUCGGUCCCUACGCUAGCUCGUUAAAACACGAAAUGAAUUGCAUGUAGAAUCAAAUGAACAUAAAUGGAUGGAAAUGAUAAUGUUAGAGAAAUUAAUUACAUUAAAAAAUGAAUGUGGUUUCUCACUAAGUAUAGAAAUGGCCUAAGAAUUAAUUUAAGUUUUUUAAAUUAUAUUUAAUUAAAUAAUUGAAGUUCAAAAAUAGAAUUAAAUUAAUUGGUCAUUGUGAAUCCGUGAAAUAUGAAAAUUAAAUAUAUUUUUCCAUAGGUUCUUUUAUGGUAAAGUUGUCAAUUAUUUAAUCAGAAAAGUUAUUAAUUUAAAUUAAUUUAAUAAAUAAUAUUUAUUUUGAGAAACAGAAAACAUGUAUUGGGUUGGAUUAAAUUAUAAAGUGUUAGGUUAAAAUUCUAGAAAACACAUAUAAUUAGACCAAAUACAUGAGAGGUAUGAAACCCCUCAUAAUGUGUAUAAGGGGCGACAACCCUAGUAAAAUUAACUACGGUUAACUGCCCCUCUGUCCUAAAAGAAGUAGGAGACUUAUUUUUCUAGUAGAUAAGUAUUAUUUGUAGUUUACUAAUUAACUCAGGAUUCUUCAAUCUCUCUUUAUAAAUAGAUGACACUGGUAGGAUAAAAACGUGCAACUUUGAUGCAUUGUUAUUCUGCCCAAAAAUAGUGAUAUUUAUUUUCUAAGUAUAAAUUCAAUCGAUUUCUGUAGAGAGAUUUAGUUUCCUACUGAAAGUAAGAAAAUUAUUUUUGGUUCUGUGUUUGAUUCUUGAUUGUUCGAGUCCACACUCGAAGCAAUUUGUGGUACGAGAAUAGCGAAGAAAGUUACAGAUAUAGAUACAAAGCACAAAGCACAUAGCACAUGUAACUUCCAUCUUAUUCAAUCCCAACCCCAAUGCAAAUGCAAAUUUAUAGAUAUAGGCAUAAGCACACGGUAUUCUACAAUUUGAUGAUAUGUAUAAUAAAAGUUUAUACAAAAAUAGAUUAUCAAUUAAUGGUUUUAUAAUCCAAAUUGGAUCAUACAAGCCCUACGGUAGGCCUAUGUUUGAUUGGAAUAACAUUUACAGCCUUAACGAAAAAUUUAGAAUCUUGGCCCACACGCCCGUGUGGAUUAACACGGCUUGGAGGCUAGCCCGUGUGGUCCACAUGGCCAAGCACACACCCGUGUGGCUCCCUCCUUGAGAAACACGACCUGGAACAUGAUCACGUGGCUCAAAACAGUGAGUUACACGAUCUAGCACACGGUCAAACAUACGUCCGUGUGGAUGAAAACACAAAAUAUCUCUCACACGGCUUUAACACACGCCCUUGUGUCACUGCCCAUGUGACUUUAAUUCCAAAAUAGUGAGUUAGAUGGCCUGAACACACAACCAUGUCCCUGGCCUAUGUGUUUCUAAUUCCAAAAUAGUGAGUUACACGGCCGGGACACAUGCCUGCGUGACUCUAAUUCUGAAAUAGUGAGCUAUAUGGUCUGGACACACGCCCAUGUCCCUGGCCUGUGUGACCCUAAUUUACAAACAGUGAGUGACACGGCCUGUCACAUGACUUGACACAUGGUCGUGUGAUCCACAUGGCCUACCACAUGGCCUGACACAGUAUGGUGUCGACAACCCUAUUUAUUAGCGUUUGAAAUUUGCAGAAAGUCAGGUUUCGUUACACACCUAAUGCGAUUCUGACAUAGAAGUGAUUAAAGUGAAUCCAAAGCCUAAAAAUAGCAAUCCAAUACCUAAAUAAACAGCUAUUUGCAAUUAAAAUGUUAUAAUUCACAUACGAAACCCAAGGCAUGUCGAAAGAUUCGACAUCAAAACUCAAUUCAUAAAUUUAAACACUUACCACACGCACUACAACAAUUCAUAGACUACUAACAUUGGAGAAAUCGUUAUUCUCAAGGCCUUUGCCUAAAAUAGAACCAAUUAAGCAUUCAGAAAGAGAUAUAGGACAAAUAAGGAAACACCCGAAUUGACAAUAAUGAGCGAGAGCAAUAUACACAGAAUUUCAACUAUAAAACUUACACUGAUACUUUUUAGUUGAACACGAAAAAAUACGCAAUACCUUCAAUAGAGUAGUAGCAAGAUUAACGGAAAGAAAUUAAAAGAAAAAGAGAAGUAAUCUAGAAGGAAACGAUAAAGAAAGGAAUGAGAAUGAAAGAAAAAGGGGAGAAAAAGGAAAGAAAUAAAAAAUGGAAACAAAUAAGUUAAUUAAAAAUUCAAGAACAAAAAAAAAAUAAAGAACAAGAACCAACUUAAUGACAUAACACAAAUAUUCCUCUACAUUGGCUGCAUGGGGACUCGAACACAGAAUCUAGGGAAAUACAGAUGCUUAACCAUUGAACUAGCAGGUUCUUUCUUGAAAUAGAUGAACACAAAAAUAAAUUUAAAUUAAGAGUUCAAGGAUAAGGAUUAAACCAAAAUAAAUAGAAAAAAUUCAAGCGAGAAGACUCGAACCCUUGAUCUAAAAGACAUAAACAUAACACUUAACCAUAGAUACAGAGACUUAAUUAUUUGCAGAAUUUAUUAAACAAUUGUUCAAAAUUUGGGGCGUUACAUUCACUUUCAUUCUUAAUACAAAUCAGACUUUUUUUUAAACUCUAUACUUUUGAUUCAUUUAUCAUGUUUACUCUUUAUAUUGAUUCUAUAUUGUUUACGAAAAUCAUGGAUACUAAUCCCUUUAUGGGGGAUUAGCAAGUGGAGGUAUGAUCUGUUAACUAUUUUGUAGAAUUACAUAACGGAUCAACUUUUUGGGAAAAGAAGAACUUAAACCAUAGGUUGAUGACCCUAGGAAGUUAUCAAGGUGGGAAUUAACCCAAAAUUGGUAUGACAUAUCCAUGAACACCUUAACCCCAAAUUGGUCUGAACUACGAGGUAGGAAGAUAAGUAGUAAUUGCUAACUUGUUGUUCUAGUAGACGUAUCAGAAGAUCCUGCUAGGGUAUCGACUAGUUGAUUGAUGAGGAACCCAAAGCGACAAUUCAUGAAGAUUACUGAAACAAGCUAAUCACCCAAAAUCAGAUUUGAUCAAUUCCAAUUUUCUAAUUUCUCGAUCAAAUAUAUCUGAAAGAUCCAUAUAUGGACUUAUUGUUAUUGCUUUUACUAUAAAACCCUAAAAAUUCAAAUUAUCUAUAUUUUCGUAAUAUAGCCUAUUUCAAGUACUAAUUAGAUCUUUUGGUGUUUAGGUUAAAAUUGGUCUAGUACUAGCCUCCUUUGGGUAUGAUCCUCUGAGUACUCACCUACUCCAUUGUAACUAUAUUACAACCUAACCUGUAUACUUACGAACACUGCCUCUUUUAUAAUUAUCUUUUGCUGCAAAUGUUAGUACGUCCGAAUGCGGUAAAUAACAAAGCAUACAUGAGACUCCCUACCGUAGAAGCAUAAGAAACAUCUUUCAUAUUUUCUCUUUUUUUUGCUAUCUUAGGAUAGUCCUCCAAAGAAAGAUGAAAUCUCAAUAUAGAAGGUUGAGUUCCCUUUUUAGAAUUGUUAAUUGCAUAACGUUCCAAUACUUGUCUAUGUAUGGUUAUUAUGAUAUUGUUAUCACUUUGUUCUUUUGAUCCCUUAGGAUUCGAAUACUAAGAACAAAAUUAGCUACUCCCAAGUCCUUCAUGCUAAAUUGUUAAGUUAACCACAAUUUAACUGAUGACAACGUCCCUAUAUUUCCAAUGAGUAGUAACCACAAUUUAACUGAUGACAACGUCCCUAUAUUUCCAAUGAGUAGUAUGUCAUCGACAAAUAGAAUAAGAAAGACCACCUUUCCAUCCUAUAUACUUUUUUAAACACAAGGUUCAUCAACGUUUUGCUCAAAUCCAAAGGUUUUGAUCGCUUGAUGAAAUCUUUGAUCUCAUGAGCGAGAUGCUUACUUAAGUCUAUAUAUGGAUCUAAGCAGUUUGAAAACUUUAUGCUUGUUUCCUUUUGCUAUAUAUCUGGUGGGUUGCAUCAUAUAGACGCUCUCUUCAAGGUAUUUGUUCAAGAAUGUUGUCUUGACAUCCAUUUUCCAAAUCUCGUAAUCAAGAGUCGUCGCAAUGGAUAACAGUAUACGAAUUGAAUUGAACAUGACAACCGAAGAGAUGAUCUCAUGAGCGAGAUGCUUACUUAAGUCUAUAUAUGGAUCUAAGCAGUUUGAAAACUUUAUGCUUGUUUCCUUUUACUAUAUAUCUGGUGGGUUGCAUCAUAUAGACGCUCUCUUCAAGGUAUUUGUUCAAGAAUGUUGUCUUGACAUCCAUUUUCCAAAUCUCGUAAUCAAGAGUCAUCGCAAUGGAUAACAGUAUACGAAUUGAAUUGAGCAUGACAACCGAAGAGAUGGUUUCUUCGUAAUUGAUAAUGUCUUUUGUAUUAUAACAUUUUGCUACAAGUCUAGCCUUGUAAGUUUUGACUUUUCCAUCCAUAUUUCUUUGCUUCCUGUAAAGCAAUUUACACCUUAUGGGUUUGGUAAGUUUAUAAGUUCUCAUACUGAGUAAGACUACAUAGAAUCCAUUUCAUCUUUCAUAGCUAUUUCCCAAAGCUUAGAAUCAGUGCUUUGCAUUGCUUCAUCAAAUGUGAGUGGGUAAUCAUCUUCCUGUUUGACAGACUCAGUGUUUAGAACAUUUUCGCCAGAUUGGAAGAACUCAGGCCUACGACAAAUCUUCCAACAACGACGAAGCUCCCUAUGUUACUGAUCAUUUACAGGUCUACUAUUAGGAGUUGAUUCUAGAACUGUUUUAAUCAAGCUUUGUGUAUUUCCCAAAAGUUGUGUGAGUUGACACUAUCAUUAUUCUCUUUCGGGUUAUAAAACACACCACCCUUUGAUCCCCUAAGAUAUCCCAAAAACAUACACAAUUUUGUCCAUGAAUCCAUCUUCCUCAUAUCUUUAUCCAAUACGUGGGUUCGUUAUCCCAAAAUCCCUAAAUGAUUUAGAUUUGGCUUCCUAUCGUUUCAUAAUUAAUAUUGAGUUUUAGAUGCUACCUUAGUUGAUACAUCAUUCAGAAUAUAAGAAGUUGUUUGUAAUGUAUACCCUCUAAAUAGAAAUUGGCAGCUUCGAAUAACUUAAAAGCGACCAAACCAUGUCUAAGAAGGUUCAAUUCAUUCCCUCUACCAUGCCAUUUUGUUGUAGAGUGCCCGACACAGUUGAUCUGCCAUAAUUUGAUACGACAAAUUAUGCUCUCCAUUACACUUAAAGAGUUUAUUCUUGAGCAAUUUAGAUGUCUUUUUGUUACUUUUCUUGAUUUUUAGUUUUAUCAUUAAUAAAAUGUUUUUAUUAGUUUUAAGUCAUUUUUAUACCUAAAUUGGCCAAUCAUGCUAUGGGGAACCUAACAAGUUGAUUGAGUGUUGUAGAGAGUCGACAGUGGCCCGAACGUGAAAAAUACAUCACCUAAAUGAGGUAUCGCGAUAUCGAAGCAUGAAAAUUGUGAUACCCCUGACAGUGUCAAAAUAAAAAGAAUCGAGACUAGAUACAGUGAUAUUGCGAUACCAAUUAAUGGGUAUGACGAUACCAAGACAUUUCAAGACCAUUCAUUUCAAGACUGUUAUGGGUAUCGCGAUACCACUGCCUAACGAGUAAAAAAACUACAAGGGCAAUUUUAUGUCAAAACAAGCUUAAGUCUAUUUUUCAUUUAAGGGCAUAAUGGUCAAUGUUAGGUUAAAUGUUAGUAGGCUAUAAAUACAAAUUCAUAAGCCUUUGUUUUCAGAUUUUGUUGGUUGAUAGUUUCCUUCAGUUUUCCAUAGUUUUCCAUGUUAGGUUUUCCUUUCUUCUUCAUUUUUGAAAACUAUGUAAAAGAGAGAUGACCAAACUCUUGGACUUCAUUGGAUUUCCAUAAAUCAAAUGAACAGUUCUCAAACUCUUUACUCUUAUUUUAUGCUUACCAUGUGUUUGAUAAAAUGCUUGUUAAGAAUUUAAGUUUGAUUAUGUGCUAAGUUUGUUGAUGAUUGGUUGAUUAGUUAUUUGAUAGUUAAGUUAAUUUUUGUGUUUGAUGUAUUGAUUGUUCAAUUAUAUCAAAAUUCUUAAUACACUAGAAUUGACGCAUCUAGUGGAAAAUCUAGAUAAAUGAGACUAAGAGGAGAGUUUAUCCUUAGAUAGUUCGAUAUAAUUGUAUCGAGUAAUGAGACCGAGAGGAGAUAUAUAUGCUUAGGCAAGACCAAGAGUGGAACCUAGGUGGUAUCUUUUAGUUUAGGAUGAAACUAAUGGGAGAUUCCUAACUAAGAGUGAUAAUCAAUAUAAUCGUUAUAGAUUUAUUAGCUUAGUUCAUGAUUAACAAAUCAAUCGACCAUCGGUUUAUCAUUUACAUUUUCUAAAACAAAAUGAGAGAAAAUUAGAUUAGUUAGUUUAAUUGAUAAUUUAAAUUUAGUUUAUAAAAAAGUUUCUAUUUGAAUUUUCACUAAUGAUUUCCAACUCGAUUAGAUUAAUAAUUGAUUUACUUGUAAUUAACUUGAUAAAUAUAUUUACCCACUUGGAAAUCAUUUGGGUUCAAACCAUGGGUUACUCAAGUGUUCGAUUGACACUAAAAAUAUUACAACUGACACUGUACGCUUAUUGUUAAAACCACAAUUUUAAAUUGCAUUAUAAAAUUAUUUAUUUUCUGUGCACAAGCACGUGCGGGUCAAGUUGUUGGUGUCAUUGUCGGGGAUUGUGACGGUGUAAAUGUGUAGUCAAGUUAGUUACUUUUGAAGCGAUAUUAGUGAAAAGAAUAGGGAAUUAGAUAGUGUUUUUUUUCUAUAUAGUGUUUUAUUUUUAUUUCUUUAGUUUCAUUUGACUUGUUGAAGAUUUAACUUAAUCAUGUUUAAUAAAAAUGGAUAUAGGUUGUCGAGUGACCGAUACAACUAUAAAGAUCAAUUAAGUUCGACGAAUGGAGAUUCGAUGAAUCAUUUGAGUUAUGACAAUGACUAUGAGAGGCAAGGAUACGAGUAUCCUUAUGAUUCUUAUGGUUAAGAGUAUGGAGAGGAUGGUUACAAUAAAAAAUGGGUACGUAGUAACUCGAAGUAUGAUCUGUAUGAUCUAUAUUCCUCAUAGGUAUGAUCUGUAUGAUCUAUAUUCCUUAUAUUAUGAGGACGGGGGCAAGCAUUUGGAAGAGCCUAAUGAAGAUCACUACGAAACCAUUCGAAUGAGUAAACUUGAGAAAAGUGUGUAUACGUUGCAGGCUGAUGUGCACCAAAUACAUGGUCGAUUAGACCAAAUUUUCCAGUGGAUGCAAAGCCAUGCCUCCUCGAGUAUACCAAGUAAGCAAAUAGUGGAAGUCGUCCAAGGCCGAGCUGUAAUGAACACUCUAAUGGAAGAGGUCGAGCAUGAUAUUACUGAGCUCAAGGAAAAGGUCCACUCCACUGUUACUGAGCAUGAUGAGUUAAACAUAGGAUUAGGCUUAGGAAUAAGAGUAGGAGAGGGAAUAGGUGUAAAAUUAGAGAUUGGGAAAGAGCUAAAUUGGGAACUAAGUGAAGGUGUGGAGGAGCCAACACAUUUUCUGACUAUUUUUGAAGAUGAUCCAACUGACGGACUUAAUGAACAUACUUAUUUUCAAUUCAAAAUGAGAAUUGAAGUCUGGGUAUCUACGGCUUAUGGCGACAUUGAGUUUGUGAUACUCGAAGCUAUAGUACCUUGGAACGAGUUGUAGAGUUUGGUAGGCUUUGGGAGGAAGUGUCCUGUGGCAUGGCUAUCUAGAAGGUAAAAAAUAAGACAACAGCAAUAUGCUCAAACGCCAAGGGGUUCUUAUUCUAGUCAUGAAGAACUAAUGACGAUUCAAGCUGUCGAGGGUUGGAUUCGGUGCCCUAAGUGUAGUAUUUUCGUCUAAGUACACUUGUAAUUUUUUGAAUAGAUUGGUUAAUAAAAAAAUUCAUGAAUUACAUUAAUAGUUUACAUAUUGUCCUCACAUGGUUUUUGAACGCAAAGCAAAAUGUAAGUAAAUGUUGCUCACUGGUUGUCUACUAUUUAACUAAUAUUUAGCAGUAUUAUGUGGCCAGAUUCUAGUACAGAAAAAUUGUUUGUAUUAGUAUACGAACCUAAACAUUUUCUUAGUCUAAUCAAAAAUGAGCAAAUUGAUUGAAAAAGUAAUAUGUUUACUAUCAAGUCCAGUUGGGGACAUGUUUUGUCUUCGGCAUUGGAGCGAAUGACUCCUAAAAGAUAUAGACAUAUAUGUGAUUGAAUGGACUGGCAGUACAUCGGAGUGGACCCAAGUAGAAUAGAUCUUGAAUCUUUUUAUGGAUCUAUUCACUUGUGACAUUCAUAGUGUGUUAUACCUAAAUCCUAAGUGGAUGGCGGACUAUGUAUGUGUGACUUGUACACUUUGAUGUAAGUAAAAGUCUAAAUUCAAAUAGAUAAAGAACCGAAUGUUGGUGCGUUAGGUGUCAGACUUCUGUAGUAUGUAGCAUCAUUCACAACAUGGAAAUUCCUAGCUCAAGACAUGGGUAAAUGAUAUCCUCUCAUAGGCAUUACAUGGUUGAUGAAAUGUAAACGUGACCACGGGUUGUUCGUCUUUGUAAUGGAUGACUUUAUCACUAUUUGAUAGUGAUUGACUUUUCAUGAAGGAAGAUGUAAUGGUUACCAUAAGAUAACAUAGGAUCAUAUUAGGAAAAUAGAUAUUGUCCCAAAGAGAUCAAGGAUAUACUAUGAGGGUAACAUACUUAUGAUAAUGUCAUUGGAUAAGUAUUCAAUAGUUACUUUGGUAAUGGUAUAUCGUUAGGGAGAGCUUGGUCACGAUACUAUAGUGGAAUGACUUCAUGAGUAAAUGAGUUUAUAAUUAAUAGGCAAAAAUGUAAUGCGCCAAAAUUUUAAUUUUGGGUAUUGUGAAUGUGUGACACAAAAUAUCUGUCUGCUUUAGUGGUUAUGUGUUCUAGGUGUGUUUGGGAGGUCCCAAGUUCAAGCCAGGACUUGGGCAAAUUUUGGUAUUUUUAUGAAUAAGCCUAUAUUUGGUCAGUAGGCUUUUAAGUAAAAGUUGACAAAUAAUUAACAGAAUAGGACUGGUGCUUUGGUGGAUAAGUGGAGUGUUGGUGUGAAGGAGGUCCUGUGUUCGAAUCUUGGCGUGGGCAUUAUGUUUGCUCGUGUGUCCAGGAGAGUUUGAGAUGGACUAAAAAUCUAAGUAGUGGAUUUAGUAGGGAGUUUGAUGGAGAGAAAUAAGGGAUUGGGGUGGUAAUCAAAUAGUCUGUUAAUUCUUUUUUCUUUUUUUUUUCCUUUUUUUACUUUCUCCAUAAUCCCUCCACCCUCUUGUCUUUUUCUCUUCAUUGCUGCCGAAUUUUUGCACUCUUUCACCCUUCAUCUUAUUGAUUUUUCUUUUCCUACUUUGCCUCGUGUCACUCCACGUUUGUCUGCGAUCAUUCAGUAAGUUUUAGAUAAGUGAUUUGUCUUCAUUUGUUAACUUUCUUCUCAAGUUUUUUUAUGCCAAUUAGGGGAGGAUUCAAAGGCACGUUAUCACCAAUCAGAGUCUUAGUUUGUGUGAGAAUUACUAUUCAUCGAUUGAAGGUAAUGUCUAGUCGCCUAUGGGUUAAAACCUCGAUUCGAGUUCAAUCUGGGAUCACAUUAUGUGAGAUGAAAUUAGUGUUUUUUUGUUCAAUUAUAGGCUUUGGAGUGCUUGGGGACUGUUUUAGCAUCAAACAAAACCAGGUGUGUACCCGAAACGCAGAAAAUGGGAUUCAGCAAAAAGCAGAAAUUGCUUGUUGUUUGGACAAUAACAAUAGGCUAAUUUUAAAAAAUCACCAUAAAUUGUGAAAAUCGAAUUAGAGGAUGAAUAAAAUAUAAAAUUAAAGCUUAUUGAGUCUAGUUUCCCAUAGAAUAAAUGUGUAAGUAAUGAAAUUAUAAAUCCUGAGAUAUAAUAAGUUUUGUGAGACAAGGUCAGAAUGAAUUCAAGUUACCCUGUUUUGACUUUGGAAAAUCAUCAAAUAUUGGAGAAAAAUAAUUAAGGGUUAAAUUUUACAUGUUUAAAUUAUUAAUGAGUCUAUUUUCAAUAGAAAAAAAUGGUAACAUCAUCCAAAUUUUUUACUAAGAGAUAAUUAUUUUUUAGCAAAGAAAGGUCAAAUCUGUCAGAUAGCAGAAGAGGGGUAAGAUUGAAGAUUUUACUGUACUUAGUGGAAGAACCAAAAAUUCUAUAAAUUUUAUAGUAGAAAGGUAUUUGAGUCUAGUUUCAAAGACAUCAAGUAGACCUUAAUUUGGAAUUCUGUAGCUCAAGAUAUAAAUAAUUUAGUAAUAGUGACUCAAGUAGACAGCUUUGAAGGAGCAUAUAAGUAAAUAGUGAAAACAUAUAUGAAUAUUUAGCUAGCACGGGUUACAUUAUAAAUGGACCACGCGGCCAAGGCCAAUUUGGGUCGAGUGGGCCACACGGGCAAACCACAUGGGCGUGUGAGCCCAUUAUCACUGAAUUGAUUGCUAAGGUUGCAUGGGUCUCCCAAGUCGACUAUGAACCUAUUGUAGGGUCGGUAAGCAUCACUUAGACCCUUAAUUGUACAAACUGGCUGUUUGAUUUAUAUAUGUGUUGAGCAUGAUGAUAGUAUACUUGUAUACUGAACUAGUUAUAUGUACUGAUGUCCUGAGAUAGCAUGUCAUGACUUGUAUGUUGCAUUGCAUGGAGUUAGGUUAAUUAUAUUUGGAGGAAGUGUACUGAGAGGCUUUUAAGCCUAACAUACUGGCAGCUCAGCUGCAAAUUACUGUUUUGUGCUGCAUUCGGUACUACUUGGAGUGUAGCGAUGGGUGGGUUGAUUUGAUCCCCACAUGGAGUGUAGGGUUGGAUGGAGAUGGUGUGUAGAGGAUGGUUGGGUAGGAAUUUGUUACUGAAUAUUGCAUGACUGCAACUGAUAUUGUGAUGGGCUAAGGCCCAAACUAUUACUGAUACUGAAAAAGGGCAUAGGCCCAGGACUACUUUAACUGUGCACUGUGAUUUGCUAUUGUUUGUUUUUUGUGGGAUUACACAUUGAGUUUUCGUAAAAUCACCCCUUUUGUUUAAAUGUGCAUAGGUAAUCCCCAGAUCUAGACGGAUCGGUGCGGCGGGGGACUUAGCGAUGACCACAGUUUUGGACUUUCAUGGUUUUUAACCCAUAUUUACGAUAAUUUGUUUUAUUUCGAUUCUAUUUUUACUGGCUAUGUUUUUGGGUUGUAAUUGGACAAUCGAACUUUGGUUUUGGGUUUUAAUUAUCUUUACCUUAUGGAUUACUACUACUGCUAGUAGUAGGAAACCUCGAUUUUCAAAAGAAACAAAUGUUUUUCCUAAACGCACAAUUGUUUAAUCUAUUUUAAAAGCUUUUGCAAAUGAAUAAUGUUUUGAAACUAUCGAUUAAAUGAGCAACACAAUUUUGGAACUAAUAAGAUAUUAAGAUAAAGAAUUCAAUAGAAAUGGUUUUAAUGUGACGACACAGUUUUCAAACACCCUAUCAUGUGACAUCGCUAGAUUCGGCCAUAAAGUCUUGGCCGGGUUUGGGGUGUUACAGAAAAGAUGGAACUUAAUUAUAGAUCAUUUGAUCCCUAAUUACAUAUGUUCAAUCAGUCCCUCUGCUAGCUCAUUGAAACUAGAAAUGAAUUGCUUAUUGAACAAAAAUGAAAUAAUGAAUAGAAACAGAGAAAUGGAAAACAUUCAAAAAUGAUUAUGGUUUUCUCCGAAAUGGAAUCAUUUGGAAAUGAAUGUGGGUUUCUCAAAAAAUGGAAAUGGAAAUGAAAAUGAAAAUAAAAAUAAGAAAUGAUCAAUUUGCAAAUAUAUAUGGAUUACUUAGAAAUGACAAGAAGAAUGAGUUUAUGUUUUUGUGCAGUUAUAAAGAUAAAAAAUUAAAAUAAAUCAUUCGGUCAUAGUAAACAAGUUGAGUUGUGAAAUAUUGAAUAUAUUUUCUUGGUAAUUUUACUAGAGGUAAAAUUGUCAUAAUUUUAUUGGGUGUAAAAUUGGGAUGAAUAAAUUAUUUUAUUGGAAAAUUAAUGUUUAUUUUGGAAAAUAGAAAAAUAUGUAUUGGGUUGGAUUAAAUUAUAAAGUGUGGGUUAAAAGUCUAGAAAGCACAUAUAAUUAGGCACAAUACAAUGAGAGGCCCAAAUCCCCAUCAUAUUACAUACGAGGGGAAACACACCCUAUUUGCCCUUCUCCCUCUCCUAGUUGGACCAGGAAGUUGAUUUUCUAUUUGAAAUAAACUUUUACAAUUCAACAAAGGUUCUACCUUCUCUCCCUAUAAAUAGAUAGCACCAGUAGAGCUAUUAACACAAUGUGAAAAUAUUAUUACUCUUUUGAGAAAUAGAGAGCAUUUAUUCUCAACUAUUAUAUAUAUUUUUCCGAAAAAAUAAUUUUGUCAAUUUCUAUUUUGAAGAGAGAAAUUUUUUUACCCCAAAAGUAAAGAAAACUUUUUCUAAUUCUGUGUUUUGUUUUGAUUGGUUCGAGCCCACACCCGAAGCAAUUUGUGGUACGGGAAUAGUGGAGAAUAUCAUUUGGUUGAAAGCUGAAAAAUGUCAAGGAUCUGCUUAUCCAAAAACACAAGUAUGAUUUCGAUUCAAGGUUUAUUGCUAUAAAUAUCACAAACCGGGUCGAUUUUCAAAAUUUUAAUUUUUCGUUGUGUAAGAAAACUAUUUUCAAACCAGAUUUUUUUCGACAUCGAGUACCUUUUGGAAGUUCUUUAAUGGAAAGGAUACAACUCGCCCAAAAGUUGAUAAGUUUUCUUUUUACUAGUUUUUAUUUUGUUUUUAUUUUCUUGUUAUUGCAUAUUUUGUUCUUGGUGUGUUUUGUGUUUUCCUAUGUAGGCCACUCACUUAAGAAUUACACGACAAGCUUGAUCCUCAAUGAGGAGGUGGAGGUGGAUGACCCUAGCUACAUUGAUGAGCACUCACAAUAUUCAAGGAAGUCUGGUAAUCCUUCUAUCUUUGUUUGAGGUAUAAAUAUUGGGGACAAUGUGUAAUUUAAGUGUGGAGGCAUUCAUAUAAAAUUUACAUGUUUAUUCAAUUAGUUUUUUUUGGUUUUGUUUUAUUUUUCUUAUUUUAAUUGUUACAUGGUGCUUGAACAUGAUUUGAUUAACAACUGGUGAAUUGUGGUAUGUUUCUGUGUAAUAGAUUCUUUGAGUUGUACAAAUUUUGAAUGAUCAUUUGUGAAUUUUAUUCUUUGUGAGUAAAUUAUUCAGUUCAAUUUAUUACAUUGUAUAAUAUAAUAGAGGUAAUUAAAAAUUCAUGAAUUUUUUUUCAAAUUUAUCUAAAUGAUUAAUAAGUUUGUAGAUAGAUGUGUAUAUGGAUUCAUUAGAAUUCAACAUUAUUAAUGGAAAUAAGUAGAAGCAUGUUUUAGUUUUGUGAUUGUUAAGAUAUUAAGGGAUGACCUAAAGCAUUCUUGUGUAUCAUAGAGCUUAAAUAACUAACCUAUAUGCUAUAUUAUCCCUAGUUCUUGUAAUUUAAGCCUUCAAUUAUCUUUUCUUGAUCAACCUAUUUUUUUAAGCCUCGAGCCUAAAGGGAGUUAAAAACUCAACAUUUCACCAUCCCUAUUGUAAUGCCCCUCACCUGUCUCCUUCUUUGAAUUAGGGUUUUGGGAUGUUACCAUACAAAAUAGAAAAAAAUCAUACUAUAUCAAUGCAAAGAAUCCCUAAAAAAUUGUUAAACAUCAAUCCUAUAAUCAAAAACAUGUUAUUCAUAUUUUAUCGGUGUUAAAUCGAGCUUACAGAAGUUAUGAAACAAUUUAAAACAAAGUAAGGACUAAUUUGAAACAUUUCAAAAAAAUAAGGUAAAAACACAUAACAGGGGUCACACGGCAGUCGUGUUGUUUAGCCGUGUGCAAGGCUAAAAACCAUGUAGGUGGAGGCACACGGUUGUGUCUCAAGACCGUGUAACAGACUAUGUGCAUAUGUGCCAAUUGAAACCAAAAUCACAUAGACCACACGAUCAUGCCAUAUACUCGUGUAUGGCGCACGACUGUGUGUCAGGUCGUGUAUCAACCAAUUUGAACCUAAAUGUCCCUUUUUUAGCAAGUUACCAAUUGCUAUAACACUUGUGCCACAAGUCUCAUUAUAGCAACAUUCAAACCUAUUAAAAAAUCAUCAAAACAUACCCAAAACAAUGCAUUUUUUAAACAUUUUAAGUGCCUAAAAAAUAUGCCACAACUGGUACCACUAUUCAAACAUUUUCAAACUAACAUUCAUCACCAUUUAUAAAACCAUUCUCAUACCAUAAACAUUUCCAUAUAAGCACCAUCAAAUCAAUAAUCAAAAUUCACCACACGAGAUAAAAAUAGUUACCAAUUCAAUUCAAAACAGAACAAAACUAGAGAUUUGCAUUACAAGCCAAUUCAAACACCAACUUAUACAUAUACACUUGUAACCAAAAUACCUAUUUACAUGCCACUUAUAACCUAACACAAAAUGAUAAAAAAUCUAUCAAGCCGAAGAACGAAUAGUGUGAGCUCUUAAUUGACUUCCAACCAACAUUAAUUUCUAAUGAUCUACAAGAACCAAAUAGAAUAGACGUAAGCAACACAGUGCUUAGUAAGUUCGCACGAAAAAUUAACUUAACUUACUAAGUUUAAUGUAAUUUAAACAUUAAAAAUAAAAGUACACAACCAAGAACAUAUAUUCAUUAAUUGCUUGUUCAAAUCACAUAUCUCACAAGGUUAGUGACUUCGCAUGUGAAACAUAUAACUAUUUCAUGUUUAUAAACAUAUACAAGUAACCACACUUAGUAUACAUAUCAUCUUUCCUGUACAAAUUUACCAUUACAUGCCACUAUUAUCCAUAUUAUAUAAUCCAUAGUCAUUUCAUAUAUUCCUUACAUAUAUCUAGUUUUCACUCUAUGAACCACAGUGAAAUAACAUUGGAUAUGUGGGAAUAACACUCACACGAGCUGUGAAUAUAAUGCUCACACGAGUUCUAAAAUCGGCAUACUCACAUGAGUUGUGGGUUGAGAUGAUAGGAUACAUGAUGUUGCUCACACGAGCUAUGAAAAAUCCCCAACAAAUGCAGUAUCUUAGCCAUCGAUAAGACAUACAAGACUGUUAGAGUAUGCUCAAAGACCAAUCAUGAGAUGGUUGUAAUAACAUACUUGAUUUUUCAUGUUUAUUAAUAUCGUUACCAUUAUUAUUUCAGUUUCUUUUCUGUGUGUAAAAAUAAGUUGUUUUAUAAUAAUGUCCUAAGAAUAAUAUGAUUAUUCUUAAAAGAUCCUUAGUCAAGUAUUAUUGUUGGAUAGGACAACGAUAAUGCAUUAAGACUAACAUGUAGUUGAUUGAUGAUAAAGAGUUGUCAUUGAUAUGGAAUGUCAGAAUCGAUGCAUGAUUAUGUGUGUAAUAAUCCCAACAUCAUGAGUAGUAUAUUUUAAUACAGUUAAACAUACACCGUAACUGGUUGUUCUAUAAAGGCUGAUGUUGGAUAUAUCACAAACGAUGUAGAGGGAUAUGGUUGGUUGAUAUAGAAUAAGUCCCUCCUACAUAAUGGGAGUAAUAUCUUAGGCCACUUGAUUAAGUGAGACUAGAAAUGCAUGGCCAUGCUCAAAUAAGUUCAUAUGAGAUGUCAUACUUAUUUGUAUAUCGUAGUCUGCUUAAGAUAUCAAGGAACAUGGAAUGGACUAUACAAGUGUGGCUAUUCCAUGACUUGUGUCCAAUCCAGAGAUAAAGGACUUAAGGAUUAUUGCAUAAAAGGUUAAUCAUAAAAGGUUAUGUCGAAUCAUGAUCUCUUGUGACUUAGGUAGCAAUGAUGCAUUGCUAGAUGCCACUCAUUGUUUGUAACAUUGGAAUCGUUCUAGUAUUACUGCUAACGUUACAGGAACCUACAGGGUCACACCCUAUAGUUGAAAUGAACGGAAUAAACCAUAUUUGGUUUUAUUUUUGGGUGUCACUUGAAUUAAAUUAAUUAUAGAAUUAAUUUAGUUCAGUAAUCAAAUUUCCAACACAUUAUGUAUAAGGUUGUUGUACCCAUAAUGAGGACAUGAAUUUGAUUAGCAUAUGAAUUUAAAUAAAUAUAUGGUUUACCGAAAUUAUAUUAUAAUUAAUGUAAUUAUAAUUUUCAGUUUAAAAUAUUAUUCUAUUUAUUUAAUUUCUUAAAACCCUAAAAAUAAAAAGUAUAUAUUAGAAUCCCGUUUUUCAUUAUUUUAAGGUCUAGCAGCCGUCAAAGAAAUAUAACUCUCAAAACUGUUUUAGGGAUUUUCUUCCGUUCGUAGUCAACUGGGUGGAUUACGUAGAGGUCGGAGUCUCGAUAGAUUCCGGCUUGGUUUGACUGUAGAUCAGACUACACAUUAUCGAGAAGUUACUGUCUUCUCAAUCGAAAUAUUAGGUAAUUUCGUAAUCUUUUCACCCCGAUUCGUUCUUCACACAUGGAUCCAUGGUUAGGGUCACCGAUUUUAAUUUUUUUCGCUGCGCCGUAGGGGUGCCGGCGAUCCAACAGUGGUAUCAGAGCCACUUGUGUGAUACGGACUCGGGUUUAAAUACUUGGGUGAUGCAAUUGUAUGAGAUGCAUGCUUCAAUCUUUUUAAAUUUCCGACUGUUUAAAUCGUUUAAGAGUAACCUGAUAGUCGUUCCUUUUGACAAUGGAUUAAAUGUUAAUCAUGGUGUUAUGGCCUAAUCGGUUUUAUGUUAUUACUAUUAAGUGUUAAUAAGUCUAUGAUCGUGCGACGGUGGUGUUGACAGUUUCCAAUAAGUGUUAACUGGUUAGUGGAACAAGGGUUGUUCCGGCAUAAAACCUUAGGGAUUAAAAUCCCGAAAACACGAUUCUGUUGAUAACAGUUAUCAAAUCGUGAGGUUUCGUUUUGAAUGGCCUGCUCCCUCUGCCGUCUCAGCCCCCAUCUUCUUAAAUUAUGUUUGUAAUAAAUAAAACUUGGUGGGCCAUAAAAGUUGAAAGGAUUUGUUAUAAUUCACCUUAAUAAAGUGUUUUUAUGAAUGCUAAUUUUUUACAUGAACGGUGUUUGAAAUGCAUAGUUAUAGCCCAACAGCCCAUUUGAUAAAAAGGUUGUAAUUUUAUAAAUACGGCCUGCGUGUCGUGCCUUGCUACUAUUCUCUUGUAUUUCUUUUCUGAUCUUACUCCCUCGUAUGUAAAACGAGUUUCUGCAUAUUGUAAUUUGCAAUAGUUGCUAUGGGCUAGUCGAGAAGGAAGAUGGGCCAUCCAGUGUGGAAUGAUAGCUUGAAAAUCGGCUUACACCUUUAGGUUUCCUUUUGGUUCUCCCAUUGUCUUGGGUUGCGUCACCUUAGUUUAUGGGUUAUAACUAUUGCAUUUAUUUAUUGCUUUAUUCAUGUAUGAGAUGCUAUGGAUGUCUAAAGCAUGCCAAAUUUUUAAACAUGUUAAAAUUUGAUAAUAUUGAACCACAUUAAUUGAUGAGAUCAAUUAAAUGGCUAAAUGGACUAAAGUAAACCGUAAUUGGUGAGAUGGACUGAUCUUAAUAAAAUCCCUCUAUUAAAAUAUUAAGUCAACAUAGCCUUCUAAUUUUGCCCUCGUUAAGGCCUCGAUCAAUACUGUGUAGGUUCUGCUAAAGCGAAGUACUAGUAUUUAUCUUGGUUAAACGCAAAGAAUAAAUAAGUGAUAUUCGCUGGUUAAAAUUGGUUAAUGACUUAACUAGGUUAUUCUAAUAGGAUUAGAAACCUAGAGGCGAGUUAUUUGGAUAAAUCAUAAGAUGAUUAGAACAAGAGUUGUUCACCAAACUUUAGGAGUUACAUAUGAUGUAUUUAGCAAAGUGUUGCUUACCUAGAUAACCAUAAUCUUGAGAGUAAAGCAAAGCUGACUUAAGAGGAGGUGAAAUAUGGAUCCUUAACCUACUUGAAAUACUUUUCGAGAAAGUCUUUCCGAAACUAAUCUAUGAGGGUAUUAGUUUUGUAAUAAAAUAGUGGGAACAUCAUUUAAUUAAGUCAUUUUAAUGUUUGAUAUAAAUUUGAUAAAUUUUCACACGCAUAGUUUCAUUGUUGUAGAUAUAUUAUGGUUGCAAACACAAAUACACUAUCAUUACGAUCGGUCCUUGAGAAGAACAAGUUAAAUGGUUUAAAUUUUCUUGACUGGUUCCGUAACUUGAGGAUUGUCCUCAAACAAGAACGGAAAUUAUAUGUCAUUGAACAACCAGUUCCUAACGAACCACCCACUAAUGCCUCGAGGGCUAAUAGAGAUGCUUACAAGAAGCAUAUCGAUGACAUGGUAGACGUUGGAUGUCUUAUGCUUGCCACUAUGAAUCCUGAGCUUCAGAAGCAACAUGAGGACAUUGUUGCUUAUGAAAUGAUUGAGCACCUGAAAGAACUUUAUCAGGGGCAAGCACGGCAAGAGAGGUUUGAUAUCUCUAAGGCCCUAUUCGAAUGUAAGCUCGCUGAAAGAAGCCCAGUAGGACCUCAUGUCCUUAAGAUGCUUGGCUAUAUUUAAAGCCUGUCUAAGCUUGGGUUUCCAUUGAGCCAAGAGUUGGCCACUGAUGUAUUCUGUAAUCGUUGCCGGAUAGCUACAGCCAGUUUGUCCUCAAUUUCAAUAUGAAUGAAAUUGAUAAGACUCUGCCACAGUUGCUCAAUAUGUUACGAACCGCUGAAGGCAACAUGAAAAAGGUUGGACCCAAGCCGAUACUGAUGGCCCGUAAUAAUAAGGGCAAGGGAAAGGCCAAAGUUCAGACAAAGCCCAAGGGCAAAGGUAGGCCCAAGCCUGGAAAAGUAAAGGCUGCAUUGAAACCUAAAGGAGGGGUGGCUAAGGAAGGAAACUGUUUUCAUUGUGGUGUGACUGGACAUUGGAAGCGGAACUGCCCUAUCUAUCUUGAGGAAGUCAAGAAGGCCAAAAUAAACGGAAUGUCUGCUUCAGGUAUUUAUGUUAUUGAUAUUAAUUUAUCAACUACUACUUCAUGGGUAUUAGAUACUGGUUGUGGUUCUCACAUUUGUACUUCUGUACAGGGACUGCAAAGGAGUAGGACUUUGGCUAGAGGAGAUGUGGACUUACGAGUUGGAAAUGGAGCAAAAGUUACUGCAUUAGCUGUAGGAACAUAUCAUUUAUCUUUGCCUAGUGGACUUGGUUUAUGUUUAGAGGAUUGUUAUUAUGUGCCCAGUUUGACUAAAAACAUUAUUUCAAUUUCUUGUUUAGACAAAAUUGGUUUUGAGAUAAUUAUUAAGAAUAAUUGUUGUUCCUUUUAUCUCAAUAAUGUUUUCUAUGGUUCAGCACAAUUGAUUAAUGGCCUCUAUAUUUUAGAUCAAACAAAUCCCAUCUACAACAUAAAUACUAAAAGAUCAAAAAUAAAUGACUCAAAUCAAACUUAUCUAUGGCAUUGUCGUUUGGGCCACAAAAGUGAGGAACGCAUAUCCAAGCUCCAUAAAUAUGGUCUCUUGGAUUCAUUUAUUUUUGAACAAUUUGAAGUAUGUGAAUCUUGCUUAUUGGGAAAAAUGACUAAAUCUCCUUUUACUGGUAAAAGUGAACGAGCUAGUGAUUUAUUGGGCUUAAUACAUUCUGAUGUAUGUGGGCCAAUAAAUACACAGGCUAGAGGAGGGUUUCACUACUUCAUUACUUUCACUGAUGAUUUCAGUAGAUAUGGGUAUGUCUAUCUCAUGUGCCAUAAGUCUGAAUCCCUUGAAAAGUUCAAGGAAUUCAAAAAUGAAGUACAAAAUCAACUAGGAAAAACUAUCAAGACACUUCGAUCUGAUCGAGGUGGGGAGUAUAUGAGCUUAGAGUUUGAUGAUCUUUUGAAGCAAUGCGGGAUUGUCUCACAACUUACUCCUCCUGGUACUCCUGAAUGGAAUGGAGUUUCUGAAAGAAGAAAUCGAACUUUGUUAGACAUGGUUCGAUCCAUGAUGAGUCAUGCUGAUCUGCUGACUUCCUUUUGGGGACAUGCACUUGAGAUAGCUGCUUUCACACUAAAUCGUGUUCCAUCUAAAUCGGUUCAAAAGACACCAUAUGAGAUGUGGACUGGGAAACGUUAUGUCUUUUAUAAAAAUUUGGGGUUGCGAAGCUUAUGUUAAAUGUCAGACGUCUACUAAGCUUGAACCCAAAUCUGAAAAAUGUGUUUUUGUGGGGUAUCCAAAAGAAACCAAAGGAUAUUAUUUCUUUAAUCCCAUUGAGAACAAAAUACUUGUUGCUCGGACUGGUGUCUUUCUAGAGAGAGAAUUUGUUUCUAGAAAAGGAAGUGGGAAAAAGAUUGAACUUGAUGAAGUUCGAUAAUCACAAAAUACCACUGAACCAGAGAUAGAACAACAGCAAAUUCCACAAGGGAUUGAGGGACAAGUAAUUGCUGUAGAAACACAACCAUCGCGUAGACCUUUAAGAGAACGCCAAGCACCCGAGAGAUAUGGAUUUCUCAUUACAACGCAUGGUGACGUUCUAUUUAUAGAUCAAGAUGAGCCUAGAACUUAUCAAGAAGCGGUGACGAGCCCAAACUCUGAAAAAUGGCUUGAAGCCAUGAGAUCUGAGAUGGAUUCCAUGUAUGAAAACCAAGUAUGGACUCUGGUUGACCCACCCGAAGGGGUUAAGCCCAUAGGGUGCAAGUGGGUUUUCAAAAAGAAAACCAAGAUGGAUGGUAAUGUACAAACAUACAAGGGGCAAUUAGUCGCUAAAGGGUUUCGCCAAGUUCAUGGUGUUGACUAUGAUGAAACUUUUUCUCUUGUAGCUAUGUUUAAAUCCAUCAGGAUCUUGCUCGCUAUAGCUGCAUUUCAUGACUAUGAAAUCUGGCAGAUGGACGUCAAAACAGCUUUCCUUAAUGGGAAACUUGAAGAGGAUGUGUACAUGACACAACUUGAAGGUUUUGUCAAUCCAAAGGAUGCUAGAAAGGUAUGUAAGCUACAAAGAUCCAUUUAUGGAUUAAAGCAAGCUUCUCGAAGUUGGAAUAUUCGUUUUAAUGAUGCAAUCAAAGAGUUUGGAUUUAUCAAAAAUGAAGAUGAGCCAUGUGUUUACAAGAAAGUUAGUGGGAGCACUAUAACAUUCUUGGUACUGUAUGUGGAUGACAUACUUAUCAUGGGAAAUGACAUACCUACCCUGCAGUCUAUUAAGACUUGGUUAGGAAUUUGUUUUUCCAUGAAGGACUUGGGCGAAGCCACUUACAUCUUAGGAGUAAAGAUCUAUAGAGAUAGAUCAAGACGACUAUUAGGUCUAAGCCAAAGUACAUACAUAGAUAAAGUACUGAAAAGGUUCAGUAUGGAAGAAUCUAAGAGAGGAUUCCUACCUAUCAGACAUGGUAUUUCACUCUCGAAGGAAAUGUGUCCUUCAACUCCACAAGAGAGAGAACGCAUGAGUAAAAUUCCAUAUGCUUCCGCUAUUGGAUCUAUCAUGUAUGCCAUGUUAUGUACUCGUCCAGAUGUCUCAUAUGCCUUAAGCAUGACGAGCAGAUACCAAGUAGAUCCCGGUGAAGGUCACUGGACCACAGUCAAGAAUAUCCUUAAGUACUUGAGAAGGACUAAUGAUACUUUCCUAAUAUAUGGAGGUGAGGAAGAGUUAAGUGUAAAAAGUUACAAUGAUGCCAGCUUCCAAACCGAUAAGGACGAUUCUCGAUCACAAUCAGGUUUUGUGUUUUGCCUUAAUGGUGGUGCUGUGAGCUGGAAGAGUUCAAAGCAAAGUACAGUAGCCGAUUCUACAACAGAGGCCGAGUAUAUUGCAGCCAGUGAGGCAGCAAAAGAAGCAGUUUGGAUCAAAAAGUUCAUUACUGAACUAGGGGUUGUGCCUAGCAUAUCAGAUGUUAUAAAACUCCGAUGUGAUAACAAUGGAGCCAUUGCACAAGCUAAAGAACCUAGAUCUCACCAGCGAUCCAAACAUAUACUUAGGCGCUACCAUCUUAUUCGAGAGAUUAUCGAUCGAGGGGAUGUAGAGAUAUGCAGGGUACCUACAGAUGACAACAUUGCUGAUCCCUUGACCAAGCCUCUGACACAGCAGAAGCAUGAUCGUCACACUAAGUCACUUGGUAUUAGAUAUAUAAGUGAUUGGUCUUAGUGCUAGUGGGAGAUUGUUAGAGUAUGCCCAAAGACCAAUCAUGAGAUGGUUGUAAUAACAUACUUGAUUUAUCAUGUUUAUUAAUAUAAGGCGUUACCAUUACUAUUUCAGUUUCUUUUCUGUGUGUAUAAAUAAGUUGUUUUAUAAUAAUGUCCUAAGAAUAAUAUGAUUAUUCUUAAAAGAUCCUUAGUCAAGUAUUAUUGUUGGAUAGGACAAUGAUAAUGCAUUAAGACUAACAUGUAGUUGAUUGAUGAUAAAGAGUUGUCAUUGAUAUGGAAUGUCAGAAUCGAUGUAUGAAUAUGUGUGUUAAAGAACAACAUAUUGGACUGACCCAUUAUGAGUAUGUCUCUUCGAUUAUUAUGUAAUUGUCACGACAUUACUCAUAGUGAUUAAUAUGUAUAUGAUCCUCAGACUUGAGAUCAUCAUAAUCCCAACAUCGUGAGUAGUAUAUUUUGAUACAGUUAAACGUACACCGUAACUGGUUGUUCUAUAAAGGCUGAUGUUGGAUAUAUCACAAACGAUGUAGAGGGAUAUGGUUGGUUGAUAUAGAAUAAGUCCCUCCUACAUAAUGGGAGUAAUAUCUUAGGCCACUUGAUUAAGUGAGACUAGAAAUGCAUGGCCAUGCUCAAAUAAGUUCAUAUGAGAUGUCAUACUUAUUUGUAUAUCGUAGUCUGCUUAAGAUAUCAAGGAACAUGGAAUGGACUAUACAAGUGUGACUAUUCCAUGACUUGUGUCCAAUCCAGAGAUAAAGGACUUAAGGAUUAUUGCAUAAAAGGUUAAUCAUAAAAGGUUAUGUCGAAUCAUGAUCUCUUGUGACUUAGGUAGCAAUGAUGCAUUGCUAGAUGCCACUCAUUGUUUGUAGCAUUGGAAUCGUUCUAGUAUUACUGCUAACGUUAUAGGAACCUACAGGGUCACACCCUAUAGUUGAAAUGAACGGAAUAAACCAUAUUUGGUUUUAUUUUUGGGUGUCACUUGAAUUAAAUUAAUUAUAGAAUUAAUUUAAUUCAGUAAUCAAAUUUCCAACACAUUAUGUACAAGGUUGUUGUACGCAUAAUGAGGACAUGAAUUUGAUUAGCAUAUGAAUUUAAAUAAAUAUAUGGUUUACCGAAAUUAUAUUAUAAUUAAUGUAAUUAUAAUUUUCGGUUUAAAAUAUUAUUAUAUUUUUUUAAUUUCUAAAAACCCUAAAAAUAAAAGGGAUAUUAGAAUCCCAUUUUUCAUUAUUUUAAGGUCUAGCAGCCGUCAAAGAAAUAUAACUCUCAAAACUGUUUUAGGGAUUUUCUUCCGUUCGUAGUCAACUGGGUGGAUUACGUAGAGGUCGGAGUCUCGAUAGAUUGCAGCUUGGUUUGACUGUAGAUCAGACUACAUAUUGUCGAGAAUUUAUUGUCUUCUUAAUCGAAAUAUUAGGUAAUUUCGUAAUCUUUUCACCCCGAUUCGUUCUUCACACAUGGAUCCAUGGUUAGGGUCACCAAUUUUAAUUUUUUCCACUGCGCCGUAGGGGUGCCGGCGAUCCAACAAAGACCAACACCUGAAACGAUAACAACCCGAAUGACAUAUCUUUUGUAUCCUAGUCAUUCACUAAGUUCAUACGAGCCUUAAUUGAUAACCUUAUCAUUUAGUUAUUUAAACAUUGUCACAUUCACAUGAAAUCAACUAUAUAAUUCUCAUUUUCAAUCAUAUACCUUAAUUAUAAGUUCAUUACAUUUUGAUCCAUCCACUGAUUAAUAUUAAUAUACAAGAAAACUCAAUCACAACAUACACAACACAUUAAUUAACGAAGACAACAAUUAAAUCAGUUUAUAAACUAUACGAACUUACCUAAACUGAAUCAGCAGGAACCACAACAGCAAGGACUACUCAGUAAUUUUUCAUUUUUCGCGUUAGUCUACUGGUUGAUUCGUUUCUUGAUCUAUAAUAUAAUUUUAAUUCAAUUAACCAUUUAAAUACCUUAAAUCAUGCUAAUGAACCCUUUAUUAAAAUUUUAAUUCAUACAAUAUUACCCUAAACUUUUACAUUUUGUUUAAUUUAGUGUUUAAAAUGGAAACUUGCAUAUUUUUCACAAUUUGACCUAAAACCUUAUUGCUAAAUUCAACAUGGUCCAUUAAAAGUCCCUAAAUGACUAAAUUUCACAAAAAAAUAUCCUUGUUAAAUAUCAUAUUUUAUUAAUUUAGUCUCUAAGUCGAAAACUAACUAAAGUUACUUUACAAAUUAGUCUUAUCUCCACAUCAAGCUUCAAAUUUAAUCAUUUAACAUCAAAAACAUCAAAAACUAUCAAUUUUAACUUUUCAAACCUUCAACAGUUUUACGAUAUAGUUCCUAGGCUAGCUAGAUUAAGCUACAAUAAUUUUAAAAACAUAAAAAUUACUAAAAACGAACUAAUAAGACACUAACAUGCAAGGGACUAUAUUUGGCCAAACCUCUAAGCUUUCAAAAAUGGUGGUUUCUUUUGGUUUUCUGGUGGAGUAUGUAACAGCCCGAUUUUAGAUAUAGUCGAAACAAUAGUUUUGGGACCACAAAUUUGACGAGGAAAAAUUUAUUUUUUAUUAUAUUUUUAUGGUCUACAAUUUCACGGAAUGGUUUCGUAAAAAAUUUGUUCAAAAAUUUCGACGUUUGGGCACUCAAUUUGUAAAAAGUGCAAAAGUUGAGUUCUAGAAGCUAGAGGUGUUAAACUGCUAUGAAAUUUUAAAUUGGAGGUCUUUAAAUGGUAAUUAGACCAUUGGUCAACUUGUUGUACAAAAAUGGACAAGAGAUAAGUGAAGUAGGAUUUUUUUUAAGUUGGGGGCAUUUUGGUCAUUUAGUAAUUAAAAGAAUUAAAAAGGCCAAAAUAGCCAAAAAAUUGUCCAUCUUCAAGCUAAGGUAGAAUUUAUCAAGGGGAGAAGUCAUAGUUAGGGUUUUCAAGCUUCCAAGCUCCAUGGUAAGUGAUUCUAAUCCCCGUUUUUAAUGUUCUUUACAUUUUUUGAGUCCCGGUAACUUGUUUUAGCUAUUUCUAGCAAUAAUUUAACCUAGGGUUUAUGUUUGGAAAAAUAACCAUAGGUGAAAUAUGUUUAUUUUGAUGUUUUAUGGUAGAAUAUAAAGCUAGAAAUUAUGUUAAACAACUUUUGCUAAGCGAUUUUAAGUGAAAACGAGUAAAACGACAAAAUCGGUAAAAAUACCUAAUGUUCAUAAGUAAGUGUUAGAGUGGGAAUUUGAUGUUGCCAUAGAAGGGAAAAAUGUUCAGUAUGUCAUAAAACAUAAGAUUAAUAAAUCAAGUUUAAUUUCCGAGCUUUGUGGCAAAAGUGUAAAUAUGAAAAAGUUUAGGGGCAAAAUUGUAAUUUUGUCAAAGUUUGAGUUAAUGACUGUUUUGAUGAAUGUGCAUGUUAAAUAAGUUAAAUGUGUUAUUAUAGUUCAAGAAAGAAGUGGAAUCGACCUUGAUUAGAGAAAAGAAAAGAUUAAAGACUAAAUUGCUAAAUUUCUAUAUUGUUGCACCAAAGUAAGUUUGUAUGUGAAUAAAUGCAUUGUUUUAAUGUUAUUCAAUAUAUUGUUGAGAUUUGAGUGAAUAUAGAUUAAAUUUUUGAUGUAGAUUAUAAAAAAAUGUGGUUAAGUUUGAGAAAGGUGGUAAAAUGUUAAAAAAAACAAGGUUUCGGAUUGAACACUCGGAAUAGACCAGAAUAUAUUGGAUAAAAAGGCGUCACUAAGUGUUGAUUCCCCGAAUUAUUGAUUCUAAAGGUGGUUGCUAAGUGCUGAUUCCACCGUAUAUUUGAUUGUGAAAGGGGUUGCUAUGUGCUGAUUCCCCAUAUCGCUGAAUAUAAAGGUGGUUGCUAAGUGCUGAUUCCACCAUAUAUUUUAUUGUGAAAUGGGUUGCUAUGUGCUGAUUCCCCGUAUCACUGAAUAUAAAGGUGGUUGCUAAGUGCUGAUUCCACCGUAUCUUUGAUUGUGAAAGGGGUUGCUAUGUGCUGAUUUCUCAUAUCACUGAAUUUAAGGUGGUUGCUAAGUGCUGAAUCCACCGAGUAACGGAUAAUAUUCUGAGUGUUCAACAGGGAAAUUGGAAAAUUGAAUGUACAUAUUAAAUGGAAUAGAUUAUGUGAGGAAUAUUGGGUUUGAUACUUAAUCGACCCAUGUGUAAGAUGGUAUGAAAUAUCAAAACUAUAAAAGAGUAAAUUUAGAAAUAAAACUGUUUUGAACAGAAGCAUUUGUGCAAUUUUGAAAAAUCACCAUAAAUGGUGUAAAUCGAAUUAGAGGCUGAAUAAUAUAUGAAAUUGAAGCUGAAUGAGUAUAUUUUCACAUGAAAGAAACAAAUCAAGCAAAAGAGUUAUAUAUUUUGAAAUAUUUGAAUUUUAGUGAGACAAGAUUGAAUUGAUUUUGAAAUCCCCUGUUCCAACUUUGGAAAAUCACGAAAAAUUGUAAAAAAAAUAAUUAUGGCUUGUAUUAUACAUGCUUGAACUUCUAAAUGAGUCUAUUUUUAAGAAGAACAAACAAGAACAUCGUUUGAAUUUUGUACAAAGAGUUAAGUAAAUUUUAGUGAAGAGGGGUUAGUGUUAUCGGGCAGUGAAACAGGGGAAAUUUUAAAGAAUAAAAUUCUGAAAAUUUUAUGGUAAGAAGAUAUGUGAGUCUAGUUUCGGGGAAAAUUAAUGAAACUUAAUUUGGAGCUCUCUAGCUCUAGAUAAAAAUAAUUUAGUGGCUAUAACUCGACUAGACAGCUUUAAAUUUAAAUAUAAGUGGAUAGUGAAAUUAUGUAUAAUGCUAUUUAAGCAUGUUAUAUACAUAAAGGAUGUGGGAUGGAGAGGAGGGGGAGGACAAUAAAAUUUAUGAAUGAAUUGUGUAUAAAUGGUCAUAUGCCCGAUUAUAAUCGGUAAAUGUUAAAUUGAAUGGUAAAUACGUAUUGGUACUGAAGGAGCUAGUGCGGUAUUGAAAAGAAAAUGAUCACAUGUUGAAGAAAUUUAGUCAUGAUAUAUAUAUGUGUGUGAUAAUAAUGAUGUAUGGAUGAUUAUAUUAUUGAGUUGCAAUGAUUAAUUCGGUUUAGGUGAUGGAAAUGUCAAGAACAUUUGUCUUUGAUAUGUGAUGAUCAUGUAAUGCCAUGAAAAUUUGUUUAAUUGUGUGGUUUAAAAUGUAUCUAUAUUUUUUAUAUAACUUAUUUUGUAAUCUAUUUGACAAAUGAUAAAAAAAUUAAUUCGGUUACUAUGUGAGGUGAAUUAUGAUUUGUGAAGCAUAUCUAUAUUCAGCAAUAAUGGAUAAAAUACAUUUAUGUCAUGGGUGAAUGGUUAAACACUUGGGUUAGUAUAAAGUAUAUAUUUAGUAACGUUUGUUGGAAAAGAAAUAACAGGUUUUGGUUUAUAUCGAAUAGAGAAAAUUUCUACUAUCUUUGUGGCUAAUUUUGUUAGCUGUGUGGGAGAUGAAUGGUUAAUGUAUGUAUGUGACAAUUAGCUUACCAGAUAGUGAACUAUUGAUAUACUACAAUAGUUAAAAAGGAAAAUUUGACGAUAUGAGAAUAUGUAAUGAUACGGAUCAAUUCAGGUGCAGAGGACGAAUUCAACAAGUAAGUGAAAAUUUAUAAAUUCAUACGACGAGGAAGUGAAAGAUUGUGAGUAUAUUUAGCCAAAUAAACCCUAAUUAAAGACCCAAGAAUAACAAUUGGAAAGUUUUAAUUUGGAUAAAAUUUUAUAACUCGGAUUAAUAUGUCUAUAAGUGUAUUUAUUCUGGUAAUGCCUCAUACCCUAUUCUAGCGUUGAUACGGGUAAGAGGUGUUACAAUGUGACAUCACCAUAUUCGACCCUAAUGUUUAGGCCGGGUUUAGGGUGUUACAUUUAGUGGUAUCAGAGCUACGAUUUAGUCAGUUCUUGGACCAAACAUAGCAUAUGUGAGUCUAGCUAUACAUGCCAUGUUAUUACUCGUGAUGAUGUGAUAUCUCCGGGCUUUAAUGAAAUUGUUUUGUUAAGACAAAGAUGAUUUUCAAUCGAGCUAUUUUUGAUAUUGCUGAAAAUGAUAUUGAGAUGAAUGAAAUAUGCUCACGUUAUGUUGGAAUUUGGAAAGGUAAGAAUAAAAAUUCGUGAUAUGUACGUUUUCAUGUAUGAAAAGAGAUGAUCAUAAGUUAAAAAAAAAGUUUAUGUUGUGAUAAGCUCAUCCAAGUAUGUUGGUGAUUAUAUGAUGCUAUGUGAUCAACAUAUUUGAUUAAGUGAAUAUGAUAAGCGAAUUACUUAAAUAGAUGGAAUGUGUGUUUAUGUACAUCUGCUUGAAUAAGUAAAAUCAGUAUGUUCAUAUGAUAGAAUCUUAUGUUUAAUUGUUAAAUUAAAGAUAAUAAGAUAUUUUGUUUUAUGUCUUUACUAUUAAACCAUGAAUAUUAUAAUAGCAUGAAAAUUGAAUUGGAAGAUUAAAUUGAGUAGAACGCAAGAAUGAGUACUUUCGUUCAGUGAUAUGUAAUGAAUCGACAAAAAAGACCACAGUUGGACCAUGGCAAUAUGUGAUUUCCGUAUAAGACCAUAUAUGGGAUAUGACAUUGGUGUGAUAUGUGCUACUGUGUAAGACCAUACCUGGGCUAUGGCAUCAAUAUGUAAAUAUGUGUAAGACCAUAGUUGGACUAUGGCAUAGAGAAAACAAAGUACUCAAUUCUGUAAGACGUUCUCUAAUUGAAUAAAUGUCGGUAAGUAAAAUGGAAGCUAAGUAUUGGAAUUUAAUUAGACAUUAAUAUUGAGCUCGAGUAAGUAAAUUCGUUGUGUGAAAUUGUGGGUGACAGAAAAUAUUCAUAAUACAUAGAUGUAUUAAUUUGCUUGGAAUGAAUUACAUGGUUUUGAUGGUAUUACAUUGAUGAUGAAUGCAAAGUCAUAUAUAUAUGUAUUUAUGAGAGCAAGUUAAAAGCUUUAUGACCUCAACAUCACCCCCUAAUUAGUAUUGUUUUAUGACGAAAAUUAUCUUGAUGAGACAGAUAUAUUUUUCAACUGAGUUAAUUUUGACAGUAUAGAAGUAAACACUUAAAUGUUUGAGUGAAAAUGUAUUUAUUAUGAGUUGAAACUCAUAAAGGUAUAGAUCAAAGAAUAUAACAUUUUGUUAUUGAUAAAUGUUAUAAUUAUACAAGCAUAUGAGUUAUGAUAUUUGGAUUAUGAUGCUAUAUAGAAAUUUCAAUUGUGAAUUAGUGAUUUGAGUUGGCAUAUGAAUUAUGUGUUGAGAACAAAAGUGAUUAAAAGCAAAUAUUUAUUAAAUUCUUUGAGAAUUUGAAAUUAGUAAUGACUUGGCUAUUUGUGAUAGUAUGUGUUAUGCGCAUUUAUGUGUAAGAUAAAUUUGAGGCUUUACUACACUCACCUCCCAUAUCAGUAAAAUGUUACAAUAAAAUUUGUGAGAUUUUGGUUGAAUAAGCUUACGAGUGCAGUGUUACAGAAAUUUGUGUACGGGAGAUUAAUAAUGUGGUCGGAAAAGUGAAUGAAUUAGCAAAUGAAGACAAUAUAAAGAGAGAGAAUUAUUGGAUAGUUCUGAAAACUACUCAGAUUAUGCAAAGUUACUGUCACAAAAGAAGUUAAAUCCAAUUAAAUAAUUUAUUCAGGUAUGUUAUUUAAAGAAAAAAAAUUAACCGGAAGUUUUUCUGGAUCGAUUUCUGUUAGUAAAGAGAUAAUGUGAAAAUUUUGAUGACAGAAUUAGACAAUUGAGUAAUGUUUGUAUUAUAAUAAUAACUGAGUACAAUAGCUAUAAUGGGUAAUUACUAUGAAUCCUUUUAGACAUUCCGUGUGUACAAUUAUCCUCAGAAGUAUAUGUGACUGUUUAGUUUCAAAAAGAAUUCUUAUUGUAUGAGAACAUUAGCUAAACAUAUUAAUAGAUGAAAGAAUUAUUAGUUUGUUUGGGUUAUGUUCGACAUCGCCAUGUCUUUUUCUGGUAUUUAUUCCCUUGUGUGAAUAUGAAAAUUGAUGGUAAAGUCUGAGUGAGGCUAAUAUUUUAUUUCUACUGGCUAUUGUUCUGUUGAAUAUACGUGAAGAUUAUAUUGCUUCUAUUACUUAGGAUUUUAAUAUCUAUGAGAGACAUUGAGAGACAUUGAUCUUUUAGAGAUCUUUUGGGAUAUCAUUGGAAUUGAUAUCAUUUUAUAUGAUGGUUGGGGCUUCUGUAUAAUGAUACGUCUAGGUUAUAUGAGUUUGAAUAUAUCUACCGGACUUGAAAUAAACUUUGAGUGUAUAUAUAUAGAUUGAGGUUUAAUCUAGAAGAAGAAUUUGUAUUCUUGAAGACUUGAUACAGAAUUAUAUCUAUCAUAAUGAUUCUAAUUGAGAAAUAUUGAGGUAAAUUAAAGUUAAUUGAUUGUUGAAGCUUUCUUUUGCACGAAAAUAUUGUCAACUGAAACAUCAUUUAUGAUUCAGCCUAAGUUGAAUAAAGAGUUAAUGAUUAUCAACAUACGUUACUGAACUGUUUGAAGAGUGUUCUAGUGAAAGAGUGUACAGAGGUGUUUUGUGAUUUUUAUAGUUAAAAUUGCAGGAAAAGAGUUAUGUAACAUAUUUGAUAACUAUAGGAGUUUAAAAUGUUUAGUGUCAGUGAAAAAUCUAAAGUUUCGUCUGAAUUUGAAAUGUAUUGAGUGGAAGCAAAUCAUUAAUCUACUUUUUGAUAGCAAAAUAUUACAAAUAUGUAUAUAUUUGAAUACUAUAAUUAUGAAUCAACUUACCAACAUGAGUUAAUCCAUGGGUCACUCAUGACAUCACUUCAUGCCAAAUAUACCACACACAUGCUAUCGAACUUUAUUUUCUCUCAUGAGCUUACCAUGACUAGUAAUGCACCAAUAUAAACAUCACUCCUAUUUCAACGUUUAUCGAUUAUAAUCAGGCAUAUAACCAAUUAUACACAAUUCAUUCAUAUACUUUAUUGUCCUCCUCCUCCUCUCCAUCCCACAUUCUUUAUGUAUAUAACAUGCUCAAAUAGCAUUAUACAUAAUUUUACUAUUCACUUAUAUUUAAAUUCAAAGCUGUCUAUUUGAGUCAGAGUCACUAAAUCAUUUUUAUCUGGAGCUACAGAGCUCCAAAUUAGGAUCCGUUAAUUUUACCUGAAACUAAACUCACAUAUAUUCUUACCAUAAAAUUUUAAGAAUUUUUUACUUGGCAAAUUAGUACAGUUUAUUCUUUAAAUUCACCCCUAUUUCAUUGCUCAACAUCUCUGACCUCUCUUCACUAAAAAUGAAUUAUCUCAUUGUACAGAAUUCGGAUGAUAUUUUUGUUUGUUUCCUUUGAAAAUAGACUCAUUAAAGAUUCUAAUACUAUAAAUUAUAACUCAUAAUUAUUUUUUUACAAUUUUUAAUUAUUUUCCAAAUUAAGAAUAGGGGAUUCUAAAAUCAAUCCGACCCUACCUCACUUAAAUUUAAAUAUCUCAAAAUAUAUAACUCUUUUGCUUUCUUUGUUUCUUUUAUGUAUAAAAAGACUCAUUAGGCUUUCAUUUCAUAUCUUAUUCACUCUCUAAUUCAAUUUUCACCAUUUUUGGUGAUUUUUCAAAGUCAUACAACUAUUGUUGUCUAAACUGUUUUGUUGUAAAAUGUAUUCUUUCAUAAUUUCACUUUUUCACUAUCUCAAUUCCAUUCAAUUUUUCACAUCUCAUUCCAAUAGUUCAUUUCAAUUCAUAUACAAUUCAUUCAAUUGAUCACUAUAUUCAAAGCAAUCCAAUUUCUCAUUUCCAAUUUCAAGUCAAUCUUCAAUUCAAUUCCACAUAUAUAUUCAUUAGUCAAUUACACUUAGUCAAUUUCCCGAUGAACACUUCGAAAUAAUAACAGAUACACGGUGAAAUCAACACAUAGAAACCACCUUAUAAUAAAUGAUACCCGGUUCACAUAGUAGCCUGCACAUAGUACUACACUUGUGACCAUUUUAAUCCGAUACACGUAGUAGCAUGUACAUAGUACUACACACGUGAUCGAAGCUAUUCGGUACGCAUAGUAGCCUGCACAUAGUACUACACAUGCGACCUAUCAUUCCGGUACACGUAGUAGCCUGCACAUAGUACUACACACGUGAUCGAAGCUAUUCGGUAUGCAUAGUAGCCUGCACAUAAUACUACACAUGCGACCUAUCAUUCUGGUACACGUAGUACCUUCACAUAGUACUACACACGUGACCUAGCAACUUCACUCGUAUCUCUUUCAUUCCGAAGGUUCAAUUGGGAAUUUUCACUUUUUCUCACUUUUUUUUACCAAUAAAUGUCAAUUUCUCGUCUUUCUCGAUUUAUAAUAACAUAUUUAGCUUAUAUAACGUUCACAUUAUUCAAUCCAGUCCAAAAAUCACAUUUUGAUAAAAUUACAUUUUUGCCCCUAAAGUUUCACAAAAUUACGAUUUUGCCCCUAGGCUCAGAAAUUAAAAUUUAUUCCUUUUUCUUAUGUUAUAUAACAUGUUGAAAAUUUUUCCCUUCUAUAUUAACAUCAAAUUCUUGCUCUAACAUGCACUUAUGAACAAUAAUAAUUUUUACCGAUUAUGCCGUUUCAGUUGUUUUCACUGAAAAUCGCUUAGAAAAAAUUGUUUAACACAAUUUCAAGCUUCAUAUUCUAUCAUAAAACAUCAUAAUAAACACAUUUCACCUAUGGAUAUUUUUCCAAAUAUAAACCCUAGGUUAAAUUAUUGCUAGAAUAAGCUAAAUUAAGCUAUCAGGACUUCAAAAACGUAAAGAACAUUAAAAACGGGGCUUGGAAUCACUUACUAUGGAACUUGGAAGCUUGAAAACCCUAACCAUGGCCUCCCCCUUGAAAUUUUGGUUCAUCAUGGAGAAGAUGGACAAAUUUUGGGCUAUUUUCGCCUUUUUAAUUCUUUUAAUUACUAAAUGACCAAAAUGCCCCUAACUUAAAAAUAUUCUAUUUCACUUAUCUCUUGUCCAUUUUUUUCCAAAAAGCUAACCAAUGGUCUAAUUACCAUUUAAGGACCUCCAAUUUAAAAUUUCAUAACAAUUGGACACUUUUAACAUGUAGAACUCAACUUUUGAACUUUUUACAAUUUAGUCCUUUUGGCUAAAUUGAGUGCCCAAACGUCGAAAUUUUUGAAUGAAUUUUUUAAGAAAUCAUUCUGUGAAAUUAUAGACCAUAAAAAUAUAAUAAAAAAUAAUUUUUUUCUCGUCGAAUUUGUGGUCCUGAACCACUGUUCUGACUAGGCUUAAAAUCAGGCUGUUACAAAACUACCAUUUUCGACGCCACUAAAAAAUGGGUUGUUACACUUAUUCUUGAAAGGCACUAUCAAAGGAUGUCAGGCUACUGACAUUGAGGGUUAGGUAGAAACGUUUCGGAGAUCGUGAAAUGAAAUUAAGUGAAUAGAUUAUUCGAUAUGGCAUCUAUAAACUCUUACAAAAUGUGCAUAAAAUGAAAUAUGAGUGAAUAAAAGCAUGGUGUGGAUUAAAAGCAGAGCGAGCAAAUAAAAAACAUUACUAAAGGUAAAAGUAUUGUGAGUGAAAAGAGAGAAAAAAUUGAAAAUUUGUUCAAAAUGAGUAAUCAAGUAAAUUUGUUUUCCAUUAUCAUAGUGCACUAGUACUUGCUAAGUUGUGUAUACUAACCAAUAUUGAGUCUUUUCUUCCACAUUAUUGGAGAGAAAAGGAAGUCGAAAGAGGAGAAAUAAGGUGGUGAGCUUAACGAUCACAUAUCGGGGGAAUUGGGAGCAAUUCCAUGUGUUAUACUAUUAAUAGUGCUUAAACCAUUUUGAACUGAUCUUUCCCUUGAAAUCAUACCAACCCGAACCUCAGAACGUUACAAGCCAAAAGACCUAUGUGACCUUAACAUCGAUAAUUACUCAAUUGGAAUUUGUGAAACUUACUGGGAAAUGAAUAAGUUAGAUUAUAUACAUCAUAUCCAUAUAUCUUAUUUUGAUGGAAUAAUGUGAAAAUUAUUGUUUUGAUAAAUUACCUCUAUUUUUGUUUACCCUAUAACUUUUGUGAAUUAAAAUAAUUUACUCUUGAAGUUGUGAAUCUGCAAUAUAUCAUCUUUAAGUUGUAUAGUAGAAGAAAUUAUUGCACUUUACAUAUCUAUUAAUUGAUUGCCAAAUCUGUUCACUAUCCAAGGGUCAUCUUUUAUGCAUGUUUCUUAGGUGUUUGCUUGAGGACAAGAAAAGAUUUAAGUGUGAGAGAGAUUGAUCUACCAUAAUUUGAUACGUUAAAUUAGGCUCUCCAUUACACUUAAAAAGUUUAUUCUCAAGCAAUUUAAAUGUUUUUUAGUUACUUUUUUAUUUUUGGUUUUAUGUUAAUAAAACAUUUUUACUAGUUUUAAGCCAUUUUUAGACCCAAAUUGGCCAGUUGUGCCAUAAGGAACCUAAUAAGUUCAUUGAGUGUUGUAGAGAGUCGACAAUGGUCCGAACAUGAAGAAAAUAUCACCUAGAAGGGGCAUCGCGAUAUCGAAACAUGAAAGCCAUGAUACCCCUGACAGUACUGAAAUGAAGAGAAUCGAAGCCAGCUACAAUGAUAUCAUAAUACCGAGCAAUGGGUAUCGCGAUACCAAGACAUCCUAAGAUCACUCAUUUUAAUACUGUUGUGGGUAUCGUGAUACUGUUGCCUAACAUGUGAAAAAAACUACAAGGGAAAUUUUAUGUCCAAACAAGCUUAAGUCUAUUUUUCAUUUAAUGGCAUAAUGGUCAAUUUUAGGUUAAAACUUAGUAGGUUAUAAAUGCAACUUUAUAAGCCUUUGUUUUCAGAUUUUGUUGGCUAAUAGUUUCCUUUAGUUUUCCAUAGUUUUAAGAUUAGGUUUUCUUUUCUUUUCAUUUUUAUAUUAGGUUUUCUCUUUUCUUUUUAGAUUAGAUUUUUUUUGUUUCCUUUCUUCCUCAUUCUUGAAUACUAUAUAAAAGGGAGAUGAUCAAACUCUUGGUGUAACAGCUCGGUUUAGACCCUAGUCAGACAGUGGUUUCAGGAUCACGAAUCUGAGUCAAAUAAAUAUUUUAAUAUUAUUUUUGGUGUCUACAGCAUGUUAAUUUAUAUGUGUGAAAAUUUCGUGUGAAAAUUUUAUAGGUUAUGUCCUCGAUUUUAUAAUAGGACUUAGCCGCGUAAAAUGAAAAAGUGGCUAGCUAUUUGUUAAAGUACUAUUUUGCUAUGGCUUUUAUAAUGUGGGGUCCUUAUGUUGAUAUUUGACCACUGUAAGUAUGCAUGGACGGAAAUGGGCUUACAUUAUAAGUUUUAUCAUUAAAAUCAUUAAGGUUGGUUUACUAAAUUAGUAAAUUAUGUUAAAAUAAUAAAACACAAACUAAAAACCAUGCAUGUUGUUCAUCUUUUUGGCUGAAAUUACCAAAUAAAAAGAAAGAAAAAGAGCAAGCAACAUUCAGCCAUAGUCCAAGCUUAAUUCAAGGUUCAUUUUUGCUCGAUUUUUGAUAAUUUUUAUGUUUUUAAGAUCGUUGCUUCGAAUACUAGCUAGCCCGUACUUGAAUUUUUGAAUUGGUUGUGGAUUUUGUGAUUUGCCAUUGUUGAUAGCUUGGGAUUUUUGUGGUUUGAUGAUAAAAAAUAAAUAUUUGUUGAUGGAUUAUUAUGUUUAAUUAAGUGAUUUUUAGUAAAAAGUGUAUUAAGGAUUACAUUGUGAAUUUUGUAAAUCAAAAGGUCAAAAUGUAAAAUAAAUGAAAUAUAUGGGCUUAUAUGAACAAAUGGAAUAUUCGGCCAAGCUUAGGUGUGGUAAAAUUUUGAAUAUUUUGUGUUUUGUGAAUUAAGGACUAAAUUGUGAAAAAAGUGAAAUGUUAAGGGCUAAAAUGCAAUUUUCCCAUUUAUGUUUUUUGAAUGAAUUCGCAUAAAUAUAUGAUUAAAUAUUUCAAAUUUGUAUUGAAUUAGAUCAAGAAAAGAAGAAAUCGGAUUUGGAUCGGGGAAAUCAAAAGUUGUCGAAUAGUCGUCCCGUUCCGUUCGUCUUCGUUCGAGGUAAGUUCGUAAGCGAAUAAAUGAUGUUAAAUUAAAUUUAUUUAUAUCUAGCCGAAUGGAAUUGUAUGUAUGUCCACUACAUUGCCGAAUUGAAUUCAGCAUAGAAAGAUUAGUUACGAGCUUAAUUCGAUUGAAUUACGACAUCUGAAAGCCCUAACAAACUAUAGGAAUUCUGAUAUGCGAUAUCGUGUAAGACCACGUCUAGGACGUUGGCAUCGAUUUGAGAUUUGCAUAUAAGACCAUGUCUCAGACAUUGGCAUCGUAUAUGAUUUAUGUUUAAGACCCUGUUUGGGAUAGUGGCAUCGUUAUUUGAUUACAUGUAAGACCACGUCUGGAACACUGGCAUCGUACGAGCUUUUUGAGCUAUCCGAGUAUCCUUUUUGAUUCCAAGUGGUACAAUGGGAAAUGAUAUAGCAAAACCAAAUGUGAGUUUGAAUUAAAUGAUUCAGGUAUGUUUGAGUUAUAUGAAGUUUGGAAGUAAAGGUAAGUAUUAUGGUAUAACAUGAAAAUAUUGACUAAUCACUUAAAUAUGAGUAUAUAUAUGUGUUCAAGAUUGGGAGAAUUCGACCUAUUUGUUUGAUUUAUAUAUGGUCUUUAAAAAAAAUAUUUGCUUAUGACUUGCUAAGCUAUUUAAUCUUACUAUGUGUUUGUUCACUCGUUGUUUUAUAGAUUUUGGAAGCUAGUUACGAGCUCGGGGAUCAGUAAGAAAGUCCGUCACACUAUCGAUCUUUAUUUCGGUAUUUUGAAAGCUUGAAACUUUGAACAUCUGGCAUGUAUAGGCUACCAUUUUUUUUGGUUGGUCUCGAAAUUUGUAUAUAUUUAGCCAUGCGAAAAUGGCUCAAUCUUUGUGCUAAUGUUCUAAUGUUUAAGUAAAUUUGGUCAUGAUAUAUGCGUGUAGUAAUCUUGAUAUAUAAAUCUGUUUUGAUUGUUAAUGAUGUUCAUGGUAAUGCAAUUUCGGUCAUGGUAUAGAUUAUGUGGUGUGUUUAGAAUUUGAUUGCAGUAUGAAGCAAUGAUAUACAUAUAUGUGGCUUAUGAUUAGUUCACUUUGGUAUUUGCUUAUUACUUGAGCUUAUUAUGGAGAAAUGUUCCAUUGUAUAUAUGCUUGUGAUGUUUUGAAAUAUAAUUCGGUAUUGGACAAUGAAAAGUUUGGUUUAUAAUCGGCUAUGAAAGUAGCUCACUUUAAAAGUGUGUUUAUGGUAUAUGAAACAUAGGUUAAAUAAUGGUUAUGUCAUUAUUUUUGGUUGAUUAUUUAGAUGUGAAUGGAGAUAGUAAAUUAUGGUUAUGUUUUAUGGUAGUUUGGUUUGGUCAUAUAAGUUUGAAUUUGGGAACCGAACAUAUAAAUAAUGAUACGGUUGAACAUAAGUUAUUUGGUUGGUUUUAAUUUAUGUGAAUUUGGGAUACUAUUGAUAUGAUCAUUUGUGGCUUAGUUAUUUUGAUUCGGUUUGUAGUGUCAAAUAUAUAUACAUAUAUUAUGUUUGAAUGUUUAGUCAUGUAAGUUCUGUUGUUAAAUGAUAAGUAUUGAAUAUGUUUCAUGAUUGUUUUUGUAAUUGUUUUGGUAUGGAUCUAAAUGUUAAAUGAUGGUUAUGAUUUAAGUAUGUUUUGGGUAGCUUAAAUGGAUAGUUUAAAAGUAUCGAGAUAAUGUUAAAUUUUCAAAUAGGUAUGCGCAUAUGAGUACUUCUAAAUUUCGUUUUGAUAUGUGGUAUUUUUUUGUUUUUUUAGGGAAAGAUGUGCAUUAUACAUAUAUAUACAUCAAUAAUAUGUUCGGCCAAGUUGCAUUAUUACUAAAGUUGCAUAUAUGAUUGCAUAAUAAUUAUAGUUAUUUAGUUCGAAUGGCUUUAUUGUAUGCUUGUACAGAAGUUACGAAAUGUUGUAUUUGAUUUAACUAAUGAAUUAUAUAAAUGCCAUUAAUAUUAAAGUUAUGUUGUUCAGACAUUAAACUGUAUUUAAUUAACAUGAUUUUGUAGAUGAUUGAUAUUGGAUUUAGAAGUUAUAUGGUAUAGAAGUCGAUAUAACCAUGUGUAUAAAAAUGAUAAAUGACUAUGCUUAUCUAUGUUUUGUCCGGUAAUGCCUCGUAACCUUAAUUCAGCGAAGGAUACAGGUUAGGGGUGUUACAUUUGAUUAGUAUCAGAGCUACGGUUUAGUCGGUUCUAGGACUAACAUAGAGCGUAUGAGUCUAGCUAUACAUGCCAUAUUUUUAUACUGCGAUAGUGUGAUGAUUCUUGACAAUUAAAUUUUGUUUUUGUAUAAUGAAUGGAUCCCGAUCGAGCCGUAGUAGAUGAUGUGGAAAGUAAUGCACCCACUUCCGCUCAAGGGGCAGUGCCUUCUGAUUCGAGAAACAUAACUAGUAGCCAUGAGGGAGAAGCUAAACAAGCUUUCUUUAAAUUGAUGAAUGAGUGGUUCACAGAGUUCAUUCGUACGAAUCCGGCUGCUCAACAACCUCUACCCUCGCCUAAUCCCCCUCAGACUUCUGUUGUACCUCCUGUUACGAAUUCGAUUCUGAUGAGUAAGCCUCCGGUCAAUAAAAUCUGAAAAUAUGGGGCCGAAGAGUUCAAGGCCACUAAUGAUGAUGAUGCUGAGAGAGCCAAGUUUUGGCUCGAGAAUACCAUCCGAGUGUUCAAUGAAAUGUCUUGUACUUCCGGCGAAUGUGUUAAAGUGUCGUUUAUUUGUUGAGAGAUGCAACAUAUCAAUGGUGGAAAACUCUGAAUUUUGUUGUUCCCAAAGAACGAAUUACCUGAGAUUUCUUUCAAUUUGAAUUUCGGAAGAAAUACAUUAGACAGAGAUUUAUUGAUCAAAAGCGAAAAGAGUUUCUUGAGCUUAAAAAAGGUCGUAUGUCCGUAACGAAAUACAAGCGAGAAUUUGUUCGACUGAGCCGAUAUGCACGAGAAUCUGUAUCCACCAAAGAAAUAAUGUGUAAAAGAUCUGAAGAUAGUCUGAAUGAAGAUAUUCGUCUGUUAGUCGGUAUUCUAGAGAUAAAAGAGUUUGUUAUACUUGUUGAUCGAGCAUGCAAAGUCGAGGAACUCGGUAAAGAGAAAAGAAAAGAUGAUUCUAAAGCUAGAGAUGUGAGAAAAAGAUCUUCGAGUAAAUCAUUUCAGUCUGCAUCAAAAAAAUUCCGAGAGGAUUGUAGCGUUCAAAGGCUAAUAUGGGACAUUCGAACAGAGGUCGAGCUAGAUAACAUUUGAGCUUCAAAGCUCCAACUACUUCUGUUGCUAGUGUUGGAAAUGUCCAAUCUGAUCGACCUGGGUGUAGGCAUUAUGGUAAAGGACAUCCAGGUAGUUGUAGAUUGAAUGAUCGAGCUUGCUUUAGAUGUGGAUCUUUAGAUCACUUUAUCCGAGACUGUCCCGAGUCUGCUGAGCAAGAGAUUGCACAGAAUCCGAGAUCGAGUAACACCUCAGCUAGAGGCAGGCCUCCCAGAAAUACGGGAAAUGUGAGUGGAAGUUAAAGAGCAACAAAAGAUAUAGUAGUUUGAUCUGAGGCUAGGGCACCUGCUAGAGCCUACGCCAUCUGAGCUCGUGAAGAAGCUUCGUCUCAAGAUGUGAUACCUGGUACUUUUACUCUUUACGAUACUUUUGUGAUUGCAUUGAUGGAUCCAGGAUCAACGCAUUCGUAUAUAUGCAUGAAUUUAAUAUCCAGUAAUACUUUGCUUGUAGAGUCUACUGAAUUUGUAAUUAGAGUAUCGAACCCCCUUGGCAAAAGUGUCCUGAUCGAUAAAAUGUGCAAGAAUUGUCCGUUGAUGAUUUGAGAUAUCUGUUUUCCGGCUAAUCUAAUGCUAUUACCUUUUGAUGAAUUUGAUAUAAUUCUAGGUAUGGAUUAGCUAACUUGGCAAGAUGCUAUUGUGAAUUGAAAACGGAAAACUAUUGAUUUGAGAUGCAAGAAUGACGAGAUAAUCUGAAUUGAGUCCAGUGAUCUAACGGGUUGCCGGCUGUGAUAUCUAAAAUGAAAACUUUGAAUUAUGUGAAAAAGGGUUGUGAAGCCUACUUUGCCUGUGAUUGAUUCGAAAGUGACAAAAAAGAAAAUAAAAUUUGUAAUGGUUGUCUGUGAAUUUCUUGAUGUGUUUCCUGAAGAACUUCCGGGACUACCUCCGAUCCGAGAAGUUAAAUUUGGCAUUGAGUUAAUACCGGGAAAAACUUCGAUUUUGAUAGCUCCUUACAGAAUGCUAGCGACCGAAUUAAAAGAAUUGAAAGCUCAGUUGCAAGAAUUAACUGAUAGAGGCUUCGCACGACUGAGUUUUUCUCCCUGGGGUGCACCGAUUUUGUUUGUGAAAAAGAAAAAUGGAGCUAUGAGAAUGUGCAUCGACUACCGACAGCUCAAUAAGGUGACUAUAAAGAAUAAGUAUCCUUUACCACAGAUUGAUGACUUGUUCGAUUAGUUGAAAGGGGCUAUCGUGUUUUCAAAGAUAGACUUGAGAUCAGGUUACUAUCAGCGGCGAGUUAAAGACUUUGAUGUGCCGAAAACUACUUUUGAACAAGGUACGGACGCUAUGAGUUUCUGGUUAUGACUUUCAGACUUACUAAUGCUCCUGCUGCUUUUAUGGACCUCAUGAAUCGGAUCUUCAGACCAUAUUUGGAUCAAUCUGUGGUUGUGUAACACCCUGUACCCGAGUCCGUCGCCGGAGUCGGACACGAGGGGUUUGCAGACUUAUAUCACUUCUUUGCACAAUCCAUUUUAAAAAUUUCCAGGCAGUUGGCUAACUGCGUCACUGUCACCUUAAAAAUCAUAUCUUGAGUUUCAAAACUCAAAAAUAAGUUUCGUCAAUUUUCCCUGAAACUAAACUCAUAUUCCCAUCUAUAUAUUUUUUUCUAGAAUUUUUGGUCGGACCAAUUAGUACAGUUUAUUAGUCAAAGUCUCCCACGUUACAGGGAUCGACUACACUGACCUUUGCACAUUACGACUUGGAUAUCUCCCUGCACAGAGCUUCAAUACUUAUGCCGUUUGUUUCUAUAGAAACUAGACUCAGAGAGGAAUCUAUAAAUAUAUGGAAUGACUCCUAAUUAUCUCUGGUUAAUUUAUAAUGAAUUUCCAAAGUCGGAACAGGGAAUCCAGAAACCGUUCUGGCCCUGUCUCACGAGAACCUGAAUAUCUCUUAACAUACUGUCCAUAUGAUCAUUUCGUUACUUUCCUAUGAAAAUAGAUUCAUCAAGGUUCGUUUACAUAAUUUAUUCACUAUUUAAUUCCAUUCCUACUAUUUUUAGUAAUUUUCUAAAUAUACAUCACUGCUGCUGUCAGCAUCUGCCUUUAAGGUAGACUUUACCUAUUUCAUAGUUUCCAUGAUUCAACUAGCCCUUUUAGCAUAAAUAGCACAAAUUAUGAUAGUGAUUAACCAUUCCCAUGGCCAAUCCUUGUUAAGCAUAUCCACACCUCUCAAUAACCAUAUCCAUACCAAAUGAUUAUAACAUUAUGCUCAAACAUAUAUAAGCCAUUUUCGCAUGGCUAUCCAAAAUUAUACAAAUCCAAAGGGUCCAUGACCAACAACAAAAAGGGUAGUCCUAUACAUACCAUAUCCAGAGUUCAACUAAAACAGUACCAAAAGGGCUUUGAUAGUGUGGAUGACUUCGACUUCGAUGAUCCCGAAUCCGAUAUCUAACGAACAAAUCUAUAAAACAGAGAGCCAAAGCAACGGGGUAAGCAUUUUAAAGCUUAGUAAGUUUCAAGUAAUGAAAUCGGCUUUGACUAAAGUAUUACAUUCACAUAGCUAAAUGAAUCACUUUAUUAAUACACAUUCUCAUAAACAUACUUACUUCACAUUUCAUCAACAUAUACACACAAGGUAUUAACCUAUCUAAAAGCUGAAAGUUCGUUAGUCGAUUGAACGAAUACUAUUUAAAACGAAUCGACUUUUCCGAUGCACACGCAAACAUACCUUAUCGUUUGGGUUUUUCGAGCGUAUUAAUUGAAUUUAUUACAGCACAACACGCUCACCUUCGAACCCAAGUUUCUUCGGAAUUUAGCCGGAUAUAACCACAAGCACAAUUGCCUUCGGGUCUUAACCCGGGUAUAGCAACUCGCACAAAUGCCUUCGGGUCUUAGCCCGGAUAUAUCAACUCGUACAAAUGCCUUCGGGUCUUAGCCCGGAUAAAAUCACUAGCACAAAUGCCUUCGGGUCUUAACCCGGAUAAAAUCACUAGCAUAAAUGCCUACGGGUCUUAACCCGGAUAAAAUCACUAGCACAAAUGCCUUCGGGACUUAGCCCGGAUAUCAUUCAAAUGCUCAUGCACACAUAUAUCAACAAUCAUGACACAUCCAUAUUUCAUUUUCGUUACUAAGGCUCAAACACAGAACAUUUAUUAAACCUUUCCAAUUUCGGCUCAAUAGCCACACACAAAGAGCAUGAUUUCAAUUGGCUUUAUAACAUAGUCUCUAUGCACAUUCGGCUAUCCGUCAUAGUAUGACUAAUCAUUUCAAUAUAAUUCAAGUAGGGUCAUUACUCGAAGACUUACCUCGGAUGUUGUCGAACGACUUCAAUGGCUAUUCAAUUACUUUUUCCUUCCCUUUAUCGGAUUUAGUUCCCCUUUGCUCUUGAGCUUAAGUUCAACAAAUUUUAAAAUAGUCAUUAAUCGACUAUUCAAGUAUUACUUUCAGAAUAUAAUAUAUAUAGAUUCGACUUUCACACACAUAGAUUACAGUAAGCUUUAUAAAAAUCAAUAAAUAAUUCAUUAGCAAAUUUUCAUUAAUGUUUACAAUAUAAUUACAAUUUCCCUAUAAGCUGACUUCCUGAGCAACAGUCACUAAAGUUUUUAUAACUGGAGCUACGAAACUCCAAAUCAAUUGACGUAAAUUUUUCUUGACAGAAGACUCAUUUAUCUAUUAUCCAUAAAAUUUUCAAAAUUUUUAGUUUAGCCCAACAAUACCAGAUUUUUCUUAAAUUUCACCUUGUUUCACUGUUUGACUAAACUGACUAUCCUUCACUACGAAUCAAAUUUCUCAUUGUACAGAAUUCAAAAUAUGUUCUUGUUUAUUUCAUUUGAAACUAGACUCAUUAAGGAGUCUAAGCACAUAAAUUUUAUCUUAGGGCCAUUUUUGUACAAUUUAUACUGAUUUUAUAAAAACAGAACAGGGAAUCUAGUAGUCGUUUUGACUCAGCCCCACAAUACUUCAAAUAUCUCAAGAUCGGUAACUCUUUCGUUUUUAUAGUUUCUUUUGUAAGAAACUAGACUCUUCAAGAUUUAAUGACAUAAUUUACUCAGCUUCUAAUUCAACUCCUACAAAUUAUGGCGAUUUUCCAAAAUCACCUUACUGCUGCUGUCCCCAAGCAGAUUAUUACCAAAUCAAAUGCUAACAUUUGCAUUUCACCUUAGUAGCUAGCUUAGCAAACCUUAAUUUAACAUAUAAUUGUUCAUAACACAAUUAAAGCAUCCUCUCCAUUCCAUCAAUUCAAAACACAUACAUUGCCCAAUAGUAUCCAAAAUCAUAUUCGGCCUUAGUACACAACUUGUUAGCCGAUUUUUCUCCAUUUAGCAACUAAUGCACAUAUGUGCUCAUUUGUUAGACUCUACUUCACCUAACUACCAUUUUCUUUUUCAUCCAAAUAACAUGAACAACAACCAUUUCUUGAACAUUUUCUCUUCAACAAUUCUUCAUAAAACAUAAAGACUAUAACCCAAUCUCAUCCUUUAAUAACUAAAACCGAAUGCUCAAGACACCACACCAUUUCAAAUUUUGGUCAUGGGUUAAGCAAAGAACUUAAUGACUAACUAAAAAAAAUGCUAAAAAUCCAAGAAUCAUCCUUGAACUUACCUUGAUUUAGCUAACCACCAUAGCUGAAUUUUUCAAAGCUUUUCUCUUCUAGGUACGGCAAUGAGGAGCAAGGAUGGAGAAACUUUGGUUUCUCCUCCCAUUAACUAGUAUUUUAUUAGCCUUAUUCCUUAUUUCAUUUUGUAACAUAAAAUUAUUAGCAUAAAAUGUUGACACAAAAUAAUUAUAAUAUGCUUUAGUCCAUAACAUGGCCGGCCACCAUCUAGAAUUUGGCCAAUUUGACAUGCAAGUACAAGCAUUUUUAACAUGCAUCAAUAGGCCACUUUAAUAUUUGCCUAUCACAUUUCUAAAUUUUCUCACACAAGUCCUAUUUAAUAAAAUUCACUUACAAUUAACAAAAUUCAAACAUGAAAUUUUCACACAUGCAUAUAUACAUAUAAUAAGCUUCAAAUAUGGCAGUUAAUGAUUUUUAUGACUCGGUUUUGUGGUCCCGAAACCACUUUCCGACUAGGGUCACAUUUUGGGCUGUCACAACUCUCCCCCACUUAAGAAAUUUUCGUCCCCGAAAAUCUUACCGGUAAAUAGGUUUGGGUAUCGUUCUUUCAUCGAGCUCUCGGUUUCCCAAGUAGCUUCCUCGAUCCCGUGUUUGAGCCAUAACACCUUUACUAACGGAACCCUUUUGUUUCGCAACUCCUUCACUUCACGAGCUAGGAUACGAAUCGGUUCUUCUUCAUAACUCAAGUCAGAUUGAAUUUCAACUUCUGAGGGAUUAAUCACAUGUGACGGAUCGGAUCUAUAACGUCGAAGCAUCGAAACAUGAAAGACUUCGUGAAUCUUUUCAAGUUCAGGGGGCAAAAUCAAUCUAUACGCAACCGGACCAACUCGUUCGGAGAUUUCAUACGGCCCAAUGAAUCUCGGACUCAACUUGCCCUUACGGCCAAAUCUGAGUACCUUUUUCCAAGGCGAAACUUUAAGAAACACUUUAUCUCCCACCUGAUAUUCAAUGUCUUUUCGUUUCAAAUCCGCAUACGAUUUCUGACGAUCUGUGGCUGUCUUCAGACUUUCACGAAUUAUUUUUACUUUCUGUUCGGCAUCUUUAAUCAAAUCAACUCCGAAAAUUUUACUUUCACCGAGCUCGGUCCAAAACAAUGGUGUACGGCAUUUACGACCGUACAAAGCCUCGUAAGGUGCCAUCUUAAUACUUGAUUGAAAACUAUUGUUGUAAGCGAAUUCAAUCAAAAGUAAAUACCGUUCCCAUGAACCACUAAACUCGAGGAUGCAACAUCUCAACAUAUCCUCAAGUAUCUGAAUUAUCCGCUCGGAUUGACCAUCGGUUUGGGGGUGAAAAGCAGUGCUAAAAUGCAGCUUGGUACCCAAAGCUUCUUGCAAUUUCUUCCAAAAUCGUGAGGUGAAUCUCGGAUCUCUAUCCGACACGAUAGAAAUAGGUACCCCGUGUAAUCUCACAAUUUGAGAAACAUACAAUUCGGCUAGUUUAUCCAAUGAAAAAUCCGUACGCACGGGGAUAAAGUGAGCCGACUUAGUCAGUCUAUCAACAACAACCCAAAUCGCAUCCUUCUUACUUGCCGACAAUGGCAGUCCGGACACAAAGUCCAUUGUGACUCGAUCCCAUUUCCACUCGGGUAUCAUGAUCGGCUGAAGUAAUCCUGAAGGCACUUGAUGUUUCGCUUUCACUUGUUGACAUAUUAAACAUCUUGAAACAAAGUCGGAGAUGUCUCGUUUCAUACCAUGCCACCAAAAUCGACGUUUCAAAUCGUUGUACAUUUUCGUACUCCCCGGGUGAAUUGACAUUCGGCUACAAUGGGCUUCGUUCAGAAUCAUCGAAAUGAGUUCUGAAUUUCUUGGAACACACAACCGACUUCUGAACCUCAAACAAUCGUCAUCAUCAAUUUGAAAUUCGGAUUCCAUAUUCGAAACACAUUCAGCCCGUUUUGCAACCAAUUCAUCGUCGACUUUCUGAGCUUCACGAAUUUGACGAAUCAAUAAUGGUUUGGCCUUUAAUUCAGGUACUAACACAUUGUCGGGUAGAACAGACAAGUGCACAUUCAUCACUCGUAAAGCAAACAGUGAUUUCCGGCUUAAGGCGUCCGCAACCACAUUAGCCUUUCCCGGGUGGUAAUCAAUGACAAGCUCGUAAUCUUUCAACAACUCAAGCCAACGUCUUUGUCGCAGAUUUAAGUCUCUUUGAGUCAUCAAAUAUUUGAGACUUUUGUGAUCCGAAAAUACAUGGCACUUUUCACCAAAUAAGUAAUGUCGCCAUAUUUUUAAAGCGAAUACGAUGGCAGCUAGUUCGAGAUCAUGGGUCGGAUAAUUUUUCUCAUGUGGCUUUAAUUGUCUCGACGCAUAGGCCACCACUAGACCUUCUUGCAUCAAUACGCAACCCAACCCAAGUAGGGAUGCGUCACUAUAAAUGACAAACUCUUUGCCUGAUUCGGGUUGCACUAAAAUUGGAGCUUCAGUCAAAUAAGUUUUUAGUUGAUCAAAACUUUUCUGACAUUUCUCCGUCCAUUCGAACUUAACAUCCUUUUGAAGUUGCUUCGUCAUUGGUGUGGCUAUCAUCGAGAAACCUUUGACAAAUCAUCGGUAAUAAUCGGCGAGCCCCAGGAAGCUCCGAACUUCGGUAAUAUUUCUUGGAGGCUUCCAGUUAAGUAUGGCUGAAAUUUUGCUCGGGUCAACUCGAAUACCCGAUGCGGAUACCACAUGACCCAAGAAGCUAACCUCUCUUAACCAGAACUCACACUUACUGAACUUAGCAUAUAACUGCUUAUCCCACAAAAUUUGCAACACUAGUCUCAGGUGCUCAGCAUGUUCGGUCUCAUCUCUUGAAUAGACCAAGAUGUCAUCAAUGAACACAACUACGAACCGAUCCAAAUAUGGUCUGAAGAUCCGAUUCAUCAAAUCCAUAAAUACAGCAGGGGCAUUAGUGAGCCCAAACGGCAUCACUAAGAACUCGUAGUGACCAUAUCUCGUUCUGAAGGCAGUUUUGGGUAUGUUCGAAUCUCGAAUUCGCAACUGAUAAUAGCCCGAUCUCAAAUCUAUUUUUGAGAACACUGAGGCUCCCUUCAGUUGGUCGAACAAAUCAUCGAUACGCGGUAACGGAUAUUUGUUCUUUAUUGUCACUUUAUUCAGCUGACGAUAGUCAAUGCACAACCUCAUGGUUCCGUCCUUCUUUUUCACGAACAAUACUGGUGCACCCCAAGGUGAGAAGCUUGGUCGAGCGAAACCUUCUAUCCGUCAAUUCUUGCAACUGAGCUUUCAACUCUUUUAACUCGGUUGGUGCCAUACGAUACGGAGCUAUCAAAAUCGGCGUAGUCCCAGGUACAAGCUCAAUACCAAACUCUAUCUCCCGAACAGGUGGUAAACCCGGUAAUUCUUCAGGAAAAACAUCCGGGUAUUCACAAACCACCGGCACAGAUUCGGGUUUCUUUUCUAAUUCUUUGUCAUCAAGUACAUACGCAAGGUAUGCUUCGCACCCUUUUCUUACAUAUUUCUGGUCCAACAUUGAGGAUAUUACAGCUGGCAACCCAUCCAAGUCCGUAGACUCAACUCAGAUUACUUCUUUAUUUGCGCACCUCAAAUCAAUAGUCUUGCUUUUGCAAUUCACAACCGCAUCAUGCACGGUCAACCAAUCCAACCCGAGAAUAACAUCAAAUUCAUCAAACGGCAAAAGCAUCAAGUCCGCCGGAAAACAGGAACCUCGAAUUACUAGGGGACAUUUCUUACACACUUUGUCGACAAGCACGUAACGACCCAAGGGAUUUGACACCCGAAUUACGAACUCAGUAGACUCAAUAGGUAAAGUCUUACUGGAUGCUAAGGUUUCACAUAUGUAAGAAUGAGUAGAACCGGGGUCAAUCAAAGAAAUUACAUUAGUAUCAAAGAGAGUAAAAGUACCGGUAAUAACAUCAGGCGAAGAAGCAUCCUCGUGGGCACGUAUAGCAUAAGCUCUAGCAGGCGCACGAGCCUCGGAUCUGGUCGUAGCAUCUCUAGAUCCACUCUGACCACCACUAGCAUUGCCCGUAUUUCUAGAUGGUCUACCUCGAGCAGUGGUAGCACCCGGUUUCCCACUCUGAUUUACAUUCUGUUCAGACAGCCUCGGGCAAUCUUUAAUGAAGUGGUCAACUGAUCCGCACUUGUAACAGGAGCGGUCAUGGAAUCUACAACUCCCCGAAUGCCAUUUACCGCAAUGUCGACAUUCCGUUCUGUCUCGACGUUCAUUCCCAACACUGGCGACCGAAGUGCCUCGUGUACCCACAGGGGGUCGAUCACGAUCUCGUCUAAAAAGGCCUGAAGUGCCUCUAGACCGGUCCACAUCAUCUCGAAAUUUCUUCGAUGCCUGUUGAAGAGACUUUCUCGAGGAUCUUUUACGAAAUCUCCAGUUCCCACAUCAACUUUUUGUUUUUCUUUUCUAAGCUCUUCGGCUUUACAAGCUCGCUCGACAAGUACUACGAACUCUCGUAUUUCAAGAAUGCCAACGAACAUUUUUAUAUCUUCAUUCAGCCCAUCCUCAAAGCGUUUACACAUGAUAGCCUCGGACGAAACACAUUCCCGAGCGUAUCUACUAAGUCUAACAAAUUUUCGCUCGUAAUCAGUAACUGACAUAGAACCUUGCUUAAGCUCAAGAAAUUCCUUCCGUUUUUUAUCAACAAAUCUUUGACUGAUAUACUUUUUUCGAAACUCAGUUUGGAAAAACUCCCAAGUUACUUACUCUCGGGGCACAACAGAAGUCAGAGUACUCCACCAAUAGUAGGCAGAAUCGCGUAGCAAGGAGAUAGUACACUUUAGGCAUUCAUCGGGUGUACAAGAUAGCUCAUCGAGUACCCGGAUAAUGUUGUCCAACCAAAAUUUAGCUUGCUCGGCAUCGUCGCUAUCCGUAGCUUUAAAUUCAGUAGCCCCAUGUUUUCGGAUUCUGUCAACUGGGGGCUUAUUUGACCUUAUUUGGUCAGUUACCGGAGGUAUUGUAGGUGCGGGGGUGGUAUUUGUCGGGAAUGGAGGUUGUGGAACAGCCGUAUUAGUACGAAUGUAUUGGUUGAACCAAUCAUUCAUCACGCUAUAGAAAGCUUGUCUAGCUUCAUCAUUCGGGUUACUAGCAUUAGGUUGAGAGUCCACCGGCGCUGUCCCUUGUGCGGGAGCAGGUGCUACACUCUCAAGAUCAUCAGCUACCGCUCGGUCGGGAUCGGGAUCCAUUACUAUAAAUAAACACAUUUGCAAAUGUCAGAAAUCACCACACUAUCAAAUAAUCACAUAAAAUGGCAUGUAUAGCUAGACCCAACGCAUUACGGUAGUCCUAGAAUCGACUAAACCGUAGCUCUGAUACCAAUAAAAUUGUAACACCCCGUACCCGAGUCCGUCGCCAGAGUUGGACACGAGGGGUUUGCAGACUUAUAUCACUUCUUUGCACAAUCCAUUUUAAAAAUUUCCAGGCAGUUGGCUAACUGCGUCACUAUCACCUUAAAAAUCAUAUCUUGAGUUUCACAACUCAAAAAUCAGUUUCGUAAAUUUUCCCUGAAACUAGACUCAUAUUCCCAUCUACAUAUUUUUUUUUUUGAAUUUUUGGUCGGGCCAAUUAGUACAGUUUAUUAGUCAAAGUCUCCCAUGUUACAGGGAUCGACUACACUGACCUUUGCGCAUUACGACUUGGAUAUCUCCCUGCACAGAGCUUGAAUACUUAUGUCGUUUGUUUCUAUAGAAACUAGACUCAGAGAGGAAUCUAUAAAUAUAUGGAAUGACUCCUAAUUAUCUCUCAUUAAUUUAUAAUGAAUUUCCAAAGUCGGAACAGGGAAUCCAGAAACCGUUCUGGCCCUGUCUCACGAGAACCUGAAUAUCUCUUAACAUACUGUCCAUAUGAUCAUUUCGUUACUUUCCUAUGAAAAUAGAUUCAUCAAGGUUCGUUUACAUAAUUUAUUCACUAUUUAAUUCCAUUCCUACUAUUUUUAGUAAUUUUCUAAAUAUACAUCACUGCUGCUGUCAGCAUCUGCCUUUAAGGUAGACUUUACCUAUUUCAUAGUUUCCAUGAUUCAACUAGCCCUUUUAGCAUAAAUAGCACAAAUUAUGAUAGUGAUUAACCAUUCCCAUGGCCAAUCCUUGUUAAGCAUAUCCACACCUCUCAAUAACCAUAUCCAUACCAAAUGAUUAUAACAUUAUGCUCAAACAUAUAUAAGCCAUUUUCGCAUGGCUAUCCAAAAUUAUACAAAUCCAAAGGGUCCAUGACCCACAACAAAAAGGGUAGUCCUAUACAUACCAUAUCCAGAGUUCAACUAAAACAGUACCAAAAGGGCUUUGAUAGUGUGGAUGACUUCGACUUCGAGGAUCCUGAAUCCGAUAUCUAACGAACAAAUCUAUAAAACAGAGAGCCAAAGCAACGGGGUAAGCAUUUUAAAGCUUAGUAAGUUUCAAGUAAUGAAAUCGGCUUUGACUAAAGUAUUACAUUCACAUAGCUAAAUGAAUCACUUUAUUAAUACACAUUCUCAUAAACAUACUUACUUCACAUUUCAUCAACAUAUACACACAAGGUAUUAACCUAUCUAAAAGCCGAAAGUUCGUUAGUCGAUUGAACGAAUACUAUUUAAAACGAAUCGACUUUUUCGAUGCACACGCAAACAUACCUUAUCGUUUGGGUUUUUCGAGCGUAUUAAUUGAAUUUAUUACAGCACAACACGCUCACCUUCGAACCCAAGUUUCUUCGGAAUUUAGCCGGAUAUAACCACAAGCACAAUUGCCUUCGGGUCUUAACCCGGGUAUAGCAACUCGCACAAAUGCCUUCGGGUCUUAGCCCGGAUAUAUUAACUCGCACAAAUGCCUUCGGGUCUUAGCCCGGAUAAAAUCACUAGCACAAAUGCCUUCGGGUCUUAACCCGGAUAAAAUCACUAGCAUAAAUGCCUUCGGGUCUUAACCCGGAUAAAAUCACUAGCACAAAUGCCUUCGGGACUUAGCCCGGAUAUCAUUCAAAUGCUCAUGCACACAUAUAUCAACAAUCAUGACACAUCCAUAUUUCAUUUUCGUUACUAAGGCUCAAACAUAGAACAUUUAUUAAACCUUUCCAAUUUCGGCUCAAUAGCCACACACAAAGAGCAUGAUUUCAAUUGGCUUUAUAACAUAGUCUCUAUGCACAUUCGGCUAUCCGUCAUAGUAUGACUAAUCAUUUCAAUAUAAUUCAAGUAGGGUCAUUACUCGAAGACUUACCUCGGAUGUUGUCGAACGACUUCAAUGGCUAUUCAAUUACUUUUUCCUUCCCUUUAUCGGAUUUAGUUCCCCUUUGCUCUUGAGCUUAAGUUCAACAAAUUUUAAAAUAGUCAUUAAUCGACUAUUCAAGUAUUACUUUCAGAAUAUAAUAUAUACAGAUUCGACUUUCACACACAUAGAUUACAGUAAGCUUUAUAAAAAUCAAUAAAUAAUUCAUUAGCAAAUUUUCAUUAAUGUUUACAAUAUAAUUACAAUUUCCCUAUAAGCUGACUUCCUGAGCAACAGUCACUAAAGUUUUUAUAACUGGAGCUACGAAACUCCAAAUCAAUUGACGUAAAUUUUUCUUGACAGAAGACUCAUUUAUCUAUUAUUCAUAAAAUACUCAAAAUUUUUAGUUUAGCCCAACAAUACCAUAUUUUUCUUAAAGUUCACCUUGUUUCACUGUUUGACUAAACUGACUAUCCUUCACUACGAAUCAAAUUUCUCAUUGUACAGAAUUAAAAAUAUGUUCUUGUUUAUUUCAUUUGAAACUAGACUCAUUAAGGAGUCUAAGCACAUAAAUUUUAUCUUAGGGCCAUUUUUGUACAAUUUAUACUGAUUUUAUAAAAACAGAACAGGGAAUCUAGUAGUCGUUUUGACUCAGCCCCACAAUACUUCAAAUAUCUCAAGAUCGGUAACUCUUUCGUUUUUAUAGUUUCUUUUGUAAGAAACUAGACUCUUCUAGAUUUAAUGACAUAAUUUACUCAGCUUCUAAUUCAACUCCUACAAAUUAUGGCGAUUUUCCAAAAUCACCUUACUGCUGCUGUCCCCAAGCAGAUUAUUACCAAAUCAAAUGCUAACAUUUGCAUUUCACCUUAGUAGCUAGCUUAGCAAACCUUAAUUUAACAUAUAAUUGUUCAUAACACAAUUAAAGCAUCCUCUCCAUUCCAUCAAUUCAAAACACAUACAUUGCCCAAUAGUAUCCAAAAUCAUAUUCGGCCUUAGUACACAACUUGUUAGCCGAUUUUUCUCCAUUUAGCAACUAAUGCACAUAUGUGCUCAUUUGUUAAACUCUACUUCACCUAACUACCAUUUUCUUUUUCAUCAAAAUAACAUGAACAACAACCAUUUCUUGAACAUUUUCUCUUCAACAAUUCUUCAUAAAACAUAAAGACUAUAACCCAAUCUCAUCCUUUAAUAACUAAAACCGAAUGCUCAAGACACCACACCAUUUCAAAUUUUGGUCAUGGGUUAAGCAAAGAACUUAAUGACUAACUAAAAAAAUGCUAAAAAUCCAAGAAUCAUCCUUGAACUUACCUUGAUUUAGCUAACCACCAUAGCUGAAUUUUUCAAAGCUUUUCUCUUCUAGGUACGGCAAUGAGGAGCAAGGAUGGAGAAACUUUGGUUUCUCCUCCCAUUAACUAGUAUUUUAUUAGCCUUAUUCCUUAUUUCAUUUUGUAACAUAAAAUUAUUAGCAUAAAAUGUUGACACAAAAUAAUUAUAAUAUGCUUUAGUCCAUAACAUGGCCGGCCACCAUCUAGAAUUUGGCCAAUUUGACAUGCAAGUACAAGCAUUUUUAACAUGCAUCAAUAGGCCACUUUAACAUUUGCCUAUCACAUUUCUAAAUUUUCUCACACAAGUCCUAUUUAAUAAAAUUCACUUACAAUUAACAAAAUUCAAACAUGAAAUUUUCACACAUGCAUAUAUACAUAUAAUAAGCUUCAAAUAUGGCGGUUAAUGAUUUUUAUGACUCGAUUUUGUGGUCCCGAAACCACUUUCUGACUAGGGUCACAUUUUGGGCUGUCACAGGUUGUGUUCAUAGAUGAUAUCCUGAUUUAUUAUCGUGAUGAACCUGAGCAUGUCAAACAUCUAAGAUUAGUACUAUAUACUUUGCAUGAUAAUCAGUUAUAUACGAAGUUCAGUAAAUGUGAGUUCUGGUUACGAGAAGUCAGUUUUCUAGGACAUGCUGCAUCAGCAUUGGGUAUUCAGGUUUAUUUGAGCCAGAUUUCGGCUAUACUAAUUGGAAGCCUCUGAGAAAUGUAUCCAAAUUCUGAAUUUUUCUGGGACUUGUUGGUUAUUACAGACGAUUCGUAAAAGGUUUCUCAAUGAUUGCAACCCUGAUGACGAGACUGCUUCAGAAAGAUGUUAAGUUCAAGUGGUCAGAAAAGUGCAAGAAAAGUUUUGAUCAGUUGAAAGCUUUGUUGACUGAAGCUCAGGUGUUAGUUCAGCCAGAAUCGGGUAAAAAAUUUGUAAUCUUUAGCGAUGCAUCUUUGAAUGGUUUGCAGGAAGGCAAAGUGAUAGCCUAUGCCUCGAGACAAUUAAAGCCACAUGAAAGGAAUUAUCUGACGCACUACCUUGAGUUAGCUGGUAUUGUAUUUGCUUUGAAGAUAUGGUGUCACUAUCUGUUCGAUGAGAAAUGUCAUGUAUAUUCAAAUCAUAAAAGCUUGAAAUACCUGAUGACUCAGAAAGAUUUGAAUCUGCGACAGAGAAAAUGGUUAAAACUGUUAAAAGACUAUGAGCUUGUUAUUGAUUUUCAUCCAGGAAAAGCAAAUGUUGUUGCUGAUGCUUUGAGUCAGAAAUCACUAUUUGUGUUACAUGCUAUGAAUGCUCAGUUGUCUAUGUCUGAUGAUGGUUCAAUUUUAGCCGAAUUGAAAGCGAGGCCUUUAUUCUUAUAACAGAUUUAUGAUGCUCAGAAGGUUGUUAGCAAAACGAGUUCAAUGUGUAUUGAAUACUGAUUCAGAGUUUCAGAUUGAUGCUGAAGGUUGUUUGAGGUUUAGAGAUCGAAUUUGUGUUCCGAGAAAUCGAGAGUUGAUUUAGAUGAUUUUGAACGAAGCUCACAGUAGUAGACUAUUAGUACAUUCGGGAAGGACGAAAAUGUAUAACGAUCUGAAAUAGCUUUACCAGUGGCCUAGUAUGAAGCGUGAUAUCUCUGAAUUUGUUUCGAAAUGUUUAGUCUGUCAACAAGUCAAAGCUGAGCAUCAAGUACCGUCUGGGUUACUGCAGCCAGUUAUGAUUCCCGAGUGGAAAGGGGACAGAAUCACGAUGGAUUUUGUAUCGAGUAUUCCUCUGUUACUGAGUAAGCAAGAUGCGGUCUUGGUAGUGGUUGAUAGACUAACGAAGUUGGCUCAUUUCAUUCUGAUACGCAUGGAUUAUUCGUUUGAUAAGCUUGCUGAGUUGUACAUCUCUCAGGUUGUAAGAUUGCACAGAGUACCUAUUUCUAUUGUUUCGGAUAGAGAUCCGAAGUUCACAUCGCAGUUUUGGAAGAAACUGCAAGAUACAUUAGGUACGAAGCUACACUUUAGCAUUAUUUUUCACCCACAGACGGAUGGUCAAUCUGAGCGAAUUAUUCAAAUACCCGAGGAUAUGCUGAGAUGUUGCAUUCUUGAGUUUGAAGGUGCAUGGGAAUGAUACUUGCCAUUGAUUGAAUUUGCGUAUAAUAAUAGCUUUCAAUCGAGUAUUAAAAUGGCACCUUAUGAAGCUUUAUACGGUCGCAAAUGCCGAACACCUUUGUAUUAGACUGAGCUUAGCGAGAAUAAGAUUCACGGGGUCGAUUUGAUUAAAGAAACUGAAUAGAAGGUGAAAGUGAUUCGUGAUAGUCUGAAGACAGUAUCAGAUCGUCAGAAAUCGUAUGCAAACUUGAAAUGGAAAGAUAUUGAGUUUCAGAUUAGGGAUAAAGUGUUUUUAAAAGUCUCACCGUGGAAGAAAAUACUCCGGUUUGGUCAUAAAGGUAAAUUGAGUCCGAGAUUCAUUGGGCCGUAUGAGAUUAUUGAGCGUAUUGGGCUGGUAACUUAUAGAUUGUUGUUGCCACCUAAGUUAAAAAAGAUUUAGAAUGUAUUCCACGUAUCGAUGCUUCAACGAUAUCAAUCUGAUCCCUCGCAUGUGAUUUCACCGUCUGAGAUUGAAAUUAAGUCUGAUAUGACCUACGAAGAACAACCGAUCCAGAUUCUAGAUCACGAGCUUAAGGAAUUGAGGAAUAAGAAAAUUUCUCUAGUGAAAGUCUUAUGGCAUCGUCAUGGGGUUGAAGGAGCUACGUGUGAUCCCGAGGAUGCUAUGAGAGAAUGAUACCUAAGCCUUUUUGCCGAUAAGAUUUUCGAGGAAAAAAUCCCUAAGGGGGGAGGGUUGUAACAGCCCAGUUUAGACCCUAGUCGGAUAGUGGUUUUGGGACUACAAAUUUGAGUCAGAAAAAAAUUUAAUAUUAUUUUUGGUGUCUACAGCAUGUUAAUUUAUAUGAGUGAAAAUUUCGUGUGAAAAUUUUAUUGUUUAUGUCCUCGAUUUUAUAAAAGGACUUAACCGCGUAAAAUGCAAAAGUGGCUAGCUAUUUGUUAAAGUGCUAUUUUUCUAUGGCUUUUAUAAUGUGGGGUCCUUAUGUUGAUAGUUGACCAUUGUAAGUAUGCAUGAACGGAAAUGGGCUUACAUUAUAAGUUUUAUCAUUAAAAUCAUUAAGGUUGGUUUAGUAAAUUAGUUAAUUAUGUUAAAAUAAUAAAACAUAAACUAAAAACCAUGCAUGUUGUUCAUCUUUUUGGCCGAAAUUACCAAAGAAAAAGAAAGAAAAAGAGCAAGCAACAUUCGGCCAUAGUCCAAGCUUGAUUCAAGGUUCAUUUUUGCUUGGUUUUUGAUAAUUUUUAUAUUUUUGAGAUCGUUGCUUCGAAUACUAGCUAGCCCAUGCUUGAAUUUUUGAAUUGGUUGUGGAUUUUCUUUAUUUGAAAUUAUUGAUAGCUUGAGAUUUUUGUGGUUUGAUGAUAAAAAAUAAAGCUUUGUUGAUAGAUUAUUAUGUUUAAUUAAGUGAUUUUUAGUAAAAAAGUGUCUUAAGGAUUAAAUUGUGAAUUUUGUAAAUUGAAGGGUCAAAAUGUAAAAUAAAUGAAAUAUCUGGCCUUAUAUGAACCAAUGGAAUAUUCGGCCAAGCUUAGGUGUGGUAAAAUUUUGAAUAUUUUGUGUUUUGUGAAUUAAGGACUAAAUUGUGAAAAAAGUGAAAUGUUAGAGGCUAAAAUGAAAUUUUCCCAUUUAUGUUUUUUGGAUGAAUUUGAAUAAAUAUAUGAUUAAAUAAGUCAAAUUUGUAUUGAAUUAGAUCAAGAAAAGAAGAAAUCGGAUUUGGAUCGGGGGAAAUCAAAAGUUGUCGAAUAGUCAUCCCGUUCCGUCCGUCUUCGUUCGAGGUAAGUUCGUAAGCGAAUAAAUGAUAUUAAAUUAAAUUUAUUUAUUUAUAUCUAGCCGAAUGGAAUUGUAUGUAUGUAUACUACAUUUUCAAAUUGAAUUUAGCAUGGAAAGAUUAGUUACGAGCUUAAUUCGAUUGAAUUACGACAUUUGAAAGCCCUAACGAACCAUAGGAAUUUCGAUAUGCGAUAUCAUGUAAGACCACGUCUGGGACGUUGGCAUCGAUUUUAGAUUUACGUGUAACACCAUGUCUGGGACAUUGGCAUCGUAUAUGAUUUACGUGUAAGACCCUGUUUGGGACAGUGGCAUCGUUAUUUAAUUACAUGUAAGACCACGUCUAGGACGCUAGCAUUGUACGAAUCUUUUUAGUUAUCCGAGUAUCCUUUUUUAUUCUGAGUGGUACAACGGGAAAUGAUACAACAAAACCAAAUGUGAGUUUGAAUUAAAUGAUUCAGGUAUGUUUGAGUUAUAUGACGUUUGGAAGUAAAGGUAAGUAUUAUGGUAUAACUUGAAAAUAUUGACUAAUCACUUAAAUAUGAGUAUAUAUAUGUGUGUUCAAGAUUGGGAGAAUUCGGCCUAUUUGUAUGAUUUAUAUAUGUUCUUUAAAAAAAAACUAUUUGCUGAUGACUUGCUAAGCUAUAUAAGCUUACUGUGUGUUUAUUCGCUCGUUGUUUUAUAGAUUUUGAAAGCUAGUUACAAGCUCAAGGAUCGUCAAGGAAGUUCGUCACACUAUUGAUCUCUAUUUCGGUAUUUUAAAAGCUUGAAACUUUGAACAUAUGGCAUGUAUAGGCUAGCAUUUCUUUUGGUUGGUCUUGAAAUUUAUAUAUAUUUAGCCAUGCGAAAGUGGUUCAAUCUUUGUGCUAAUGUUCUAAUGUUUAAGUAAUUUUGAUCAUGAUAUAUGCGUGUAGUAAUCUUGAUAUAUAAAUGUGUUUUGAUUGUUAAUGAUGUUCAUGUUAAUGCAUUUUUGGUCAUGGUAUAGAUUAUGUGGUGUGUUUAGAAUUUGAUUGCAGUAUGAAGCAAUGAUAUACAUAUAUGUGGUUUUAAUUCAUGUGAAUUUGGGAUACUAUUGAUAUGAUCGUUUGUGGUGUCAAAUAUAUAUUAUGUUUGAAUGUUUAGUCAUGUAAGUUCAGUUGUUAAAUGAUAAGUAUUGAAUAUGUUUCAUGAUUGCUUUGGUAAUUGUUUUGGUACAGAUCUAAAUGGUAAAUGAUGAUUAUGAUUUAAGUAUGUUUUAGGUAGCUUAAAUGGAUAGUUUAAAAAGUAUCGAGAUAAUGUUAAAUUUUAAAAUAUGUAUACACAUAUGAGUACUUUUAAAUUUCGUUUUGAUAUGUGGUAUUUUUUUUGUUUUUUUUAGGGAAAGAUGCGCAUUAUACAUAUAUAUACAUCAAUAAUAUGUUCGGCCAGGUUGCAUUAUUACUAAAGUUUCAUAUGUGAUUGCAUAAUAAUUAUAGUUAUUUAGUUCAAAUGGCUUUAUUGUAUGCUUGUACAGAAGUUACGAAAUGUUAUCUUUGAUUUAACUAAUGAAUUAUAUGAAUGUCAUUAAUAUUAAAGUUAUGUGGUUCAGACAUUAAACUGUACUUAAUUAACAUGAUUUGGUAGAUGAUUGAUAUUGGAUUUAGAACUUAUAUGGUAUAGAAGUCGAUAUAACCAUGUGUAUAAAAAUGAUAAAUGACUAUGCUGAUCUGUGUUUUGUUCGGUAAUGCCUCGUAACCCUAAUUCGGCGACGGAUACGGAUUAAGGGUGUUACACUUGGACUUCAUUGGAUUUUCAUCAAUCAAAUGAACAUUUCUGAAACUCUUUACUCUUAUUUUAUGCUUAUUAUGUGUUUGAUAAAAUGCUUGUUAGGAAUUUAAGUUUGAUUAUGUGCUAAAAUUGUUGAUGGUUGGUUGAUUAGUUAUUUGUUAGUUAAGUUAAUGUUUAUGUUUGAUGUAUUGAUUGUUCAAUUAUAUCGAAAUGCUUAAUUGUAACACCCCGAACCCGAGACCGUCGCCGGAGUCGAACACGAGGUGUUAACAGACUUCAAACCACUUAUUAAAAAAUUUCCCAGACAAGCUGCCAAUCUGCGUACUAGUCGUUUUAAAAAUCAUAUCUUGAGUUCUGAAACUUGAAAUCCAGUUCUGUAAAUUUUCUCUGAAACUAGACUCAUAUGUCCAUCUACAUAUUUUUUUCUAGAAUUUUUGGUCAGGCCAAUUAGUACAGUUUAUUAGUCAAAGUCUCCCAUGUUACAGGGAUCGACUACACUGACCUUUGCGCAUUACGACUUGGAUAUCUCCCUGUACAGGGCUUCAAUACUGAUGUCGUUUGUUUCUAUAGAAACUAGACUCAAAGGGGAAUCUAUGCAUAUAUGUCAUGACUUCUAAUUAUCUCUGGUUAAUUUAUAAUGAAUUUCCAAAGUCGGAACAGGGAAUCCAGAAAUCGCUCUGGCCCUGUUUCACAAUAGUUUAAUUAUCUCCUAACAUACAGCUCAUAUGGUCAUUUCGUUUCUUCUAUAUGAAAAUAGACUCAUCGAGCUUCGAUUACAUAAUUUAUUCAUUGAUUAAUUCUACUCCUACUAUUUUUUGUGAUUUUUCAAUCUCACGUCACUGCUGCUGCCAGCAUCUGUUACUAAAGCAACUAUGCCUAUUUCGUGAUUUCUCCUUGAUCUAACUAGUAAUUCAUCAUACAUAUCACAAAUUAUGAUCAUGACUAGCCAUGCCAAAGGCUAAUUAUUGUCAAACAUCUCCCUACUACACUAUUGCCAUAUCAUGAAUUUUAACACCAAAAAUAAUCAACCAUGACAUAUGGCAUAAAAAUCGAAUUACCAAGACUUACGACCUAACAUUAUAGAACCAAAUCCAACCGAACAUUUAUGCCAUUUUCGCAUGGCUAAAAGUUUACAUACCAAAUUUCAACAAAACAUAUUAGCCUAUACAUGCCGAAAUGUUCUCCUAGACCGACUAAAAAGAAGAUACCCAAAGUUGCUAGCCGGUGUGAUGACUUCGAUGACGGCCCGAUCACGCAAAAAGAGACGAGUCCAAGAAACCUAAAAUAGGUGACAAGGAAACACCGAGUGAGUAUAUAACUCAGUAAGUCAUAAGCAAUGCACUACCAUCCAUUAAUAACAUUAUCACAAGAGGAAACAAAAUGGAACGAGGCUAGUUACUCCAUCCAUACCGAACCAUACCAUAGUUCCUUAGACCUAUCGGUUCAAUCUCAUACCAAGUCAUGCAUUCACAUUCCAUAUACUAAUCAAUAGGAUAUUUGAGGCAUUUUCAUACAUCAUUUUAUUUUCGUUACAAUCAUACAACUAAACGACCGUUCACCUAUUCCACGAUAAAUCUUAUGUACGUGACUUCAAUUAUAAUUGUCACAUAGGUUCAAACUUACCAAGCUCAACUCCAAAUAUAAACAUAGCGCCUAUUAGCCAUGAACUCAAGGAACUUACCCGAUCCGCUGUCCGUGAUCAACUCAAUAAUGUCGCACACUUAGUGUCCAUAGUGAUUCAAAAAUAUAUAUUAAGUCCGCACACUCAGUGCUAUAUAAUCAACUCGCACACUUAGUGCUAUAUAAUCAAACUCGCACACUUAGUGCUGUACAAUUUAAACCCGCACACUUAGUGCCAAUCUCAUGAUCAUAAAUGUUUAUACCCGCACACUUAGUGCCGAGAUCAACAACUCAAUACAUCUCACCUCUUUUCUUUUCAUUCAACACUUUCAUCACCACAUGCAUACAUGUAUAUAAAUUUAUCAUUCCAUUUGGCAUAAUUACAUAGACAUUAUGUCUAUUUAGAUCAAUACAAAAUAUAUGCUUGGUGACUUACCUUAUGUUGGGUAAAAUAAUUCCAAGUCGGCUACUCGAUGACCUUCGAUUUCCCCUUGUUGGACGCCUCUCCUUUAGGAUCUUGAGCUUAAACAAAUAAAUUAACUCAUUCAACCGCUUUGCUACAUAUAUUGGUAUUCACAUUUUAAUGAUUUUAUGACAUACGGAACGGCAUGGUAAAAUUUUUAUCUUGCUACCUCAUGUUCUUAGCUAUUCGGCUAAUAACCUUAUGCAAUUACCAUACUUUCAAUAAUCUAAUCACACAUGCAUAUGCAUACUUGGACAUUCGGCAAUCACCUUGCUAAUUUUAAACUCAACAUCACAUAAGCUCCCAAGUGAUGGCCGAAUAUGUAUAUCUAUACUAUCACCUAUAAUUCAUCAAAUCACAAAAUUUCAUCUCAUGAACACUCGACCCAUUUUUACCCCAUAUGGCCGAAUGUGUAAGAUUAAAUUCAACACCACCGAUGUACUUAAUUAGGUGGCCAAAUAUACCAAGUUAGACUUGACAUUAUACGUCACAAGAACUCUAAUUUAAUUUGUCAAUUGCUUGGCCAAGAACUCACAAGUGCCUUAUAUACAACCUAUUCGGCCUUACUACUUAAACUUAGCCUUUCAUACACUUAUCUCUAUUGUUUUAGAAGGCCGAAUCCUUAUGUGUUCCAACAUCUAGCUUACUCAAUUCAACACAUCAAAAUGACAUUUAGGCCGAUUUUGCUAGCACACAAGCCUUUGACCGAAUGUCCUUGACCUCUAGUCACCUAAAUUUUUAUUCUUUAAAACUCAUCCAAGACCACAUUCGGCACCUCCAACCAAUAAUUUAGAUAUUCUCAAGUUCAUUCACAAGUACAAUUAUAUAUCACGUUAAGCAUUAAUCAUUUUGCAACAUGAAUUCUAUAGCAUGGCCGAAUACUCAUGCACAUACACACAUAACAACAAGAACUCAAUGACACAAAAAUCUCCUUUCCAAAGUACAUACAUACCCAUACAUACGGCAACUUCCAUUCUUUUCUCCCAACAAUGAAUCCAUGAAUUUUGCCAUGGGUUAACUAGACUAUACCCAUAUCAACUAAAUCUCAAUAUCAAUUAGAAUAAAAAUCACAACGCAUACCUUUCCAUUGAAAUAGCCAUGGCCGAAUGCCUUGGUUUCCUUUUUUUUCAAUCUUUCCUUUCUCAAUUUCGGCAAAUGAAGAAGAUGGAAGAUGAGCCUUCCUUCACCUUUGUUUUCUUUACUCACGGCAAUUGUAACAAGGAAAAGGAUGAACACUCCUUCUUCCUCCCUUAUUUUAUUCAUCUUUUUCCUUUUUAAUUCCUUUCUUUAAUUUAUUCUAAUUUACUUACCAAUAUUAAAUAAUAAACAACAUAAACUUGGAGGAAUGGAACCAUGCUUGGCCGGCCACUUAACAUGAAUUGGGCACUUUGACAUGCAAACCCAAACAUUCCUAUUUUAAUACUAUUUGGUCCUUACUUAUUUACCUAUCAUAAUUUUCUAAGUCUCUCAACUAGAUCCUUUCAAGCAAAAUUCACAUUCCUAAGAUAAAAUUAAAACAUCAAAUUUUUAUACAAGUACUAUCACACAUAUAAGAUAUGCAAAUAAAAUUUUAACUAAAUUUUAUGACUCGGUUUUGUGGUCCCGAAACUACAUUCCGACUAGGGUCAAAUUAGGGCUGUCACAUUAAUACACUAAAUUGAUUCCUUUAGUGGAAAAUAUAGAUAAACGAGAUCAAGAGAAGAGUUUAUCCUUAGAUGGUUUGAUGUAAUUGUCCUGAGUAGUGAGACCGAGAGGAGAACCUAGGUGGUAUCUUUUAGUUUAGGAUGAGAUCGAGGGGAGAUUCCUAGCUAAGAGUGACAGUUAAUAUAAUCGGUAUAGAUUUAUUAGCUUAGUUAAUUAUAAUGAAUCAAUUGACCAUUGUUUUAUCUUUUACAUUUUCUAAAACAGCAAGGAAGAAAGUUAGAUUAGUUAGUUUAAUUGGUAAUUUAAAUUUAGUUUAUAAAGAAUUUUUUAUUUGAACUUGCACUAAUAAUUUUUUACUCGAUUAGAUUAGUAAUUACUUAACUUGUACUUAACUUGAUAAACACAUUUACCCACUUUUUUUUUUUUUGCUCAAUUGAGUUAUUACACUUUUAAGCAUUUGCAAAGAAUGUAACAAUCUACAAGAUGCAACAUUCCCCCACGAAAAUGUCCCUCACCCGAGUACAAAAAUACCAAUAUCUCAAACCGAUAACAUCAUAAUUUCAAACCACUAGACCCCCAAAAAUCCCAUCUGUUGUUCUACCCUCUAAAAGAAAAAUAUGCAAAUAACCAACACAUAAACCACAUAUAACCAAGAAUCCUUUAGGCACUAACAGCAAACCAACUCUUCAGAAGAAAUACAGCAACAUUACUCAAAUUAAAAUCACCACCAUGCCUUAAACAUACCAGGCCUUUUUAUUCCUACAACUGCCAAAGCAUAAGUCAUCUUGUUUCCGUGCUUUUAGGCUUUCGAAAAGGAAACAUUACCUACUCUAACCAUCUUAUUUUCAGUUUCCUUGAAGAUAAGAUGCAACAACCAUGAUCUCAAUCCUUUGUUCUCAAACCAACAAAACACCUCAUUUGAUCCACUCUCAAUGAUUAGAGAGCUUUUACCUUUCCACCCUAUUGCUAAAAACACAUCCAAAGCAAUGAUAACCGCUCCCAUCUCAGCUGUAAUGGAGUCUUUUGUUGCAACUGGACCAGAAAAUAAUGCCCUUGCCACCCCAUCCGAGUCUCUUAACACCUCUCUACACCCGAUCGCCACACCACUUACAUUAAAUUUUACCCAACCAUGUCUCGGAGGACACCAAAACCUGCCACCCAUCCCAAAUUUUUUUAAAUCACACCAGCUUCUAAACGGACAAAUCCACCAUGAUCUCUCAUCUACUCUUAAUUCUUCUUGAAUAGACCUAACCCAUAUCAAAGCUCGCAUCUUGGAGUGAAAAACUAAACUGUUCAUUGUAAGCCACUUCCUGUCAAACACCAACUCGUUCCUUGCCAGCCACACAGACCGGCAUGUCGUUGUUACCGAAAUCAUCCAUAGGCUUUUGCCCACACCUGUAUAUAAUACAUUAUUAAGAAAAUAUCAAAGAACCCAUCAACUGGAAUCCAUUCAACAUCCCACCACUCGAAAAAUUUUCUCCAAAACCCUUAAAUGAAUUUGCAUUGGAAAAAAAGAUGCUUCACUUUCUCCGAUUCUCUAUUGCACCAAGGGCAACCACUCUCCAACUGACAAAUCUGCACACCUCUUCUAAUCAGGAACUCCUUAGCAGGUAGUCUAUCUAUUGAAAUCAUCCAGAGGAAGCUUUUCACUCUAGGAGGCACCUUUAACUUUCAAAUCUUAUCAAAGGUGAAAAUAAUGUCAUCCACUCCUUCUUUGAUCAAUAAUUCAGUUAAUUUCUUCACCGAGAAGACCCCUUAUCAUCAUGAAUCCAUAUUAAUCUAUCCUCCUCUUUUGGCACCAACACCUUACUUCUAACAACUUCCCUUAAAUGAUUGAGCAUAUUUAAUCCCUAUCCAAUAAUGGUCGUAUAAAGAAAUCAACCCAAUUAACCUCUUUAAACCCAUUCGAGUUUGAAAAGUCUUUCACCAACCUUUUCUUGCUAUUGACUAAACAAAACAACCUUGGAAAUUCCAUUCUCAGAGGCUGUUCACUACACCAAAUAUCCUCCCAGAACAUUAUCGUAUUACCAUUCCUAACCAACCAACAAAAAGAUUAUUUCCCCAUUCAUUUAGCCACUUUUGAGUCUUUAGCAUUCUCCACGAUACCCCUCCAAACCACCGACAUAUCUUUUGUGUUGCUCGUUCUAAUUUGCUAUUGCUGCGCAGGGGAUCCAUACUUCAUAACUAUAAUUUUUCUCUACAAAGCUUCUCUUUCCACAGCGAAUCUCCAACUCCAUUUGGCCAUGUGUUGAAGUAAUGGUCAGCAUGCAGCAACCAAGACUGUCAAAGGCACUACAUGCAGAAGCUGCUGGUUCACCUAGUCAGCAAGUUGUUUAUGUUUCAUUUUGUAAUUUUAAGUUAGAGUAAUGUAACUUAGUUGCUUUAUAACUAUGUUAGGUUUAUGUUUGAUGUAAUUUUGAUGUUGACUGAGCUGAUAAAUCAGCUUUGUUUGUUUAUUCAAGCUAAUUAGCACAAGUUACUAUGUGUAUUAGUGGUAGUAGGUGAAGUUUAGGUCAACCUACUGUUUUGUCAAGAUUGUAAACUUGUUUUAUGUAUUGGCUUUAUGCCAUAUUUAGUUUGAUGAAUGAAUUCAAGAAGUUAUCAUCCAUAUGCUCUCCAUUUUUAGUUUUGCUUAAAAAUCCAUUUGAGUUUUCUGCUUUGUUUCUCCUACAAGUCACGAGACUUGCCAUACAAGCAUUCUGCUGAAGCUUGCUGCUGCUGCCUUUUGCUCCAACAAUUGGUAUCAGAGCCACAUUCUUAGAGGACCUGUUGAAGUUCAGUAUCAAAACGAUGGCAUCAUCAGGUUUUUCACCAGCUUCACCACCUGUCUUCAAUGGAGAGGGCUUCAACAUUUGGGCAGUUAAGAUGAGGACUUACCUGCAGGCAUUCGACCUAUGGGAAGUUGUUAACUCAGAUGCUGAGCCAGCACCUCUUCGAGCUAAUCCAACAGUUGCUCAAAUAAGGCAACACACUGAUGAAAGGACAAAAAGGCACAAGGCCAUGUCAUGCAUACAGAAUUGUGUGACAGAUGUGAUCUUUAUGAGGAUCAUGGCCUGUGAGACACCAAAGGAGGCUUGGGACAAGCUGAAAGAAGAAUUUCAGGGGACUGAGAAAACAAGGCAACAACAGCUGCUCAAUUUGAGAAGAGAUUUCGAAAAUCUCAAAAUGAAAGAGGAAGAAACAGUUAAGCAGUACUCAGACCGGAUUAUGGCUGUUGUAAACAGCAUAAGGCUCCUAGGAGAGCAAUUCAGUGAAGCUAGAAUGGUUGAGAAAGUCAUGUCCACUCUACCAGAGAGGUAUGAAGCUAAAAUUUCAUCCCUCGAAGACUCAAGGGACUUGACAACUAUCUCCUUAACUGAGCUAAUCAAUGCCUUGUAUGCACAAGAGCAAAGAAGAGCUAGCAGACAAGAGGAGCACCAGGAAGGGGCUUUUCAAGCCAAAGAAGCCUCGAGCAUCAAAACUCAUAAAGGCAAAAAGUUCUGGAAAAACAGGCCUAAGCCUGAUGCUGCUAGGAGCAGUGACCAACUCUGCAGACAUUGUAAAAGAGCUGGUCAUCCAGAAGAUAGAUGCUGGUUUAGACCAGAUGCAGUAUGCCAACACUGUAAGAAAAAAGGCCAUGUUGAAAAGGUUUGCAAGAAUAGAAGCAAACCAAGACAGAAUCAAUUUCAGCAACAAAAGGUGAAAGCUCGAGUAGCUGAAAAAAGCAGUGAUCAAGAAGAACAUGUUUUUGCUGUGUCAUGUGCAGCAAAUCAGAAGAAGGGUUCAAAGGGCUGGCUUCUAGACAGUGGGUGCACAAACCACAUGUCACCAGAUGCAACUAUCUUCAAAACCCUGGACAGAACCUGCAAAACCAAAGUAAAAAUUGGAAAUGGUCAGUUAAUCAAUGCUGAAGGAAGAGGAGAUGUGCUGAUUCAUACUUCUACAGGUGGAAAAAUCAUUUCAAAUGUACUUUUGGUACCUGAAAUCGAUAGGAACCUUCUCAGUAUAACUCAACUACUUGAGAAAGGUUACUCAGUUGUUUUCAAGGAGAAAGAAUGUCAAAUUUUUGAUCCAAGUGGAUCAAAUCUUAUAACAGUCACCAUGACUGAUAAAUGUUUUGAAGUAGACUGGCCAAAUGACUCACAUUCAGCCUGCAUAGCCUCCACUGAUGACUCGAGACUCUGGCAUCAGAGGCUUGGACAUGCAAACUACAAAUCCAUAGCCCGCAUGGUCAAUGAAGGUCUGGCAGAAAAUUUCAUUGAUUCAGUGAAGAAUGAUGAGCUUUGUGAGAUAUGUCAGCAAGGAAAAUUGGCAAGAUUGCCAUUUCCAACAAGCACAACAUGGAGAGCAUCAGAGAAGCUCCAGCUUGUGCAUACAGAUGUGUGUGGACCAAUGAAGACUGAGUCUCUCAAAGGAAGCAGGUACUUUAUUUUAUUUAUUGAUGACUUAACAAGAUACUGCUGGAUUUAUUUUCUAAAACAGAAAUCAGAAGUACCAUCUAUGUUCCUGAAGUAUAAGGCUGCUGUUGAAACUGAGUCUGGUUGCAAACUUAGAGCAAUGAGGUCAGAUAAUGGAACUGAGUACACCUCAGCUCAGUUCCAAGUCUACUGUGAAGAAGCAGGUAUCAAACACCAGUUGACUAAUAUGUAUACACCCCAACAGAAUGGGGUCAGUGAAAGGAAAAACAGAAGCUUGAUGAACAUGGCAAGAUGUCUUCUGUUUGAGAAGAAUUUGCCCAAAAGUCUGUGGGCUGAAGCUGUUAACACAGUAGUUUAUCUCCAAAACAGGCUCCCAACCAAGGCUCUGGCUGAGAAGACUCCAUUUGAAGCCUGGUUUGGGUUUAAGCCAUCACUGGCUCAUCUCAGAACCUUUGGUUGUCUGUGCUAUACUCAAGUUCCAGCUGAGAAGAGAAGCAAGCUAGAUAAAAGAGCUCAAGCAGGGAUCCUGAUCGGCUACAGCUUGGUUAAGAAGGGCUACAGAAUUCUAGAACCUGCUACAAACAAGAUAUUGGUUAGCAGGGAUGUUGUUUUCAAUGAAAAAGGACACUGGAAUUGGGAGAAGGCUGAACCAGAGGCAGUGGCUGAAGAUCUGGCAGUGGACCAAGUUGAAAAUGAUGAAAACACACCUGAAAUGGAUGUAGAUGAUGUUCCAAUCAGAGGCACUCGAUCACUGACUGAUGUUUAUGAAAGAGCACAAGUGGCUACUGUUGAACCAAGUUGCUUUGAAGAAGCAGAAAACCAGGAGGACUGGAAGCAAGCAAUGAUUGAAGAAAUCAGAAUGAUUGAAAAGAAUCAGACCUGGAGUCUGGUUGAUAAACCAACAAACAGGAAGAUUAUUGGUGUCAAAUGGGUUUAUCGAGUAAAGAACAAUGCUGAUGGUAGCCUAAACAAGUUAAAGGCUAGAUUGGUUGUGAAAGGCUUCAGUCAAAGGUAUGGAUCAGACUACCUGGAAACCUUUGCACCAGUGGCCAGGCUAGACACUAUUAGACUGCUAGUUGCCUUAGCAGCACAAAAACAGUGGCUGAUACACCAACUUGAUGUAAAAUCAGCAUUUCUGAAUGGAUUCCUUGAAGAGGAGAUUUAUGUGGAGCAACCUCAAGGUUUCAAGGUGUCUGGCAAAGAAGAUAUGGUGUACAAGCUCAACAAAGCCUUGUAUGGCUUGAAACAGGCUCCAAGGGCCUGGUAUAGCAGAAUAGAUGGCUAUCUGACCAGUCAAGGAUUUGAAAGAAGUCUUAGCGAGCCAACUCUGUAUGUUAAAUCAACUAGUGCUGAAACUCAGCUCAUUGUCUCAAUAUAUGUCGAUGACCUACUGGUGACAGGAGGAGAUCAUGAGAUGCUAAGCAGUUUUAAAGUCAAAAUGCAACAGCACUUUGAAAUGUCAGAUUUGGGAUUGAUGUCUUACUUCUUAGGCAUGGAAGUAACUCAAGCUAAGAAUGGGAUUUGGCUAAGUCAAAAGACCUUUGCUAUGAAGGUUCUCAACAAAUUCUCAAUGGAGAAUUGCAAAGCAACCAGCACACCAGUUGCUGUUGGAGAAAAACUCUCGAGCCAAGACAAGCAUGAAAAGGUUUGUGAAACAACCUAUCGAAGUCUAGUUGGAUGUUUGUUGUAUUUGACUGCUACUAGACCUGACAUAAUGUAUGCUGUGAGUCUACUCUCGAGGUUUAUGCAUUGUUCAAAUGAAAGUCAUUUUAGAGCUGCAAAAAGGGUUCUAAGAUACAUCAAAGGAACUUUGUCCUAUGGAAUGCAGUUUACCAAGGCUGAGAACUUGAGGCUAGUUGGAUAUUGUGACAGUGAUUGGGCUGGUUCUUUGGAUGACAUGAAGAGCACUACAGGUUAUGCAUUCAACAUAGGAUCUGCUAUGAUAUGCUGGAGCUCAAAGAAGCAAGGAGUAGUGGCUCAGUCGACUGCAGAAGCAGAAUAUGUGGCUGCUGCUGCAGCAGUCAAUCAAGCCAUAUGGCUUAGAAAAAUUUUGAAAGAUAUCAAUCAUGAGCAAAAGGAAGCAACUGAGAUAAUGUGUGACAACCAAUCAGCAGUUGCUAUUGCAAAGAAUCCUGUUUUUCAUGGAAGGACCAAGCACUUCAACAUCAAACUUCAUGCAGUUCGGGAAAUGGAACAAGCUCAUGUUGUUAAGCUGAUACAUUGCAGUUCUGAAGAGCAAAUUGCUGAUAUUUUAACAAAAGCACUAAGUGUUUCCAAGUUUCAACACCUGAGAACUAAUAUGGGAGUUUGCAACAUGCUAACCAAGGAGGAGUGUUGAAGUAAUGGUCAGCAUGCAGCAACCAAGACUGUCAAAGGCACUACAUGCAGAAGCUGCUGGUUCACCUAGUCAGCAAGUUGUUUAUGUUUCAUUUUGUAAUUUUAAGUUAGAGUAAUGUAACUUAGUUGCUUUAUAACUAUGUUAGGUUUAUGUUUGAUGUAAUUUUAAUGUUGACUGAGCUGAUAAAUCAGCUUUGUUUGUUUAUUCAAGCUAAUUAGCACAAGUUACUAUGUGUAUUAGUGGUAGUAGGUGAAGUUUAGGUCAACCUACUGUUUUGUCAAGAUUGUAAACUUGUUUUAUGUAUUGGCUUUAUGCCAUAUUUAGUUUGAUGAAUGAAUUCAAGAAGUUAUCAUCCAUAUGCUCUCCAUUUUUAGUUUUGCUUAAAAAUCCAUUUGAGUUUUUUGCUUUGUUUCUCCUACAAGUCACGAGACUUGCCAUACAAGCAUUCUGCUGAAGCUUGCUGCUGCUGCCUUUUGCUCCAACACCAUGAGUGACUUGUUUUUAACCCUGAUAUCCACCACUCCCAUACCCCAUUAUCCUUUGGCAAACCAAUUUGUUUCCACUUUACCAUCGCCAUUUUCCUUCGUCCACCUACACUUUCCCACAAAAAAUUCCUUCCAAUUUUGUCAAUUUUAUUAAUCAUGGCAACAGGUGCUUGAAAGAUUGUCCUGAAGUAGAUAGGCAAAAAGCAUAACACUGCAUUAGUAAGCACAAUUCUUCCUGCCCAAGGGAGUGAACAACACUUUCAACCCGAUAGUUUCCUCUUAACUCUUUCCACGAUUCCAUUUCAAGAAGAAAUCUUUCUUAGAUCAUCUCCUAUAGCGAUUCCCAAAUAAUUGAACGGUAAUUCCCCUAUCUUACACUUACAAACAGCAGCCAUUCUAUACAAAAAAAUCAUCUUCAAAACCAAACCCCACAAUGCAUGACUUAUGGAAGUUAAUACUUAACCUAGAGAAAAUUUCAAAAGCAGUAAAGAAUGAACUUAGUAUUCCUUACCACUUCCUCUUUCGCCCUAAAAAAUAAAAUAGUGUCGUCCACAAAUUGUAAAUGUGAGACUAACUAACCAGGUAUUACAUCUUUUAUCCCCUCUAUGAUCCCCAACUCCUCCGCUUCAACCAUCAUCAAGUGCAGUACCUCCGUCACUAGAAUAAAUAAGCAUGGUGAUAAUGGGUCCCCUUGUCUAAGACCUCUGUAGAUUCUGAACUCAUUUGUGACCGCACCAUUAAUAAAAAUGUUGCUCUUGCUGUUGCCACACACUCCAACAUCCAACCAAUCCACCUCUCACCAAAUCCCAUUUUCAACAAUAUCAAAUCCAAAAAAUCCCAGCGCACACAAUUAUAAGCCUUGGAGAAAUCUAGCUUAAAAAUCAAAUAUCCCCUUGCACAUACCUUUUUCUUAAACGAAUGAAUUAUCUCAUUUGCGCUUAAUAUUCCAUCAAAGAUUUGUCUUCCACGAAUGAAUGCACAUUGUGUAUCACUUACCACGACCCCAAUAACUUCACGUAAUCUUCUCGGUAGAACCUUUGCAACUAUUUUGUACAAUGAACUCACCAAACAGGUUGGUCUGAAUUCGAAAAUGUCAUGCCAAUUUUCAUUCUUGGGUAUGAGUGCUAUAAAAGACGAAUUAAUGCUUCUUUCCAACUUUCCAGUUUUGUAAAAUCCCGCCAUCAUUUCAAACAAAUCUUUUUGUACGAACUUCCAGCAUUUUCUAGAAAAGCAUAGAUUAAAUCCAUUCUGACCCGAAGCUUUGUUCUCAUUACAACUCCACAUCGCUUCCUUGAUUUCAUCUAUGGAAAAAGGCACCUCAAGUUUCAAAGCUUCUGCUUCUUUCAGCCUAUUGAAUUUCAAGACCAUAUCCAUUUUCCAUUUCCUCGAAGGGCAACUAAAAUGGUCUCUAAAAUAAUUGAACAUCUUAUCUUUCAGCUCCUUAGGUUCACUAUACCAAGAAUUCCAAUUUUCAUCCCAUGCACAACUUUCCUCUUCACUUUAAUCUUUACCGCACUAUGAAAAAAAAGUCGUAUUAGAGUCUUCGUCUUUUAACCAUGUCAUUCUUGAUUUUUGCCUCCAAAUCGAUUCCUUAAAUUUAAUUGUUUCCCCAAGUUCAAGAUUCAAACUUCUCAUCUCCUCCAUUUCCAACUCAGUUAACUCUCAAUUGUCGCUUUCAACAUCCAGAAUCUUAAUCCUCUCUUCAAUCUCAUUUAUUCUUUUUUCUAAUACAUUUCUAUCCUCCCUAUUCCAUUUCCUAAGGGCUCCUUUUAACUUCCUCAAUUUUCCCAAUAUUCUACUAUUCAUGCUGUCCAUUUUAUUCCAUUCUUUUGUAAUUAAACUCGGACACUCCUUUUUGCUAAGCCACUCAUUUAUAAACUUAAAAGGAUUCAGACCCAAUCCACUGUUCCGUUAGUUAACAAAAUCAAAAUAUGAUCCAAUACUAAUCUUUUUAGUCCCAGUUGUUGAAUAUCUUCAAAAUGUUCUACCCAUUCUUCAUCCACCAAAAAUCUAUCCAACCUACUUUUCUUCUUAUCUGGACCAUACCAAGUGAAUUUUUUCCCCAACAAUGGCAAAUCUACCAAUUUGCAUUUAUCAAUACAGCUCUUAAAAUCCUUCGAACCCUUUAAUGAUCCCACACAAUUACUUCUUUUGCUUUUAUUCCUAAUCGCAUUAAAAUCACCUCCCAUAAUCUAAUGAUUAGUGAACUAUUUUUGAAUCUCAAUCAUCUCCUCCCAUAAAAUCUUUUGUUCUGUCAACAUAUUGGGCGCAUAUACAUUGAUCAAUACACCUUCCCAACCUUCAGAGAACCAAUUCCCUUCUGCCACUAUAAAUCUAUUAACACAAUAUUUCUUUUUCAAUAGAAAAUAUGUUUUAUUCCAAAUUGUAAUUAACCCACCCAAACGACCUACUGCAGCCACAUACCUAAGAUCAAAUUUAUUGUCUCCCCAAAUUCUUCUAAUUAGAUCCCCAAACACUACCUCUAAUUUUGUCUCCUAUAAAAAACAUACAUUUACCCUGUGCAUUCUAACUAAUCUACUCGCCAUUGCAACUUUAACCUCUGAUCCCAAAUCCCUAAUAUUCCAAGAAACAAUUCUCAUAUCACCCAACCAAUAUUCCAAUAUACUCAAAACAUCAAAUUCAAUCACGCACCUAUUGUUGCAUUGGGGAUUUUUCGUUUUCUUCGAGUCCUUUGCUACUGGUUUUCAAGUCUCACAAUAUCCUCAAUGACAUCUCUUUCAUCUCCCCUCACUCUUAACCCCAAUUUCUUCCCCACUUCCCUAUUCUGCUUUGCCUCCUUUAGAAUUACCUUCCUCCUAUUGCUGAUGUCUGAGUCUGACAAUGAUGAAUUCACGAUUUUCUCUUCACUCCUUAGCGUUACCUUGCCCUUUUCCUUUCUCCAAAUUCUAUCCCUCUUUUGUUUUUCAUUGGAAGUCAACACCCUAUCCUGAAUAUCUUGCAUGGAGAUGUUUUUUUUAUUAAAAUGUUUCUUCUUCCUUAUGCUUUGGAUUGUAUUUAGGAAUACAUCUUCUAUCUUCUAGAAAAAACCCCCGUCCCUUGUUUCUGGUUCUUCUGAUUUGUUUCUAGAAUUUUGUUAUGCUGUCAGGAUAUUUUCCUCACUCAAAAACAGCCCUUCAUUUCUAAUUGAGCCCACACCCUCUUCUAUAUCCACCUAUACAUCUGAUUAGGUGUGAGCAAAACUCGAUUUGACUCGAAAAAUUGAAAAAAUUUCAAAUUUCGAGUUAAACGAAUCGAGUUAUUCGAAUCAAUUCAAAUUUUUUUUUCAACUUUCAAGUUCGAAUCGAGUUGAGUUUUUGAAUUCAAAUAACUCGAAUAAUUCGAAUAUCAAACUAUAACAUUUUACAUUUUUACCCUAAACUCUAAAACUUUUUUACUUUUCCCUCAAAACUUUUACUCCUUCCCACUUUCUCCCCGAAACUUUUACUCCCCUCCCCUCCCAACCCCCCAAUCUACCCAAAAUCCAUUUCCCACCAAAAUUUUACUUUUCCAUUUACUUUUUCUCAAAAUUUUACUCCCCAAAACCCUCAAAACCUUUUAUUUUCCAUCAAAAUUUUUACUCCCUCCCACUUUCCCCUAAAACUUUUAUUCUCUUCUCAUCCCACCUCCCAUCUACCCCAAACCCUCCCCUCUCCAAUUUUUUUUAAUAUUUUCCCUCCAAAAUUUUACUCUCCCUAUUUACUUUCCCUCAAACUUUUAUUCCCAAAAACUUUUUAUUUUCCCCCUAAACUUUUACUUCUCACCCUUUACUCUCAAAUAAAAAAUUAAAAUUAUCCAAAAAAAUCACUAAACGUAAAUAGUAAUAAUUUUAUUUAUAUAUACUAUUUAUAUUAUUAAAUUAAAUUUCACAUUUUAUAUUAUUUAUAUUAUUGAAUUGUUUAGUCAUAUUGAAUAUUUAUAUUAAAAUUGAAUUCUUAAUUAUGCCAUAAAAUAUUCGUGUUAAAAUUUUAUAUUGGUAUCAAUUUCACAUUUUAUUUUUAAAAUAACUUUUAUUAAAAAAUCAUAUUUUUAUAUUUAAUAUAUUUUUUAAUUCCAAAAUACAUAGUGACAAGAAUCUAAAGAUAAUUGAAACAACUAAGCAAACAAAUAAGCUAACCAGUAUAUAAAAAAUUAAUAAAUAAAUUAUGAGGUGAUGAAAGUUAAUAAAAAAUUUGAUUAAGGUGGACAAAUUUUAUUACGAUGGGUGACAAUGGUUACAAGGACCCAAAAUUAUUUUUUAAAAUUUAACUCAAACAAAUAUAUUCGAUUCGAUUCGAUUUGAAUUCCAUCUCACUCGACUCGACUCGAUUCGAGAAAACUUCAAAUAAAGUUAGGAUGAUAAAAUGAGAUUCAAAAACUCGAUUAACUCAAAAAAAUUUUAUUCGAUUCGAUCGAAUGCUCACCCCUAAAUCUGAUCCCCUACUUGGGCCUAUUACAAGUGCCAGACCCAUAUUUACUAAGUCCUCUCUAGCCCGAUCCAUACUUCUAUUACUUCUGUUGACUCUAAAUUCUCCUGCAACUAAAUUUCCAUUACUUUCGACAUCAUGAUCUCCUUCAUUUAAUUCCCCCAACAUCUUCUGACAUUCUUUUCCGUCUUUAUCAUUUUCAAUGUCUUUUUCCAUAAUUACUUCCUCCAUAACGUUUCGAUUGCCUUCCAGAGAUUUCUUCGAUUCCAAUCCAAUCGCCGAUUCUGAUUCCAACACACUUUCUUCAACCUCCUCCUGUCAUAUCUCCUUUUUCGAGAUAUUGUUUUUAUAUUCUUCCGGCCAUCCCUUUUCUUUUACACUGAUCGAAAAACUAAUAUCUCCCACCUCUAGUAUUACUACUUCAAUUUUUCUCAAUUGUUUGAUUGAAAUCUACAUCUCAAUUUUCUCAUAGUUGGUUAUUUUUGUCAAGUUCUCCCCCAUCGAAACCAAAUUGCCCCAAUUGCCAGCAACCCUUUUGAACUUUUCGUAAUUCCAGCAGUGCAGAGGUACAUAGUUGGUUGUUUUAACUGCACUUUUAAAUUACUUUAUAAAAUUGUUUUCUUUUUGCACACAAGCGUGUGUGGGUCAAUGGUUAACUGGGAUAACAUCUCAUUCUCUAUGAGAUGCCCUAAGAAGUAAUCUGAUAAAUAUUCCCCACUUCGAUUAAACCAAAGUGUCUUUAUGGGUAAACCUAGUUGUUUCUCGACUUCCGUAUGAAACUCUUUAAAUUUAUAAAAGGUUUCACUCUUGUGGCGCAUUAGGUGCACAUACCCAUAUCUAGAAUAAUCAUCUAUAAAUGUUACGUAAUACUCGUAACCACCUCUUGCACUGACGUCCAUGGGCCACAUAUGUCAAUGUGCAUUUAUUCUAAGGGUUUCAUGGCCCUCGUUCCUAAAACUAUAUACAACGAUCAUAACUCACAUUUGUAAUUCACUAUAAUAUGGUAAUUAUGAUGAGUGUUAUUUUUAUGUGCGUUCAAUUUUUAUUCUAUUAAAGUUUUUGUUUUAUUGCAUUGGGCAAAGUAGAAUAAUGUAAGAUUUUUUAAUCUCAUUAUUGAGGACCCAAUUAAGUCUAAAAUUAUGUAACCCAAUUUAAAGGGAUAAGAGUUUUACUUUUAAUAGAAGUUAAAUCUUAUCCGCUCAUUUGAAUAAUGGCGAACUCCUAUUAUGCAUGAAUUUAUCAGUUUGUGUAAUUAAGGGAAAAGUUUAAGAGGGAGAAAUAAAUUUAUCGGAUGUUCUUUUUCGUGUUCUUCUUUGUCGAGGUUAAUGGUGAACUCCUAUUAUGCAUCUAGUAUUUUUAUAUUUGUAAAAAUCAUAUUAUUGUAAAGAUCCUAAAAUAAUUGUUUCUGCAAUUCUAGGGAUUUGAUUUGCAUAAUAUUUAUAUAUAAAAAAAUUUACAACAGGAAUCCAUUUUUAAGAGUAGAAAUAGAUGAAAAUUUAAACAGAAAAACUAAUUUGCUCUUUGAUCAAAAGUACAGGAAUUAAUUUGCUCAUUUUUUAGUAGAAGUGACAAAAUACAAUUUGACUCUUAGUACAAAAACAUCCAUGAUUUUUUUACCCACCAUUUAGCUAUUCUUACUUCUUUUAUAUUAAAAAAAUUUCAACAUUAAUAAUUUAAUAUAAUUUAAACUUUUCUUUGUGGUGUGAAUUUAAGAUUGUUUGUUGAAUCCAAAGUCAACUAAAAAAGAAGUGGUAAAAAGUACUUGUCCUUUACUUUUAAGUUGCUUUAGAAGUGGAUCCAAUCAUGGGUUUCCUUUGGAAUAUGUUUUGAAGAAAGGAACCAAAGUGAAUUGAUUGAAGCAUCAUCUAUGUUCAAAUUUUGAAAUUCAAUCAUAUUUUGGUUUGUUUACAAUAAAAAAUAAUGUGGAAUUAAUAGGAGCGGAAACUUAUCUUUUUACGGAGGUGAUUGAUGCCUGCGUGGCUGAAGCUAGGGCAUGUGAUAAGGCGUUUCUUAUCGAAACAACGAACCUUGAAGGAUUGCGGAUCUAGGAUUAUAGCAACAUCCUUUCUGCAGCAUAAACAAUACACAAACAAAACAAAAAAAUGGAACAAAAUUCAACAUAUAAAAAAAUAAAAUUGGAGACGAAAAACUCGAAAGAACCUGCACAAUAGACUAUGCAAACCCGAAUCGAAUAUGUUUCACGUCAAAGGACUUGGACCCUCUAGAUAGCAAUCUAGGAACCCUAAGUAUCAAGGAAAUUUUGACACGACAAACUAAGUCUGAAAUGUCAAAAGAAAGUUCAAUGAAGAACCGAAAUUGAGAGAAAAUUCUCACAAGUAUUUGUUUAAUAAAAAUCAUCUAACCAGAUUACAUUGUUUGAACAUCUAUUUAUAAGUACAAGGAAGGGGUUAUCGAAUUUGAAUUAGUGGCUGUAAAUAAAGAAUUCAAAUUUGAAUAUGAAGGAGUUAUAUCCUCUCUUGGCGCCAUCAAAUACCAGCAACACAUUGAAUAUGUGUGAAACGUUUGAAAUUCAAAAAUUUGAACUCUUGUUCUUAUCCAAAACGUUUGAAAUUCAAACAUUUGAACUCUUGUUCUUAUCCCUUUGAAUUUAGCGUCAUAUGUAGAGAAUAGGGCUGAUUUCGGCCACACAUGCACACACAUGUGUCCAGGCUGUUACGUGUGUGCUGUACAUACUGGGAUGCCACCUAGGCUGCCACAUGUGUAUGGGACACUCCCCGACACGUAGGACACCUUCUAGCUACAUCUGAACUUGUUAGCUAGAGUUGAGCUGGUGGAGCUGAAAUUGAGCUAGCUGGAAAUGUACUGAGCUGAAAUAAGUUGGAAACAAACUUUCAAAACUAUUUCGAGCUGAGAGGAGCUGCACGCACAUAUUUGAGCUUCAACCGAGCUAGAAAUGAGGCCUUAAGCUGCUGUCCAUUAUUGUACCAAUAUCAAAACAUAUCAAACUUCCAUCAAAGUCUUGUAAAUUUAAUGGAAAUCACAAUUACAAGCCGGAACACUUGCAAUUCUUAUUCUUUAACACACUUACAAUUUAGAAACAACUUAGAAACAAUACAAAUACUAUCAACCCAAUUGCAGAAACGUACUUAGCAUAACAUAUACAUACUUAAACGCAUGAACUAGUAAUAUAACAGAGAUAUGUCACAUAUCAGCAUGCAACAUGUUAUAAAGCCUAUGUUCAAAGGCAUGAACAUGAUCGAAUGAAUCUGGAAUCGUUGCACAAGUAAGGAACAAGACUUCCCUGAAUUUCUUUGCCUUAGAACGGGUAAUAGGUCCUAAUGGUAAGACCUCCAGAUCGGUUUGCUUUGUUGGCGUAAAUGUGCUCACAUCAUUCCCCCCUUCUUGAAAAGGAUUUGUCCUCAAAUCUGUAGAAUCAUCAUAAGGGGUUAAAUCAGAAACAUUAAAUGUGGCACUCACAUUGUAUUCUCCCGGCAAGUGUAACUUGUAGGCAUUGUCAUUCACUUUCUUCAACACCUGAAAAGGACCAUCUCCGCGCGGUAAUAUCUUGGACCGCCUUUGGGCUGGAAAACGUUCCUUUCGGAAAUGAACCCAUACCCAAUCACCAACAUCGAAGGUGACUCGCUUUCUACCCUUAUUUGUAUGCUUUUCGUACUGUUGAGUCCUUCGUUCGAGGUUCUCCUUAACCUGUUGAUGCAAUUUCUUCACGUAUUCCGCUUUUGCUUUACCGUCCCUAUUCAUCACCUGUUCUUGUGGGAAAGGCAACAUAUCUAGAGGCGUAAUAGGAUUAAAGCCAUAAACAACCUCAAAAGGUGACAUCUUAGUAGCAAAAUGUACAUCAUGGUUAUAAGCGAAUUCAACAUGUGGCAAACAAUCUUCCCAAGUUUUGACAUUCUUUUUAAUGAUGGAACGAAGUAAAGUAGAUAAAACUCUAUUAAGAACCUCAGUUUGUCCAUCAGUCUGGGGAUGACAAGUAGUAGAAAACAUAAGUUUUGUACCUAAUUUGCUCCAAAGAGUCCUCCAAAAAUGACUCAAAAACUUCACAUCCCUGUCAGAAACAAUCGACCUAGGGAUACCAUGUAAUCGUACAACAUCUCUAAAGAACAAGUUAGCCACAUUAAUAGCAUCAUCAGUCUUAUGGCAUGAAAUGAAAUGUGCCAUCUUCGAGAACCUAUCAACCACAACAAAUAUGCUAUCCCUACCUGUUCUAGUUUGAGGCAAUCCCAAAACAAAGUCUAUUGAAAUAUCCGUCCAAGGGGAUUCAGGAAUAGGUAAAGGUAAGUACAUACCAUGUGGUGAAACCUUCGAUUUUGCUUUUCGACAAGUCACACAACAUUCACAAUACCUUUCAACGUCCCUGUGUAUCUUAGGCCAAAAAAGAUGCUCUGUUAAGGUGUGUAACGUUUUAGUGACCCCAAAAUGACCCAUCAAUCCACCUUCAUGUGCUUCGCGGAUCAGUAUAUCACGCAUUGAACCCUGUGGAAUGCAUAUCCUAUUUUCUUUGAAAAGAUAUCCAUCAUGCCUGUAGAAUUUUCCAUCUGCUCCUUUCUCACAAGCAUUAUACUUAUCUCUAAAAUUAGGAUCUUCAGAAUAUAAUUCUCUAAUAUAUGCAAAUCCAAUCAACUGUGAAUCAAGGUAACUCAAAAGGGUAUAUCUACGUGAUAAUGCAUCAGCAACGACAUUGUCUUUUCCCUUUUUGUAACGAAUGACAUAAGGAAAAGAUUCCAAAAAUUUAACCCAUUUAGCAUGUCGUUUAUUCAAUUUAUGCUGACCUGUAAUAUACCGCAAAGCCUCAUGGUCAGUGUGGAUGACAAACUCUUUAGGCAACAAAUAAUGUUGCCACAUCUCCAAAGCCCGGAUCAGUGCGUACAUUUCCUUGUCAUAAACAGGAUAAUUCAACAUUGCUCCGCUAAGUUUCUCACUGAAAUAUGCAAUGGGCCUCUUUUUCUGUGACAAAACAGCACCUAUACCAACUCCAGAAGCAUCACAUUCAAUUUCAAACAUUUUAUCAAAAUCAGGUAAUGCUAAAACAGGGGCUUUUGUCAAAUAAUCUUUUAUUUUUAAAAAGGCAUCUUCUUGUUCUUUACCCCAAGAGAAGACGGAAUUCUUCUUUAUAAUCCUGGUUGAGGGAGCGGUAAUAGAACUGAAUUGGGGAACAAACCGACGGUAAAAACUGGCUAAACCAUGAAACGAUCUAACCUGACUAAUGGAUGCCGGUCGUGGCCAAUUUUGAAUCGCCUUUAUCUUCUCAGGAUCAACCUCAACUCCCUAAGAACUAACAAUAUAACCAAGAAAUGUAAGUUUGUUAGUACAAAAUACACAUUUCUCCAUGUUACCGAACAAUUUCUCUUCUCGCAAAGUCUGCAAAAUAGCUCGUAAAUGUUCUAUAUGAUCCUGCAAAGUCUUGCUAUAAAUUAGUAUGUCAUCAAAGUAUACAACACAAAAUUUGCCUAUAAAAGAUCGCAGAACAUGAUUCAUCAGUCUCAUAAAAGUACUAGGUGCAUUCGUUAAUCCAAAUGGCAUCACUAACCAUUCGUACAAACCUAGCUUUGUUUUGAAAGCUGUCUUCCACUCGUCGCCUUCUUUCAUGCGAAUCUGGUGAUAUCCACUCUUCAAAUCAAUUUUGGAGAAGAUAGUCGCUCCGCAUAAUUCAUCCAGCAUGUCAUCGAGUCGAGGAAUGGGGUGUCGAUACUUGAUUGUGAUUUGAUUUACUGCUCGACAAUCAACACACAUCCUCCAAGUCCCAUCUUUCUUAGGUACCAAUAGCACUGGUACGGCGCACGGGCUUAAACUCUCUCGAGUGUAACCUUUAUCCAACAACUCUAAAAUCUGUCUUUGAAGUUCCUUUAUCUCUUCGAGGUUACUUCGAUAGGAUGGUCUAUUUUGGAAUUGUGACUCCAUGGAUGAAAUCAAUCUGGUGCUCAAUGCCACGAAGAGGGGGUAAACCCUUGGGUGUUUCAUCCGAAAACACAUCUUGAAAUUCCUACAAAAGAGAUGAAAUGGAAGUGGGCAAAACAUUAGAAGUUUCAGACAAUAAAAAAGAAUCUUUAAACAACAAAAUGAGCAAAUAUUGUUUAGAGGAAAGACAUUUCCUGAUUUCUUUGCUACUUGCAUACACAUUCAUCUUGUUUUUCCCACGAACUUCUUCAGUAUUCUUUCGGAAUCUCUCCUGAUCUUCUUGCACUUGACUCAGUGUCAAAGGUCUAAGAUGAGCUUCUUUCCUUUGUGCAUAAAAGAAUAUCUGUUUGUAAAACCAUCAUGCGUUUUCCUCUUAUCAAACUGCAACGGAUGACCUAAUAGCAAAUGGCUCGCAUCCAUUGAAACGACAUUGCAAAGUACUUCAUCCUUGUACUUUCCAAUGGCAAACGGAACUAACACCUGCUUGUUUACUUUAAUCUCUCCUCCAUUAUUCAGCCACUGCAAUUUAUAGGGAUUGGGAUGCUUUGUCGUCUUCAGUCCUAACUUUUCAACCAUCACGGAACUAGCAACAUUAGUGCAACUACCACCAUCGAUAAUUACAACACAUACCUUGUCAUUGACAAGACAUCUUGUAUGAAAGAUGUUCUCUCGCUGCUGUUCUUCUUGAGUUGGUUGAGUGUUCAAACUUCUCUUGAUAACAAGUGCUUCACCGGUUACAAAUGUCUGCACAUUGUCAUCAUCUUCAUCAACAUCUACUGUAUGGAGUUCUGGCUCUUCUUCUUCUGUCUCGGACUCAAUCUCACCACUCUCUAAUAGUAUCAUGGUCCUCCAAUUUCGACAUUGACUGGCAAUAUGUCCUCUACCAAGGCACUUAAAGCACAAAAUGUCUCUUGAACGUUCUGGUUGCAUUUGUUGUUUCCCACGCCCAACAUCAACAACUGGAGCCUUGGGUUUGCUCGUUUCACCCUUUUCUUUGAUUUGGAAUGGUGUUUGCUUCCUGAAAUUGUUAGGAGUACCCAAAGGAUUGGAAAAUGAUUUAAAUGGAGUAUUACCUCUAUUAGAAGACUUUCUACAUUGCUGUCUUUCAACUUUAAUCGCCAUAUGCACCAUGUCCUCCAACUCAACAUAAUGCUGCAACUCAACAACGUUAGAAAUUUCAGAGUUUAAUCCUGCAAGGAAUCAUUCCAUAGUAUCCUCUCGAUCCUCAACAAUGUUGGCUCGCAUCAUGGACACCUCUAUUUCCUUGUAGUAGUCUUCUACACUCCUAUUUCCCUGUUUUAUCGAUUGUAAUUUCUGGAAUAAAUCACGAUGAUAGUGAGAAGGAACAAAUCUCUUGAGCAUGAUUUGCUUCAUUUCUGCCCAAGUUCUCACUGGACCUUCACCGGUACGUCUUCGACUUAUCAAUAAUUGAUCCCACCAGAUCAAAGCGUAGUCUGUGAAUUCCAUCACAGCCAAACGAACCUUCUUCUGUUCUGAGUAAUUAUAACACUCGAAAACAUGUUCUACCCUGCUUUCCCAAGCAAGAUAUGCAUCAGGAUCUGUUCGUCCCUGAAAUGAAGGUAUAGCAACUUUUAUGUUAGAAAUAUUAUCAUAUACUGCGCGUCCUGAUCGUUGAUUCACCCUUGGUGAAUGUUCGACAUCAUUUUCAUCAUUCUGUUCAUUAUGGACAGAUUGGGAACCACCCCCAUCGAUCUUGUCCAAACGAGAAUGUAUAGGCUCUAAUGCAUUUUCUAACAGACGUUGCAAGGUGCGAGUAAGAGCCUGUAUUUGCAAAUCUGGUGGCUGAUUUUCAUCACAAAUACGAUCUACUGAUCCCGUCAUACUUAAACAACACAAAGAAUACUGAUAAAAAGUUAAGUAAAACAAAAAUAAUAAUAAAAGUCCUCACAGCACACUCACAAAACCUCUCGGUUUUCACUCCAAAGAACGGUGCACUCAAAAUACACUCAGCGCUCAUGUUUCACUUGAGAGAAUGCUUGAAUGGCUUUUUUUGUCUCCCCUUCUAUUCUCACAACGCUCAAUGCCUUUUUCCACUCGAUCACUCUUAAUCAGUUCUUUAGGGAACUAACCCGAUCCUUCGGACUUAUUAACUGUGUCAAACUUACAAGAAAAAGGGAAAAGAAAGAAAAAAAAUAAAGGCUAAAGAAACAAAUAGUUAAAGAAAGAUAUAGGACUGGCAAAGAAAGAGAAAAAAAACGAAGAAACGAGGAUGACAAUAAGAAAGGAAAAAAAACUCAACAACUUACUACAAAAGAAAUGCUUACAAUAAUUCUAUCACCGAAUCAAACAAGAAAAGUUGUUUCGGAUGAUUUUCACGCAAUUCAAGGUGUAAUUUGAGUAGCUUCCAACAUGUCACACACAAUUCAACACUAUUCUUUUGUAAUUUGCACAAAAUCUCAAAAACUGAUUUUAUUAUAUAUAUUUUUCGAAUUUUUUUUUUCUUUUAAACUUUGAUAUUCGAAAUUUUUUUUGUUUUUUUGUUUUGCUUUUUUUAAACUUUGAUCAAUAUAUAAAUUUUUUUAUUUUUUUUGUUUGUUUUCUUUUGGUGCAGAACGUGCCAAAAUCCAACCUAAGCUCUGAUUACCACUUGAUAAGGCGUUGCUUAUCGAAACCACGAACCUUGAAGGAUUACGGAUCUAGGAUUAUAGCAACAUCCUUUCUGCAGCAUAAACAACACACAAACAAAACAAAAAAAAGGGAACAAAAUUCAACAUAUAAAAAAAUAAAAUUGGAGACGAAAAACUCGAAAGAACCUGCACAAUAGACUAUGCAAACCUGAAUCGAAUAUGUUUCACGUCGAAGGACUUGGACCCUCUAGAUAGCAAUCUAGGAACCCUAAGUAUCAAGGAAGUUUUGACACGACAAACUAAGUCUGAAAUGUCAAAAGAAAGUUCAAUGAAGAAUCGAAAUUGAGAGAAAAUUCUCACAAGUAUUUGUUUAAUAAAAAUCAUCUAACCAGAUUACAUUGUUUGAACAUCUAUUUAUAAGUACAAGGAAGGGGUUGUCGAAAUUGAAUUAGUGGCUGUAAAUACAGAAUUCAAAUUUGAAUAUGAAGGAGUUAUAUCCUCUCUUGGCGCCAUCAAAUACCAGCCACACAUUGAAUAUGAGUGAAACGUUUGAAAUUCAAAAAUUUAAACUCUUGUUCUUAUCCAAAACGUUUGAAAUUCAAACAUUUGAACUCUUGUUCUUAUCCCUUUGAAUUUAGCGUCAUAUGUAGAGAAGAGGGCUGAUUUCGGCCACACAUGCACACACAUGUGUCAAGGCUGUUACGUGUGUGCUAUACAUACUGGGAUGCCACCUAGGCUGUCACAUGUGUAUGGGACACUCCCCGACACGUAGGACACCUUCCAGCUACAUCUGGACUUGUUAGCUAGAGUUGAGCUGGUGGAGCUGAAAUUGAGCUAGCUAGAAAUGUACUGAGCUGAAAUGAGUUGGAAACGAACUUUCUGAACUAUUUCGAGCUGAGAGGAGCUGCACGCACAUAUUUGAGCUUCAACCGAGCUAGAAAUGAGGCCUUAAGCUGCUAUCCAUUAUUGUACCUAUAUCAAAACAUAUCAAACUUCCAUCAAAGUCUUGUAAAUUUAAUGGAAAUCACAAUUACAAGCUGGAACACUUGCAAUUCUUAUUCUUUAACACACUUACAAUUUAGAAACAACUUAGAAACAAUACAAAUACUAUCAACCCAAUUGCAGAAACGUACUUAGCAUAACAUAUACAUACUUAAACCCAUGAACUAGUAAUAUAACAGAGAUAUGUCGCAUAUCAGCAUGCAACAUGUUAUAAAGCCUAUGUUCAAAGGCAUGAACAUGAUCGAAUGAAUCUGGAAUCGUUGCACAAGUAAGGAACAAGACUUCCCUGAAUUUCUUUGCCUUAGAACGGGUAAUAGGUCCUAAUGGUAAGACCUCCGGAUCGGUUUGCUUUGUUGGCGUAAAUGUGCUCACAUCAGCAUGUGAAAGGGCUCUUUUGUUUGUAGUUAAGAUGGGUUAUCGGCAUUUGAUUGUUGAAGGGGACUCUUUAACAGUCAUCAAGAACAUUAAGAAAAAGGAAAAAGAUAAAUCAGUUCUUAGGCCAAUAACGUAUCAAAUUAGUUUGCUGGAAAAAUGCUUUGAUUUUGUAACUUACACUUUUGUGCCCCGAAAUGUUAAUAGGACUGCUCACACACUGGCGCUGGAAGGCCGGAGGCAAUAGGCUUGUGGUGUCUGGCCAGAUGGAGUUCUUGAUUUUGUGAAGACGACGGCGAUGAUGGAUCGAUUGGCUUAGAAUAAAAAAUACCAGGGUUUUUCUUGACUCAGCUUUGAAAAUGGUGAAGACUCACCGCUCCUCCAGUUAUGGAUUCAAAGCUUCGUUCUCUUCUCUUCCUAAUCUUAAGAUCUUUUUCAGAAGGAGAAGCGAUACGUCUGUUGGCAGAUAUUGGGUUUUGAAAUUAGCUGCAGUUUUUUUGGGUUCAGGGUGGUUUUUCUUAUGCUAUUUUGGUUUUGAUUGUUUUUUAGGUUGUGUUGGCUUUUAGUUUAGGCUUUUUAAUAUCUCUGUCUUUUCAUUUUCUAUUCUGACUAUGUCUUUUCAUCUUUGCCUUAAGCCGUGUAAUUUUAAUAUAUCAACCAAUUUUUCAUGCAAAAUAAUAAUAAUAAUAAUGUGGAAUGGGUUUGAAAUUUGUCCUCCAUAUACUAAUUAUGUUAUUGUCUUAACAACUUUCCUUUUCUAUUUCUCUUUAAACUAUUCAACACUAACCUACAAUUUUUGUAAAUAAAUAUUUAGUUAAAUAAACAUUUCUUUCUUUACUCAUCUUAAGAGGCUAUAAAUAUAUUAAAAUAAAUUGAAAAAAAAUCACAUUUAUUAAAAUUCCGAUUUUAACCAAAAUAUUUCCAAGGGAACUCAUAAUGUAUAUUUCUAGACACGGAUUAAGUCCUCGUUAAUCUUUUUCUUUAUUAUUAUAAAUAUUUGUUUAUUUUAAUACAUUUUAUAGAUUGGAAAUUUUAAUUAAAAAAGUGAAGUUUAGAGAUUCAUUAAUUUAUUUAUUUUGCAAACUGGCGGGCAUUUUUUUUUUUUGUAAUUUUAACGAAAUAAGGUCCACGCGUCAUUUGCUUAUGCUUAGCUGUUACCAGUAGUUUUUCUUUUUUCAAAUGGAGAUGGAUUUUUUUUCUUUGUCACACGCCUUUCCUAUUUCUUUUUCCGUUUGUUUUUUUCUUGUUCUAUUUCAAAUGAGUAAUGACCUUUCUCAAGAAAAUGGUGGAUUUUUUUUUUUUGAGAAAUCCAAAAUUUUACAUCGUAUUUACCCUUAACUUUAUUCAUUGGUCAAAUUAAUAUAUAACUAGAAUGUUUUGUCGGGGCUUCAACCUUUUUAUAUAAUUUUAUUUAUACUAUAAUUACUUAUUAUAAUGAUUAAUAUUAUUUCUUUACUAAUUAAAAAUACUUUUUAUAUAAAUUGUUUUUAUUAAUUCAAAUGACAAAAAGUUAUGUUAGGUAUAGAUUGCUUUAUAAUAAAUUAUGAUUAUGAUCUCUCUAUUAUAAUUAAAUUAUAUGAUAGUUUCACGUACUAAUAUUUAACCGCACAAAUUAUAUGUUUUAAGAAUAAAUCUUUAAAAUUAAACUUUGGUUAAUUAUAAAAAAAUUAUUUUUCUGAUGAAAGUUUAAACCCUAAUGUAGCUUUUGAUUUUUAUAAUUUCUCUAUUUUUUAUAUAUUUUUUAUGUUUGUUUUAUGAUUUAUGUUUAAAAUUUUUAAUUGCUCCUCUCAACAAUAUCAUCUCCAAGGGUUCAAACAUGUGUCUCCCCUUAACAAUAUAAUGUGACUUAUCAUUGCACCGAACACUUACUACCUUUACUCUAACACUUAUUGGGAGUGACACCUACAAACUCCGAAUAUAAAAUAAAAAUGAAGAAUACCAACAAAAUAUAUUACUUGAUAACAUAUAAAUUUUUCUUAGAUCUAAAUCAUAUAAUUUAAGAAUUAAAUUAUCCAAUAUAAAUUUAUAUUUCAAGAAUUAGAAGCUAAAUGCAAUGUCAAAUAAUUAAAGGAAAAAGACUUUAAAAAUGAGGUAAUUUUAUUUUCUCAAAAAAUACCAUUUCAUUAUAUAUUAAUCAAUUAAGAAAAUACUUGAAUAAAACUAAUUAUUAAAGCUUUUAUAAAAAUAUUUACUUAUAGUUUGAUUUUUUUAUUACUAAAUUUUAGUUUAAGUUGAAGUGAGUCUUGAGUUUGUAUUUUUUUAAGUUAAAGUUUUUCCGAGUUCAAAUUUUUUGAGCUUAGAUUUUUUUAAGUUUAGACCUUUUUAAGAUCGAAUUUUUAACUUUUUAAUCAAAUCAAGUUUAAAAUGAGUUUGGGUUCGAGUUUUUUCGUGUUAAGUUCUCAAGCUCGGGGUCAUUUAUUCAUAUCUACUUUUAUAUAUGCUUCUCAUGCUGAAAUUGAAAUUUAUUUAUUUUUAUUUUAAAGGUUUUUACAAAAAAAUUUCACAUCAUAAUUUUAAUCAAAUAAUUAAAAUAUGAACUAUUUAGACUUAAUAAUAUAAUUAAAAAAUAAAUCCUAACUAUGAGCACUACAAUUUCACUAUGUUCUUAUAAUGACGUAAGGCCCAAUGAUAUUCAACAAAAAUAUUGAAAAAGGGCAGGAGCGAACAGCUAGAUCAAGCACUGAUCAAGAAUAAAUUUGUAGCGAUUCCAAAGAGUAAAUUACUGUAAAAGAAACUUGAGAAAUCCAAAAUUUAGAUUUUAUUCUAUUGUUCAUGGAUCUCAUCAAUAGAUGAUAUUUACUGCUUCGCUUUUGGAAAAUAUUCGAGAAACCAAAAUUUAGAUUUACAUAACUCCAAUAUUUUCCUAUCAACGAUCUUGACUAUCAAACUCAAUGUAUUAACAAAUUCUAUUCUUUAUUUUUUUAAAUCUUUAUUGUUUGACAACCUUUUCUUAAAUUAUUUUUUAGUGAAAUAAGCACAAUAAUUAUAUAUUACUAUUUUAAUUGAAUUCAAACCUUUUUUAUUUCAUAAUUAACCUAGAAAACUAAGUUUGAGCGUUAAUUAAAUCAAUAAACAAUAUUAAUUUGAAAUGCUCUCUUUUUUUAUAAUAAUUUAGAAAUUUAAAGGCUUAACCUACGGAUUGUUAUUUAAAUUAUGUUAUUUUUUUUAUCUUGGUACCUAAAUUAUUUUUACUCAAAAGUGAUAUCUAAACUAUUUUUCUCAAGUUGUUAUCUCCGAUACCCAAACUAUUAAGUUUAUUUUUUUAUGAAAGGUUAUCCUACAAAUUAGUACCUCAACUACUUUUUUUUUCUCAAGUUGAUUCUUUUAUUAGUUCAACUAUUAAGCGUAUUUUUAAAAAAAUAUAUAACAAAUUAAAAUUAGCUAUGUGGCAAAAACAAAAAACAAAAAAAUAUUACUUUCUCAUUAUAUAUCUCUUUUUAUUUUAUAUUUUCUUUCUUUCUUUCUUUUUCCUCUCAUCUUGGGAUGCUACCUAGGUAAAAUUGACUCGAUAUAUUAUCAUGACAUCACAUAAAGAUUAUUGAUGAAAGUUGUAGGUCUUCUUUAAGGAACUUCUCCCAUUCAAUAUUUUAAAAAAUAAUACAAUGUUUUUAUUUCGGUUUCAACCAUGAAUGAUUAAAUAUGCAAUGACAAUUAUAAAUGGCAUUCUUUUUUCUAAACUAUAUGGCAUGCUUAUAUUAUAUAUGCAUGAACUUACAUGUUAAUUUAAUUUCAUACAAUCACAUAUAGAAUACUAUAAAAUUUCUAAAUUAAAUUGACUCUAACCAUUCAAACAUUUCCAUGGCUCCAUCUUUAAGGAAAAAUAAAAUAAUUAAAUUUAUAAUGUUUUUCUCAAAGCAUUCUUUUGGCUUUCCAGGUAAAAAUCAAACAUAUUGUGGGUUCCACAUCCCAAAUUCCAAAAGGAACCUGUUUGCCAAAAAUAAUCCUAAAAUCUAAAAACUCGAAAAUAAUCGUAAGUGACUUUCACUAUCGACCGAGCCUCCACCACUACCAAAUAUUAUUGUCAUCCAUCGUCGGUUAGCUCACCAUUGGCCCACCACCAACUAGCCACCCUGUCGGGCUAGCGCUUCCUCGUUCGAUUUUGGUUUCGGUUUCAAUUGCAUUGUCUUUGACCUCACCUUUUUGGUUUCCCCAAAAGUUUUAGGUUAAAAAAAAACCUAGCCUGUACUUGGCUCACAUGAAUUUUCUAAUUUUACAAAAAUAAAAAAAAUCCUACGUGAAGAUGAUAGUUCACGAUCUAAUUACAAACCCAAUAAAUAUGAAAAACCAAAACUUCAACCAAUUUAAUGAUAGGAACCACAACCUUUGGCAAAAUUACUUUAUAACAUUUAUAAAAUAAAAUAUACAUUCAUUCACAUGCAUAAUAAUCCCAAACAUGCAUGCAAUUUAAUAAUGUCAUUUCUUAUCUCAUUAAUCAAACAAUGAGAGAAAGAGACAAAAUUUGAUAUCGAUUUAUAUUAUAAACAUAGCACAACCUGGUUCUGAUAUCAAUUGUUGAAAAAAUCGAUUUAGAAAAUAGUGUUUUUAGGCAAAGAGAACGUUUAAAUUUUUUCUUAAAACCAAACCUUGUGAUAUUUAUAGUAAUAAACUUUUAACUGAAAUAGUAUUUGUGCUUUGUACGAUGCGAUCUACGUUGUUUCUCGGUUUUUUACCGAACAACCGUCUCUCCUAUCCUUUAACUCAGAAUUGCUUAGAGUGUAGACUUAAACAAAAAAAACCAAGUGCACAAAAUUAAAAUUUUCUUAACUUUUAGUGGGAAAGUUAAUCCUCUCUAUAAGAACCAGAAAUUAUGAGUUUUUCAUAAAAAAUAAAAUUUAUUCUAAAAAUAAAUUGUCACUAUUUUCUGAUAGAAUAACGAUACUCUCAAAAGGUAAAAUUAGGUUAGCUCAUAGUUUCUAUUUAUAGAAAUAUGGAACAAGAGUUAUGCUUGAAUAAUAUGUAAUUAAAUAAUAAUAUUUUAAUAAAAGCACAAUGUUCCAUUAGAAUUGUAACACAAGGGGCGGCGGCACACCCUAGGGAAUACUAGGGUUUAAUUCCCUUCUCAUAUAAUUGGGCCUAUUAGGCCUUUUGUGUAUUAGAUUACAACUAUAUGUGUUAUCCAGAUUUUUAUCUACAAUUUAUAAUUUACCCAACCCUAUAACUAUUUUUUGUUAAAUUCAUAACAAUUUUAUUAUAUUAAACCUAUGAUGAAAUGAAUUUAAUUGCCUCAUUCAAUAAAUCUACGAUGACUAAUUAGUUUAAUUCUCUUUUCAAACUUCAAUUAUUUACUUAAAUCAAUUAAAUAAUAAUUCAAAUAAAUUAAAUUAAUUUUAAGUCAUUUUUGUACCCAAAAAGAAAAUGCAUUCAUUGUGGGUAGUAAAUACAUGCAAUCCAUUUCUCUUACUUAAUGUUUUCAUUCAUUCCAGAUUAUCGAUUCUACAUGCAAUUUGUUUCAAGUUAUCUCAAGCUAGUGGAAGGACCGAUUGGACAUAUAUAAUUAGGGCUAAAAUAAUUUGUAAUUAGGUUUCGACUAUUCACCUAUUAAUUACAACAUUAUUAAUCAUGAAAUCAUUUCAUUAUAGUAUCAUGAUUGAACUAUCCCUUAUUAUAUACUAUUACAAAAGCUACUCAUUAAGUGCUUGUACAAUAACCUUGUUAUAAGUGUGCUACCCUCAUAGGAUAUCCUAAAUUUCUUUAGGAUAAAAUUUGUUCUCUUAAUAUGAUCUUAUUUUAUCUCAUGGUUUCCAUUACAUCUUUUGAUAUGAAAAAGUCAAUUACUAAGGGUGUGUUUAAUAAACUGAAAAUUUAAGUGUUGAAAAGUUAAACACUGAAUUUUUAUUGCUAAAUUUUAUAAAUGUUGAAUUUAUAUUAGAAAAUUGUUUGAUAUAUUAAUAAAUAUAAGUACUGAAUAUAAUUAUUUUGUUUGAUAAAGUUAAACAUUGAUUUUCAAAAGAUUAUUUUAAUCUCAUUAAUAUAAUAUUUUAUAUUAUUUUAGAUAGUUUUGGAUGAAAGAAAAAUAUGUUCAUUUGAAUAUCUCAUUUUUAAAAGAAAUAUAAUUUAUUUUAAUUUUUAAUAAAAUAAAAUUAACUUAAUAUUUUCUACAUUAAGUGAUUAGUAGCUGCUUAUCUACUUAUCUUAUUGAACAUUUUUUUGUUGAAAAUUUUAUAUUAAGUAAAAAGUUAAAAUGGUUAUCAAACACAUUUAAAAUAUUAAAUUUUGAAAAUUUACAAUGAUUUAUCAAACACAGCCUAGUACAUAAUAGUUAAAUAUCCGAGUAUUACGUCAAAGCCACAACAACCAACAAAUGUCGUCAAACUUAAUCCCCCAAUCACCAUCGUUUAACACGAAUUGCAAGGGAUUUAUUAGGUUUUCAAUGAUCCACUCUUUCAAACUCAUGCUCAAGAAAUCAUUCAAGGAGGUAGGAGUAAUGAUGUUGCACCAAACAACAAGAGCCGAAAAACAACCUCGAAGAACAUGCUUCGUAGUUUCCUUCACCCCACCAAAGUGUCGACAGCUCCCAUCGUUAGCUAAAUGUCUUUUGACACAAUUCAUGUUAGUGAGAAAUUUAUCAUUGAUCGUAAGCCAAAGAAACAAUUUCACCCAAGCAAGCCCUUUAUAACCUUACAACAUGCUCCACUUUCGAUCCUCCUACAAAGAAUUUCGUCACAUCAACGCUUCAUAAGCAGAUUUAGAAGAGAAUCUCGUCUCUUUGUUCCACAACCUUCCCAUGUAAUCAUUAAUAUCCUACCCUCGAGGGGGUCUUCGACUAGCAACAAGGUUACAUAUAGAAUGGGGUAGCAAACCAUUAAGCUCUUCCCAAUUCCAAUCACCAUCCGCAUUGAGCAUGGACAUAAUUGGACGAUGACAAUUGAUAACUUUCUCAGGCGAAACACAGUGAUCAAAUAAGAUUCCAGCUUCCACCAUCCAUGGAUCAUGCCAAAAAUCAAUUGUGGCACCAUUACCUAUAUUCCAAACUAGGAAUUUCCUAACCUCCUCCUAAACCUUCACAAUGCCCUUCCACAAUGGUGAACAAUUUCGAGCAAGGAAAGUAAUCGGUAAGUCAUGACCCCACUUAUAUUUAAUUCUCAAAACUUAUACCCAAAGCUAAUUCAAUCGACUUACCAGAUUAUAGCCUAACUUCAUUAGAAAAGCUCCAUUUUGUUGUUCAGUACGUUUGAGACCUAAACUACCUUGUUCAAUGGGUCGACAUAGAGUGUCCCACUUCACAAGAUUUAUUCUCCGAAUCUCAUCCGAGCUACCCAAAAAAAGUUAUGGAUUAUCUUCUCCACAUAAAGAAAAAUGCCCUUAGGAAUAACCAUAAAUUGCGUGGCAUGAAUAGGAAUAGCAGCUAACACCGCUUUAGCUAAUGUCAACCUCCCCGCAAGGGAUAAAUUCUUAGUUUCCAACCCGCUAGCUUUUUUCGCAUGUUGCUAAUGAAAAAUUGAAACGUUGUCUUAGUAACGCGUUGGUGCAAAAGUGGGACUUCAAGAUAUUUCCCAAGGUCCUUCUCCAAUGUAUACCCAAACUCAUUACAAAUCCCAUUUUGCAACGAAACCUCAACAUUAGCAAAAAAGUAAAUAUUUUUUUAACAACUAAUAUUGUGCCCUGAUAACUUAUAGAAAAAUCUUCAUAGCCUUCUUAAUCACCUUUCUCUUAUCUAUGGAAGCUUCUGAAAACAAAACCAAAUCACCAAAAAAAAAAUAAAUGGGAAAUUAGUGGGUCACCUUUAAAAAGUCUCAAAGGUUUCCAUAAUCUUUGAUUUACUAUAUAAGAAAUAAGCUAAGUUAAUCUCUAAAUACAAAAGAACAAAGAUAUAAGGAAAUAAUGGGUCACAUUGUCGAAUGCCCAUUGUCUAUUGGAAAUCCUUUGUCAAGCUUCCAUUCCAUGGCACUUGUAUUAAAAUUGAAGUGAUACAAUACAUAAUUAUACGUCAUAAACUGGAUAAGAUACCAAUGUCCACAAACAUAUCAUUUAUGAAAUUCUAAUCAAGACGAUCAUAAUCUUUUUCAAGAUCCACUUUUAUGGCCACCCAUCCCUUUCCCCCUUUCUCCCUUCUCAUAGAGUGAAUAACUUCUUGAGAAAUAAUGAUAUUAUUUAUGAUGCACCUACCCGAAACAAAACUCAACUGAUUAGGCAAAAUCCAUUUAAAAAGAUAGGAUUUAAGCCUAUUCAUAAUAACCUUCGUAACAGUUUUGUAUAUCGUAGUACACAAACUAAUCGACCUAAAUUGGUGAAAGUAUAAAGUAACAUGAACCUUAGGGAUCAAAACCAAUUAAGGUUUUGCUAAGCCAACCACUCAACUUUUCUCCAUUCAUGGUACCUUUUACAAAACUGCAAACACUUCUCCCUAUAUACACCCAAUUCUUUUGAUAAAGUGACACAUGAAUCCCAUUAAUUCUCGAUUUUUUCAAAGGUGUCAUACAAAAACGACAUUCUUAACUUCCUAAUCAAUGGUUGGGGAAGAAAUUGCACUAAGCUAAGCUUUAGAAAAUUUAUAAAAGCCACCCCGAAUAGGAGACCCUCCUCUUGAUUUUUGGUAUCAAAGGCUUUCUUCUUGAGAGAGGACAUCUUUUAACUCACCUUACAAAUUUUGAGCAAGAUCAAAUAGAUAAGGGGAUGAUCUAGACUCAAGGCAUCUUUCAAUUCCUCUUAUGCGAGCUAUUAGAUGGGCCUUCCUCUUAUGCGAGCUAUUUAUGUUCAAGGGAUAAAAGGAUGUCAGAUUUCAACUUCUCAAGAUUCCUGACAUGAGAAGAAUGAAAAGUGGACAACCACUGAUAAUUACAAACACACCUAUCAAGUCGUUGUUGAAAAGACCCCUUCGCCCAAGUAAAAAAUAGUCUCGAGCAACCAAGAUCAUGUAAACCAAAAUCAAACAUAAAAUUAAUGAACAAAUCAUUAACGCCACCUCUACCACUUGCUCUUCCCUUGCCCUCUUCCUGAGAUAAGACAGAUUUGAAAUCUCCCCUAAGGUCCAAGACACAUUUAGAGGUGACACUAACCUAGCAAACAACUCCAAAUGAUUUCCACUUCAUAGCUGACGGACUCACAUACACAACCGUGAAGAAAAACAACUAGUCGAACCAUCCUCUUUACAAUGCAAAUGAAUGAAUUGACUAAAAACACUAAUGACCUCUAUGGUAAUACUCGAUCUCUAGAGGAUCCAAACCCCACCGAAAAAAUCACAUGCCUCAACAUGAUAUGAACAAUCAAAGCUACUCUUUCGAAUGACCUAGUUAGCCUUAGCACCACUAACCUAAGUGUUAUGAAAAGUAAGAAUACUCAGUUUAUGAAAAGCAUAAGUUGUUCCUAUUGUGGACCCUCACCUGAACCUUGAGCCAAAAUCAUUUCAUGUUGCUUAAACUGUUGAGAUAAUGAUGUUACCCCAUUCAGCCAGUAAUGGUCUGGGCAACGCCCUAAUUUUGAUUUUUUUUCUAACCUUGAGACCACAUUUAGUAGCUUUCUUCAUGGCCAAUGACCUAUCUUUAUUCUGGUAAACCAUGGUCUUCCUUACUUGUCUUUGGGAUUGAUCAAAGUAUUAUAUUCUUCAGGAUUAACUAUAACCACCACCGUGUGAGUCUUUUCUUCCAAAGUCAUUUUUUUGUUCAAUGACCUGUUGUACUGCGACCUCUCCUUCAUUCGACUCAUCAUUAACUCCCAUUUUAGUCAGCCAUUUUUACUAUUGGAUGCACCUCAACUCCUUUGCAUGGCCCUAGUCCCACUUUGUUAGAUUGGGCUAAAUUGGAAUUAUGAGAAUAGUUGGAGUCGAUCAAGUCUCAAUCAAUCACCACAUUCUUUCCUCUUCUGUUAUGUGACCUGAGACGUGAAUCAUGAAUGGGAAUAGGAUUCACUUCCCUAGUUUUCAGAACAAAAUCCUUAUUUCCCACCUCAAUUUGAUCAUCAUCCACGUGAUUUAAAGCCUUAUAUCUCGGCAUUCUCAGUUUUUUCUUGUUCUGAGAAGUUGCCUUAUUCUUCUAAACUCUCUUUCCUGCAUCGUUGAUCGUCAUUUUCGACUAGCAACUUACAUCCAUAACCCAUAGUUUGGUUGACUAGGUUACUUCAAGCACUCAACCGACUGCACAUUAACACCAGUAUCACCUUUGUUCACAAUAGUUGGACAAUUACCUUAUGUGUGUCUAAAGCAUCCACAACUAUAACGAAUUGAAGGAAGCCCUCAUACUCUAUUCACUGAAGUUUCCCAUCAAUUCAGAUGUAAGGAAUGACAGGUUUCUUCAAAUCAACGACAACCACUACACGAGAAAACCUUAACAACCUUACAAAUGAUCGAGACAAUAACUCUUAUUAAUUACUUUAUAUAAUAACAAUAUGGCAACCUAGGCAGACAAAUCCAUGCCACAAUCUCAAUGCUUGAGUUUCCUUUGUUGAGAAGUCUCUACUCCAUAGUUAAACUACUUGUUAGAGUUAUGAACAAACAAACAAAGAAAAAAUAAAUAAUUAGCAAUCCAAUUUGACUUGCUAUAUUUCAUCAACUCAGCUUUUCAAAUACAAAUAAUUCAAUAUAUAUUAGUUGAUUCAUGAAAAAACUCAACUAAUCCCACUAAUACGAUCUUGAAAAUAUAAAACGUAACUUGUACAACCCCUAAACACUCCAUUUAUCACCUAAAUAUAUAAAAAAAUCCUACCAAAUAAGAUUGGUUUUAUUAAACACGCAUAACAUAACUUUUGUAGCACACACCAAAAUAUUUUCAUGAAUCUAUGGGUACAAUCCGUAAACAUACUCUGGGAAUAUACCUCGCAUGUGAUCAAUCUGCCAAGCUCUUCUAAGCUUAUGUUCUCACAAGCUUGUUCUCACUUGGACAAUCCACCAAGCUCGCUGCGGAUGAAGAGCUCGCCAAUAUUCUUCUGCUUAGACUAUCCUCCACUUUGGCUUGCACUUGGACUGCUUGCCACUUGUAUGAGUUGUUGCAUAGUUGGCCAUCUUGCAACACUCCUCCUUAGCCACCAUGCUGCAAACACUAGUUUCAUUUCUAAGCUUUACGAACCUCAACUUUCCUAGAGGCUUAGUCAAAAUAUCUAUUGGCUGAUCUUCAGUGCUGCAAUAAACCAAAGUCACUUCCUUACUCUAUUCAACUUCUAUCACAAACUGAUACUGUAACACCCCAUACCCGACCCGACUGCUAGGUCCGAGUACUGAUGUUACAAGAACCUGUUUAAUUUUACUAUACAACCAUAAUUAAUUCAGUUACAUAUAAGAACAACUUGAAAACAUAGGCCUAAUUGCCACUGAUAUCAUACACUAAAAAAACUGUAAUGAUUUCCUAUGACCCUAGUUUCUGUGUACAAUUUCAUUAUUUGAAUAUGAUUCUACAAUUCUUAUGUUUGCCUUAACCUCCAAGGCGAGGCUUCUGCGAGUGCCACUCUACAUACACAUACAGCUUUUACUACUCCAUAUUGAUGACCGAUGGCUGGCUUGGUCUCUCAAUUUGAAUUUCAUGUCACACUUGGCAAAUUUUAAGUACUGUUGGCCCCACUUUGCAUUGCCCUUGGUGAAUCCCUUUAUUAUUCCAGAGAUCCACACCCCUAGGGUGCACCUCACUUAUUCUGUAAUUUAUAGUUAUUCAUGCUGCCCUUUCUAUCUUACCCAUGGCAUACCUCUAGUGUAGUGAACUCUCCCGUUGAGGUCCUACGUCUUACAUCUUGGCAGACUUUUCCAUGUUCACCAUCUUGAUGGACUUUUCGUAAUAUCAUAAUGCCAUACCACCAGGGUCUGACUCAACACAACACCCAUGUUUAAUGUCCUAACGGGCUAUUUACGUCAACAUAAUGAAGAACUCUUUUGGUUGCCUUAGUCAAGCUAAGGUCUUACACCCUUCUCGCCACGUAUUUCCUUGGUCCUGGUGAACUUACCUUGUGUUUACUAUCCCAGUGGACUAUAUUUGUGUUUAUUGUCCUAGUAAACUAUCUUUGUGUUUACUAUCCCAACAGACUAUCUUUAUGGAUGUCAUGGAGUGUUUCAUCCAUGGUUUUACACCGAUUCGCCAUCCUAGUGUGCUAUCAUAUAAUGCUAUGAAGUCUUUCAUCCAUGGUCUUUUUUAUUAUACUUGGUUGCCAUAGCAUCUUUCAUCUAUGGUCUUACACUAUAUACCUUAUAUCUUGUACCAUACUAUCAUGGCGUCUUUCACACAUGGUCUUACACUACAUACCUCAUACCAGACUGCCUUAGUGUCUUUCAUCUAUUGUCUUACGCCAUAUACCUUAUACCUUGUUCGAUGUUGUCAUGGCAUCUUUCAUCAAUGGUCUUACGCUACGUACCUCAUACCAGACUACCAUAGCGUCUUUCAUCUAUGGUCUUCCGCCAUAUGCCUUAUAUCUUGUACCAUGUUGCCAUGGCGUCUUUCAUCCAUAGUCUUACACUACAUACAUUAUACCAAACUGCCAUAGCAUCUUUUAUCUAUGGUUUUACGCCAUAUACCAUCAUCACGGUGUCGCCUUAAAGGACCAGUCGAUACUACCAUCGUAGUAAAUAUAUUUCCAUGAUUUUAUUUCCCAAACCCUCCUCCCAUUGCCUCAUUCAUACCACCUAACCUUGAUGCCUAAACACCACAAUGUUCCCUCUACAACUGUAACAUCUCAAGACCGAGUCUAGAAGUUUUAGCCUUGCAAGUAAGGGUUUGUCAGUGUUUCGGUGAACUAGGUGUUCACUAGUGCUUCAGCGAACUAGGGAGUUCACCAAAAGAUUAUUAGCAAGGAGUUCGCCAAGUGUUUUGAUGAAGCAAUAUACACCAAAAGACGUGAUAAGGUGUUUGCCAGAUUUAUUUCAAUAGUGUUUACCAAUAUGUUUGGUGAGCUAGAGUUCCCUAGGUAAGUUGCAAACUAGGAGUUUGCUAGUUGAAUCGAAAAUUUAGGGUUUUUCAGUUGAAUUGUGAACUAGGGGUUUUCCAGUUGAAUUACGAACUAGGGGUUCGCCAGUCAAAGAUUGAGUCAUACUCGAAUUAGGAAAUAAAGAUAUGAAGUAUCUAGGAAUACUUUACAUGCAACUAACACAUUUCCUAAUUGAAGUAGGGUAUUCUAAGAUUUUCAAAACACUUAGGUCUAUAAAUACAACGCUUAAUUCAUGAGAAUUCUCUCAUUGAAUAUUUUACUAUUAAGUUUUUAUUCUGAGACAAGUUCGUAACAUCCAUGGUAAUUCUCUGUCUUGUUAGGUGAUUGACCAAAAAGCUAGGUUUGCUUAUAUGUGUAAAUUCUGUAAGUAUGGUCUAUUUAAGUAAUCUAUGUUUUUGUUUAUAUUGCAAACCAAUGAAAUCAUCCACUAGCAAGGAUAGAAGCAAAGCCAAGCUUGUCAGUUUCUUAAUGUUUCAAUGAGUGAUCUGGAUCGUCAUAAGUAUGUUCAUUAUCAUGAAUUUCAACAUGAAUGUUUAAGUUUCGUAUCUUGUGUGCGAAUUGUUAUGGUUUCAAGAACUUUGUUUUUUAAACUAAGCUUCUAAAGUAAGUUUUCGACAAAACCCUGUUUUCAAGUUCUGAGACUGUUUUCAAGACAUGUAUUUUUUUAAGUUGUGUUUUAAAAAUAUGUUUUAUACGAAAACAAGUCGAUGUUUUUAAGUAUGUUUUAUAGAACGAUUUUAUAAAUUGUGUUUUUCUGAGCUUUUGUACGAGCUCUUUGUGAUAAGCAAUCUCCCUAUGCGAGCUCUCUGUGAUAUGUCUCUCUGCGUGCUCCUUUGCGAGCCAUGUUGGAUAUAUUGGUAUACCAAAGGAUGAUGAGUACUCACCUAUCUGUUUUUGUGAUUUUGGAUGUUGUGGCCCUAGGACAUGUGAAGAGAUAAGAGAAUGUCGAGCUACGCUCCAUUCAUUGAGACAUGUUGGUGUACAAGAGUGUGUAUUACUUCGUGCUGCACUUAUGGAACAUGUUAUAAGGACUCUUUGAGUCAUUCUGAGGCGUUAUAAGGAGAUCCGCAUAUCCACAAGAGAAAAAUUCUUAUAAGUGUGUUAAGAGUGAGAACAUAUUCUAUGUUUCUCAACCAUUUUGAUAAGAUAAGUAUGUGAGCAUGAUUUCAUGCUAUAUAGAUCAUGUUUUCAAAAUGGCACAACCUUAGUUUUUAAGUAUAAUUUUCAAUAACACAUGCGAAAUUGUUUUACAAUUGUUGUUUUCUUACAGAAUCUGCAAACUGGGUCUCAUAACCUCGCCCGCGAACCUAGCACGCAAAACGAUUUUAAGACUAAGUUUUCUUUCUAUUUUUAAAGCUCAAUUUUAAAGCACACCUUAUUGAUUCUUGAUUAUUCACUGAGUUCUCAAUGAACUCACACACUCCUCUCUUACUUCGUAAAUAAGUAGGUAGCAAAUAGUAGUGGUGAGGUAAAUGACUUGGUGAGGCUCACUCCUGAAUAGAUAUUGGCGAACCUAGGAACAUAGACAAUGGGGUUUAUUUUUAUGAGGGCUUUAGACUUAUUAUAUUUUGAUUCUAUUAUCCAAAUAGUUCCUUUAAGUUGUAGUUAUUUUGUUUUGCAAAUCAUGACUUGGAAUAUUUGAUUAUCUUUUGUUAUGAAUAAAUUGAUGUUUUUCAUGCAUGAGUGUUACGUUGAUUUGCUAUAAAAAUAUACGAGUCAAAUUUAUUACUAUGUAUCAUUUUUUUAUCCCUGUAUGUUUGUGAUUCUAAAAAUUACAUGCGUACCCUUGAUUUAGUGAACCUAUACAUGCAUACGAGCCUUAUUAAAGUAUGAAAACCCAUGCAUGUAUGAUACCUUUUGUUGUGACGACUGUUUGUUUGCGAAACUAUACUGCAUAUUGUGAACUUAGUACUAAAUGAGAUAUUGGUAUCUAACGAACCUAUACUACUGUAUGCAAACUUAUGUCAUUGUGCGAACUCAUAGUUUGUGUGUCCGAACUCAUAUUGAAUGUUGCUAAGUGAGCUUAUAUUAUUCAAUGUAUGUGAACCCUUAAGUCUUUCUAUUGUUUGACAUACGUACCUUUCCUUUGAUGUUUUGUAAGGUCGUACGUCUACAUUUUAUGUAUGAAAAUAUUUUCGCUGCAUUGUUUUUAUUUAAUGCACUAUUGUCACAAGCAAAUCAUAUGUUAGAGGUUAGGUUGUAAUGUAGCUCGUCAGAUUUGGCUCGAACUGACUCGAUCGGGUUUGGGGUGUCAUAUUGUUUGGUAUUAGAGCUUUGUUCACUAGACUAACCAAUCGAUGGGUAAGCUCGCCAAGGUGGUGAGGUGUGUUCACUAGAAUUGGCGAAGCGAGUCCGCCAGAAUUGGUAAGGUAACUUCGCCAAUAUUUUUAAGCGUUAUGUGUGUGAAAUUGCUUAUUUGGGGUAGGACUAGGAACGACAUCGCCCUUGGUUCAACUAUAUUUUUUUCAGGAUUACGCCUUAGAUUAUCUCUCUGCUAUUUCCCAAUCCAAUAAGUAAGUUAUGUUUUGCAAAUUGUGUUGUGUAUGAGUUAUGUGUGGUGAAUUGUAUUAAGUUUUGGAUACCCAAUUAAGUGUGUUUGAAGUCUUACCUAAUUCAAUAUCUUAUGUACGUUUAGAAUAAGCAAGAAUGCCUCCUCGUAGAGUGAAUCAAACCAUGUGAAUGAAGCUGCUAAUUCUUAAGAAGGUAUUUUGACUUUAACGAUGCAAGAGCGACCUCACAGGGUGAAUAUCUUGGAAGAAAGCAUGGAGUGUUUGGUUUAGGAAAUGAUUGGAGCUUUUUAGUGAGUUGUUGGUGCCAACCCUGUACCUGUAAAUCAUGGUUUGCCACUGCAGCGUCUGCGAGCUCUAGGUGGUAGAGAAUUUAGUGGUAUUAGAGGAGCUGGACCUACCGAAGCUAAAUAUUGCCUUGAGGGUGAUGAGAAAAUCCUUGAGCAAAUGGCAUGUUCUAACCAUGAAAUGUUGGGAUAUAUUGUGUCCUUACUCACUAGCGGUCCACAUCGUUGGUGGAAUACCAUGAGACAAGGAACUGUCGCGGAUAAAUUGACAUGGGAAUUCUUCUUAAGAACUUUGAAAAAAAAGUUUAUGGGCGAGAAAUAUAUGGAAGCUCACAAGCGUAAGUUUAUUAACCCUGUGCAAGGUGAACUGUCAGCGGCUGAGUAUGAGGCAGAAUCUAUGCGACUGAGCCAGUACGUAUCAGAGAUGGUUUCGCAUAGAAAAGAUUAUUGUCAGCAAUUUACUUUCCGACUACAUCAUGAUAUCUAGCUUUACUUGGUAACUCAUGAUAAUGUGAACUUCGAUGAGCUGGUGGACAAGGCCAAAGCUAUUGAGGAGAUUAAGGAUUUACGAACUGAAGUUGGAGCUGGAAAGUAAAUGGCUGAGAGAGUGUCCAAAAGGGACAGCGACCUGUGAAACUCUGGUAGAAACGUUAAGCGAAGCUUUAGGCCAAACCGUUCGCAUCAGAAAAAUAACACCUAGGAUGAAAAGAAGGGUUCACACAAGUCUGUGCGCUGGCCGUUCUGUUAGUACUACGAGAGAAAGCAUUCUUAGGACCGCCGUAAGUUGACUGGAGGUUGUUUCAAGUGUGGUUCUAAAAGCCACUUGAUUAAAGACUGUCUAGAAUGUUGAGAGGGUUCACAAGUUCAAAAUACAACCCCUGCUUAAGUGUGAGCUAAUACUUGUGGUCGAGGAAAAGGUAGAGAUGGCAAAACAAAGCCAGUUGGGCAAUAGAAUUUAGCUCACACUAUUACGACCCAAGAAGAAGAGUCAGGAGGCCUCGCACAAGUCUAUGAUGUAAAAGAACCCCAUGAGCAAGGUGUCACAGCUGUAACUACAACCACCUUUACUCUCGAACUAUUCCUUUGUUUCCCUUAAUUUACUCUGGUUUUACACACUCGUAUGCUCUGAGCGAACUACAUAGUGAACUAGAAAGUUUAGUAGAGACCAUAGAUAAAGGUGUGACUAUUACUAGUUCAUUUCAGGAUAGUGUUUUGGUCAAUAAAAUGUACUGUCGUUUUCCAUUGAUGAUUCAAUGUCAAGUUUUCUAUAUGAACUUGAUGGAAUUUUCCUUCUAUAGGUUUGACAUGAUUUUAGGAAUGGACUGGCUGACUGAACACAAAGACAAGAUCGAAUUUGAGCUAAAAAGAGUUGCCUUGCAAAGUAGUGAAGGUGAGGAAGUUGUAGUGGUUGGUGAGCGAGUUUAGUGUAUGUCCAAAGUGGUUUCAGUGCUAAAGGCAGAUAAUAUGUUGAUUAAAGGUGGUGAGCAUAUCUCGCUUUUGUAAUGGGUUCACAGGAUGUAGCAAAAAGGGUCGCAAGAUGUGAUCUAUGUAAGAUUUUCUUGAUGAAUUAUUUAAUAAGUUACCUGGGUUACCUCUAGACCGCAAAGUGGAGUCCGCCAUUGAGUUGUACCUAGUAGUACACCAGUUUUGAUUACGUCGUAUUGCAUGGCACCCAAGGAGUUGAAGGAACUAAGAAUAUAACUUCAAGAACUACUUGAUAAAUGUUUCAUUCGACCAAGCAUAUCGCCUUGAGGUUCGCCAGCAUUGUUUAGGAAGAAGAAAGAUGGUAGCAUAAGAAUGUGCAUAGACUACAGAUAGUUAAAUAAGGUAACUGUUAAAAAUAAGUACCCAUUGCCAAGAAUUUACAACUUUUUUGAUUGGUUGCGAGGUGCCACUAUAUUUUCAAAGAUCGAUUUGUGAUCUAUUUAUUACCAACUCAAGGUGAAGGAAUCUGAUGUGUUGACGACAGAAUUCAAAAUAAGAUAUGGGCACUACAAGUUUUUAGUGAUGCCCUUUGGUUUGAAAACUGCACUUGCUACUUUCAUGGACCUAAUGAACGAGAUCAAUGUGUGAUAGUGUUUCUUGAUGACAUCCUUGUGUAUUCGCGAACUGAGGAAGAGAACAUAACCCACCUGCAAACUAUGUUGCAAAUUCUAUGAAUGAAGUUGUUGUUCGCGAAGUACAACAAGUUUAAGUGUCGGCUAAAAGGAGUGGUUUUUUUAAGGCACAUCAUUUUAGUUGAAGGGUUUUGCGUGGACCCAAAGAAGAUCGAAUUCAUUGUAGAGUGAAGAUCUCUUAGGAAUGUAACUGAAGUGUGAAGCAUUUUAGGGUUCACAGGUUACUAUCGUAGGUUUGUUGAGGGGUUCGCCACUAUUGCAACACCAUUAACAAAGUUGUUUCAAAAGAAAGUGAAGUUCACUUGGAAUGAGGAAAGGCAGCAAAUCUUCGACAAGCUUAAAGAGAUUUUCACCAAAGCACCUGUAUUGAUCCAACUAGAACCAGGAAAGGAAUUCGAGGUUUACAGCAAUGCCUCUAAGACAAGGCUGAGAUGUGUGCUAAUACAAGAAGGAAAUGUGGUAGCUUAUGCUUCCAGGCAACUGAAGGUUCAUGAGCAAAACUACCCAACUCACAACUUGAAGCUAGUAAUAAUGGUGUCUGCAUUCAAGAUUUGGUGACACUACUUUUAUGAAGAAAGGUGUACUAUCUACACAAACCACAAAAGUCUGAAGUAUCUGCUCACGCAGAAUGAGCUGAAUCUGCGUCAGAAAAGGUGGAUUGUAACUUUGUUAGUGAUUUGGAUUGAAAUGAGCUGUUACAGAGUUUGUGGCGAAGUGCUUCAGCCACUCAAAAUUCUAGAAUAGAAGUGGGAAAGGAUCACCAUGGAUUUUGUGACGAGUUUUCCACUGACUACAACCAAGAAAGAUGUUAUUUAGGUGAUUGUAAAUUGCCUUACGAAGGGUGCACACUUUUUAGCUAUUCACACAAGCUAGUCUUUGCAAAGGCUCGCAGAACUUUAUGUUGUCGAGAUAGUACAACUGCAUGGCGUACUAGUUUCCAUAACUUUUAAUCGAGAUCUUUGAUUCACUUUGAGAUUUUGGAAGAUUUUGCAAGAAGCUUUGGGUUCGAAGUUAAAUUUCAAUACUGGUUAUCACUCUCAAACAGAUGGUCAAUUUGAGUGAGUGAUACAAGUGUUUGAAGACAUGCUGUAAAGUUGUGUUUUGGAGUUCGCAGGAAGUUGGGAAAGUUAUUUACCUUUGGUAGAGUUCGCCUAUAACAACAAUUAUCAAGCAAGUAUUCAGAUGACACCCUUUGAAGGACUGUAUAGAAGGAGGUGUCGAACACCUUUGUGUUAGGCUGAGUAGGGUGAGAAAUGAAUCAUUAGACCUGAGUUGGUUCACGAAAUUGAAGACAAAGUAAAGUUAAUAUGUGAAAGGUUUACGGCUGCUUCAGAUAGACAGAAGUCCUAUGUUGACUUGAAACGACGAUAUGUUGGGUAUCAAGUGGGCAAGCAUGUGUUUUUAAAGGUAUCACCAUGGAAGAAAGUCCUAAGGUUUGGGCAUAAAGGAAAGCUAAAUCAUCAGUUCAUUGGUCGUUAUGAACUAGUAGAAAGAAUCGAUACUAUAGCAUAUCAACUCAAGUUGCCCUACGAACUUGAUAAAAUCUACGAUGUGUUCUAUGUGUCUAUGUUAAGGAAGUGUCACACAAACCCAUCCCAUGUGGUGGCAGUAGAUGAAAUAGAAUUACGACCUGAUUUGUGUUAUAAGGAAGAACUAAUAAAUAUUGUGGCUCACAAAGUGAAAGUCCUGCGAAGUAAUAGGAUUCCCUUAGUCAAACUAUUGUGGAGAAACCACAAGACCUGUGAAGCUAUGUAGGAAAUAGAGGAAUCAAUGAAACAACAAUACCCUCAACUAUUUGAAACUGAACAUUUCGAGGACUAAAUGUCUUAAGUGAGGGAGAGUUGUAACAUCCCGAGAUCGGGACUGAAAGUUUUGGCCUUGCAAGUAAUGGUUCAUCAAUGUUUCAGUGAACUAAGUGUUUGCCAAUGCUUCGACGAACUGGGAAGUUUGCUAGAAGAGUGUCAGCAAGGAGUUCGCCAAGUGUUUCAGUGAAGCAGUAUAUGCUAAAAGAUGUAGUAAGGGGUUUGCCAGAUUUAUUGCAAUAGUGUUCGCCAGUAGGUUUGGUGAGCUAGAGUUCACCAAGUUGUGAACUGGGGGUUCACUAGCUGAGUUGCAAACUGGGGUUCGCCAGUCAAAGAUUGAGCCAGACUUGAAUUAGAAAAUAAAGAUAUGGUGUAUCUAGGAAAACUUUAUGUCUAAGACAUUUCCUAAGUCAAGUAGGGUAUCCUAAGAUUUCCAAGACACUUAGGUCUAUAAAUACGACCCCUAAUUCAUAAGAAUUCUCUUAUUGAAUAUCCUGUCAUUAAGUCUAUGUUCUGAGGAAAGUUCGUAGCAUCCAAGGUAAGUCUCUAUCUUGUUUGCUGAUUUUCUAGAAAGCUAGGUUCGCUUAUAUGUGUGAAUUCUACAAGUAUGGUCUGUUUAAGUAAUCUGUGUGUUUGUUUAUAUUGCAAACUAGCCAGACCAUCCACUAAAAAGGAUAAAAGUAAAACCAAGCUUGUCUAGUUUCUUAGUGUUUUGGUGAGUGAUUUGAAUCGUCAUAUGUAUGUUCACUAUCAUGAUUUUCACUAUGAAUGUUUAAAGUUUGUAUCUUCUAUGCAAACUGUGAUGGUUUCAAGAACUUUGUUUUUUAAAUUAAGCUUCAAAGGUAAGUUUUCAACAAAACCAUGUUUUCAAGUUCUGAGAAUCUGUUUUAAAAAUAUGUUUUUUCUAAGCUGUGUUUCAAAAAUAUGUUCUAUACGAGCUCCUAAGUGAGCCAAUAUUUUUAAGUAUAUUUUUUAAAACGAAUUUCUGAACUGUGUGUUUAUGAGCUUUUGUACGAGCUCUCUGUGAUAAGCAAGCUCCCUAUGCGAACUCUCUGUGAUAUGUCUCUGUGCUUGCUCAUUUGCAAUCAUUGGUAUACCAAAGGAUUUUGAGUACUCACCUUUCUGUUUUUGUGAUUUUGGGGGCUGAGGCCUGAAGACAUGUGGAGAGAUAAGGAAAUGUCGAGCUACGCUCCAUUUGCUGAGACAUUUUGGUGUAUAUGAGAGUGUAUUGCUUAGCCUACACCUAUGGGAGAAGUUAUAAUUACUCUUUGAGUCAUUCUGAGGCGUUAUAAGGAGAUCCGCAUAUCCAUAAGACAAAAAUUCUAAUAAGUGUGUUAAGUGUGAGAACAUAUUUUAUGUUUUUUUCAACCAUUCUGAUAAGAUAAGUAUGUGAGCAUGAUUACAUGUUGUAUAAGUUCUAUUUUUAAAAAAGAGCAAGCUAAGUUUUUAAAUAUGAUUUUCAGUAACACAUGCGAAACUAUUUGUCAACUAUUGUUUUCUAAUAGGAUCUGCGAACUGGGUCUCGCAACCUCACCCAUGAACUCAGUACACGAAAGGAUUUUAAGACUAAGUUUUCUUUCUGUUUUUAAAGCUCAGUUUUAAAGCACACCUUAUUUAUUCCUGAUUAUUUAUUGAGUUUUCAAUGAACUCACCCACUCCUCUCUUACCUCACAAAUAAGUACGUAGCAGAUAGUAGUGGCGAGGUAGAUGACUUGGUGAGGCUCACUCCUGACUAGAUAUUGACGAACCUAGAAACAUUGACGAUGGGGUUUAUUUUUAUGAGGGAUUUAGACUUAUUAUAUUUUGACUCUAUUAUCUAAAUAGUUCCUUUAAUGUUUAGUUAUUUUGUUUUACGAACCAUGACUUAGAAUAUUUGAUUAUCUUUUAUUAUGAAUAAAAUCAAUGUUUUCCAUGCAUGACUGUUACGUUGAUGUGCUAUUAAAAUAUGUGAGUCAAAUUUAUUACUAAGUAUCAUUUUCUUCGAUCCUUGUAUGUUUGCGAUUCCAAAAAUUACAUGAUUACCCCUGAUUUAGCGAACCCAUGCAUGCAUACAAACCCUAUUAAAGUAUGAAAACCCAUACAUGUAUGAUGCCUCUCGUUGCAAAGAUUGUUUGUUUGCGAAACUAUACUGCAUGUUGCAAACUUAGGUACUAUGUGAACUAUUGGUAUCUAGCGAACAUAUACUAUUCAAUGCGAACCUAUGUUGUUGUAUGAACUCAUACAUUGUGUGUUCAAACUCAUGUUGAAUGCUUCUAAGUGAGCUUAUGUUAUUCAAUGUAUGCGAACUCUUAAGUCUUUCUGUUGUUUGACAUGCAAACCUUUCCUUUGAUGUUUAGAAAGCUCGUAUGUUUACAUUCUAUGUAUGAAAAUAAUUUCGCUAUAGUGUUUUUAUUUAAUGCAUUAUUGUCACAAGUAAGUGGUGAGGUUGGAGGUUAGGUUAGGAGUUAACGGGGAGUCACUUCGGUGGCUAAUAUAGCUUGCCAGAUUCGGGUUAAACCUACUCGAUCGGGUUUGGGCUGUUACAGCAAGGCCUGAGAGCUUCACCUGUGGCGGUAACUAACAGGUUCACUCCCCAUUUGCCCUCCUAAAUUUAUCUAUCCAAUUGAGGUUUAACCCCAGUUAUCAUGCAAUAUAUGCAUCUAUUCAUCAGCUAUGUUAAAACAACAGUAAUCAACUUGUUAUGACUCAACAACAUUAUUCAUGCACAGAUUACUCAUGUAUUCACUAGUUCAUACAAGCAACAUAUCAUUGUUUAUCGUCCAAAAGCAGGGUGUAGAAAAAUCACCUUAUUUCCUUAUCCUUGUUACCAUGGUUGCCCGAAUGCUAGUGUCUCCUUAGAAUUGGAAGCAGUCCCCCAAUUUCUCUCUUUCCUGGACAUCUAGACCUAAGACUACUGUAAUAUGCAGAGCCUCUCACUGCUACGGUCUUUUCUUCUUCAAGACGACUAAAGAAGAUGAUGAUGACUUUGAAGAGAAGAAUGUGUAAACAAGAUUAAGGAAUCUCCCCUCUUCUCUCAUCAUCCAACCUAUAUAUAUAUUCUCAUGGCCCAAUCUUCACAGACUGUCACUAUCACACAAUCCUAAUUAUUAUGUUCGUACCUAACCAAACUAGAUUUAGAGUCUAACUUUCUCCCAACCACCCACUAAAUUUUCUAAAUUUCUCACUUGUACCCCAACUUUCCAUUACUACUUAAUCAACUCGCCGACUCCUUCUUGAGUUUAGGUAUUUUGGAAAUUUAGGUGUGACAGAUACUUUAUCUUGAAGUGUUUUGUCUUUCCAUGAAAAAUGGGAUUCUUCACAAUUGCAAUGGUGGAUUGAUUGUCACACAGAAUAUGUGUUGCUCCAACUGGAAAAAGAUUUAAGUCGCCAAGAAGUUUUUCAGCCAAAUCACUUGAUUAUCGCUACUACUGGAGCUACAUACUCCACCUUAGCUGACGACUGAGCAACAAUCUGUUGCUUCUUGGAGCUCCAUGAAAAUAUGCCAGAUCCAAGUGAAAACUCCACCUUUUCAGUAAUUUUUCUUAAACAUGAGGCACCUGACUAUAUCCAUCAUGGUUCUAUUUUUCUUUUCACUUACACCAUUUUGCUAAGGUGUAUAAAUGUUAGUGAGCUGGUGUCCAAUCCUUGAAUCUUCACAAAACUUCUCAAACUUCCAUGAUUUGUAUUCAAUUCCAUUAUCAGACCUCACUAUUCUGAUCUUGCACCUAGACUGAGUUUCAACUGCUAACUUGAAUUUCCAAAAUACUUGAGCAAACUUGGACUUCAUUUUUAAGAAAUAAACCCAACAAAACCUUGUACAAUCAUAAAUUAACAAAACAAAAUAUCUAUUUUCGCUUAAUGAUUGAGUUCUCAUGGGUCCGCACACAUCGGUGUGAACCAAGUGAAGCUUUUCAAAAGCUUUCCAGGUCUUGUUCAUAGGAAACGACAACUUACUCUACUUUCCAAAUUGGCAUACUUCACAAGUAUUUUCAUGCUCAACAAUUUUUGACAAGUUUUCAACAAACUCAUCCUUAAACAAUUGAGAUAACAACCUAUAAUUAACAUGACCUAUUCUCCAAUGCCAUAACUUAGAUUCAUCUACUAAAGUUAUAUAGGCUUUAGAUGUUGCUAAGUUCCAAUCCAAAAAAAAAAGCUUCUAUCAGACAUAGCAACCAAUAUAAGCUCACAUCCACAUAGAUCAACAAUCAAGCGUUCUUUAAUCUUAAGCACAACAGAAUAGCCCUUUUCAAGCAACUGACCUACACUUAGCAGAUUCAAAUUAAUUUAAGGUACAAAAAGAACAUUUGAAACAAGUUUUGCACCUAAUGGAGUGUUGAUUAAAACAUCUAUCUACCUUGAUGUGCUAACCAUUUCUAACUUUGAUCCUAGAGUUGACACUUUUGUCAAAACUCUUGAAGAUACUUGUGUCAACCAUUUCCAACUUUGACUGAUUUGUGAUCUGUUGUUGGUAGCAAGGCACGAGGCAAUGAACAUGAGCUCAUUCUGAGCUUGGUUUCAUCAACUGCCUGUGCCUGAACAUUUUGCUAUUGUGGUUGCCCCUUACUCUUGCUUACCUAUUCAGUAUUACCAAGCUACUUACAGGCUCUACAAUGAACAUCAGGUCUGAACCAACAAAACCUUUUUGAAUGACCUAUCUUUUUGUAAUGAGAACAUGGUGGAUACUUCUUCCUUUCCCCUAUCUCUCUUUGACUUUUCUCUCUUCUCUCUAGAGACCUUCUUUCAUUUAUAAUUUGUAGAGCUCGAGCCUUCUUUACCUCUUGCUUGAAAGGCUCCCUCAGUACGCUCCUCUUAUCUUAAUGCUCUCCUUUGUUCUUGAGCAUACAACGUAUUGAUCAACUCUGGUAGUGGGAUAGAUGACAUGUCCCUCAAGUUUUCAAAAGAGGAAAUUUAUUACUCAUUCCUCUUUAGAAGUGUGGUUAUGACCUUCUCAACCACUCUACUAUCAUUGAACUAGUCUGUAACAUCUCGCCUGGUGAAGUACAAGUGUACAAAUACUAUUUAUGAAAGUAAGGCAUAUAGAGUAGAUCUUGGGAAUGUAAAGUUUUAAAAUUGGAUAAUGUACAAUAACCUUAUGAGUACGUCUAAAAUUUUUCGAUCCUAGCAAACACGAGACCUGACGUAUAGUCUUACAGAAGUAUAAUUGGCAGAGUGGUAUUCGCCUCAAAUACAUUUUUUCGUAUGAUAUAGGCGAACUCUGUAAUGACUACAAGAGAAUAAAGGUUUCCAUGAUAGGUUACUAAGGUUAAAGGAAUGAGAAUUGUGGCUAAGUAAGAUGAAUUUUUCUAACAUGGGUCACACUAGUGGUAUAGUGUCUUCGUAACUGUGGUCCCAUACUAGUUAAGUUACAUGGUAAGCUGGUUAGGAACUAACCGAACGUGAAUCAGGAUAGUUGAAAAAUAAGGGGAAAUACUCAAUUAGAUUUCUCAAAAGUUGUAGACCUUGAUAAAACAAUUCAAUAGUGAUGUGACAUUUGUCAAGUUCCAACGAAGACUUAGAUUAUAUUAAUAAGUCCUCAAAUUUGAAUAAAGAGAGUUCUCUUCUUCUCUCUUCAAAAAUAUUGAAAUCUAAGGCUGGAGGAAACGAUCUUAUUUCAUUAAGUUGGAUCUGAGACCUUGAAUGUUAUCGGUGAUUUUUUCAGUGCCAAGGUAAGUCUUAUUACUCUGCAAAAGUAGAUCUGUGUGAGUGCAAGAAGAAAUAAGGCUCUAUUUUAGAAUUAUCUGGGUACGAUGAUUGUAAAGGUUAUCUGGAUUGGUGUUAACAGAAAAUUUUCUAUUUUUAGAAGGUUGUGGUCCCUGCAGUUCUAAGAAGACCUUAGACCUAGAGCCCAAGUUGAUAAACAUCUUUAAUAGGUGAGUCCCUAGAUUGACUCUUACAUGUGUAUUAUGCUUAUCUAGAAGCUUCUAUGCUAAGUGGACAAAGCAUGAGAUUGAAAGAAAAGUAUGAUAUGGCGAAUUUGAUAAGAAAUGUAAGACCUAUCAAUCUGAAUGACUAUGGUGUGCUUAUGUCUAAAAGUAAGAAUGAGUCUGGUAGGAAGUGCAUGUGUGUCUGGUAAGCAUAAGAAUGUUUGUCAUGAGUGACUCGAUGCAUAAUGAGUUUGUGUCUAUCUCCAGAGUCAUCAAAAAAGUCUGUUGAGACUGAAAACACGAAUCUCUAAAAGGACAAGUCCAUAACCAUGGUGCAAAAGGACCAUAUCGUGUAAGACCGUAAAUUGGUGCGUUAUGGCAUCAUAUGGAAAGAAAAUCAUAUCGUGUAGGACCAUAACUGGUGGGUUAUGGCAUCAUAUGGGAAGGACUAAAGGAAGGUUAUUACCUAACAUGGUUUUCUGUCUGUCCCAGAAUGAUGAAUGGCAAACCUCACUAAGUGUGAGUUUUGGCAAAUCCCUAUCAUUUAAAACACAAGAAAAAGGACAGCCUUUAUGGUAAAAUUUUGGAAAGGCAAGCAUUGGUGGUGAACCUGUUAAAGGAUAACAUUUGUGGCAAAACUCUCGAAACACAAGCCUUUGUGGUGAACCUAUUAAAAGAUAGCAUUUGUGGCAAAACUCUAGAAAGGUAAGCCUUCGUGGUGAACCUCUUAAAUAACACACUUGUGGCAAUCUCUAAAUAAGGAAGCCUUUGUGGCUAUCUCUAAAAAGGAAUGCCUUCGUGACGCCAUCUAAAGAAUGAACCUUGCAGAAACCAUUUGAAAGAAACACCUCUAUGGCAAACUUUGAACAAAAAGAAAGAAACCCAUGGCGAAGUUUGAUAAAGCGACAUACGAAGUCUUCUGAAGGAACGAUAAGUAUGACAAACUCUGAAAGAAAAGCUCCGUAAGAAGUGUUAUGGCUAACCCAAUAUAGUACAUGGUAAGAAUAACGAGACCAGAGUGUGCUAGAGUAUGUGGCGAACCUAGAACAUUAUGUUUGAAAGGCCCUCUACAAUGAGAAUGGUUAAGGAACCACAGAAGAAUAAGACGAGGAACACGAGAGUGGUACAGAAGAUAUGAAAGGCAAGAUAUGACCUCAGUAAUAAGCGUGACACCCAUGGUAUAAUGAAUAGAAUCUAUGGGAUGUAUCCCUUAGAGUUAAGUUGAAGAAUAAAAGAUAAUAAGUUAGAUAAAAGAGUUCUCAGAUGAGACUCAAGUAAAGGAGAGCUUACUCACUAAGUUCUAUUGAACUUACCUCUGUGUUCUUAUGUCACAAGUAAAUUGAUCGAGGCUAAGCCAAGAGGGAAGACGCCAAGGCUACACCCAAGGAGGGGCACGUUGGGUUGUUAUGCAUACAGAGCAAGUGAGGCUGUGUGUUUGAGUAUGAUAAGAAUAUUGUGAUUAGGCUAGGCAAACUAUUCGCAAGCCUAGCAAUGUAGAUAAAAUGUGUUGGCCAAAUAAGCGUUGCCAGUGAUAUCUUUUACGGGCAAGAUAAGUGUCAUAUAUAUAUAUUUGUGCUUUUAAGUUUUUGUUGGGUGAAAAGUUUUGUUAAAUGGUUGUAAGUAUACAUUGUACACUCAGAUGAUUUGUUGAUUGGGCAUCAUAACUUAAUAAGAUGUAUAAGUUUGAAAAUUUUGUAUUAACAAGUUUAAUUAAAGACAGUAAGAGAGCAUAACACUCGAGAUCCGGAUUGGGUUGAAGGUGUUACAUGGUCUCCAAGAAAUCUAAUGUUGUUGACCACUACCAUUAUCAUGUCUCCAUUUUGCUUCACUGUUUCAACCUCCCUCAUCUUCAAGUUCUCAAAAUCUCUUCUGAGAUUAAUAAGUUGUUGUUGUCUGGUCUUGUUUGACCCUGAAACUCCUCCCUUAGUUUAUCCCAAUCUUCUUUAGGAGUCUUACAGGUCAUAAUCUUAGUGAAUAUCACAUAUGAAACACCACUUUGUAUGUACGACAUCGCCUUGUACUUCUUAGCACAAUCAUCAUUAUGCUGUCUAAUUUGUGCUAUGGUAGGAUUCGCCCUCAAUGGUGGUGACUCAAUAUUGGCAUUCACUACCUUCCACAAGUCAAAAGCCUGAAGGUAGGUCUUCAUCUUUACUACCCAAAUAUAAUAGUUUUCACCAUUGAACACGGGUGGUGGAGGAGGUGGAAAACUUGUUAAAGACAUUUUUGCAUAAACAUAAAAGAGAAAUGGCCCUUAAAGAUCAAUGGCUCUCGAUACCAAUUGUUGGAGUUAUGAACAAAGAAAGCUAAAAUAAAGAAUUAGCAAAUCCAAUUUAACUUACCAUAUUUCAUCAAAUCAGUUUUUCAAAUACAAGUAAUACAAUAUAUAUUAGUUGAUUCAUAACAAAACUCAACUAAUCCCACUAAUACAAUCUUAAAAAUAUAAAAACUUGUACAAAACCUAAACAUGUCAUUCAGCACCUAAAUACAUAAAAAAAAAUCCUACCAAGAUUGGUUUUAUCAAACACAUAUAACAUAACUUGUGCAACAUGCACCAAAAUAUUUUCAUGAAUCUGCGAAUACAAUCUGCAAGCAUACUUCGCGGAUAUACUUCGCAUGUGAUCAAUAUGCCAAGCUCUUCGUAGCUUAUGUUCCCGCAAGCUUAUUCUCACUUGGACAAUUCACCAAUAUUCUUCUGCUUAGGUUAUCUACCACUUUGGCUUGCACUUGGAUUGUCAGUCACUUGUACGAGUUGUUGCACGGUUGGCCAUCUCACAACACUACCAAUUAUUGACCAUAGAUCAUCCAAGAACCCCUCAACAACACAAGUCCAUAAUAUUCCAAUUUAGAGAACUUGACAAGAAAGUAAUCAUUGUCUAGACCGACAAUCUAGAAACCACCAGAAAUUUUCCACAUGCUUUUGAAUCUAGUAACUAGAGCUUUGUAACCGAAAGCACAACAAGGAGUCGAACAAUAACCGUCUGACACAUAGUUUGAUCAAUCAACCCAUGCACCCUUUUAGAGAAAUUGAUCUCAAGAUACAGUCCUUCCAUUGUCACUUACACAUCAUCUUCUAAAAGGAAAAUAUCUUCACCCUCCAAACUAACAUCAUCUCCUCCACAAGUUUUGGUGUUACUCAUUCACAUUUCCUGUAACACCCCUAUCCCGUGACCGUCGCCGGAAUAGGUAAGGGGCAUUACCGGGCUUGUAACUCAUGUCAGAACCGUAAAAUUUUGAACUUUUUCUUGAAAUAAAGGUCAUUCAUUUAGAUAAGUACUAAGCACGGCCAGGGAUAAAAUUUAAACUUCUCUAAGUAAACAUUCAAAAGAUGCCAUUUUCGCAUGGCUUAUAUACAUUAACCAAAAUAUUCUUCCGCCACUAGUCUAUUUUAUACAUGCCAUAAGAUAAUCCAAAACAUAGCAGUACCAAACAGUGGAUAGUGAUAGUGUGACUAGUUGCUAAUGAUCCCCGAGCCUGUAGCUUCGCAAUGAGAUCUAUAAAAUAGAGGAAACAGAGUAAACGGAGUAAGCAUUACAAUGCUUAGUAAGUUUUAAGCAGUGUCAACAGAUAACAAUCAAAUUAUAACAUAGUUGUUCGUAUUUUUAUUUCACUCUUCCUUCGGGCAUACCAUCCCUUUACCGAAUAUGCACAUCUCAUCAUAUACAAUAGGCAGAUAAACUUUCACAUAAAAGUGAGCUCAUGUGACAUAGAUAUAUCGUAUGAUUUCACAUAACCUCUCACACUGAUCCGAUGUCACAUAAUCAUAGGAAUAGUCUCAUAGAUUGCUCUCGUAUGCAUCACAUAACUACCUUAUGAUUUAGUGCAAAUCAAGCUCACAUAUAAACUUGGAGUACAUACCUGUUUAACCUUUCGCAUUGAAUAUAUUUAUAAGCAAUUCUUAUUACGAAGUCUUACCCGGACAUAAUCUCCACACGAAGUUAUCGGGUCUUACCUGGACAAAAUCCCCACACGUAGUCAUCGGGUCUUUAGAGCUCGGAUAUAGUACGAGCACGAAGCUUACGGACAUUAAUCAGUGAUAAUAUUCUCGCAUAAAGCCUGCGGGGUUUUAACCCGGAUAUAGUACUGACACAAAUGCCCUUCGGGACUUAUCACAUUUAUACACUUUCACAUCCAUCACGUUGGCCACUCGGCCCUGUCACAUAUAUACACUUUCACAUUCAUCACAUCGGCCAUUAGGCCUUAUCACAUAUAUACACUUUCACAUUCAUCACAUCGGUCAUUACGCCAUACUAUCAUUUCAUAUUCGAAUACUCAUAAACUUACAAUAUCACGAUUUAGAAUUCAAGUAUGGGUUUAAUCAAUAGCUUAUGAGCAACUAAAACAAGUUUAUCAAGGUUCACAACAUAAUCUCAAAUUCAGCACAAGCUGUUUUUCCUGAGCAAUAGUCACUAAAUUAUUUAUAACUGGAGCUACAAAACUCCAAAUCACUUUCCGUUAAUUUUUCCUGAAUAUAUACUCGUAUAUCUUCCAUCCAUAAAAUUUACAGAAUUUUAGGUUUGGCCAAUCAAUACCAUAUUUUUCUUAAAGUUUCCCCUGUUUCACUGUUUGACUAAUCUGACCACUCUUUGCUACGAAUCAAAUUUCUCAUUUUACAGAAUUCAAAAUGUGUUUUAUUUGAUUUCAUUUUAAACUAGACUCAUUAAGGAGUCUAAGAAUAUAAAUUUUAUCUUAUAACCAUUUUUGUACAAUUUAUAAUGAUUUUCUAAAAACAGAACAGGGGAUUUCGGAGUCAUUCUGACACCGUCUCACACAACUUUAAAUAUCUCAUUAUCGGAAAUUCCUUUGCUUACACGGUUUCUUUUAUAAGAAACUAGACUCAUUAAUAUUUAAUUUCAUGUCUCAUUCAGCCUCUAAUUCAAGUCCAUAAAUUUAUGGUGAUUUUCUAAAGUCACGUUACUGCUGCUGUCUGAAGCAGACUAUUUCAAAUUUCCCUUAAAUUCCCAAGCUCAAACACUUAAGAACUUACCAUUUGAGCUUAGAACAUAUCAUGGCCACAUCUUAUCUUAUUAAAUCAACUCAUCAUGUCCUAUUAUAAUUGAAUUUACUCAACGUUUAAACACUUAAAACUUACCUCGGAUGUGGUCGAACAAUUUCGGCGGCUAUUCGAUCACUUUUUCCCUUCCUUUAUCCAACUUUGGUCCUCUAAGCUCUUGAGCUUAAUUUAACAAAUAAAUUGAUUUAAUCAUUUGAGCAUCAAAAGAGGAACUCAAGGUACUUAGCCCAUAUAUACAUACAUUAGACAUUAAAGUCACAUACAUAUGAAAUCAUAAAUCAAUUCAACAUAUUAGCCCACACUCUCUUUUAGCCGAUUGUCUAAGCCAAGAUAAAAGCAUCAAUAUGCUUGCCUCUAGCCGAAUACAUGCAACACCAAUCUUCUUCCUAUGGCCGAAUAUGCAUAUCUAUGUUGAGGCCGAUUAUAUGCUUAAUACUUCCUACAAGUAUAGUUACUUGUAUUGCUUAUAUAUCAUUUUGUUUCAAGUUCAAAACUCGGCUAAUACGCAUAUAUACACUAGUAAUCAAAUACUAACAUUUUGCACUUCACCUUACUACCAUUUUACUUCUACUUUCUACCAUGGCCGAAUGCAUCAAGACACCAUACCAUUCAAUUUUGGUCAUGGGUUACACAAAGAACUUAAUGUCUAACUCAAAAAUGCCAAAAAGAAAAUCCAAGAGUCAUCAAUCACCAUCACAUGUAUCAUUACGAAGCUUUACACUUAGCAUGCAAAUGACAUCAACACAAAUCCACCUUAGCCGAAACUUAACUCAUCUUCAUGCCUCAUCACCACAACAUCAAACAUCAACCAAGAAGACAACACCCAUGGCCGAAUAUCAUCUCCAUCUCAUAGCAAAGAUUUAAACCAUGGGCUAGGUAGAACUCAAACUAACAACUAAAAACAUGCAUGAAUCUCAAGGACAACAUCAAACAUACCUUAGUCUAGCAAACCACCAUAGCCGAUUUUCUCAAGCUCUUCCCCUUCCUUUCUUUCCUCUAUUCGGCCAAAGAUGUUCAAGAAUGAACACUUUUUUUUGUUUUCUUUCUUCAAUUCACGGCAAAGGGGGGGGGAAACAUGGAUGAGACAAUUUUUUUCAUCAUCAUUUACCUUUCCAUUAUUAUUUUAUUACCCAUACUCAUUAUUUUAUUUUAUUGUUUCCUCCCAUGAUGCACCAACACAACACGUCUAUGACAUGUUUUGCCCAUCACCCUUUGUCCAUCCUAAUGUCAUGGCCGGCCACUACUAGAUGGGGGGGAAAAAUUGACAUGCAAGUCCCCCCUUUUUCAACAUGCACUAAUAGGUCCUUAUGUUUUGAUCUAUCACAUUUCAAAAAUGUCACACAUAAGUCCUAUUGACUAAAUUCACAUGAAAUUUACUAAAUCGAAGCUUAAAAUUUUCACACAUUUAUUUUAGACAAUAAAUAUCAUAUUCAAAUAAUUUGGUGACUCGGUUUAGCGGUCCCGAAACCGCUUUCCGACUAGGGUCAAAUUAGGGGUGUCACAUUUCCUUAAAGGAGGCUUUCAAGUUUUAGAUCCAUCCCCCAUCUCUUGAUUCUCACUAUCACCAUUCUCCACCUCUUUUUUAUUCUUAACUCUUUUUGUGGCUCUUUCCAAGUCCACCAGAAGUGGUAAACCAGGCCGCCUAAGGCUUUCUAAAGGGUAAAGGUUGAUCUCCUUCAAAACCUAAUAGCUUCUUGUAUUUUUUAACCAGUGAUGAUAGCUUGUUUUAAAUACAUAUUUUUUUAACCCUUGCUACUAUAAUUUAAAAUAUUUUUCUUUUUUUUUUAAAUAAUUAUAUGAACUAUUAAAAAAUAUAAAAACCCUUACAAUAAUUUUUGUUGUUUGUUAAAAGAAAAGGAUUUUAUAAACUUUUUAUAAUCACUAAACUACACUAUUAAUCACUAAAUUAUAACUUUAUCGUUAAACUAUUCAAAAAGUUUCAUUUAAAUUACUAAACUAUUCAAAAGUUUUUAUUUAAGCCAAUGUGUUGUUAAUAUUUUUUAAGUGUUUUGAACCAAUAUCUAUCGAUGAAUAGAAAAACAUAUCUUAGUUCCACAUUGAUCUGAUGGUCAAUUUCUGAGAUAAAAAAAUAUUUAAAUUUUAAUUUGUAAAUUUAUGACAUCUAAAAUUAUUUCAUGAAAAAAAUUACAAAAGAUAAUAAAUAAACAAAUAAAUAAAAGCUUUCAAUUGAUACAAGUCAUAACAUCUCUUUUGACAUCGCGAUAACUUAAACAAAAACUUUUGAAUAGUUUAAUUACCAAAUUACAAAUUUUUUUAGUUAAAUAAUCAAAUUGAAAAUUUACCCAUAAUUUAGUAACUAACGGUGCAAUUUACCCUUUUAUAAUUGAAUUAUAUCUGAUUUAUCUGAUUUAAAUAUAACACGAAAUCAAUCAAAUAAAGAUUCCAAAAUGCUUUAUUAUUAAAGCAUGCAAAAUCAGAGCGUAUUGCUUUCAUAUUGGAUUAAAAGAACACUUGUUAGCUCAAAAUGAAAGUUGACAGAAAAUUGCCAUAAAUAUCCUUACAAUGAAAGACAUACAAGUUAUAUAUAAUACAAUAAUAAUUGCUGGGUGGGAUGCUACACUCCAUUACCACAACUUUCUUCCGUGGCUCCACUUAUCUAGACAAUACGAUAAUAUUUUUAGAUAUUAAUCACAAAUAUAUAUAUUUUUUGGUUAAAUAUAAGUUUACCUUUAAUCUGUGACCGGGUGUUCAGAGGAGCUAUUGCCUGCAGCAGGACCCUGCUUCCUCUCGGCUUGAAGUGAUCGACACAAUGAUUCAAGCUUAUCUUUCUGAUUCUUUGUCUUCUGUAAUUGUUUCUUCAUUUGCUCCCGCUACUCAGAUCCAAAGAAUAAGUUCUCAGGACCCACUUCUUCAAAUACAUGAUAAGUUCCAAAGACUGAAAGCUUUAAAAUUCAUAUAUGUCAAUCAUACCUCUUCCACUAGUUCUAUAAGUGUAACAUCUGAUUUCUCACAUUUGCUCUUCAUGAAUGCAUUUUCUUUCUCCAGUUCCUUUAUCGAUUUUGCCAUCUACUUUUACAUACAAAAAACGGAAAUAGUCAUUAACUUCUACAUAAUUCAUAAUAAAACCCAAUUCUUUACUUCUUUUUUCUAAGUACCCGUUUUCCAGCACUCGGGUCCAAUGCAUAUUUGGACAUGAGUAAGGAGAUAUGAUCCUCCACGAACCCUCCAAACAUAAGAAAAUCUUCAAAAAUAUUGAAGAUACCCAUAUCAUACACCCUGCCCAUGUCUGACAGGCCCAAGUGACCAGCUAUCAUUAAAUGGAGCAACAGGAAAAUUUGAAAUGUAGCGCAUUGAGGGAAAUGACUCUCAAAGAUUAAGGCACGUGUACCUUCUCAAUCUCUUGCUUAAAUGUUUCAAAGACCUCGUUGCUCUUAAACAAUGCAUCCUGCAAAUCACAAAGAUAAUGAGAUAGGUACGAUUAUCCUUCAAGCAACACUGGAAAUACUAAUCUGGCUUCGGUAUUGCGGCCUCUAGACAGUUAAUAUGCAGAGAAUGUCUGAUAAAUGCAUUCAACGGUGAGGUUGAAGCACUUCCAAAGCAAAACACCUCAAACAUAAAGACGGUUGGUUUAUCCCUUAGUCACUCGAGAAAGGUAUCAAAAAAGCAUUCCCCAACUGUUCUGUAGAUAAUAGCACUUCAAACGUCCACAACUUUUUCCAUCAUCAAUGGCACUUAGAUUGUAGCCUUCUACUAAAUUAUUAUGCCAUAAUUUUGGCAUUACAUAGGCGAGAAUGAAAGGUUCCAAACUAUCAAAAUACAUGAAAAUGCUUAGAAAAAUAUAAGAGAUCCGUGUCGGACAUAUACUUAUAUCCAACACUUAGUUACAUCCGAGUACAAGAACAUAGUCAAUUACCGUAAAAAAGUAGGAGAAUAAGUCCUCUGAACUGAUGGAUUAUCCAUCAAGCCAUCCAAUACAAAGGACUCAAGCACUCGGAACAGAAUAUUAUAUUCAUCAACCUAAAAGAGAACAAAUGCCAACAAAACCAAUACAAUAAAUGACACAGGAAGAGUCGAACCUGAAACUGUUGGAAUUUUUCUCCAUCAGCCGUCAAUUGCAAGCGUAAAUUCUUUUCAGUAGCCAAUAACUGCAACACUUGUUCUGAGUAUACUUUCAUCUGCACUUGUUCGUCGACCAAUUUCUCUUCAUGUUGUUUAAUUUUCAGAUUGGCAAGUUGCAGUUCUAGUGUUUUCUGCUUAAGCUGUAUCAAAAAUCCAAAACAGCGAAAGUAAGUUCAGUCCUCGACAAUGGGAACCAAUUAUUAUUUCGAGAGAGAAUUCCUUAGAUAUACCAGGAAAUCUGAAUCUAUACCUUCUGUGCAUAUUGCUGUUCAGCGAGGGCACAUUGAUCAGCAAACUCCUUCAACUUAUUUCUUAACCUAUACAUUAAGAAUUCCAAAAUUUCAAUUAAUUAUGAAGAACAAGCACUAAAACAAUAUAGGUGAGGAUGAUGCUUUAAAUUCUAUGAAAUUUUACUCAAAAUAUCCAACAUAUCGGGAACUACUAAUGUAAGAAAGAUCAAAAGCCCAAAUUAAAGAUUCUAACUUGGAAAUUUUCAAAAAUUCGGAAUGCAGGAUAGAUGCAACAUGGUCAUUCAAAUAACUUUCAGAGUUUGCUUUGUAGAGUGGAUAGAAAAUUGGAGAACAAAAGUGAAAAGAUGGAAAAUACUUUUUUUUUUUCAACAGUGUGCUUUGAAGGAAACUAUGUUGCUUCAACUCUUCAUUUUUCUUAAAGCACCCAUGUCCGAUGCAUAUCAGAACAUGGAUAUGAAAAUAAUGUCUUACAAUGGUCCUCCAAAUGCAUGAAAAGAAAAAUAAAAGACAAGGGAAUAUAACCAAGUUCAAAUCACUCCCAAGUUCGAGUAAAUAUAGGUAGGAAAUAUGGAAAAGUUGAGAGAAAAAAAAAAGUUCUCCUCCAUACAUGGCUUGGUAAAGAAAAACAAAAUUUAUAUUUAACCUUUGUAAGGUGAGAUGAAAAGGUUAAAUAUCGACAAUCCUGUAAUGUGCAACAUGAUUUGCAUCUCUUCAUUUUCUCUUUUCUUGUCAAUUUAGAGUGAUUUGUUUCAGUGAACAAGCAUGGAGAAAAUCAUCUUUCCUAUUGCUCUCAUCUCACUUUUCUCUCCUAUCAAACACACCUAACAUUUAGUUUUCUUUCUGCUAUUCCACCCUCCUCUAUCCAUCCUUCCAAUUUUCCACCCUACCAAAAACACAAGCACAUCCUUGGUGUAUUUAGAUGUUACCAAUCACGAAGAAAAAAUGCUAUGUUACUUAGACUCAUGUACGUACAAGUGUUGGAUACGUGUACGUGUCCAGCACAAGUAUGUUCAAUUUUUCUAAGCAUUUCAUGUGUUAUUUGGAGAGUCUUCGGAGAGUCAUAUCUCCAUUCCCAUGUCAAAAAAAGGUGUCAAACACCAGUACCUAAAAAAAACUCAAAGAGUCUGAGCAACAUAGGAAAAACAUAUAAGAUGUAGACAAGCAUUUCCAGGCUCUUACAUCUCAUUCUCCUUCAGUUGAGAUAAACAUUCAUCCUUCUGCUCUUCCAGCUUAUUGCUCACGUCCUAAAAAAAAUCAAAAACAAAACCCUUAAGAAAUUACUCAUAAAAUAUGUUAAAAUGGGGAAAAAGAACUAAAGUUAGACUACUAAAAUAAGGUUUCUCAGGAUGUUAUACAGAUGUUGAGGAAAUAUUUACAUUUCCUUUCAUGCUAAAACUGAAGAGUCAGGAAGAAAACACAGAUACACGUACAAGCACACAAAAUCACAGAAAGAGAGACUUGAAAGAGCUGAAAUAUCAUAAUUCUAUAGUGAUAUGCUAAAAUGGAAUCAUUGUGAAGUAUUCAUCCAACAAUAGAUGAAGUUCCAACUCUUGCUUCAACUAAUAGAUGACUUUUCAAAUUUCCAUUUCUCUAGCUUUUGGCAUAUCAACUCCAUUGAUCUAUGCUACAUGUAUGUGGUAUGCGCCUUGGCAUAGGAUCUAGUCACAGGUCUAAACGAGAAAGAAUUCUUGCUUCGACCUAUGGUUAUUCAAAAGGCAGAUUCGUCCUUGACAGAACCCCCUCUCAAAAUAAUGUUUCUUUUUUAUAGAAUAAUUGCUUGCCUCUUUAUUUCAUAUUGGCAGUCUUUUAUAGGAGGUUAAUGACAAAGGAAAGAGUAUUAAUUGACAUAAAAUAGAAUUCCUAACUUAGAGUUUAUGAAGGAAACAAAAAUCUAAUAUAAUAGAGAAAAUAAGUAAAACUAAAACUCUUAAUAAAACCUGAUAUAAUAAAUAAAUAAAACUAAAAUUCCUAUUGCAAUAAAAGUGUCCAUAUCAUUACUCCCCUCCUCGGAGUUGAGCUUAUCCUCAAGCUCAAAUUCAGAAUGAACUUCAGAACUUAUCCAAAAUCAUCUAUCUCAUCAUCAUCUUGCUUGCCUUCAACAUCUGGUACUUCUAUCCAAAAUAACCUUUUACAUUUGUGUUCCAUGGAAUAAGACUCGUCACAGUUAUAACACAUCCCUUUAGCCCUUCUUUCCGCCAUUUCUGUCUGUGUCAAUCUCUUAAUAAAUGGUGCAGAAGAACUUAUUUUGUCGUUGUUCCCUAUUGGUUCUGUUGUUUGUCCCCCUCCCUUUGCAAUGCUCUUAGUUGUUGGAAUGAUUGAAUUGCUGCCAAUGUUUUGGGAAGUUGGCCAAUUCAGGAUGGCUCGAGAUGACAAUUUGGAAGAGACAUUUUGUUUACAUUCCAAUGUUCGAGCCAUAUUCAUUGCAACUCCAAGGUUUUCCGGUUGUUUCAUCUCAAUAUCAAUUCUAAGUUCCUCUAUCAACCCGGCAGUAAAGAGGUUUACUUGUUGUCGAGGUUUAAGAUCAGUAGUCCCAGCCAAUAUUGAUUGAAAUUGGCGUUGAUAUUCCUCUACAGUCCCAGGUUGUUUCAAGUUGGCAAGUUCUCCCAAGGGAUUAUUACUCAUAGGUGGUCCAAACCUUACAUGACAACACUCUUUGAAACGCCCCCAAUCAAGAUUUGCCUCCUCUUCUUCCAUUUGAUCAAACCACAAUUGUGCCUCUCCUAAAAAAUGGAAUGAUGCUAAGCUUACUUUGUCUUCUUCGUUAGUUCGUUGAUUGCCAAAAAAUAUUUUGCAUAUUUUCAACCACCCUAAAGGAUUUCCAACACCAUCAUAAGUGGGAAAUUCCAUCUUAGAGUAUCGUGGCACCAUGCACCCACCGUGUUGCAAGUCUAAAUUCCUUGUCCUACCUCCGCUACUACCCUGUUCUUCAUUAUUCUUCUCUGAAUCUCCUUUUGUUAUCUUUUGGACCGAAAGAGAUAAUAUUGCCACCUGCUCCUCUAAUGCUUGUUGCCUUGUAGCCAUUUGUUCCAUGAAAGCCUUCAGCUUGGCUGUCAAAGUCUUUUCGUCACCCAUGACAGCUGGCUCAGAUACCAAGUUGGUAUGCGCUUUAGCGUAGGAUCUAGUGUCACGGACUUGGAGUUUUCCCACACAUCCGUGCGGCCUUAGGCAGUUUCUUGGCUUAAAAACGCCUAAGUCAGCCUAACUUCCACCGAUAAUGGAUUCAACCGUAAAAACGCCUAAGUCAGCUCAACUCGCAACAAUAAAGGAUUCAACAGAAUUCCCUUAAAGUUUUCACGAAGAACAGCGGAAGAACGAAUUAAGAACGAUCUUUGAAAGAUGAACAAAAGCAAGAACGCUUGAGAGAAAAGUUUGAAUAAAUGCUCUCAAUUCUUAUUCACAAAGAAUAAUGAAACAAUUCAGGAGUGAGUACAAAUGAGGGGGAGGCUCUCUAUUUAUAGUUGAGCUCCCCCAAAACCGAUGGCUACAAUUAAAAGCUGUAUUCAAUUAGGACUCUAACUUUACAGAAUUAGAAGUUGUGUACAAUUAGAACUUCUAAGACUACUUAGUCCUAUCUUCAUUAUCGGGCCCAUCAGGCUUCAAUGUGACAGGCCUGUCCAACAGCUCUUUGAAUCGGGCCAGUUUUCGUAGGCCAAAUGAUCCCUAUCUGAGCAACAGACCUCCAUUGGAUGCAUUUGGUGCGCUUGUCACGGGCUUUGAACUGCGGUCCGUGACAUUCUCCCCCACCCAUUCUCGCAACGCCCUCGUUGCGACUUCUGAAUGGCACUAACUUGAUUCGCCUCGGUCUCGUCUCGUCGCCUUAGCCUUUCCCUUUCUUUGGGAUUCUUGCCUCGGCUUCUGUCGCUUCUUAACUCGAGCCGUCCUGCUCGUCGCAUUUACUCUGGUCAACUGUCCCACAUGCAUCGUUUCUUUUCCUUUAAAGUCUGAUGCACCACCUACCUUUCCCAUAGGUGGAAGCCUUGUCGAUGACUCGGCUAACUCUGAUACUUCACUCAACUUGAGCCUCAUUGGUCCCAGCUUCACUGUUUUCAUCGCAACUUUAUCUGCUAAGUUAGAUGACAAACUCACCUCUUCCUUGGGUGGAAGCCCCUUCGACGACUCACCAAGCUCAGACGUUGCGUUUCUUUCGACUUCGGCUUGCUUUGGACAGUUCCGCAACUCAUGCGGACCACGGCACAAGAAGCACUUAACUUGCUUCUUUUUGCUCCUCUUUGCCCUCUUGGCUUCGGCUUUUCCCUUGCUCGAACCAAGCUUCUUAGGCUCAUUGUCUGCUCCAUCGUUCCCCUCGAUGACAGACUUCUUCGGACACUUCCGCAACCUAUGCGGACCAUGACACAAGAAGCACUCCACUGGCUUCUUCUCGCUUUCGGCCUCCUUGGCUUCGACACCCCUUGCGCUCGAACCAAGUACCAAGGCCUUACCCACCAGCUUCUCCUUAAGCACGGAUUUCUUCAAACAUUUCUUCAACAUGUGUAGACCGUCGCAGAGAAAGCAUUUUAGCUUGUCCCUUUUCCUCUUGGGUUUCGUCUUCCCAACUCGUGGUUUCCCAUUACCACCAUUGUCGCCGUUUUCAUUGCCAUUAACUCUAUCUUCCUUGUGAUCCAUUUCACAUACGCCCCUUCCAUCGGACUUGGAAGACCCAAGCUUGUCUUUCCCUAGACCAAGCUUCACCACGGACUCAACUACCGCCAUGGCUUCCGACAGUUUUUGGACACCUCUUUGUUCCACCUCCUGUCUGACCCACGGCUUCAAUCCCUUUUGAAAAGCAAGCAAUGCUUCUUCAUCGGUCACAUCUGAAAUUUAGAGCAUGAGUUCCUUGAACUCUUGAACAUACUCCCUCACUGUGCCCCGUUGCAUUAUCUCUUGCAACUUUGCCCGAGCUUCUUCCUCGGCAAAUUCUGGGUAAAACUGUCCCUUCAACUCGCAUUGGAACUCUUGCCACGUCCCAAUCUCACCUUGCCUUUUAUCUGUGGUCCUACCUCGCCACCAUAAAAGCGCAAUGCCAGUAAGAAACAUUGAAGCAGUGUUUACCUUAACUGCAUCCUCCAUGAUGCCUUUGGCACGGAAGUAGUUUUCCAUCCUCCACAAGAAAUUGUCCACAUCACAUGCAGACCUUGUCCCCACAAACUCUUUCGAUUUUGGGACAUCCUCAUUACUGAGUGCUGCAUUUGCCACUCCUUUCCCCACGGCUGCUUGACACAAGGACAGCUCUCCCUCGAGCUCCUCUAUUCUUGUGCUCAAAGCCUUCGUCGUGGCCAUUGUUUCCUCCUUCAAAGCCAUCAUCAUGGCCUCGAGAGCAUCAUUCCUUUCCGACAGCUUAUCCCUAUGUGAAUUAAACAACUCGUUUACCUUGUCCAUGGUGGAAUCAAGAGACAUCUUUACAUAGUCUCUGGACUGCUCCUCCAGUUUGUUAUGCGAUCCUCGACCCCAUCGAGUGCCUCCUUUACAUCCGCCAUGGAUCCCUCAAGUUUACCCACACGUUCCUCUACUGCCGAUAUUGUCUCCCUCAAAGACUUCCUCGCCCACCUUUGUUCAAACUCUUCUUUCGACAUCCCAACGGUGCCUUUGAACCAACAACUCGAAUAUUACUUGGUUCAAACAUUGGCUCGGAUACCACUUGUCACGGAAUUGGAGUUUUCCCACACAUCCGUGCGGCCUUAGGCAGUUUCUUGGCUUAAAAACGCCUAAGUCAGCCUAACUUCCACCGAUAAUGGAUUCAACCGUAAAAACGCCUAAGUCAGCUCAACUCGCAACAAUAAAGGAUUCAACAGAAUUCCCUUAAAGUUUUCACGAAGAACAGCGGAAGAACGAAUUAAGAACGAUCUUUAAAAGAUGAACAAAAGCAAGAACGCUUGAGAGAAAAGUUUGAGUAAAUGCUCUCAAUUCUUAUUCACAAAGAAUAAUGAAACAAUUCAGGAGUGAGUACAAAUGAGGGGGAGGCUCUCUAUUUAUAGUUGAGCUCCCCCAAAACCGAUGGCUACAAUUAAAAGCUGUAUUCAAUUAGGACUCUAACUUUACAGAAUUAGAAGCUGUAUACAAUUAGAACUUCUAAGACUACUUAGUCCUAUCUUCAUUAUCGAGCCCAUCAGGCUUCAAUGUGACAGGCCUGUCCAACAGCUCUUUGAAUCGGGCCAGUUCUCGUAGGCCACCUGCUCCUCUAAUGCUUGUUGCCUUGUAGCCAUUUGUUCCAUGAAAGCCUCCAGCUUGGCUGUCAAAGUCUUUUCGUCACCCAUGACAGCUGGCUCAGAUACCAAGUUGGUAUGCGCCUUGGCGUAGGAUCUAGUCAUAGGUCUAGACGAGAAAGAAUUCUUGCUUCAACCUAUGGUUACUCAAAAGGCAGAUUCGUCCUUGACUGAACCCCUUCUCAAAAUAACAUUUCUAUUUUAUAGAAUAGUUGCUUGCCUCUUUAUUUCAUAUUGGCAACCUUUUAUACACUGUUAAUAACAAAGGAAAGAGUCCUAAUUGACAUAAAACAUAAUUCCUAACUUAGAGUUUAUGAAGGAAACAAAAACCUAAUAUAAUAGAUAAAAUAAGUAAAACUAAAACUCUUAAUAAAACCUGAUAUAAUAAAUAAAUAAAACUAAAAUUCCUAUUGCAAUAAAAGCGUCCAUAUCAGUAUGUUAUUUAUUUAAGCCCAUGUUUCAGGAUCAAUCAUACUUAGUGAAAGAGUUGUAUCAUAAAUCUCCUCAUAGUUAUAUGCUAUCUAAAAUGUUGGACGAUAAAAUCAAGGAUGAGCUCUUAUAUAAGUCCGCCUACAUCAAAAUAUGGUCAUUAAACCUUGAUUGCAUCCUGGAACCUGGCUGAUAAAUCUAAUCUUAAGUUCUGUCCUUCGGUCGAUACCCGUUUGCAUUCGUCCUGCAAAAUCACAAACAAAUCAUCAGUGUUUUCAUAAAAAGAAAGUCAAACAAAUAGCUUGGAAGUUACAAAGCAGAAAUUUGUCAUGGAAGUUGAAGAUUUUAAAACAGAAAUGGUGAUCAAUGAUCUCUUUAAUAUAUCAAAAUGUAGAAUAGACAUUAUGAACAGUAAAAUAAAGGAAACGCGCUUUUCCCAUUCUGCAAAAUUGUUAUACAAAUACUAUAUAAAGUUUUAUCACUGCAAGUACUACUAUAAAAUUUGUAUGAACAACUUUACCAAGAAAGAGUAGUUGAGAAUUUUAAUUUAGUUCAUUUUAUAUCUGGUCAUGUGAAAUUGAAAAAAAAGAAUCACAACCCAUGAUUGUGCAAGGCUACAUCUUAAUUAUUCUUUAAGUACUGAUAUCCAAUGCACAUGGGCAUAGGUAGGAGGAUAUGAUCCUCCAAGGACCUUCCAAAGAUGGAAAAACUUGAAAAAGAAUCGAACACACCCAUGUAGAACAUGUACUCAUAUCCAAAACUAAGUGUUGGUUGUCAACAAUGGCCUUUACAAAACUAAAUACACUUCGUUUAGCCUAGCAUGAGGGUUCCUACGUUUCUAUAUUUUAGCAGAUUACUCUCACCCCCUCUCGAAAAUUUAUCUACAUGGUAUCUUUGAUGGCCUUUUCAAAAUUAAGUACACUUUCAUUUAACCUAGUAUGAGGGUUCCUACGUUUCUGCAUUUUAGCUGCUUACUCUACCACCCUCUCUCUGAAAUUUAGCAACAUGGUAUCUUUGAUGGCAGGGUAAAUGACCCAAACCAGAAAAGGGGAAGGAUAAGAAAAGGGGACAAAUUUGAAGGCUAAUCUGCAACAUGUAACAUUAUCCAAAGCCCAAAAAUACUAGGAACAAAGUGCAUCAAGAACAAAUACGAAAUGUCAAAUGUCAUUAAUCAAAAAUUGAUAAAAAAUCCAAAGAAAAGCAUACCAUGAACAUUUUGUUUUGACGUUGUAACUCCCUACAAAGUGAUUCAAGUUUAUCUCGAACAGCAAUAGCUACAGACAAAGGCAAAGCAAAAGGGAAGAAACAAAAAUUAAUCUGCCAUGAAGCUAAAGAUAACAUUCACCUAUAGCUUCAAAGUUCAGCUGGUCAAAGUUUUCAAGGAAAAGCUACAUUGCUAGGACUAUGGUUUGAGUGUCGGAAAUGGAUAUGUUCCAUUUUUUUCAAGAUUUUCAUGUAUUUAGAGGAUCCUUGGAGGAUCAUAUUCCCAUACCCAUGUGGCCAUGUCCUAGUAUGGGCUGGACACGAACUUCAAACAUAGGUACUUCAAGAAAAACAAAGUGUUGAAACAACCUAGAGGAAAAGAACAAACAAGGAGAGAGAAGUCAAAGACUUUUCUCUUCAAUACCACAAAAGAAAAGAAGAACCUCUGUAACACUUAACUGCAAAACAACUCAUACAAUAAUAACUCUUUCCAAGAGACAACGUUAGGUUAAAAUUUAUUUGUUUAAGUCAGCACUAUAGUAAGCUAGAUGGUUAUAAUCUUUUGAGAGAAAUCAUAACAGUUAUCACCAACCUCAUUCCAUGGCAAACCGAAGUGACCAAAUGAACCAACUGAUUUUCAAUUUCUUCAUUGGAUAUAUGAAUCUUAACUUAUUCAUUCUUCAAGUUUCUGACACCUAACAUGCAGAAACUGCAUGUGUCUGGCCUGUAGCCUACAUCACUCCAACUCUUCAUUUUGGUUGAAGUAACUAUAUCUAAAACUCAUGUCCACAUGGAUAUGGAGAUAUGACCUCCAAGGAUCCUCAUACAAAUGGAAAAAUCUGACCAUACCUGUGUUGGACACAUAUCCAUAUCCAAGACUCAUAAGGCUAUAGCACUAGGCAGAAACUAGUAUCCGAUCUAAAAGUGUUAGGUAAAACUUGAAAGAGUCUUAGGCAAUUAGGCGAAUGUGUUCAUAGCAAUAAAUGACAAAGACUUUAUGGACAUCAUAAAUGUUAUUUCAACUUACCUGCAUCUCUUUCUGCAAGAAUUUGUUGAUAUUUCAAAGAGAAUUCAAGGAAUUCCUUUUCAGAUUUGAAUGUACGUUUUGCAUUCUUGCAUUUUGUUCCGGUGGUUUCCUGAGGAAUAAACAGCACAAUUAAGACUAGUGAAAAUAACCUCUGAAUAAACCAAACAUAACUCAGUGAACAGACUAUCACAUUCUUGAAACCAAAGCAACUUAGUAUAGUUAUAAACUAUCAAUGUUGCAACUCAGGAGCUUAUCCAACAUAAAAAAGCAAUUAAAAAAGAAUGGAGAUAUCUAGAAACACUUUGUGAAAUAGACUACCAUAGUGAAACAUUCAAAUUCCUAAAACCCAUUAUCUUAUUGUAAUCCUUAUGAACUGCUAUAAGGAUUAUAAUCCAGACAAGACAUACUAACUAAUCAGGCAUUAUUCUCAGUAUAGCAAGGAGACAAAAUAUGCUUUCCACAUAAAUAAGCAAUAAAUACCAUUACUCAAGUCAAUGCGCAUACCAAACUAUACAAAAGCAUAAGAAUUUGCAAGAACUUAGUAAUGCACUAUGAUAUACUAACUGGUUUUUUAUCUUUCAGCGUAUUGACACUUUCUGAUGAAAAUGUUUCUUUCAAAGGAGUCAAAGUUGCUUCUGAUACACCUUCAACUGCUGCAAAAAUCAACCGAUGAGCACUGAAAGAGGGGGAGGAGAAUCUACCUAAGUUUCAUUUAUGGAAAGACAAAAUUUCAUAAACAAAUUGAAAUUUCAGAAAAUUUACAUCUUUCUAUACUUUGAUACUCCCCUUCAAGAGCAACUUUCACCUCAGUGCAUUCUAAUUUACCAUCUACAGAGCCCAAAGAACCAUUAAAACUGUCCCCUUCAGACAAUGGAACUGGAAAUGUUAUUUGCUUUUGGCCCUUGCCUGCUCCAAACUCGGUGGAAACUAAAUCCUCUUCUUUAUAAUCAGAUUGCAAAGGCUUUUCUUGUUCCAAAAUUGGAGUUUUUGGAGGCAAUGAAUCUGGAGGACUCUCAACAAAGCCAUCUGGUAAUGAAUCCACCUCAGGAAGAUGAUUUGCUUCUGGGUUUUCCAUUUUCUACCCAAAAAAAUGAAAAGUCACUUGAUAAGCAAAAAUAAAGAAAACUCAGAUCAUAAUGAAUCUGGGUUUUCAUUAUAAAAAGCUGAAAGCUCCAUCUUUAUUUUAUUUGCCGAUGAUUUUUAAGAUUUGAACUUUUAAAACACCAAUGAAACAACAAAUAAAUAAAAUACAGUAACAAGGAAGGGAUGAAAUAAAAGGGAGAAUACCAGAGAUGAAGAAGAUGCUAAAACCCUUCUAAAGCGUUGCCGUUUUAAUGAAAUUUGCCUUUCUUCGUUCUCUGUUCCUUUUAUCUCUCUUUUUCUUUUUUUCGUGUCUUAACUCUUAAAAGUGGAUUGUAAGAAGCUGCAAAAAUUAUCUGAUUUUAUUCACUUUCAAUUUAAGUAAUAAUUAAAUAUAUUUAUUAUGAUAUUCUAUUUAUAAAUUAAAAAAUCGUAACUAUUUGAUUUUAAUUAGUAUUAAUAUUUUUAUAAGGUGAAAUUAUAUUUUUAUUUUUAAAUUAGAAAAAGAAUGAAACGUUAAAAAAAUAUGUAUUUCUCAAGUUCAAAAUUUUAACUCUAACUAAGAUUUGAUUUUAGUUCAUUCAAUCUUUCAAAAAAAUAUUCAAAAUAGUAAAUUUUCUCAAAUAACUAACCAAGCUUUUAAUUGAAAAUAGCUAAAAUACUUCAAUCAAAUAAACAUGAACACAAUUCUCCCUUUACAGCAUCCGCUUUUUCGUUAUUUAUUUAGCCAAAUUAUGCUCUCUGUAUUUUAACCAAGUUUAAAAUGUUUUAUUUAAAAAGUUAAUUCAAUAUUUUACAUUAUUAAUAUUUUUCUUAAAUUUUGUUCUUCAUCAACUAUACAUAAUAGAUUCACAAUAACUACAUGAUACAAAUUUUGACAAAAAAACACAAAUGAUGGACUAUUUUUUAAAAAUAAGAUGAAUUAAAAUUUUCAAGAAUUAAAAUUAAGCUUCAUUUUCAUAUAAGACUAAAUCAUAAACUUCAUUUAAGUUUAAGCAAUGGUGAGAUUUACCUACACUUGAACACUUUCAUAAUUCUUUUCUUUUUUAUUUUUUAUCCUUAAUAGUUCACAUACAUGUCAAUUGUAAAAAACUUUCAAUUUUCAUAAUUUCGUAAUAUGUUUUGGAAAAAGAGGUGUUUGCUUGUUAAAAUAUCUGAAGCGAAAAAAGCGUUAACUAAGGAGCUGAAUGAUUUCCUUAUAAAUCUUCAUAAGACACUCAUCAAUGAAUUCCAUGAGCUCUUCUCCAAAAGGAAAUCCAUUUGGGCUCUAAAAUCUAGAGUUAAUCGGAUUAUCGAAUGAGAGUGUAAAACGAAAUUCUUCCAUCUAUCUACCAUGAUCAAGAGAAAUUUCAAUAAAAUUAUGAGUCCCUUUUAUGCGAACGAUAGGUGGAUCACGAUGAGAACAAAUAUUGAAGCCUUAGCUCAAGAGUACUUCUCCAAAUUGUUCUCAACAUUUGAGGAAUUCUCUGCUGUCUCAUCUAGAGGUGCCGAACUUACCUAGCCCUGUUUCUCAAAGUUCAAAUCAUAAUCUUUUUUAUUAGAAGUUUCGUGUGUUGAUAUAGCCAAGGUAAUUUGGUCCUUCAAACCUUCUAAAGCCCUCGAGCCAAAUGGUCUUCACCCUUUCUUCUACCAGAAAUGUUGAGCUCAAGUGAAGCAUGAAGUUAUCAUGUUGGUCUCAAAGGUUUUCUAGAGUUUGUCUAAUCCCACAACCCUAAAUGAGAAUCUAAUAACCCUUAUUCUAAAGUCUAUAGAGGCUUUCUCUAUCUCCUAGUUUUGACUGAUUAGUCUAUGUAAUACAGUCUAUAACUGUCACAACCAAUUCCCCUAGGAACCCGAAUUUAAAGAUAAGUUCGGGAGCAAAUUGGAAGAAAAAGGGAAGUUGAGGAUCUAAAUAAGUUGUUUUAAAACUUGAGUGGCUGGUUGGCAGAUGACUAAGCUCUAACCUUGCUUUAGUUAGGUUGGAAUCGGCUGGUUCCAUAGUGGGAGACAUAAUAAUUAGGAUUUAGCAUAGACAAAUGUUUGUGGAAACCGUGCCAGUGGUAUAUAUAUAUGAGUGCGUAUGAACAGAACACCUCUCAAUUCUGCUUCUCGAAUCUUAUUCUCUAAGCAUCGUAUUCUUCACUAUUCCUGAAGAAUAAGAGAUUAUGGAUGGAAAAAGUUUUUCAUGUUGCAACUAUCACGUAGAUUUGAGUCUAGAAGUCAGAAAAAGGGGAAUUGGUAAGUUUCCUUACCUUGUGGGUGGUAGAAAUGUAGAGUAAGGAUCCAUUAAGCUUUGGUAUAAAUAUAAAUUUUGGGUUUUUCUAAAACGCGAAUCUUCUCAAAAUUAACCGAUAAAGGGUUAUUAUGCCUAUCUACCAGGGUGAAGGAAGCUUCGUCGUUCGUACAACCUAAGUUGUCAGGAAUAAAAAAGCAAUGUGAGUUUCUGUGCCACAUAUUUGAAUCAAUGAAAGAUAUUUAUUGAUUAUGUAUGCUAUAAAUGUGUAAAACUUGCAUAAAGUAGACAAGAUUAAAUGUUUUAGGAAAUGGUAUAGUUAAUGUUGACAUGUAAGUGAAUUGUAUGUAUCACCUAGUUUAGAAAAUGAAAAGUAUUGAUGGGAAUAAAAUAAGAUAGGAAUGGGAAAUGAGAUAAUUCUGUUAGAUACUGCCAUAUGGUCUUGCUGAGUGCAAACUGUGAUGAGCAAAGCUCUGAGCCUUACAGAAGAGACACUGCGAUGUUUGAGCAUCAAGGUUAGAGACGGUGAAAUGGAGGAAUUGAAUGGGAAAAGUAAAGAUCAUGGCGAGGUCAUGCUACUGAUUAGAGGCUAUACGCCUAAAAUGAGUAAGACCAUAGUUGAACGAUGUUAUGGCAUCAUGACGAAAAUGAGUAAGACCAUGGCUGAAGGACGUCAUGGCAUCAUGGUAAAUAAGAUUAAAACCAUAGCUGAAAGAUGCUAUGGCAUCCUUUGAUAGUCCACUGGGACAAGAAACAUGAUGUUAUAUUGAGCAAGACCAUAGAAGAAAGAUGUUAUGGCAUCAAGAGAUGAGUUGACGGCAAGAAUGAGUAAGACCAUGGUUGAAAGAUACUAUGGCAUCACGAAUAGUCCGUUAAGACACUAAACACGGGGAAGUUCGCUUAUAAGUUAGACAAGAAAAGUCCGUCGGGACACUAAACACGAAAAAUUCGACCAGGACACUAAACAAAGGACAUACGGUGUAAGUUCAUAGCCAGGUUAUGGCAUUGUGUAGAGCAUCCUCAAGGAAAAAAUACUCGAGGCUAUUUGUUUGAACAAGUUGCUUGUAAAGGAGGAGUGAGAAAACCAUAACUCGGUUAUGGUUUUAUCAAGACUCAAUAAGGUAAAAUGGAUUCGGAAGUCUAUAUAGAGAAUAUUUUUAACCCGAUGUGGGAGGAUUGGUAAGGAUUGCCAAGAAAAGUAAACUCUAAGGCCAGCUGAGCCAAGGGAUGCUCUUGUUCAAAGAGUAGGAAAUUGGGGAGGUUCUGUGGACAUAAAAGGAAAUUAGAGGCUGUUAUGUCCACUACGGUUAUACGGGGUUUAAACUCCUGAGACGACAUAAAGAGGAGCCUACAAAAGACUAUUCUAGGUAAAAUAAUUUACCAGGAAUAAGGGAGGAAAUGAACUUAGAACUCGAGGAAAUAAAGACCAAAUGACCAAUAAUUGGUAUAGCACUUUCUAAUUAAGGUUUUGAGGGAAAGAACUUCUGUUGAGGUAUAUUUAGGUCCGUACUCUUGGAUGACUACCACUCUAAAAAAAAUGGGCUUGAUAUUUAGUUGGAGUAGAAGUCAGCCAGCUAUUAGUGUGAGGGCAAAGGCUUCAUUGAUAUAAUCUGCCAAAUGUCGAAAUUUAUUAAGGACUACACAAUUUCCUUUAAAACCCUCAAUCCUUUAGUUGGAAUUUUUUAUUUGACAGCUUCACAGAAUCUUAAUAAGUUCAUUGGACUUAUUAAUAAUCUGCUUGAUUGCAGAAUAAAGUUAACAAGAAAAAUUGAACAAAGGGCUGAGCCAGACUUCACCAUCAUGAGAAAUGGGGGAAGAAAUCAUAACAUGCGUAUAGAAGGGAACUUCCAGAUACUACAACUCGAAGUUUAGCCUAGGAACAAAUUAUUUGAGUUGUACAACUAAAUUCAUAAAUAGAAUUACCAGUGGGAGAAUUUUUAAAUAAUAUAUGUUUUAGUUUAGAUUAGUGUGUGCAAUUGAUUGGAUUUAGUUUGUUAUUUAGAAUUUGUAUCAUCUGGAUCCCAAUUUCGAUGAGUCAGUCAGGAGUCAGGUGUUAAAAAUUUAGUGGUAUCAAAGCCUAGUUUCAGUCGAUCGUCUAGACAUAGGAAGGUUAGAUUUAAUUCUAUAAGCGCGUCACGAUCAAGUCUAGCUAAGUCCUGAGGUCAUUAUAUAAGACUACUGAGUAAUAAGGGAGUGAAUGCAAUUGUAUGGAUUAUGAAGGCCAAUAUUGGGUAUAACAAAGCCUAGGAAAAGAAUAAGAGGCAAGGCACGAAAGACAAAGAGAGAAAGUAAAAGAAAUAAAAUUGACAUUGAAAACCUCAAAAAAACAGUUAUAAAACAGGUUAACCCUUCAGUUAUUCUCUAGAGCGGACUCUCCUGGAGAAUCAAUGUUCAAUCUCUCAGAAUCCCUCCAUUCCCUCUAAAAUUCCUUUCAGUUUGAUCCCGAAGGGCUGUAGAUAUUAAAGCCAAUGUUAGUAUUGGUAAACUGGUGAAGGCAACCAAAGUCUACUUAACUUAGGUUAAAGGGACCUGCAGUGACCUGCCCAUGCAGUAUCAAAUUAGCCCUUGGUCUAGGCAGAAAAUUUUGAAUGCCCUGUUAGGUAUCUACCUUAUACUUCGUUAAUUCCUCAUCAUUCUCUUUCUAGAUGCGCUCCAUAUUGGUGAGGUAUUUAUGCUCAUAGGACUCCAAUUAGUGGACCCUUUCAUCUAACUUCCUUACUCUGACCUUUAAGGAUUCGUACUUGGUCUCCUAGACAGAGACGGAUUUAGCCAGCUUGGCAACCUGUUAGACAAAAGCCUCAUGACUGGUGGAGCAGGACAAAAGAUUUUUUGCUUUUGAAAAGGGCCUUUUCUGACUUGGCCUGCUUGGAUUCAAUUUCGACACAAGCUUGUAAUAGAGCCUUGUUCACGAGGGUAUUCUCUACUGACAAUAUGGAACAAGAACCCACCAACUCGUUGAGAGUGAGCUUGUAGAUGCCAGAGGAAGAAAAUGAAGGUAGGCUAACUCCUUCAAUUUUGGGGUAGCUCCUAGUCUUGGCGUUGUAAAACAACAAAAAGGAGAAAAAAGGAUACCGACUCGCAUGGAGAUGAUUUCACCAAGGGAAGAAGGUUUGGACUACCCUUAAAGAGAGAGUAUAAGUAAUGGCUCUAAUAAGAGAAGGGUGGGGAACUAAAGUGUUAACGAGCGGGUCUACGGCAUGGGCGAACUCAACCCGAGACUUGAAGGGAACCAAAGGUAGGGGAAAAAAUGUACUAGAGAAAUUAUUGGCGAAAAUGUUGUAGUGGGUACUGACGGAGGAGCGGGGUAGUCAUCCUCCAAAAAGACCGGUUGUUUGCCAAGUUAUUGAUGAGGUGACUUGAUGCCACUACUCCCUAUGACACUAACCCCCUUUCUACUCUCGGUCUUUUAUGACUUCUAGGACCAAAUCGUGCACUUGAAGUAACCAAAUCCAUUGAUUGUUGUGCACUUUCAAAUAAGGCCUCAAUAUCUAUGACUCUUAGAUGAAACAGGAGAGAUGAGAGUGAGAGCUGAGUAAGACCUACAAGGGGAAUAGCAAGGUCAACAACAUUUUCAAUUAAUUCCUUACUUAAAGGCUCACGCUUAGACCCUAUUGGGAAGGUAAGCCAGUGUCGGGGUGGAAUAUUGCACACGGUAUAGAAAAAUCAAUGAGCUCCCUCCGUUUUCCUACCAAAUCCCAAGCCAAAUUGCUAUUAGCCCUAAAUGGCCAUGCCUCUUUGGCUGAUUGAACGAUGCUAAGGUCCAUGCUAAGAUAGCAAUUGGAUGCACACCAACCGUUUGGGCUUCUUCCCUCCAAGCAGUAAUGAAAAAUGUUCCUAAGAGUAAGGAGCUUUCUUAAUUCUAGAACUCACCUUAAACUUAGCCUAUCGAUUUGUGCUAUAACAAUCUCUAUGUCUAAAGGCUAAAAGUAGCCAUAAAUAGAUUCGAUGGGAAUAUACCACUUUUGGAAAAGUCAAAACCUUUGGGAAAUCUAUUUCUCACUAAGAUAAACUUACUACAGCCUAGAUAAAUGUCUAGGGCCCAAUCCUUAAGUAAAGGCUCACGACCCUGGAAAAUGCUAAAGUAGACCAUGCCAAUUGAAAGUCCUUACGUCAAAACCUUUAACUUGUAAAAACGCUGGAACACGCCAACAAGGGCAGCUUAUUACGACUACUACAGUGCAAGAAAUAUGCCAUUAAGGUCCACUAAAACAAACCGAAUAAUUGCCCUAGUGCGAUCUCAUACUCCUUAAACACACCACUAAAAAAAGGAUGUAAAAGGGAGAUGAAAGCUAGCUUCCAACAAAUAGAGGGGUAAGAGGAAGCCUUCAUUAGAAUCGCAUAAGCGUCUCUCCCUUAUCACGAUAUCAAAUUGAUAUGCGUAGUUGGGCAAAUGAAUACCACAGGCUGCCAGAAAGUUCAUCAUUUCCUCCUGAGUGGUGGAACACCUAUAUGGUGACAUUCUAAAUGUAGUGCUAGUUCCAAGGAGAUGGGAACCACCAUCAUUCUCGAUGACAGAAAUUUUUGAAUGAUCUCUCUAACUUUGAAGAUCAAAAUCCCUGGUUCGACCACUAAAUGAUGGUGCAAACUCGAACAUGAUAAUACGCAAUGAAAUUCAAGGAAAAGGGUGAGGAAGAAUUACUUGAGAAGUAAGAAAUACUUGUUGGAGGUAGGUAACCACGAGUAAGGGAGCAAAAAGGAUAAGGGAAGUAAAAAUAAACGAAUUAGGGUUUUUAAGAAGGAACUCAAAAAACAAGGAAAUUUUAGGGGAAGGGGGAGAUUGAUACUGUGUGAAAGGAUUUCCACGAUGUUUUAGUUUAAAUAGCCAAACGUUUAGAGGAAGAUUCGAUUGAAAAAUGGGUACUAAACUAUUCACAUCCUUGAACCCAUUCUUGGCACUUGUCGACUUGGAAAAGGGCAUCGUCAAUCCCUCGAGAAAGAAAAAAAACGGAAAACUUCACCUAAGUAAAUCAUGCAACGUGAAUCCGCCAGGAUAGUACAUGCCUAUACAGAAUUAGGUCAAUAACUGAUACCAUGGAAAAGUUCAUCCACAAACCAAACCUUUAAAUGUCCAGACACCUUAUUCCAAAUGCAUAACCUAACAUAACCAAUUUGACCAUUGAUCAAGCUUCAAACAUACCAAAUUUCAUAUUAACCCAAACAUACCAAAAUAACCAUUUGAAUGCAUCUAGAUAUCACUAUAUGCAUCCACCAUCACAACCAUAACCAAGUAAUUUACCAACAAGGAUUUACACCGACACAUUCACCAUAAUUAUAAGUGUACAACAUGUAACCAAAAUGCUUAUAAUUUACAUAACCAAAACCAUAUUUACAUGCCACUUAUAACCGAGACAAAAUUAACAAAUAACUACCGAAUGAAUUGACAGAUAGUGUGAUCUCCAACAACAUUCCAAUCGACAUAAAAAGUUCGACAAUCUUCAAAAAAAUAAACCAAAUAAAGUAAGAUUUCAAAUAAGCUUAGUAAGUUCAUAAAAUCAAAUAUAUCAUACUUGUCAAUUUAAAUAUAAAUCGUAUAUAACAAUGAAACUAAUAAUCCCUUUAUCGUAUUCCAUCAAUCCAACUACCAGAAAUAAUUAAACCUAGAUAAUUCAUAUCAUCACAACACAACAUCAAAUAAUCGUGUACCAAUAUAUAAAUCAUUACAUCAUCUUAUACCUUUUCCAUCAUAAUAGUUAACUAUUUUGCCUGGAGAACAAUAUUAAAUCAACUUUGGAUAUGAGAGAGGGUAAUUCUCAUACGAGCUAACAUAAGGACAUUAACUAAUACACGAUGCUGCUCACACAAGCUUUAGAGAAUCCGCAACACAUGCAAGACCUCAAGCCGUCGGUACAAUAUCCAUCACUGGUACAUAGUACCUACUAAAUAAAACACUAGUACAGAGUGCCUACUAAUAUAACACUAGCACGAAGCCUGCUAAAUAUACACCUGUACAAAGUCUGCUAUGCCCUAAUGACAUGUCAUUUGUAUGCUAGCUAUUCACUAGGUUCACACAGGCUUAUUUUGCUUUUCCGAGACAUUACAUACUCAACUUUAUCUUUCCGAAUCAUUAAUCAUCACAACAUUAAAUUUCAUAUUAUCAAACUUGUAAUAAGUUAAACAUAAACAAUGUAACAAAUGUCAUAUGAACUUACCAAAACACGAUAGCUAAUGACACGUGAUGACGAUUACUCGAUAACUUUUUCUUUCCCCCAUUUAUCAACAGACUGCUCUGUUUCUUGAUCUAAAUAUAAAAAUUUAAUUCAAUUAACCAAUUUAAACAUCUUAAAACACUUAAAUUCAUGCAAUUAACCCUUUAAUGAUAUUUUACACAUUUACCCUAAACUUUUACCUUUUCUUCAAUUUAUUCCCUAAAAUCAAAAUUCUCACAAUUAUCACAAAUUAGCCCCAAAACUCUUGUGCCGAAUUCUAUAGGGUCCCUAUACAACCCACUUUUACUACUAAAUUACAAGAAUGACAUGUUAUUUUACAAUUUUAACAACUUAGUCCUUAAACUUUAAGAUUAACUAAAAUCACUUUACAAAAUAAUCCUAUUUAACUAUCAAGCUAAAUAAUCUAUCAUAAAAAUUCAAGAACAACACAAAUUCAUCCAUGGUAAAAUUCUAAACACUAAAUAGUUUUACGAUUUGGUCCCUGGGUUAACUAGAUUAAGCUAUAACGAUGUCAAAAACAUAAAAAUCACUAAAAACAGAUUGAAAAACAUAUACCAUGCAUCAAGUUAAGCUUGAUCGAACUUCCAACUCAUAACAAUGGUGUUUUAUCCUCUUAAUUUUGGUGGUGAUGGUCUUUGGAAGAUGACAUGUUUUAAUUUCUUUUCAUUUUUACCAUAUUUACUAAAUUACCACUUUAACCUUUUAAUUUAACUAAAAUUUCCUAAUUAACAAGCCAUGACCGUCCACUUAUUUUAGUUAUGGUCUAAUUACCACAUAAAGACCUUAAUACAUGAUUUCAUAACCAUUUAAUAUAAUUAAAAUUAUGGCUAUUAACUUUUGUAGCUUUUACAAUUUAAUCCUUUUUACUUAAUUAACUAUUUAAACAUUAAAAUUUUCUAACCAAAAUUUAAUACAACAUUAUGAUAGACUCGUAAAUAUUAAAUAAAUAAAAUUUACUAACUCGUUGGUCAAAAUUAUGGUCUUGAAACCACUAUUUCCCACACCACUAAAAAAUAAGUUAUUAUAGAGUACAAAACUACAAGAUUAACCAAUAAAUGACUAAUGGUGGUAGGUUGAUUUUGAUAUGGUUCGCUGGUCUUCGAAUGAGGGACUUAAAUCACUUAAAUUUCUAGGUGGCUCAAUUUUAUCUCUCGAUCUCAAUUUUACCAACUUAGACAAAUUAAUCAGGUUUAUCUCUCGAUCUCUCCAGUUAAUCUGGGACUAAUGAAUUGGUGUACAACAAAAUUACCUCUCAGUAUCAAUUUUCUAGAUAUUCCCUUAGGAGCAUUAAUUCCUAAUUUUUUAGGCCUAUUCGAGUUAGUCCAAUUUAUUAUAAUUAAGUCCCUUGUCCAGAAAAUCAAUUACCUACAUCUCCAUCAACCAACCUUCUUUAAGCUUUAGCUACUCAUGUUGAAAAUAACGCUAAUGGACAUGAAACUGAAAAGUAAAAAAACCAUUAAGGUAAAGCUUAAGAAAAUAUAAAAGUUUAGAUUUUUUUUCAAAAAAACUUAAAGAACGUGAAACUAAAGGCAUUCAACAAGAAAAUCUAAAGCAAUAAACAUAAAAGGAAAAAAAUUUUAGCCAAUUUAAAGUAAAAGAAACUGAAAUACAUUAAAUUAAAACUAGAAGUGUCUUACAACCAAGGUACAGGGACUGAAAGUGCAAAUAAACUUAAGCUACCGUGAUAACUAACUUAAUUAACAUUAAAUGUCACACCCCAAGUCUGGAAAAUCCAAGGCUAAGGCGUGUAGUAGAGAAAUACUCUGUUUGGCGAAGUGUAAUCCAUCUAAUUUCUUCUUUUGGCGAAUGUGUGUGGACAUAUAGUAACCGCCAUGUAAAUAAGUGAAGAUUCUGUUUCAAAUUAUUCUUCUAUUUAAUGAGAAAGAUUUUGUUAAUAAAAAAGGUAAUUGUGGUUUGAGUUAUCACCAAAUGUAUAGUAUGCCCUCUUUGUCUUAGUAUUAUGCAGGUUGGGUUGUAAAGUGACCUAGUUAAGAACCAAUUGGAUUGACUGGUCCAAUAUCCAUUAUGUAGGAUUCUCAUUUAUGUUUCUCUUGGAAUAUGUAAGCCAUUAAGAAAGAAAAAUUUUGAAUUACGUGACACUUAUUGAGUUUCAAUAAGUAGGGUUGGGUUAUAUAUAUACAUGUGAGAAGGGUUUUAAGAAAGUCUCUUCUUUCUUUAAGAUAUUACUCUUUGAUUCUUUCUUCUCAAAUCUAAUUGAAUCUCUUCUCCAUUAUGCUAGAACCUAAAGUUCUUGGUUAAAAUCCGUGGCCAUUCCAUCUCCGAGUAAGUAUCACCAUUCUGCUUGUUAAGUUUUGAAAAAGUAAGUCUAUAUGAGGUAUAUGAAUAGUAAGUUGUUAGUACAAGGUUUUGCACGGGGGUUAUAAAUGGUUCAGCUGUUUAGUAAUUUGUAUAAAUGAGGGUUGUAAUAGUGGAUUUAUGUUCUUUAAGCAGCUGUUGCUACCAGUUGGAGAAGGAUUUCUAAGUUUGGAGCUUUGAGCUGUAGUAAGUGAGUAUCAGGUAAGUCUCUAUCUCGAUUCUACAUAUUUAUGAUAAUACUAGAAAGAACAUAUGUUUUCUCUCUACUUAUUGGUUAAUUUGUACCUAUUUAGUUAUCUUUAGCACAUAUUUUAGCAUUUUCAGUUCAGUCAAUUGCAUUUUAUAACCCAGUGGAUCUUAGCCUAUUUAUCAUUAAUUUUGUCAUGUUUUGGUACCAAUGUCGCUGCAUGAGUAUUUUUAGAUUGUGCCCAGAAUUGUCACCGCACCUGACAGCUGUACGGAUAAGAACAAAAAUGUAUGAAUUGUCACGUCUAGUAUAACCAACUUGUGUGUACAGAGGUAGCAUGAGUCUGAAAAAAAGAUACCUAUGCUAUUUUGGUUUAAAUAUUAAUAUUGACGUGAAAAAAGAAGGAGGGGGUAUCAUCUUCUUCAACCUAUCUUUUGAAGCUUUUUGGCUAUGGUGGCUUAAGUCUCCUACGGGUGAACCGACGUGAAAGAAAUGCAGAUCAGCUCCUAACGAAAAGCCCUGUGUGCAACACAAAAGGGAGUUGAGAGAUCAAGUUGAGAUUUUUUAGGAAUAGUAAUUUCCACUUGUUUAUUUUAUAUUUCUUUUCUAAACGAUGGUGAUUACUUUCUAUUUCAUGUUUAUAAGGAAGUAUACAUUAUUUCUGGGUUAAAUGUUAUUUUAUUCAAUCUUGCUUCUACUGUUUAAUCUUUGGGUUUGAAUUUUUUAGCAUGGAAGUUUUAUUGCAGUCACUGACACUGGAAAGUGCAACGACAGUUCAAGCUAACAAGCAUGACAACAAAAGUUGCUUAAGGAUUAGAGGAAUUUAAUCCACUUAUUCUUAAUAGUGUUCCAUUACCAGCAUCGGAAGGUGUGGCUAAUGUGCAUGUUUAAGUCUUAGACUAAAUAUAGAAGUUAAGUUUGGUAAGAUAUUCAUUGCAAUUUAAUGCAUCGAUAAUCACUUACCCUUUUAUACCUUAUGAGCACUUAGUAUUCUAUUGAAUAUUCAUGUUGGGGAUCCCAGUUUAUCAUUAUCAUAUUUUAUCUUAUUGUUUUCAAGUUAUUGCUUUGACAACUACUCUCACAAUUUAUCUCGUUGCCAUUUAUUUAUUGCACUAACAUUGAUAGACAAAAAACAACCAUCCUCGUGGGAUCAAUAUCCGGCAGACUCAUAUCUGUCUACUAUACUUGUAUCGACAAUGUACGCUUGCACAUUAUUGGUGUACGUUAAACAAUCGAUUAAGUUUUGGCGUCAUUGCCGGGGAUGACGUUUGUUUGAUGUUUAUUUUUUUUAUUUCAUAAUACUUAGUUGUUACUAAAUUGUUUUCUUUUUGUCACUAUUUUCACAUCUUAUUUUAGGUGUUGUAUGACGCAAAGUAAUUCGGAGUUUAUUGCUAAUUUUGAUCCAGAAAUUAAAAGAACCGUUCAGAGGAGAUUUGAGAACAAAGGAAUAUGGCUUUGCCAAGAAAUUAUGAAGUCAUACCCCCACUGCAGAACCAAAAUUCUAAUGACCCGCCAUUGCCGCAAGACGCUCAAAUACAAAACAGGACUAUACAAUAUUUUGUAGUACCUAUAUAAGAUGACUUACAACUCGGAGUUGUUAGGCUAGAAAUCCAAGCUGGAAAUUUUGAAAUCAAGCCAGUAAUGUUUCAAAUGCUGAAUUCUAAUAGGCAAUAUGCUGAACUGCCACAUGAAGAUACAUGAGAACAUCUUAAAUCAUUUUUAUUAAUUUGUGCUUCUUUUAGUCAACAAGGCGUUCCUGAUGACGCUUUGAAGAUGCAAUUAUUUCUUUAUUCCUUGCAGGGAAGAGCUCGUACUUGGUUCAUUGAGCUACCUGCCAGAUCAAUUACUUAUUGGAAUGCACUAGUAACACAGUUUGUUUUGCGAUUUAACCCGUCAAUAAUAAACGCUCGUCUUCGAAAUAAUAUUAUAGCUUAUCAUUAGUUGGACUAUGAGAAUCUUUACACCACAUGAGAAUAUUAUAAAUCUUUGUGUCGACGUUGUCUCAUGCAAGGCAUUCAACAGGAAACACAAAUUGAGAUUUUCUAUAAUGGGCUGAAUUCACACACGAUAAAUCUUGUCGACGCAUCAGUCAAUGGUCCUUUGUUGGAUUGUACUUAUAAUAAUGUUAUUGGAAUUCUUGAAAAAAUUGCUCAGAAUGAUUAUCAAUAUCCUAUCUCUAGAGCUGCACAAGCAAAAGCUAUUCCGGGAGUUAUUGAAUUGGACACAAUAUCUGCACUUAGUGAUCAAAUUUCUUCUGUUGCAAAUAUGAUAAAAAAAUAUGCAAGAGACUAGUGAUGUUGCACCUAAACAAGUCGCUCAACAAGUUGAUGUUCCUACUUUUUGUUGUGAGAUUUAUAAUGACAACCACAGCUAUGACAAUUAUCCACAACAUGCAAAGAAUGUCUUUUAUGUUAGUAACAUUUGUAACAAUUCUUAUGGCACCUCUUAUAAUAAUUCAACACGCAAUCAACAAUCUUGAGGGAAAUCAGAAUGCUGGACAAAAUGUUGUGACAUUCUGAUAUGGGAAUAUAUCUACGCAAGGCAAUUAUAAUUCAAGACAAGGGAAUUACAAUCAACAAAAGCAGAACUACAAUCAGCACACUCAGAUGCAUCCACAAGAAAGCCAGAUGUAUGCACAUCAGAAUCAGAGCCAGAUGCAUCCACAUCAGAAUCAGACGUAGCCACAACACUCUUCAAUGUCGAAUCAACAUGUUCAAGAACAUCGACGACAACAGUACACGCAAGCUUCUCCUUCUAACCCGUUAGUAGCUGUUGAAGCUUUUAAUGCGAGAACAUAUGACUCGCACAGAAGCUAUUGUGCUAGGGAAUUCAUCUUUUAUUCGGGCAUUGGAAGUACAAUUAGGACAACUUACUUUGAAUCUGAAUACUCGACCAUUGGGCAUACUACCUAAUGACACGAAAAAUAUCAGUCCGAAAAGGAAAUAACACUGUACAUCUAUCACUCUCAGGGGUGGUAAACAAACUGGUAAGUUGACUACAGACUCUACUAUAGCACUUCAAAAUACUGGUGAAGUACUUCCUAUUGAUAAGGUUGAAUCUGAAGAGCUUGUCGAUGUACCAGACAAAGAAGUUCCAUAAAUUGUCACUUAUAUGCCUAAUGUCCGACCCUCAAAAUUGUCGAUGCAAUCAAAGGUGUCGGCGCAAUCAUAUGUAUCUCCACCUUUACCUUUUCUAUAAAGAUUCAGGGAGAAUGAGCAGGAUAAGUAAUACCAACAGUUCCUGAACACACUGAAGCAACUUCAUGUCAAUAUUCCUUUAGUAGACGCUCUUGUGCAAAUUCUGAAUUAUGAGAAAUUUAUGAAGGAGCUCUUGUCCAAGAAGAAGAAGCUCAGUAAUAUGGAAACUAUUACACUCACAGAGGGUUAUAGUGCUAUUUUGACAAAUAAGUUCCCCCCAAAAAUGAAAGGUCUUAGGAGCUUUACUAUCCCAUGUUUAAUUGGAAACCAUUGUUUGGGCAAGGCUUUAUGUGACUUGGGAGCUAGCAUCAACCUAAUGCCAGUAUCUACUUUUAGAAAGUUGGGAAUUGGUCAAAUGAAACCUACUGCAGUGACAUUGCAACUAGCUGAUCGAUUAUUAGCUCAACCUGAAGGGCAAAUCAAAGAUAUAUUAGUUCAUGUGGAUAAAUUUUUUUCCAAUUAAUUUUAUCAUACUUGACUGUGAGGCAGAUAAGGAGGUUCCUAUAAUCUUGGGCCGACCAUUUUUAGCCACUGGACGAACUCUUAUUGAUGUUUACAAAGGUGAACUGACCAUACGACUUAAUGAUGAACACAUUACCUUCAAUGUUUUCGAAUCUAUUUAAUGUAAUGACAAAGAAGAAUGUCAUACUGUCUAUGUGCUAGAUGAUUUAAUCGAGGAAGAAUUCAAUGACCAAAGCAUAAUACUUUCUGAGGAGUUUGCAAUGACAUAUGAUGAUGAAUUCUUAGAUGAUUGUGACAGUAUAGUUGAAGUUAAUAAUAUUGAACUCAAUCAUGGAUGGCAAGUUAAAUCUUUAGACUUAGGCAACAGAACAGCUCCUAUUUUCAAGCCAUCUAUUAACGAAGCUCCUACUCUAGAAUCGAAACCAUUACCUACUCAUAUUCAAUACGUCUUUCUUGGUGAUAACAAUACUCUCCCAGUUAUUGUCUCCGCAACACUGGAUGUAACUUAAGAAGAGAAAUUGGUCAAUAUUCUUAAGCAGCAUAAACGAGUUAUUACUUGGAGUUUGCCGAUAUUCGAGGCAUUAGUCCAUCUUUUUGCAUGCACAAGAUCAAGUUGGAAUAUGAAGGCAAGCAAUCAAUUGAGCAACAAAGAAUAUUAAAUGAGAAGAUGAAAGAAGUUGUUAAGAAAGAAAUUUGAAAAUGGCUUGAUGUUAGAAUUAUUUACCCUAUUACUGAUAGUAAUUGGGUAAGUCCAGUGCAAUGCGUUCCCCAAAAAAGUGGCAUCAUUGUGGUUAGCACUGACAAAGACGAAUUAAUUCCUACAUGCAUUCUUACGGGAUGGCGAGUCUGUAUAGGUUAUCGCAAACUUAAUGCUGCCAAAAGGAAGGACCACUUCCUACUUCCUUUCAUUGACCAAAUGUUGGACAGGCUUGUUAGAAAAGCAUAUUACUGCUUCUUAGACGGCUAUUCUGGGUACAAUCAAAUUGCUAUUACACCGGAAGAUCAAGAGAAAACAACUUUCACCUGUUCUUUUGUUACUUUUACUUUUUGUCGUAUGUCUUUCAGUCUUUGCAACACACCAGCUACAUUUUCAAUGUGCAUGAUGGCAAUAUUCUCGGAUAUGAUUGAAUAUUAUUUAGAUAUUUUUAUGGAUGAUUUCUUAAUUCAUGGGAAUGAUUUUGAUCACUGCACUAACAAUCCGGAUAAAGUAUUACAGUGAUGUGAAGACACACAACUUGUUCUGAAUUGGGAAAAAUGUCAUUUCAAGGCAACUGAAGGCAUUGUGUUAGGCUAUCACAUCUCUAAUCAAGGCAUUGAAGUAGACAAAGCUAAAGUGGAAAUCUUUGAGAAAUUACCUCCACCGACAAAUGUGAAAGGUAUUCGCAGUUUUCUUGGGCAUGCGGGGUUUUACCAAAGAUUUAUUAGAGAUUUCUUGAAAAUUACAAAGCCUUUAUGCUCAUUAUUAGAAUAGAAUCAAAAAUUCCUCUUUGACGAUGCGUGUCUGUAUGCAUUCACUCAAUUAAAGACGUAGUUAGUAAAUGCACCCAUUGUCAUUGCACCAGAUUGGUCUCAACCUUUUGAAGUUAUGUGCGAUGCAAGCGACUUCACUGUGCGUGCUGUUCAAGGACAACGCAAGGGAAAAAUAUUUCACGACAUCUAUUAUGCUAGCAAAACUCUUACAGAGACUCAAAUCAAUUAUACCACUACAGAGAAAUAAUUGUUGGCUGUAGUAUUUGCUUUCAACAAGUUUUGUUCUUAUCUUGUCAGCGCAAAGGUUACCAUAUUUAUUGAUCACUUGGCAUUGAGAUAUCUUUUCGCAAAGAAAGAUGCAAAACCAAGACUGAUACACUGGAUCUUACUGUUGUAAGAAUUUGACAUCGAGAUAAAAUACCGUAAGGGUUCAAAGAAUCAGGUUGCAGACCAUUUGUCUCAAUUGGAAGUUGGUGGUGAAAAUGGAAACGUACUUCAAAUUGUCAACACAUUCCCAGGUGAGAAGUUAUUUGUUAUAGAUGCAACCCCUUGGUAUGUGGAUUUGGUUAAUUAUCUAAUGUGUGGAAAACUCCCAUUGGGUGUCACUUACCAUAAAAAAGAAAGAUUUCUUCAUGAAGUAGUGAAGUAUCAUUAGAACGAGCAAUAUUUAUUCAAGGUAUGCAAUGACAACAUUAUUCGGUGUUGUGUUCCGGAAGAGAAGAUGCUUUCAAUCUUGAAGCACUGUCAUGACGCUCUUUAUAGAGGUCAUUUCGAUGGCAUGCGAACUGCUGCUAAUGUUCUCUAAUCAGGAUUCUACUGGCCUUCAUUAUUCAAAGACGCCCACAAUUUUGUGAAUCAAUACGAUAAAUGUCAAGGCACUGGCUCUAUAUCCCGAUGCAAUGAAAUGUUGCAGCAGUCAAUUAUGGAGGUUAAAUUAUUCGAUGUUUGGGGUAUGGAUUUUAUGGGACCAUUUCCAAGUUUAUUUGGAAAUGUUUAUAUAUUAGUAGCUUUUGAAUACGUCUCGAAGUGGGUUAAAGCUGUUGCAGUCCCAAAGGAUGAUGCAAAGACAGUGCUUAAAUUUUUUCACAAGCAUAUACUCACCCGCUUUGGUAUACCAAAGGCAUUGAUUAAUGAUUAUGGUACACAUUUUCAUUGCAACCAAAUGGCAGCUGCAUUGAAGAGAUAUGAAGUUAAACAUAGAAUGGCUACUACUUAUCAUCCACAAACUAAUGGACAAGCUGAAGUAUCGAAUCAACAAAUUAAAAUCAUUCUUGGGAAGGUUGCGAACCCUUCGAGGAAAGAUUGGUCUUCCAGACUGGAUGACGCUUUAUGGGCAUUGCAGACAGGAUAUAAAACUCUAUUAGGGAUGUCUCCGUAUCAAUUGGUUUUUGGGAAAGCAUGUUACUUGCCAGUUGAACUGGAGUACAAAGCAAUGUGGGUAAUUAAGCAAGUGAACAUGGACUACGAAGCUGCUGGAAAGAAAAGGCUAUUGGAUAUCACUGAACUAGAGGAGAUUAGGCGAAAUGCCUAUGAAAAUGCUACAAUUUACAAGGAAAGGACCAAACGAUGGCAUGAUAGAAUUAUUUUGUAGUAACAAUUUAUUGCGGGUCAACAAGUUUUAUUAUUCAAUUCUAGACUGAAACUGCACCAGGGUAAAUUGCGCUCUCGUUGGUCUGGACCUUUUAAAGUUGUCGAAGUAUUUCCUCAUGGUGCAGUCACAAUUAGAGGUGUACAUAAUGGAUACUAGUUCAAAGUGAAUGGCCAGUGAUUGAAACAUUACCUUGGGAAUAUUGAUCAAAAGCAGGCAGAGACCAUUAAAUUGGUUAAAAAUUUUUAAUUUUUAUGGAAUUUAUUAUUAUGUAAUUUUAGUUUAUUUUUGUUUCUAUUAAAGUUUGUUUUACUUUUUUUUGCAGAAUAAUUAAGUACCAUUGUCGACGCACUUGGGCUUUAUUGUCAACGCAGUCCGUACUAUUGUACUAUCACUUAUAACUCAUUAAGAAUAAGAGCAUAUCAGAAAUUUCAGAUCCCACCGUUUGAUCAAAAGUCACCUAGCCGUCUGAUCUGUUUGAGCAGGCGCAAUUCUCAUUGGACAUAUUUAUUCUCACCAGCUUUAUUUCCCUUCACAAAAGUCACGCCUUUCCAUCUUCUUCUUUCACUCGCUAUAAAUCCCCUCCUCACUGUGCCGACUGUAACACAUACAAAGAAACCAUUUUUAUUAACUUUUUAUUCCCCAAGCUCGUACCUUACAACUUUAAACCAUCUUCACUCCACAAAACAAAAAAAAAUAUGGCAAGAAUGAGAGGAGCAGUCAAGAAAGCCACCAAGCCUGUUGAAGAACACUCAUCCUCUGCAACUGCAGUUCGUGAAUCAGAAUCUUCCAUGCCAAUGGAGAAAAAUAAGCCGGUGAUCUUUUUAACGAAAACGACCAAGGGCCAGUUUCAAGACAACAUUUUGAAGCGAAACUUCCACUCAGAACAGGGUAUUAUCCUUUCACAACAACAAGACUUGGGCAAGCAAGUCUACAAAACCAUCUCUAAGAUGAAGUGGGAGACUUUCUGCACGUAUCCUGGAAGCUAUUCUCCUUUAUUGGCAUGUGAGUUUUACGCUAACCUUUAUAACCAUGAGUUAGAGUUUAUCUUUGUUUGAGAAGGCUUAAUCCCAUGAGAUGCUAAACAAAUCAAUGAGCUAUACAACACUAAAGUGGAUGUAGAUGAACAUUUCGAGUUUAUUGAGGAUAUCACAUACGACAAAAGGGACAUGUUAGUGAAGGAUUUAUGUGUCGAAGGAGCAUUGUAGAUGGGUUAACACCAAAAGAAUUAUGUGAUGCACCACUACUUCCUGACAUUGCAAAGUAAAAUCUAGUUUCAUUUUGUCAACUGCAGGCUACUGCCCUCUACUCACAGCACCAUAAUCAACCUCGAUAGAAUGUGCCUAAUACAUUCAAUUGUUAAGGGCAGAAAGAUUAAUGUCGGUGCAAUACUCCACCAAGAAAUUGCUGACUGCAUCGCAAGAUAAACUAGAAUUUUGGGUUUUCCCGUCAUUGGUGAUGUUAUUGUGCUAGCAGAAAGGGAUCAUGCCCCGUGAUGAUGAUGAGAUCUUGGAGAAUAAGGGGCCGAUAAAUGAAGCCUCUAUUGAAAGAAUAACUCGUGGCAAAGAUACGCUAACAAUGAAGGAGGCGGAGACCAAUAAGACAAGGAAGGGCAAAACCAAGGUAGAAAGUAAGUGAACAAACCUGACUGCUAAAAUAUCAUUGUUGCGCAAAAUGUAGGAUAUCGAGAAGUUGGCCAAUUUCAUCAACAAUAAGUAGAUCAGACUUGUCACUACAAUAGAGGACAUGGACAUAUCACAAAAUUUGUUCUACGCUUAUACCAAGGCCUAUAACAACUCUAUUGUAGUUGUAUUUCCAGUGUUCCAAUCGAUUAUCUGAGAUUAUAAACCCUCAUCCGAGGAAGAUGACUUGGGGGAUCAAGACAGAUUAGUGGAAUCCUCUCCUAUUGUGCACAUCUUUGAUGAUGAGAAAAAAGAGGACUCAAUGGACAUUGAGGAGUGCAUACGAAAGACUGUAGCCUGGUCGAGGGUGAUUUCAUUAAUAGUCAAGAGGCACCUGCUAUUGAGGAGGAAGUUGAUGUGGGAGAGGAGGAAGUCCAUGUUGCAUUUGUGAACGAGAAGGUCGAGGAAAAAAUACUAAAAAAGAAGCUGCUGAGAAAGAAUCUACUGAGAACAUUUUCACUGCAUCCGAGUUUAUGGGUGUAACUACUGAUAAUCUGAAGUGAGAUAGAGCUAGAUUGGCGGAAGCUGCAGAGGUAACAAGUGAUAAGCACCAUAACUCAUUAGCGAUGGUGGUCUAUACCGGACCAAUCAAUGUGACCCCUCCUACACAAGAAGCAGCCGAUGAUGCUAGGGCAGCACCAGAAUCUGAGAAGUGAUCCGAGAACUGUGUGAAGCCCAAAGAAAAGAAAAGAAAGUGCUCCAAAGACAAAAAGUGCAAGAAAGAGGAGAAAAAAAGGAGGAAGAAGAAACAUCGUGUAGCCACAUUGAUGGCCGAGGAAAAUUGAGUUGGUUUAUUUUAAGUUUUAGUUGUAUAGUUUAUUUUAAGUUUUAGUUGUAGUAUUCAUGCAUUUCAUGUAGUUGUAAUUUUCAUUUUUUUAGUGCACAUUAUCGUUGUAUUUUUAUUGUCAUUACAUUUUAAUGUUAGUGCAUUGGGGACAAUGCAAACUUUAAGUUUGGGGUAUGCAUAUGGGUUUUGGAAAUACACCCACAUUUCAAAAAAAAUUUGAGUUUAAUGAAACAUGCAAGGUUUAUUUGUGGUUAAUGCAAAUGUGUUUGAAAAUUUUUGUUACAUUCGAUGCUUAAUUCUUGAAUCAUGUGAACUAUCAAUAAAUGAGUUGGAUAAAUUUGACUGAAUGUUGUAUCUUCAAUUCUUUAAUAAAUGAUUUAGGUUGCAUUAGUAAUGGAUGACUAGUAGCAUUCCUUGAAUCUUGAAUGAAUCUUCCUUUUAUAGUUGCUUCUAUGUAUAUAUAGUUAUGAAUAAGAGACACUCCAAAGUGGGUGUAUUGUGAAAUGUUAAAUAUGGAACACUCUAAUGCAAGCAUUAAGAAAUGAAUUUGGCCAAGGGCUGUCACUGCAUGAGUGUGUAUCAGCGCAAUUACGUACUCCCUGAGGGUUUGUUGCACUCCAUCAUUACUUAUCAAGAACAAAGGUAUAUUAAUGCAGUGAUAUCCUUUAUUCACAUAAAAAAGACAUAUAUUGUACAAUAAAUAUUGUAUUGGUAGAUAGAAUUUAGGAUUUAAAGCAUGAUGCUGGUUUUGAUGAAGUUGCAAUCUUAUUCAUUCAUACUUAUGUAUUAUCGAUGCAAUAUUCUGUCAUCUGAAUGUGACUCAUUCAUUGGGAUUUUUGUGUAUUGUCGAUGCAAUAUUCUGUCGAUGCAAUAUUCAAGUUGCUAGAAUGAUCAUUUGCCUUAAUGAAUUCUUGUGUAACCUUGCUAGUUUCUAUUUCACUUGAAGACAAGUAAAAACUCAAGUUUGGGGCUGUGAUAAUAUUAGAAAGAACAUAUGUUUUCUCCCUACUUAUUGGUUAAUUUGUACACAUUUAGUUAUCUUUAGCACAUAUUUUAGCAUUUUCAGUUCAGUCAAUUGUAUUUUAUAACUCAGUGGAUCUUAGCUUAUUUAUCCUUAAUUUUGUCAUGUUUUGGUACCAAUGUCGCUGCAUGAGCAUUUUUAGAUUGCGCCCAAAAUUGUUGUCGCACCUGACAGUUGUCCAAAUAAGAAAAAAAAAUGUGUGAGCUGUCCAGUCUGGUAUAACCAACUUGUACGUACAGAAACAACAUGAUUCUAAAAAAAAAAGACACCUGUGCUAUUUGGGGAUAAAUAUUAAUAUUGACGUGAAAAAAGAAUGAGGGGGUAUCAUCUUCUUCAACCUAUCUUUUGAAGCUUUUCGGCUAUGGCAGCUUAAGUCUCCUAUGGGUAAACUGGCGUGAAAGAGAUGCAGAUCAGUUCCUACGAGGAGCCCAGAGUGCGACAUAAGAGGGAGUUGAGAGAUCAAGUCGAGAUUUUCCAGGAAUAGUACUCUCCACUUAUUUCUUUUAUAUUUCUUUUUAAACAAUGGUGAUUACUUUCUAUUUCAUGUUUGUACGAAAGUAUAUAUGAUUUUUGGGUUAAAUGUUAUUUUAUUCAAUCUUGCUUCUACUGUUUAAUCUUUAGGUUUGAAUUUUUUAGCAUGGAAGUGUUAUUGCGGUCACUGACACUGGAAAGUGCAGCGACAGUUCAAGUAACAAGCAGGACAACAAAAGUUGCUUGAGGAUUAGAGGAAUUUAAUCCACUUGUCCUGAAUAGUGUUCCAUUACCAUCAUCGGAAGGUGUGGCUAAUGUGCAUGUUUAAGUCUUAGAUUAAAUAUAAAAGUUAAGUUUGGUAAGAUAUUCAUUGCAAUUUAAUGCAUCGACAAUCACCUAUCCCUUUAUACCUAAUGAGCACUUAGUAUUCUGUUGAAUAUUCACGUUGGGGAUCCCAAUUCAUCAUUAUCAUAUUUUAUCUUAUUGUUUUCAAGUUAUUGCUUCGACAAAUACUCUCACAAUUUAUCUCGUUGUCAUCUAUUUAUUGCACUGACAUUGAUAGACAAAAGACAACCAUCCUCGUGGGAUCGAUAUCCGACAGACUCAUAUCUGUCUACUAUACUUGCAUCGAUAGUGUAUGCUUACACAUUACUACUGUGACAUUAAACAGCCAGUCAGUGUACUGUACAAAUAAAAGUAUAUAUAAAUGAUGAUGAUAUCUCUAUUAAUUGGUAAGUGUAAGAAGCAUAGUAAAAAAAUGAUAUAUGCGAGGUUCUAUUUGAAUAGAAUAUUGGUAAUAAGCAUGCAGGUAACGUCUGAUACGAAAAGUAUAAAUCAGUCAGGAAAGCGAACAAAUUUGAGAAAGUGAAUACAAAAUCAAAAUUUUCAAUCAUGGUAGCCCAACUUGAUUAAAACUCUGUUUCACUUUCGCAUCCAUAAAAGCAUUUAUUAAAUUGUUCUUUGAACUCGACAUUGGCAAAACGACUAACAAGAUGUUGUUUAGCAUUAUUUGAAAUGUGUCACAUGUAUAAUCUAUGAGAAGAUUUUAGGAGGACAUCUCCACUGCUUUCAUCAUCGCUUGAUCUUGAUCAGUAAAAAUACUUUUCGGUUGCCCAUGGCCCAUGGCUUCUAAAAAUGUUUCAAAUAACCAACUAAAUGACUCAAUGGUUUCAUCUGAUAAAAAAACACAACCAAACAAAACAGUAUUCCAGUGAUUGUCGAUUCCGACAAAUGGAGCACAAACCAAAUUAUAUUUAUUGGUUCUAUAUGUGAUAUCAAACACAAGAACAUCUCAAAACAAUCGUAAUCCAAUUUUGAUCUCCCGGCUCUGCAAAAAAAUUAGCUAUUCGAUUAUUCUGGUCCACUUGCAUUUAAUAGAAAAACAUAAGGUCUUCAGCUUGCUUAUAUUUGAAAAAAUUGAUAAUGCUAUGUGCAUCCCCUGCUUCAAUUAUUUUCUUUCUUUCAAUUCGCAAGAAAUUAUGACAAUCUCGUUUGGUAAAUGUAAUAUUUUCAAACUCAAUCUCCUUCCUGAGAAACAAAUAUGAACUUGUUUGUUUGAUUCCUGCAGCAACCAUUGAACGAAUAACAUCUCCAAGUCCUUCUAAAAUUUUUCUUCCUGAUCUCAAAUUAAUUCUUUCUUUUGAAGUUGCUAAGUGGUGAUUAUGAUAAUCAUUAAAGUAAGAAACAACCCAAACACAUUUUUCGAUUGUAAAAUAAAUUUUAGCUUGACAACCUGUCCUUGUCUGACGAUUAAAUUUUUUCACUUUGCCAACAUCUUUGUGUUCAUGAUACCCAGAUUUUGAGCAUAAAUAUUAACGUUGCCUUAUAAGUUCAGUCAUACUUCGUCUCUUAUUUCCUCUUCGAAUACUAAACCCCUUACUUAAAGCUUCGGAAUGCACUUUCAGUCCCACUUUUAUUUCUUCAACGGGAUUAUAUUUUUUUCUCGACAAUAUGAACUAUUUCGUCUUAAUUUGUCUCCAUAAAUGAAAAUUAUAAAUUUAAAAAAUCAGAGAAGAAAUUUUAAUAUCUAAUAAAAAAUCAUGAUAAUACAAGAAAUCAUUAAAAAUUUUAAAAAAUCAAUUAAAAUCUAAUAAAAACACAGCUCGAAAAUCAUAUAGUUUUUUUUUCUAGCUCGCUAAGUCAUUAUUAUUAAAAAUUACAAUUCUUUUAAAGAUUCUAAAUACAACUAUAUUUCAAACAAAUGAAAAUCAAGUGGAAAUACUUGACAUCCCAAACAAACACAGUUCCACACCAAACUAAAAAUAUAUAUAUCUCUAUAACAUGUACCUGAUCACUAACCAAAAAAUCUCCAUAAUUUGCAGUGGUGUAAUGCAUAUUUAAUUUAAUCAUGUCUAAUAUAAAAAAAAACUUCAAUCAAUAACAACAACAAACAAAUUUGAAUAAUUGUAUCUUCUUCUCAAUUUUCAUGAUUCAAUCAUUAUCAUCAUUAUUAUCGAUUUGUGAAAAUAAAAACGAUUAAAAUUAAAACUUACCUUAAACAAAAACAGUAGCCAUCACAAAACAAUUGAAUUACAAUUACCUGGGGUUUGAAGGCAGCUGCGUGGCUAAGUUCCUUGGCAAGCUUUCUUUUCAGCCUAUGAAAAAAAAUUCUCUUUUUGGUCCUUCGUCUCAUACGUAAGCCGCAUCUACCUCAUCUUUAAUUCAGAUGGUUUUAAGCCCACUUCGAAUUGGGUGCAGCCAACAAUUGAAUAGAACCAAUUGCAACAACCACCAAUUGCCCAAAAAACAAAAAAUAAUAGCAGUAGGGAACAAUUGCAAAGACCUGAAGAGCCAACAAUUGAAUAGAACCAAUUGUAUUAGCCACCAAAUGCCGAAAAAAAAAUAAUAGCAGCAGGGAAUAGUUGCAGAGAUGUGAAGAGCCAACAAUUGAAUAGUAAAGCAGUUGCCGGAAAAAAAAAAUAGCAACAGGGGGUUGCAGAGCGUGAAGAGAAAAUUUUAAUUAGGGUUGAGUAAUUUUUAUUUGGGAUUUUAGGGAUUUAUUAUUAAAGAAAUUCAUUAAAUGAGGUAUGAAUGAGAUGUAAAAAUCAACUGACAUGUCAUUAAAUUAUUAGGAAAAGAUAUAGAUGAUGUGGUGUCACUGUUUCAUACAAUUCUUUCUUUUGAUUGAAGAGUGCAAGAUAUUCUUUUGACUUAUGAUUGCUAGUUUAUUAAAGCAUACCUUUUAGAUAGGUGUGAGCAAAACUUGAUUUAAUUUGAAAAUUUUGAAAAUAAAAAUUGAAUUUCGAGUUAAUCGAAUCGAGUUAUUUGAUUUUAUAGUAAACUCAAACAAAAAAUUUGAGUUUCAAGUUGAAUUUUACAAUUCAAAUAAUUCGAAUAACAAAUUGGUCUAAAUACCCUUUUGGUCCCUUUCAAUUUUAAAAAUGAGCAAAUUAGUCUCUCUCAACAAAAAUCACAAAAAAAUUCAAAAUAAUUUUCAAAAAUUCAAAAUAAUUUUUAAAAUUCAGAAUAUUUAUAAAAAAUUCCAAAAUUUUUAUUUUUUAAAAAUUUAUAAAAAAAUUCUAAAUAAUAUAUAAAAAAAGUUAAAAUUUUAAAAUUUUCUAAAAAAUAAAUUAUUCAACUUUAUCAAUACUAAAGUAUCUUUUUUUUUUCUUAUUUUGCUUUGAAAAUGUUUUCAAGCAUAUAUGGUUUCAAUUUUUUUUACUUUAUGUGCUAUAACGUGAAAUUAGUUAUACUGUAAUAAGAUUUUAAUUUGACAUGUUUAAUUUCUUAAUUUAACUCGAAUAAUUUCACUCGAUUCGAUUCAACUUAAAUUUUAUUUCACUUGACUCGAUUUGAAAAAAAUUCAAAUCAAAUUAAGAUGAUAAAAUAAGAUUCACCAAUUCAAUUAACUCAAAAAUUUUUCACUUUAUUAGAUCAAACGUUGACGCUACUUCUAGGAAGGGAACAAAUGCGCGAAGCAUUAACUUGGUUAAGGAGCAAUUUUCAAACUACCUCUCCUUCCGAUGUUCUUAAUUUCUAGAAUUUGCUUUGUAUUUGUGGUACUCCUAGUUAUGUAAACCUUUUGCUGGUAGCUAAUGUGUAAGGGUACGCCUUGAACAAUAUUUUAAUUUUGCGUUUUAUGAAAUCCAGUUCCUUUUCCACCUAAUAUAUUUUAAUAUAGAUAAUAUUUUUAUUAAUAUAAUAGAAAUAUAAUAUCGAUUUAAAAUUGUACAUACAUAAGAAAUAUAAUUAUAUUGAUAAAUUUAACAAUUAAAUUAUUAAAAUAUUUAUCAUACAAAAAUUUAAAAUGUGUAAAACUCCAUUAGUUUUAUCUUGAUGUAAACGAAUCACUUCUCUUAACCUUUUAAAUAAAGAUAAAUUAUGCUCCAAGUCUCUUUCGUACAUUUAAAAUUUAAUCUCUCUAGUUUUAUUUUUAUAAAUCUAGUCAUUUUAUCUUUUGAAUUUAAAAAUCUAGAUCCAAUUGCUAAUAUUGUUAAAAUUCUUAUGUUAUAUUCACUGGUGACAUUUUCGAAAAAGAAAUACUCAAUUAGUUAGUAGACAUAUAAGGAAAAAAAUAUGUAAAUUAAUAAAUUUUAAUGAUAUUACCAAUUAAACUUGUUUUUUUUAAAUUCAAAAAUUAAAGAGACUAAAUUACUUAAAAUAAAAAAAAAAUUAAAUUUCAAAUGUACAAAAAGUUAACUUGAAGCUCAUUUUACCCUUGAAAUGGAGUUAUAUGUAAAAGAAAGACAUAAUAGCAAAUUUAACUUCUAAUAUUUACUUCUUUUCUAACUUUGCUCCUAUUUUCUUCUUUUUUUAUCACUUUAGCCCUCCAACAUUUAAAUUUUAAUCACUUCUUUUGUAACUUUGCUCCUAUUUUCUUUUAUUUCUUUUUUUUUCACUUUAACUCUCAAUACUUAAAUUUUAGUCAAACUUUUUUUUUUUUACAGCAAAGUUAACUAGACCACUAAUAUGGCAACCUACUUGGAGUUCAUGUUUACUUAAUAAAAAUACAUAAAAAUUAUUAAAAUAUUAAAAAAAGAUGAAAAAAAAGGUUCAUAAUAACAUUAUCCAGAAAUUAAGUACAGGUGGCCAGCAAUCUUAUUAAAAUUUUAAGAGUCCAAUCAAAAUUUUCCAUUGGAAAAACAACAAAUUGAUUAAAUUUUGAAGGUUUAGGACCACAGGGAUAGAAAAAAGAAUAAGGCCCAAAGUGAUAGAAAGGUAAACAUUAGGGGUUAAAUUUAUCGACAAGAAGAAGGAUGAAAUCAAACAUCAAUAGUUCAUUAUAAUAAAGAGAUGAGCUAAAGCAUCUGAAACCGACAUAGUCUCACUGUACAAAUAUGAAAUGGAAUAUAUGAAAUGGAAUGCAAGCAACUGCAAAAUCUUCUCGUAUGCCACACUCAUCAUAUGGAUCAAGAGGAAGUCUUUUUACUCUUUUUCUUGGCUGUUUUCGCAAUCGCAUCGCAUAUCUCUUUCUUCCUUUUGUUGUUAUAGUUGUUGUUGCCACCUGUGCUCAUUGCACUCCUACUCUGAAGCUCCAAAGCAUCCUUCACAAAAAAUUUUAACCUCCAUAGGGUAGAUUCACUCUGCACAAGCAAUAAAGUAAUUCCCCAAGUCUCAAACAAUUCCAUAUCGAAACCUUGAUUGAUCAAAUCAAAAGAUAUAAUUAUCGGGAUUAUCUGAUUAUACCUGAGCAUCAAUGUCAAUCUCCACUUCUUCAGCCAUUGCUUGAAAUGCGGGAUUACUUUGAGCAAUAAUCUCCAAUGCUUUAUUAAGAUCCUCCAUAGACAAUCGGGCUAUGGCUGUCCCAAGAUUUCUUUUCUCUUCGGUUGACAUUUUCCUAAAACAUCAUUUACAAAACUUGAUAUAUUGUUCCCAAAUCCGGUUUUUAUAUCUACAUAAACAUCUAUAAGUGUAUAUAUACAAGGCAACUAACAAAAGAACACUCAUCAACCUUAACCUGGUUCAUUCUUUUAUUUCAGAAGCCAAACUUAUAAUGGCAAUCCUAACCGCAAGUAUUUGUGGACAAUGCUAGUCAAUCGUACAUAACAAUAAACAACAAAUCUUACCAUUCAAAAGGCUACGAUAAAAAACAUACAGAUCAUUUGACUCAUCUGAAUUAUUGUCAUUCUCACUUGUUUACAGAAAAAUAACCAACAUAUGCACUCCGGAUAGUCUAACAUGUACCGAAAAAGACAGGGAAGUAUAAACAAAGAUAAAUACUAUCAUAUCAUAUAAAUUUUUGCUAGACUCAAAAACAGAUGAAUACACAUCACACUAGAUAGCAAAAUCUUUUGAGGUCUAAAACCAACCUGCACUUCUGGACGACAGUUUCUCUGAGAUGUUCCAAAUGUGUAUCGACCUCAUAAAGCUGAAAAGAAUUUGAUAUUUUUUUAAAUAUUCAGGUGAUUGAACUACAGUAUGGCUAGGAAAACUGAUGCCAGCAGUCCAGAAGAUAUUGACGAGAUGUGUUUACAGUGCUAAUUACAUUUUGAAAUAUCUUUAAAAGCAAGUUGCUGAACUUUAAGAUACCUCAUUGCAUAAAUCACGGACCACUUUCGCAUGAGCAGCUUCUCGCACAAGCUGCAUAUCUAGCUGUGCUUCCGCCUCCUCCUCAUCUCGUCUUCUCUCCUAUGAGCACAAAAUACAGGUUUUCCAUUUAAAAUGUCAGGAAAAAUAGGAAAUAUUUACCGGUUUUCUUGAGCAAAAUAUAUGCUACUGAAUCCAGGGAAGUUAUUGAAUACAAGCCAAGAAAUCCAAUCCCGAGAUAGUCGUAUUGGGAUAAAGCCCAAAUGAGCUUUACCUCUUCAGUGACUUUAGGAAGAAGAAGCUGCCAUUUCUCCUCAAACUUUUCCAGCAAAGUUUUGGCCAUUAGAUGAACGUCACUUCCUUCAUCAUUAUAUUUCAUUGCAUUAUUGAAAACCAAUCUUACAUCAGCACAUAUAUCUCGAACAUUCUUAUAUCCGGUACCAUCCUUGGCCUCCAUUUGGUUUUUUAUCGUACUGAAGUCCAUUGGCUUUUCAAUAAUCUAUAGCACAGAAAAUAUUAAACAAAUUGAUCAAUAAAAGGACACGAAGCAAUUCAGAAAAUCAUCUAAAAAGAUUCAGAAAAACACUAAUGGCAUCCUCGUAUGUAACUUGGACUUGGAUGUAAAAUUCAAAUAUGGUUGUGUGUCCAAUAUGUUAUGUUUAAUUUUUUCCAAGUUCUUCCAUGUAUUUGAAAGAUCUUUGGCAGGUCAUACUCAUAUCUCCAUACCCAUAUUUGAAUAUGUGUUGGACAUAAGUACUUCAAACAAGAUGAAGAGUCAGAGCAACAAUGGUAUCUGCAGCAAUAUUUCCAAGUGGACACUACAGCUUGACAUGCCUAUAAAUGGGACACUAAAAGUCUGUAAUACUUCUACCUCACAAGUUCAAAAAAGCAUCAUAAUAUACUAACUUAGAAGUGCCAAUAUGAUGAUCCAGUUUAUACAUCUUUAUCACAUAAGCAGAGGUAAAGUCCAUAAUGAAAUAAUAUUCUUAUUUGUCAUGAUGAUAGAAUGGGCCUCAUCUUUCAAUAUUGCUUGAAAAGAAGUUGAUAUGGUCAAGAAAUGCAGGUGCAAGCGCCGCAUGCCUUUAAAAAUGGCUCAAGUUAUAACAGUCUUGUGUCAAAAAACAUGUCAAAUACCAUUCAAAUUCAUAGAUUAUGCUCAUCCCUAAGCUCAAACCAGAAAAGUAAGAAGUUAAAAGCAUGUAUUCUGGAAAAAUGAAGGGAAAAAAAAAAGCAAUACAAUUACCUCAUAGUAAUCAUGUAAACCAAGACCUUUGACAUCUACAGGUUGCAUAAACGGCCAUGCCCACUUGUGCUGUGUAAUCUGAAAGGGAAACCACACACACAUCAAAAGCAUUUACUUCCAACCUAUCACAUAAUAGGGUUAACAAGCACAUUUCCACAUUUACAGUUUAGCUCCUUUUAUAUAAUCUUGGCGGGGUGGAUGUGGGCAGUGGCACAGAGCGAUUGUUAUUCAACUGGUAGAAGCAUGACCAGCAGUCUUCAAUAUAUAUCACAACAUAUUCCUCUAUGUUGCAUGAUAUAACUCAGAAUAACAGCAACAAUUACAUCAGCAAAUAAAAAUGUCAUGAAAUUGGAAAAAGAUCAUGUUUGAAAUAUCAUAUCACCCUUGUAUGAAAUGCUUAGUUAGUUUAAUCGAACCAGAUAUGAAGAUGGUAAUGGAGUUUUCAAGAAUCUUAAACCAAAAGUCUAAAUUAAUUAUAAAUGCUCGAAACAAACUUCAAAUAACUGCUAUAAUUUCUAAUUCACUCAUUACCAAUGUUUAGCUUGAUUGAAGACCUCAAAGACUUAAAGCAGCCUGGCUACCAAUGAAGUAUAUGCUAGGCAAAAGGCUUAAAAGCCAAGAUCAUUUUGAUUAAGAUAACAUUUACGGCAUAAGGUAACUGAAAUCAAACAAGCACUUGCAGAGAAUAAGUGGUUACCUGACGCACUAUUGUGCCAAAUUGGCGCAUAAGCUCUUGCAUUCUCUUUGCAGCAGCAGCUUCCCGUCGCGACGCAUCUUGUUGCUGCUUUUUAAUGCUUGGAACUUGUCUUCCCUUAUCUCGUUCCUUUCCCAUGGAGCUUCCUUUAGAACUGCUCUGUUGCUUUUUACUUGAAUUCAAGUUGAAUUGUUCCACUUCAUUCACCUUUUGCUCAAGCUAAAAGAAGGAAAAAAAAUUAACCAAUAGUUCAAUUUAAAUUAAAAAAUCCAGAAACUGAGAAUCCAGAAGCAGCAUGCUUUUUCCUUUUUGGAACUAAAGCACUAAGAUCAGCAUUGUAUUUACAAAAUUUAUGGAAAUAGUCAAUAGAAGCUAAUACGGUACCAUAUUAUAUGGAAUAUAAAAGUACAUUCCCUACCCUAUUCAUUAUAUACUUCUAUUUUGAAGGUUAUACUCCUACAUAACAGUAAAACAGAUACAAACAAGUGCAAUUAUACAAUUAUUUUUAGUAGUCCAUCUUUUAACUGUAAACCAUUAAAUAAACUCAAGAGGAAAGAGAUGUCACAAAGUCCUAAUUUAUCACUUACCUCGUCAACCUUUUGAAAGAUUUCAUCAACCCGGAUUUUGAACUGCUCCGCUUCCGCACUAUUAUCUUUCGAAAUUCCAGUUUCAGCAAUUUCAAAAUCAGGAAUUGAUGCCAUUACCUGUUCCAUCUAACCAUAAAAUGGAAGACGAAAAACUAAUGAAUGCCAUGUAACUAUUAGAUCAUAAGCAUAUACCAGUAGAAACAUAUGCAAUCAUGGAAGUACAAUGAGAAUACAUACAGCAGCAAUACCAAAAGGAAACAGGAAAAUUUGAGGAAAAACUAUACAGGACUUAUAUCACUAUAGUUUUGAAGGACAAAAAAUUCAAAAUUCUUACAAUUAUCAUAGGAAACACCAUUUUCGAAUUUGUAUAGCCAUUAGAUAAAAAAGCAAACUUCCCCACAAUUUUGCCAAUCAAAAUUCAAAAUUCUCAACAUCCCCAUCAUUCCUAAAAUGAAGAAAAACAAGAACCCAAAAUUCAAAAAAGCCUAAUGCAUAUCCACCUAUUCAAACUCAUUCAGUCAAGUCUAUAGGUCUUACAUUUCAACUUCAAUACCCCCCACUAAAAAGAAUUAGAAGAAAGAUUGAUGUUCUUUAAAACAGAAACACUAAACAAGUAAAAAGUAACCCCCAAAAAAGGGGGACAUUUUAACCCCUUUUUUUUUCCCUUUUGGAGGGGUUCAACAUAAAGAUAAAAAACCAAAGGUUUUCAAGUAAACCCCAUUAUCAGAUCAACCCCAAAAGAGCACAAAAACUAAUCAAACUUCCAAAAAAAGAAUGAUUUGAAGACAUGAAAGAGAAGAACAAGUGGAAACACAUUCAAAUACGUAUAAAAGGUACGGAUAAACAUAAGAAAACGUAGAAACGUAGAGAGAAAAAGCUACCAGAGAAGAGGGGGAGUUCAAUUAAGGAAAUGAAAAACCGCUUAUAAAGGAAAUGGGAAAUGAAAAAUGAUUGAAGGGAGAGUUUCGCUUUCAAGUUUCAAAGGACUAUUCGGCCGUCGCGUUUCUACUGCUCUGGGUGCGAUGCGUGCUCGGCUCUUAUGGUUUUUUUGUCUCCACCAGAGGGAAACGAUGUCGUUUUCCUUUGUAUUCUGUUACAUCACAAAUAUUAUGAUCUUGUCGUACAAUCAAUUAUUAAUGUAAAUGUGGUUAAAUUGGUAAAACUUUGUCAUAAGUCCCUGUACUAUUCAUAAAUUUAAAAUUUAGUCUUUAUACUUUUGCUUUUAGUAACUUAGUUUCUAUACUUUUCAGAUUUUAAACAAAAUUUAAGUUCAACUCUUAACACUAUUAAAAUUAUAUUAUUAAUUUUAGGUUCAUUACAAUGUCGUUUGUUUAGUUAUAUUACACAAGUGAGUUUUUUAUUUAUUUCAAAAUGCCAUUACAACAAAUUUAACAAAAGAAAUUUAACAAUAUUAAAAUUGAACUUGAAUUUUGAAAUCUUAAAAAUAGAUGGACUAAAUUACUAAAAAUAAAAAUUACAAAGAUUAAAUUUUAAAUUUGUAAAAAAGUAUAAGAAGGUAUGACAUAUUUUAGCCUCAUUAAAUUAUAUAUUUUAAGUCUAAUCAUUAAACUCUUAAUUAUAUAUCAGUUCAACUCGAAAUUAAUUAAAAAAUAAAAAUUAUAUUUUUAUUAUAAGGGUAUUUAUGUAUUUAAUAAUUUCAUAAUUUUUAAACCUUUUGGGAAUAUAAAAUUUCAAAUUAAAAAAUUAAAAUGAAUGAGUAGUAAAAUUAGAAUAAUCAAAGUUAUUUGGAUGCAAGUCCAAACCUUUAAUAUAAAACCAAGAAAAUGAGAAGAAAAUAAUAUUUAUCUCCAUCUCCAAAACAAAGAAAUGUGCCAAAAUCCAAACCAAAACUCUAAUACCUGUAUUUAUCAGUCAAGUUUAAUCUAUCAAUUAAUAUUUAUUACACAUUUUUUACUAAAUAAAUGUGCAUUAAAACAAACCAAAGUUUAGAUAUCAAAAUGCUAGGUAUAACAAACAUUCAAAGCCAAUAAGAGUCCAGGAAUCCACCUAAAAUCUCCUGUAUUUAACAUGGACACAUUUUAAAGAGUUUGAAACUACUCAACGGACUCACCACCGCCUAUCAAGAACCCAGUUCUGCGAACAAUAUCCUCGACGGUGAUGACUUGAAACUAUAACUAUUGAAACAACUGACUAUGAUGGGCAUAACAAAAGUUAUGUUGUAAUGAUAUAGUUUGGUUGGAUCAACUAAAAUCCGCACGGUUCACUUGCCACCCUUCUUGGCAGCAGACUUGGUCACCUUGGCUCCAGAUGGAUCUUUCUUCUCCACGCUCUCGAUAACGCCGACAGCAACAGUCUGCCUCAUGUCCCUCACAGCAAAACGACCCAGUGGGGGAUACUCAGCGAAGGUUUCCACAACCAUGGGUUUGGUGGGAACCAUCUUAACAAAUCCUGCAUCACCAUUCUUCAAGAACUUGGGUUCCUUCUCAAGCUCCUUACCAGAACGCCUGUCAAUCUUGGUCACCAGCUCUGCAAACUUGACUGCAAUGUGGGAGGUGUGGCAAUCAAGGACAGGUGCAUAUCCAUUUCCAAUCUGCGCUGGGUGGUUCAUGAUGAUGACUUGGGAAGUGAAAUUAGCUGCCUCCUUGGCAGGAUCAUCCUUCGAGUUCGAAGCAACAUAUCCUCGCUUCAGAUCCUUCACAGCAACAUUCUUGACAUUGAAGCCGACAUUGUCACCUGGAAGAGCCUCUGUAAGAGACUCAUGGUGCAUCUCAACAGACUUAACUUCAAUGGUCAAUCCAGAGGGACCAAAGGUUACAACCAUACCAGGCUUGAGGAUACCAGUUUCAACACGACCCACGGGGGACAGUUCCAAUACCUCCAAUCUUGUACACAUCCUGAAGUGGAAGAAGGAGUGGCUUGUCAGAGUUGGACCCUUGUACCAAUCAAGGUUGGUGGACCUUUCAAUCAUGUUGUCACCUUCAAAACCGGAGAUGGGGACAAAAGGAAUCUUCUCAGGGUUGU